RNAcentral lists this long non-coding RNA (289535 nucleotides) under Triticum aestivum (bread wheat). Its description in RNAcentral is "long non-coding RNA (TAES_LNC024801)". Lineage: Eukaryota; Viridiplantae; Streptophyta; Magnoliopsida; Poales; Poaceae. The record is from RNAcentral.
UUUUUUUUCCUUUUUUGUUCGUAAUACCUCUGAAAACAACGAAAAGGCCAAAAAAUGUGGAAAAUUGCAAAAUUUGUUAGACUAUUAUGUGGGAUAAAUCUAGAGCUUUAUUAGCACCUACAUCAUUAAAAACUUCCAUCUCAAAUAAGUAAAAGAAUACAAGACAUGCUAUAGAAUUACAAAAGGAUAAAAAAAAUACAAAGAUUGAGAAUGGACGUCUGGCUCUCGGCCUCCAUGGAGGCCUUUUUUUGAAAAUAAAUCAAAAUUCAAACUAUUUGGUUUAAUUUUUUUUGAAAAAGUAUGCAAGUAAACAAGAAUGUUAUGUGUAUGUGGGUAAAAUUUCAGGAUGAAAAACGUUGAAAUGCGACCUGUACAAAAAUGACAAAUUCAUGGCCCGGGAGGAUGAAUAGUAUCAUGUGUUAAAAAGCCCUAGAUUUGUCAUUUUUGCACAGGCCUCAUUUCAACGUAUUUUGUCCUGAAAAUUUACACACAUAUGUGUUAUGCCUUCAUGUAUAUCUGUGUUUUUUUAGAAUUUUUUAAAAUGCAGAAAAUAUGAAAUUUGAUGAAAUUCAAAUUUUCCAAAACCGAGCUCCAUGGAGCUCGGCCUCCAAAGACAAUAUUCAACAAAGACUACACUAUAUAACACUACUAAUACUCAGAUCCAAGCACUAAAAUACGCAUGCACGGCAAAAAAUUUGAACAUAUUAGAGUAUUAUAGAUAUUUAUAUAGGACAUAUAUUUAUAUAUUUCAAAAAAAUAAACGGGCCGUGCCGUGCCGGCCCGCGUGCCCAGCCUCCAGGCCCAGGCACGGCCCAUGGCGUGCCGCAUGCCGGGCCUGGCCCGUUUAGCCUGGGUCGUGCCGUGCCAGCGUGCUACCGGGCCGGCACAGUUAGCACGGCCCGUUUGGCCGUGGCAUUUGUCCCAGACUUCGUGCGUUGUGCGUUGGAGUUGGCCCUAGUCUCCGGUUUCCGUUUCCGGUUCCACCCCGAGUUCCGCCUCCGGUCUCUCCUCCGCCGGCGCAGGAUGGCGGCGGCCGCGGGCACAUCGAGGCAGGCGGGCGCGGCGCCCAGGGUGGGGCUGCUGUACGACCAGCGGAUGCUGAAGCACGCGCCUGCCGGGAAGAAAGAACGGGAGACCCCCGAGCGGCUACGCGCCAUCUGGCGCAAGCUCGCCGCCGAGGGCGUCACGUCCAGGUACGCGCCGCCAGCGACUCUCUCAAGCGAGAGCAGCGCCANNNNNNNNNNNNNNNNNNNNNNNNNNNNNNNNNNNNNNNNNNNNNNNNNNNNNNNNNNNNNNNNNNNNNNNNNNNNNNNNNNNNNNNNNNNNNNNNNNNNNNNNNNNNNNNNNNNNNNNNNNNNNNNNNNNNNNNNNNNNNNNNNNNNNNNNNNNNNNNNNNNNNNNNNNNNNNNNNNNNNNNNNNNNNNNNNNNNNNNNNNNNNNNNNNNNNNNNNNNNNNNNNNNNNNNNNNNNNNNNNNNNNNNNNNNNNNNNNNNNNNNNNNNNNNNNNNNNNNNNNNNNNNNNNNNNNNNNNNNNNNNNNNNNNNNNNNNNNNNNNNNNNNNNNNNNNNNNNNNNNNNNNNNNNNNAUGGGAAGUCCUCGCGCGCUCCCGCUGUGCUUGAUCUGUUUCCUGUUACGACUGUAAAUCUGCACGAUUAUGUUUUGGUUAUCUGAUGAAGCGCCCGAAAUGGUGAAGGGCCUGAGAAAGGGGGGAGAGUAUAUAGAUCCUUCAUACAAUAGGUUCAAACAUGUAUGCCAUGUAGCGCUGAAAGGAACAGUCCUGCUAUUUCUGCAAUUUGGGGCACUCCAGUCCUUCCUCGUGUGCAGUAACUUGGACUGUCCAUUGCUUGCAUUACUUUGAUUGAUUAGAUUGAUAAUUGUAUGACUUUUGCAAGGUUCUGUGGCUUUAGUGUGACAUAAGUUUCUUCAGAUAAUAGGUUCAAACAUGUAUGCACAGUAGCGCUGAAAAGGUAUAGAGUCCUGGUAUUUCUGCAGUUCUGGGUACUCAAGCCGUUGCCUGUGCACAGUAACCUGGAUGCUACUAGAGUUAAGUUUGAACAUUGGCAUUAUGGCUUCUGUGCUGCCCACUGUUUGCAUUAUAGGUUCAAACAUUUAUGCACUGCAUAUCUGAAAGGAACAGCGUCCUUCUGGUAUUUCUGCAAUUUGGGGCACUCCAGCCCUUCCUUGUGGUACAGUAUCUCGGAUCCCUGCAGGCGUCGAUUUAAAGAGGAACUGCAGUGGCUCAGGCUCACCUACAGGGCCAAAAGGAAGGAGUAUAGUGGCCUGAUUGAUUGGGUCAAAGCUUUCAGAUGAACUUAGUUCUGCCUUCAUUGUACCUUUUGUAUUUUCUGUUCCUUGUUUGUUUUCACUAGGCCUGUGUAGCUCUUUUAUUUUAUUUCUGAACUUUGUUUUGUACUCCCUCCAUCCCACAAUAUAAGAUCGUUUUUCAAGCUGGACAAGGGAGUAACAUUUAUUUGAAAAACAAUAAAAAUACACAGCAGAGUCCUGCUGUUUCCUUAAGAAAAGGUAACUUGUAUGCCACUAGAGUGAAGUUUGAACAUCGGCAUUGUAGCUUCUGUGCCGUCCAUUGCUUGCAUUACUUUGAUUGAUUAGAUUCAUAAUUGUAUGACUUUGCAAGGUUCUGUGGCUGUAGUGUAACAUAAGUUUCUUGCAGGUGUGUGGGCAUGAGGGCGAAGGAAGCCAAGGAAAAAUAUAUAGCCUCUGUCCAUGGCCCGAAUCACAUAGAUCUGAUAAGGAAUAUCAGCUCGAAGGAUAGUUCCGAGCGAAAAAAUACUGCUGAGAAACUCGAUUCCAUUUACUUCAACAAAGGCUCCUCAGAGUCUGCUUUCCUCGCAGCCGGUUCUGUCAUCGAGGUAAUUUCCGUUUACUUUUCCUACAUUGCAUAUGUAUUCACUAGUCUUAUACAGCAAUUCUGGUUCCGUUGAUCCUGAGUGCUGACAAAAUGACUCGUUUGGCAAGUAGGUUGCUGAGAAGGUUGCAGCUGGUGAGCUGAGUUCUGCGAUCGCUCUAGUCAGGCCUCCAGGCCACCAUGCCGAACAUAGCAAGCCCAUGGGAUUUUGCCUCUUCAACAAUGUGGCAAUUGCAGCUAACUACCUCUUAAAUGAAAGGGUGCGUAUUUGAAACUUCCCUGUUGAAUGUUCUGUUAAGAUCAAUACGUGCUGUUUUUGUUUAUCAUUUCCUCUGUAGGAACAAUCAUAUCAAUUUGCUAUGAUGUGACCUACUGAGAACAUGGAGUCAUUUUCUGAGUUCCCUUUUUCUGUUGCAGCCUGACCUAGGUAUCAGCAAGAUAUUAAUCGUCGAUUGGGAUGUUCAUCAUGGAAAUGGCACGCAGAACAUGUUUUAUAAUGACCCUCGUGUAUUGUUCUUUUCAGUGCACAGGUAUGACACAAUAACUUGGCGUUGCUUUGCUAUUUUUGUUUAGACUUCAGACUUUGCUUCCGCAAACAUGCAAACCACUGUAUGUAUACGCAUUAGAUAUAAAGAAAACAUGCAAACCACUGUAUGUAUACGCAUUAGAUAUAAAGAAGAAGUCUUAGUUGAGACUUUAGACUAGCUUCAUAACCUUCAUGAUAUGAUAUUCGUGAAGCCGUGGUAGUUUUGUUGCCUACAUUUUUAUGGCUUACUGCUUUUUGAAUGGAUGUAGGAUGCUGAGAGCGUUUUCUUACAGUGGAUCUCUGCAGUUCAUAGAAAUUUAGAAACUCCAUUUCUUAUUUACAUGGUAUUAACAAACUCAUUUUUGAUAUUUGUGAGCUCACCUUACUAUAAUGCUCUUGGAUAUUGUACCUGUAAUGAUCGGGAUUAAGUCUCAGUUUUGUUGAUCCAGUUGGGCUGUAUAGCACGACCUAAAUGCUUGAGCCCAGUUUGUGAUUAAUGUGCCAUGGAACCUAUUAACUAUUAAUCCGUUGUCAAUGGAAGAACCUAUUAACUAUUAAUCCUUUUUCUGUUUCAUCAUGGUUUUACCAUUUUACUUCCUAUGUUGACACUACUAGUAUUGAAAUAGCCUGAAUUAUCUGUUCUAAACUUCUAAUCAACAUAGUAUGGUUACUUUAUUUGUCAUUUGAAUUGUCACCUGCCCACCCUUGAUUUUGGUUAUAGUAUAUUAAUCAAUUCAUUGUGUUUACUUUCUAUUGCUAUCUGAGUUUAGUCUCCCAUGCAUCUGCAGGGCUAGAUACUACGGUUCAUGUUUACAUUAGAAAGAGAUGUUUGUAAUGCAACUUCAGUGCUUAUGUUUGAAAACUGAGUUGUACUUGUUAUACAACUCUUGCUCUAAUAUGUUUGAUUUAUCUGCACUGCUAUAGUCUGGAGCAUCCAAAAUACAUGAUGUUGAUAUUUAUUCUUUCUUUCUCCGAUAUAUGUGAAAAGUUCUAGCCUCCCAGAUCCAACGCCGAAACUUCUUCUAACAUUGUUCUAGCUAGUGUCAAAAAACGUCUUACAUUAUGGGACGGAGGGAGUAGUAGGUAGGUACCUGAGGAAAGCUGCUGUUCUAACCGCUUAUCAUUUAAGUUUACAUACAUGUUACCUUGGCUGAUGAAUCUACAGAUUGUGUAACUUGCCAUCUUUGGUAAAGGCCUCUCCUAGAACUACCCAACCAAUUCUGAUCGAAAUCUCAAUUUUUUGCAGUUGUUCCAUUGCAUUCUGUUGAUCCUUCAGUAAUGUGUAAACUAUUAUUCCAAUGUUUGCUCUGUAGAUAUGAUGAUGGAAGCUUCUACCCUUAUGAAGCUGAUGCAUCACACGUUUUCAUUGGGGAUGAAACUGGUCGAGGGUACAACAUUAAUGUGCCCUGGGAGCAUGCGGAAUGCGGUGAUGCAGAUUAUGUUGCUGCAUGGGACCAUGUACUCCUUCCUGUUGCAGAAGCAUUUGAUCCUGAUAUAAUAUUACUGUCUGCUGGGUUUGACGCAGGUAGACAGCUAGAAAAUUCUUAGAAACUAUCUUGUCCCUAAAAUUUAAACAUCUAACUAAUCUAGGCACUUCAAAUGAAGCCUGACUGUUGCUAUAUACCGGCAUUGUAGUUUAUUCUAUGUACUAGAUGUGCACUGUUCGAGUACUACUCCUUAUAUACCUGAUUUCCUUUUUGCGUGACAAAUGAGAUCUUCACUGAAGAUAUUUUGACAACCGCUGUGGCUUUGUUGUAUUAUAUUGCUAUUACAUGCCAAUGGAAUCAAAACUUCUGUGUCUCAUAUGAUCAUGCAUGUUCUUGUUACUCACUGGUUUUGAAUAUUUUCCCUGUUUCUUUUUUGCUAGCACUGGGUGAUGAUAUGGGUAAUUGCUGCAUCACUCCAAAUGGAUAUGCACUGCUACUGACAAAGGUAUGCAUUUGCACGUUUGCAGCAAAAUGACCUUUUAUUAAACUCACUGAACCAUGCGCUCUCCUGGCCUUAAAAACAUUUUUCAUUCUUGACCUUGGAGUUUGGAUGUGAUAGAGUAGCGUUUAUGUUAUUGCCACGGUCAUUCAUUUUUGUUGUCAUGCUUUGGUGUUACCUGUUAGAAAAUUUUCAUUUGAUCCCAUCAAUUUAUUAGUAUCUCCUAUAACUUUUUUGGACUUUCUACUCAGCUGAUCGAUGCUUAUGCCUGUCUACAUUUUACCUGCAGCUGUUAGGUUUUGCAAAAGGAAGGAUUGUGAUGGCCCUUGAAGGAGGUUAUAACCCUGAGUCCAUAGCAAACUCAGUUUGUGCUUGUGCAAAAGUAUUGUUGGGAGAUAAAUUCACACUUACCUCUCCAGAGAUGCAACCAUUCGAAUCUACAUGGAGAGUCAUACAAAUGGUAAUGGUCUGCAGUGUACUAUUUCUGUCUAAUUUUGGUCUCGCUAUGCGUAUCUGUAAUUUAGUUCUCAUUCCCCCUCACACUGACCAGGUACGCGAUGAAUUAAAGACAUACUGGCCUGUUUUGAGCAGUAAGCUUCCGGAGAACGUAUCUUUGAGGAGUACGCCCUCAUAUAUCCAGGUGAGUUUCCUCUUUCUAUUUUCUUCUUCUUGGGGACUUGAGUUGGGGCCUGCUUGGUCUGACCUCUGACUAAUGAAUUGUGCUCUUAUGUCUGAGAUGUGGAUCGCUCUGUUCCAGAUCCGUUUGCUGGGAAACUUGACACCAUCUUCUCUUACUUUUCACCAACAUGUCAUGACCACAGUUGCAGCUUUCAAACCACAUUCUUAAUGGACGAUUUUCUUUUUUUUCCAGGGUUAUAAUGAAGCACCAUAAUGUAGCCCAAUUUCAUAGAUGAAUGCAUGUUCACGAGUGAUGUGGACUGUAUUACACAGCUCAGUUGAUAUGCUAUUUCCAUAUUAUCCGCACUUCCGCAGGCAAUCCAUACUUGAUGAACCUUUUUUUGUUGUUGUGAUCAAUGCUUCAUGUGUAUACUUAUUCUGAGGUGCCUAUCAACUUUUAAACUCUUAACUCUUGCAAAAGAACAUGCAGAGUUAUACAGCUCAACUAUGUUUGUACUGUGCACUUUAAUUAUCUUGUGCCAAUAGUCUCACAUUUGAUUUACUCCCUCCGUCCCAAAAUAAGUGUCUCAACUUUAGUACAACUUUGUACUAAAGCUAGUACAAAGUUGAGACACUUAUUUUGGGAUGGAGGGAGUACCAUUUAUGCAUCUUGAUGCAUGCAGGCUUACUGUAUAGCUGAGACGAUCAAUAGGAAAUAUUAACCUGAUGGUGGAGCCCUUGAAUAAUUUCUCUUUCUUGUUUUCCCCAUUGGGGAAUGAACAGCCAUGCACUUCCUCUGGUUCUGAGUGAUGUUUUGAGUAUGAUAUGCUUGGAGAUCCGCAUUGUCAAAAGUUCAAUAUUUGGUAUGCCAGCUUUGGUUCAAACAUGUGGAAACCAAGAUUCUUGUGCUACAUCGAAGGGGGUAAGGUAAAGUUGAAAUCACAUUGUCUUUUAUAUAUGGCAAGGAACAUUUAGGUUCCUCUAUUUAAAGCUUGUAGCCUGUCGCUGCAUUCAUCACAUCAUUGAUUUCUCGGGGAGAUUUCAGUCGGUGCACCCCUUUCAGUUAAUGUAACUCAAAUCACUUAUGGAGGGUACUUUUGUACCUUCCGCACAAAUCGGGAAUAAAUAUCUGUCCACUUCAUGCAUUAGUCUGUUACGCACCGGUGUAUCAAUUCAAUUGGGGAAGCUACUGCCCGGAACAAUAGCAGCUCACGCUUGCUCCACGAUGUUUGAACAAACCUUAUCUAGUCCAUGGCUCUUCAUGCCUUCCUCGCUGCUCCUCUUAGUUUGUUUGAUCUGGCACUAUGAAUCACAGACGUCGACCUGGGGAUCGGUGUCUAUGAGUGCAAAGCUUCACGAACAUUCGCUAGCAAUGACCAAAGAGAUUGAGGGCCUAUUUGAUUCGCAGGAUUUUCAAAACAAGGGAAUAGGAAAACACAGGAUUGUAAUGUCAUGUUCAUCUCAAUCCUACAGGAUUUUGGGUUGUUUGAUUGCAUCAUAGGAAAGACAAAUUAUUCUUUCAAAGAGGUUUGAGUGGAUGGUAUAAAUCCUAUGGGAAGUAGUACAAAUAAAUCCUUACGAAAAAUUCCUAUAGUAUUCAAUCCUAUGAAUCAAACAAACAACAUCGGAAAAAUUCCUAAGGAUUCUAAUCCUCCAAAAUUCCUAUGAAAAUCCCUUGAAUCAAAGGAGCCCUGAACUGACUGUGGCCCCUUGCUUUAUCCUUCACUCCUGCUUCUAUAAGGGGAGAGGAGGGGGGCAAGCGUGAUGUAAGGAGAUGCGGACGGGCUGAGAUGAGGUUGGGCCUGAAGGUGGGCUGUGUGGGUUGCACCAUGCUCAGUAUCCCUCGUCGAGGUGGAGGGACUAUGGGCUCUGGGCGAAAUCUUUGGCCGGCGGGGGGGCGGUACCGGCGGCGGAGGCAUCCUAGGCAUCUUUAUCCUCCUUGGAGGCGUUGCCGAAGAGUUCAUCCAGACACCAGAUCAUUGUGGCUGGUACUAGGUUCCGGUGGCUAUUGGCGUGGCUGGAUCCCCUCCCACGGGGUUCAGUGGGGUGGUGGUGUGCAGAGCUCUUGGCAAAAGCUUUGUCCCGACGGAGGCGUUAUCGAAGUGCUUCUUCACUCCUACCUCGGGUCGCUUUGGCCCUCGAUCGAUUGGUUUGUGUUUGGUGGUGGUGCCUAGUUUUGCUUGGGGCUGUUUGUACUCUUUGUUGGGGUUUUUGCUCGGUUGUCCCCUAAUCAACCAUGUUGUGUGGUUUCUGGCCUAGUUUUCCCUAUAAACCGGGCCAACUCUCUUCUUAAUGAAAUAGCAGGAGCACCCUGCCCUCUGACGAGGUUCCGUAAAAAAAAGUAUCCAACCACAUGAAAUAGACUACAUCACCCUUUAUGGCGUGGUAAAUGACUCGUUGUAAUCCCCACCAUUUAUCCACAUGAAUAGUUUUCUAAAGGGGUUGUACCAAAGGAAUCCUUUUUGGGGGAUAUUUUGGUCUUCGGGAAGUGUUUUUAGUGCUUUCCGCAAAUGUAAAUUCCGCAACAAGACCUGUGUUGCGGAAAUAAUUCCGCAACAAGACCUGUGUUGCAGUAUGGAGGCGCGUUCGGCCGUGUGAUGCGGUAAUCCGACGGCUCGUGACCCGGCUGAUCUUGACGCGUAGCACACCCCUUAUUCUAACUUACCUUUUCCUUUUCUGAAGUGUUAUGCUUUGUGUGAAAGUUGCUAUUCAUUUUGGUCUGUGGCAGGUUGAUGGUAUGGGUGUAUCAUGUUUUGGUUCACAUGACACAAGCCCACGAAGAGGCACCAUGUGGAAAAUGUGUGUCAUACAUUUUUUUCAGGAGAUCCUCUAUCCCCUGUGGGGUACUGGUGGUGUUGCUUUCCUCAACCCUGAUAUAAACUACAGUGACAAGUCAAUGUCUGCAUGUACAAAAUAAUGUAUGUUAUAUCAUAACCACAUCUACGUUUUAUUGAUCCUUGAAUUAGGUCUGGGUGGAACAUAAUCUCUCGUCAGUGCUCUGAUUUCAUCAUGAAUUUCUCUUUUUUACAGGCUUGAGCAGUUCAAUUACACGUUGUUUCAAGAGAACUGUUUAGUGAAGGAUAUCGGCGAAGAUGGAAAAAUCAAGUCUCCUGGCUCUCCUUUGAUUCGCUUGUCUGAAAGACUCUGCCUCUUCACAAAAAACUCUUCAUCUUGAACCUAUUAAGGUUGGAUUUGCUGGUUUCCACAUCAAGCGCACGCUUAUCCUCCACAUAGAAUUUUCUAUAUGCCUAUAAAUAAAUGAGAGUAGUUAAUAUCACGUCGUUGGAAAAAAAUGCUCUUAAGUGCGACUGUCCUUCUGGCAGCACUUUGAUAAAGGACACUACCAACCUCUUGUGUGGCCAUCACUGGUAGAAUCUAUCAUUCUUACAGAUUAACGUUAAUGCCUGCUGUAAUAGUUGAUCCUUUGGUAAGGAAAUGCCAUGUCCUGCCUCUUUUGUCUGUCGGGUUGGUCUGAAGUUAGAAGUUACCUGGGACUGAUGCUUAGUCCAGAUCGCAGUUUGGAAUGUUACCAUGGAUUUGAAGCUCUUUUGACAUCAUCACAACAGUCGAAAAAGGUCUUGUUUCAGUACAUUACAAACUGAAAAGGAUAAACUAUUUUUCUUCUCAUAAUGCCGCUUCAUCCAUAGCAAUAUAGUUGACACUAGUUGAUUUUCUAAAUAAAUCUGAUGCUAGUUAUAUUUUCAUAUCAAUGGAUCAUUUCUGCAAGUUAUUAUUUUUUAUUUUUCAUGUUUGUUAUGCAAAUUUCCUACAGGAUAUCUGGUACUCCACGUGUAAAACCAACAUACUCUAUCUUGAGAGGAGGAUGACGUCCAAUUUUAACUAUGACGUAAGCUCCAGUCUUCACUUGGUAAAGAAAUUUCUUGUAGAUACUAUCCAAUGCACUACUUGAAGGGAAGCGGUAAGAACACAGAUGAAGAUAUGUUUUUUCGUGGAUGGUGUGAAAUUGUUUGUUUCCCUGCAGAUAGAUGCCCCUCAACAGCUGUUGCACAGGGGGAUCCCCCUCACCUAUGCUGUUCAACAUUGCUGUAGAUGUUUCGCAGGAAUUAAUUCAUAGGGCUAAGAGAGCUGGGUUGAUUUGAGGGGUAGUUCCUUGUCUAGUAGAGGGAGGCAUUAAUAUGUUACAAUAUGUUGAUGGCACAGUACUUUUAUUAAGAGCUGACAAGAAGAGGCCAAAGUGUUAAAGAACAUUUGAUGCUUAGUUAAGCAUCUUUCUGGUCUAAAGAUUAAUUUUAAUAAGAGCGAGCUUUAUUGUUUAUGAGAGGCUAGUGAUCACAUUAAAAUAUGUAGAGAAUUUUUUACUUGUGUAGCUGGUAGCUUCCUUGGGCAUCCCUGUGCAUAGUGUUAAGCUUAUGAAUAGUGAUUGGGAAGGAGUGGAGGACAAGAUGGAAGGGAAACUAGGAGCCUGGCAAGGAAGAAUGAUCUCUUAUGGUCCUAGAUUAAUUUUGCUGAAAUCCUGUUUGAGUAGUAUACCUUACUUUAUGAUGUCUAUGUUUACUAUUCCUAAAGAUCCUCUGCAUAGAGUAGAAUAUUUUAUGAAAAGACUUCUAUGGCAGGAUAGUGGUGAAUCUGACAAGUAGUACAAUUUAGUGAAGUGGGAAAAGGUUUGCCAACCUAUUCAUUGGGGUAGAGGGUCUGGGAGUAGUUGAUUUAGCUGUAAUGAAUAUGUGUCUUUUGAGUAAAUGGUUAUGGAAAAUAGAAAAUGAGGAAGGUAUGUGGCAAGAUAUUAUUAGAAGUAAAUAUUGUAAUAAAGAGUCCUAGUCAGCAUUAAGAGAAAACCUACUCAGUCUCAUUUUAUGAGUGGCAUCUUAGACUAGAAAAGAGUAUUACAAAUUUUGUAGGAAGCGAGUGGGGGAUGGCAAAACUACUAGACUUUUGGGAAGACUCUUGAUUAGGUAAUGUUCCACUGUGUAGUAAGUUCCAUAGAUUGUAUAAUGCUAACACCAGUUUUAAUAUUACUGUAGCAGAGGUGAUUGGGGGUUGGAUAAUGUCAAAUUUAGGAGGAGGUUGGGUGAUUUGGCUGAGCAGCAUUUGCAAUAUCUCUGUGAGGACGUGGUUCAAAGUGAGGAGAGAGAUAAGUGCGUGUGGACUUUAACUACAUGUGGUGAAUUUACCAUUAGAUCAAUGUACCUGAUGAUCAAAGCUUUGCAAGUUAGAUGUCGUUUUAGAAAAUUAUGGUUUAUUAAAGUACCUCUUAAGAUUACAGUUAUCUUGUGGUUGAUGUUUAAGAAUAGUAUAUUAUUGACUAAAGAUAACUUGAGAAAAAAGAGGUUUGGUGGGAGAUGAGAGGUGUCGAUUUUGUGAGGCUAAAGAAUCUGUGGAUCACCUCUUUAUUCACUGUUCUUUGGCAAAAUAUGUAUGGGGAGCAGUUAGUUGUGCUUUGGGGGUAUCCAUGAAUUUAGACACUGCACAAGAUAUUUCUCUGUGGAUCAUGAGAUUUCCUGGUAAGACGAGAGGACUAAUGGCUGCAGGGGUAGCAGCGGUGAUUAGGGGCUUAGGGCAAUUUGGAAGGUAGGAAUAAUGCAUAUAUGCUUUAGAGGUAUUUAUCCGCAUGAUCCGAGCAGCGUUAUUACUCAAGUUUCUCACUGGUUGGAACACUGGGCUGGUUUGCAGAAGCGAGGGGGUCCGAGAAUUACAAGCCAGAGGAGCAAGACUAUUGUUGCAGGUUGCAGCUGAGAUGUACAGCCAAAAGAGAGGGUGGGCGCCAGUGGUGCUGCGAAUAGCUGGAUGAAGGAGUUAUCUGGGAGCUUUUGAUUACUCGGCUGGGUUGUGUGUUUGGUUCUGCUUUUGGCUGUUGUUGCGCAAUCCUGCAAUGCAGCGGUUAGAGCCUAGAAGAAGUGAGCGGUGGUGUGCGGUUUGUUCUACUGGAGCCUUUGAUAGUGCAGGUAUAGUGGUUUUUAGAUUGGGUUUUAUAGUACUGAGUAUAUGUUAUUUUGUUAGAUGGUGCUGUUAUGUAUGAUGGAAUCUGAUCGUUGGUCGAUCCAAGUUACCCUGCUGUAUUGUCAUUGCUGCUUCCCUUCCACGAGUCCCUUGAUCGAUCUGUACUAGGACGCUUCCUAGUUUGAUUCGGAAUUAGGAGAGUAGAGGCCUCGUUGGAUCUGACCGACUAUUUUCGUUUGGAGUUUGCGCUGGUUUGAUCACUGAGAAAGUUCCAUGUAUAUAUUGAGCAGGUUUGAACAUGUCAAUCUCUCAAGUCUCACACAGCACGGACCCAACCCAAAGUGUUGGUCCGUCUUGGACAUUUCAGUGUCGUUCCUCCGUCAUCUUACAGUGCUGUGCACCUAGGGCUCGCGCUGUUGAAGGUACUGUGUCACCCAUGCGGAAGUUUUGAAUGUGUAUGUGUAUGAACAUGAUGUAUGCAAUGAUACGACAGGGGGCUCUCUGCUGGCUGUCCUAUCCCAAGAUUUAUCAUGUCAUGUAUCAUCGGCACGGAACAAUUUUAAGCGACGCACAUCAGGACACUCUCAUCCUAUGCUACUUGUAGACACAUUUUACUGUCAAAGGCGUGCACCGGAGAGGCCACAUGUGCGCAUUGGAGUGACGACAUGGUCACUUAGAUCCACGUAGUCUGCUUGAUCGGUCUAGGCCACAUGCGCGCAUUGGAGAUAAAAUUGAUUAAAACAAAUCGAUAUAGAUGGAAACUAGAUGUUUGGUUAAUGUCNNNNNNNNNNNNNNNNNNNNNNNNNNNNNNNNNNNNNNNNNNNNNNNNNNNNNNNNNNNNNNNNNNNNNNNNNNNNNNNNNNNNNNNNNNNNNNNNNNNNNNNNNNNNNNNNNNNNNNNNNNNNNNNNNNNNNNNNNNNNNNNNNNNNNNNNNNNNNNNNNNNNNNNNNNNNNNNNNNNNNNNNNNNNNNNNNNNNNNNNNNNNNNNNNNNNNNNNNNNNNNNNNNNNNNNNNNNNNNNNNNNNNNNNNNNNNNNNNNNNNNNNNNNNNNNNNNNNNNNNNNNNNNNNNNNNNNNNNNNNNNNNNNNNNNNNNNNNNNNNNNNNNNNNNNNNNNNNNNNNNNNNNNNNNNNNNNNNNNNNNNNNNNCAAAAAGGAAAGAAAAAAAUGAGAGAACCCACUAGAAGGAGGAAAGAAGAAAAAUACUAGUCGUGAAAAUUAAAAGGGGAAGGAAAAAAAUCAGAGAACCCGCUAGGAGGAAAGAAGAAAAAUACUAGUCGCGAAAAUUAAAAGGGGAAGGAAAAAAAAAUCAAAGAACCCGCUAGAAGAAGGAAAGAAGAAAAAAUAAACACAAAAAGGAAAGGAAAAAAAAUAAAAAAUCCGCUAGAAGGAGGGCUCGAACCUCCGACCUUGUGGUUAACAGCCACACGCUCUAGCCAACUGAGCUAUUCCAGCUUGGUGGCAAAGAACAGAACUCUCUCUAGAUAAUCAAUACGUUCCUAAUAGACACAAGGAGCCAGCACCGAAUCACCAUGAGUUAGUGGCCUAGGAAGCAAGCGACGAUAUUUCUCUCUCUUUAAACUAGACGAAUCGUGCAUCAGUAAGAAUAGGAAACCACCUUGACCUGAUCGCGCUUCCAUGUCCAACUCACCGAACAGUUUCGUGUCCAUCACAUGCCAAGGGUAAAGAGCUUGCCCAUAUGUUGCAAAAUUCCUAGUGAUUUACUACAGGACAUGGUAUAUUCUCCUAGGAUUGGUUGGUGUGUCCGUUGAGCUCAGCAUUGGUUUCAACCUGCCGAGACCCUGAGACAGGCCCCCAAUAAAAACAGGUGAUGGGACUACUUGUCCUGGGAUGUGUUACCGGGAGGAGGAGCAGUUGAACUGAUGCAAUCAACACCAGUAGGAUGUCACUCUGGAUUGUAACACUUGACACGUACUAUAAGAUUUGGUGCACCUACAACACAACCUUGAUCUAGCCAACAAUGUAACCACUUCAGCUCACCAAUUCUCAGCUCUGCAUCUACACAACCUUGAGUCUUUAUAGAGAUUUCACUAUGAACUACAUAGUGAGCAAAAUGAGUGAAUCUACACUUUAAAAGGUUUAGGGUUUAGUGGAAUCUCUCCAAAGACUUAUAUUUGGUAACGGGGAGAGGGAGUACAUUCAUACAUCAUCCAAAUGAAGAUUACCUAAGCCACUGAACGUGAAAGAAAGAUGAACGGAGCGUGUAUUUUGGGCACAGCGUCAUCAGGAGGCCAAACCGGCAAACAAAGCAAGCAACGAGUAAAAUUGCAAGGUUUCAACUUCCAACACUGGCAGCGGUACAGAAACAGCAGCAUAAGUCAAAUGCAAGGUUCCAACUUUCCAAACCAAGGUAAGGUACAGAGACAACAGAUACACUCCCAGCAUCAACCGCCCUCACUUUGGGGCAUUCAUGAUGCAUCACAACAGUAUCCCCCGUCUUUCGGGGUUUCCCCGCUGGCGGCGGGCAUACUGCACUACAAAUACAUAAAUAUGAAAAACAUACACAUCACCGAGAUUACGGACAGACGGCACCGACACAGACAGGCUCACAUCUUUAGAGGCCUACUUCUUCCAAGCACCAGGUCCUUUCUGGGGGAAAUGCACCACCAACCAACAGCUUGCGCUUUCAUGGACGACGGACGGAACAGAUCAUUGUGAAAACAUCUUCCACAACUUACAGGGAUGAUAUUUACUAAAAAGAACCACAGAGCAACCACAACCAUGUUCCAAAGCAGAUCAGGCGUCUUCCGUCUUGCACAGGUCCAGCAGUGACAGUGUCUGCAAAAUUGAGAUGAGAAUGUUCAGUCCACCUGUCUUGCUCAAGCAUCUAUUAUCGUGGCAGCUGGAGUAAGGUAUAUAUACCUCUGCUAUGGAGAGCUCGAGGCGGAAUUUAGGACCAUCAUAGUGGUGCAGCACUGGCCUAAAAGCAUCCUCUUCCAAGGCCUUGCAAAGCCUUCUAAUGCGGAUCCUCACCUGAUAUGAUGAUGAAUAUGUCAGAUCAUGAAAAACAAGCCUGAUAAUAAACAUAUGUCAACCUUGGAAAUUAAUUACCUGUGCUGGGAAUCUGGAUUCACCUUUGCACUUCUUAUCUUCCCAAGCGGUGGGAUCAAUGUUUGAUCCUCCAAAACUAGCAGCCUGAGACACAAGAAAAUCUGAUUAGAAUGCUGAAGAACAAGCACUAUAAUUUGUGCUAGAGUUCAACCAAGACGCAUGUGCAUUUGAAAUGGAACUUUGAGAACAGGUACGCUUCUAAUUUCAGCCAGGCAAAACCGGAAGGGCCACAGAAGCACGUUUGGCUAAUAGGAACGUAACAUCAGGAGAAUGUUGGCUUAGAAGCACAGGAAUAAAUUUGGUAACCUACCAUGUUUUAUUACAGCUAGAAGAAAGAAGAACAUGAAAGUUCAAGUUCUUGAUUACAUAUGGUAGAGUAUCUACACCGCCAAAAUGGCAUUUCCUAUUUAAUUCAGUUCCAAGAAAACACUAGCUAAAACUUUUCAUCUAAAAGGAAAUUCAGAAACAGCACACGAAACUAUCCAUGCAAAUGAUAUAAGCAUUUAUGUAUGACAAAUACAACUGUUACAAUGUAUUCAUGAAGAGGCUUGCAGUUCCAUUCAAAUAAGGAGGCUCGUAGUUAUCAGCAAAUGAAACAAUCACACACCUCAAACACCCCAUGUAGCUGAUGGGUCGUGUAGUUGUAGAGGAAAAGAGGUAGACCAGGAGUGAUGGCUCGGACUGAAUCACGAUAUCUUGCUGGCAAGCCUGCAGAACAGAACAAACCAUGAGUAACAGAGUAACUUACAUAUAAUUGUGUGAGAUGGUAUGUGAAAUGAUUUACAAGGAUACAUAGUAGGCAUACCAAAAAGCUGUCUCUUGAGAUCCUCCUGCAUGGUAUCAUUGUUGCAGACAAAGAUGUAUCCACCAAGAACUUCAUUCCUUGGUAGCAUCUCGCUUGUUGGUAAUGUUUUGAAGCGCUUGUCAACAGAGUUGUUGUUGCUGUUGCCUCCAUUGUUGUUGUUACCACCAUUGUGUUUGCCGUUUGCUUCCUUCCCAUUCUGAUUAUUCGGAUAUUUGUUGACCCCGACAUUCAUCUUGAAUGAAUUGACAUUACCGUUGUUUCCCUUGGGGUACAUGGGGUUCAUGUUAUAGGCCAUGUUGCGGAAAGGGUACUUCAUGGCAGCCUCGUUCAUCUUGAGAUCGUUCAUCUUAAGAUCCAGGUUCAUGAGGCCAAGAUUGAGGUGGUCCAUCUUGUUGUCUUCUUGGUGGUAGGAUUGCUUAUCCCAUUGCUUCACAUCAGGGACGGUGUUCAUCCUUGCAUACUCAAAGUCAUUCAUCCUCUCAGCCUUUGACUUUGUGAUCUCAGCCAGCUUUGAUGUCAUGAGAGACCAUUGGCGGUCCUCCACCACCUUUGAUUGCCCACGGAACUCAUCUCCGAGAUGCCACAAGUUGUCCAUAGCUCAGUUCAAGCUCUCUGCACGCAAGAAAGGAUUAACAUAUAUCAGGUGACAAACAACACUUGUAAAAUAUCCUGCUUACGAAAAUAAAUGCACCAUAGGACAUAAUGAUAUUGGAGCAACAUAUCUCCAAUACAACACAAAAAUUACAAAUAACUUCAUGCAUGUUGUAAUUCUAUUCUAAGAAACUAAUUUUUUUCAGAGCUGCUAUCUAACUUUAGAAUCAGACUAGACCGCUACUUCAGGAAACAAAAUGCUGAGCUACAAACCUAUAUUUACACCUCAACGAGCAAUAAAACUGAACCCAACCGAAAUCAGUGAGAGAACUUUUUGACAAUCAAUAAUAGCCCACCAAGAAUAGUGCAUCAAGGCGGGCAAGUUUCGACAGCAACAACAAGCUGCCAGAAUACGCUGUCCCCUUCCGUCCACGCUCUAGCCCUAUAUCCUGUUGUACUUCUCCCAUGAACACAAUCCCUACUCCUCGCUUUCUGAUCCCGCGCUGGUGCGCUUACCAUCGCUCAACUAUGAUCAUACAAACUCUCUACAAAACAAAUGGAAGUAACACCGACCAUUUCAAUUCAUGUUCAUGACAACUUUCAACUUAAACCAAGCUUCAUAAUACCGUAAAUCUAUCUUCCAACCGCACAAAAUUAAAAAUUCUAUAGACCAAUUCGUCACCCAGAAGGACGCCAAAUCACAACUAUCAUCUAGAUCUAUGGGAACUUUGAACCGAAUUUUACGGAACGCUACUCCCCAUGCCCAGAUCUGCCACCCCUUCCCAUCCGUGGCGGGGCAAGGAGGCACCCUGGAGUCCAGGAAGGGGGCUCAGGAGUGCCACUCGCCAGGACGGCGAGGCGCGCGGCGGAGGAUCGAGACCGUGGCCGCAACGGGAGCGCCGCGUGAGGCGAACCGGGCGAGGCCAGGCGGGUGCGGCGGCGCUACCGAACACGCGAGAGGUGAGAAACGGGGAAAGCGGAUGGCGCCGUCGGAUGCUACGAAACGGAACGAAAUACCAAGGCGAAUCUGGCGGAACCACCGGCGCCCCUACCCAACGACCGCGCCAAAAUCGACCGCCGAAACGCCGGCGAGAUCGCAUUUCGGGGCCUUACAAGCAAGGAGAUCGGAGAGGAGCCUCAUACCUGCUCGAUUCGGCGCCGGAUUCCGGCGGGGAGGGCGCUGGAUUUGGGGGCGAAUCGGGAACGAACUGCUGCGAGGAGGAGAGGAGUCGGCUCGGCUGGCUUGGCGUUGGCUCCCACUUCGCUCCGCCCACACGGAGUCCACCGGUCAGAGAGAUUGGAGAGGGUGAGGGAGGUGAGCUGUCCUGCCGGAUUUAUAGGAGAGUGGGGGCGGAAAGAGGCCCCGGGUUGCGGGUUAUUUACCCGGUGUGCCACUGGUGGGGCAGGGGGGCGGUCAUUUGUUUGCUUUGGUUGGUGGUCGGCCUCGAUGGUUGUUGCUCCGGUUGAGCGGAUGCCGUUUGUAGAACCCGUUAGAAAAUGCCAGAAGGUUGUAGCUAGGAGUAGGAGUAUAUUCUGCAAGUGUUUGAUAGAUCAUGCUCAGCUGCUUACAUAUAUGCAGAUUUGUUUUUCUUAUUGCGAAGGAAUCCCUGGAUUUCAAUGGGCCAUAUGAAUAUAUGAUUGACGUGAAGAAGAUUUCGGUCAUUAUGGUGGAUUCGGUUGCGUGUAUGUUUGUGUGUUUUGUGUGUUGUUUAAAAUGUUGUAUGUCCACGGUAGUCGAUGGCCGACAUGGCUAAGGUGGGGAACCAACUCUCGGUGAGGCGGCGAAGAACCAUCUCUCUCUGUGUUACAAGACUCAAAAGCGUAAUUAUUGAUGAGAACCACCACUUUGCGUUUCGUCAAGACUCAAGUCACCCCAUUCUCGCGUUUACCAACACGUGGCGGCUUCGAUAAGAACUCUACGAGAUUCUAGAUUUCUCCAUGGUUGUGGUCAAUUGUAUACGGAAGAUGCUUGUAGCGCACGCUUGCGAUGUCGUGUAGCUCGGUGGCGUGUGUGGGUUGUGUCUUCUAGCAAUGAAAAGCGAAGAUAAGGAAGUAGGUGGUAGGUGCCGCCGUAACGCUUAGUCGGUCGUCUAGAAACGAACGCCAACAUCGCUUGAUGGAUAGAGAUUGAGGAAGUGGAGCUAACGUCGGUUAGAUAGAGAUCCCGAGACCAGGACAUCGUCACGAGAUAGAUAGAGGCACCGCCCUGAGUGAGUAUACACUAGAAAACAAAGAUCACCAAGAGAAGAAAAGGAAAAGAGAUAGACGUGAUCAAGAUAGAUGGAUAGAUAGAUAGGAUUGUCGUAUACCCUUUCAUGACACGUUUGGCCGCAGAGGAUACGGAGGUCUUCUCGAUCUCCACCGACAAUUAUCCUUUUUUAUCACGAUCAUUCUUCAUCAUCUCGCCUUUGAUCCUCUAAGUGCCACAUAUGCCUCAUCCUUCCCUCGUGUGACCUCUUUUCCUCCUGUAGGUCACCACCUUUACACUAGUCACCUUUACCAGGUGGAUGAGGACGAAUCAUGAAAUAAGGUGAAAGGUAGAAACAUGACGAGAAGGAGGGGGGAGUAAGAGUUUCGCCGAAGAGGUGCUGAGCCGCUGACAUUGUAUUUAUCAUCCCUCUUUUGUCUUGGGGCCCAUACCGUAAGCCUCGACUGCUCAGUGGAACUUCAUCACAGAAUGUUCGAGUGUGGCCAUUUAGCAUCCACAAAAUUCCGAGCAUUUUGUAUAGGAUUGGUGUGGAACACUAUAAACAUAGUGUAAUGUUUAAUUAGAAGUAAUGUCAAGAUUUAACCCCUAAGGACAUGCUUUAUGAGGCUUCUCGUAAUUUGGUUGAUUGAUCUUCCAUCUUUACACGCGGAGAGGGCAGUAGUUUCGAAGAAAAAAAAGGUUUACUCCACUCCUUUUUACUUUUCAAAAAAAAUAUUAACUAGUCAGAAGAAAAAACAAAAAAGGAAUUCCAUGAAUUGUAUUUUUAUUGAUCAAUUAGGAUUGACUUCUAGAAUGUAUAAUUGUCUAAAAAGGGCCAAUAUACAAAGUUUCCAAGGAAUUACUGUACUCAUAUUCCCUUUAGGUGUCCGGGAUUACUAUCCUCCUCCUUUUAUCCCGACGUUAAAGCAGGUCUUGUUGAAGUGUAGAGGGUCAUACACCUACCAAUUUACCAAAUAAUUAUUGUAUAAAACUCAAUGUCGUAGCAAAGAGAAGGAGAGGCGGUUUGCCAUCUGGGUCACUGCUGCCAUAACCGUUUAGUCAGUCAUCAAAGGCCAGCAUAACCGGAUAAAUAGAGGCCCCACACACGAGUAAAUGUAGAUUAGAAAACAAAGAUUUUCAAGAGAAGAAAUGAAAAUAGUAGACAUUAUCACAAUAUAUAGUAUUGAAGUAGUGGCUCUAAUCCUACUUAAGGAACCACCCCUAUCCUACAUGGCAUGCCACGUAGAUGAUCAACAAGAGUCAAAUCUAGUUCAUACUCAAUACUAGUCAAGGCAGUCAAUAAUAGUCCAAGCCCCUCCCCCCUCAUGGGUCAAAGCAAGCCCUCCCGGUCAACAAAAGUCCAAGCAAGACUUCUUGGUCAAUAAAUCAGAGGAAGAUGACCUCAUAAAAGAAUAAGUUAAAGCUGAAUGCAAAGAGAACAAAGAAAGCCCAAGGUCAACGUAGACACACUUCUCCAUGGAGUAGGAACUAUCCACUCAACGGGCUAUAACCCACCUCCUAGCCCAAUAAGGGGCACAUGGGCCUAGAUAAUUAGCUAGUUCUAUUGUGCCACCUCCUCACUUCAAGGGUAGCCUUGGUCGUCUAUCAAGCACCCCUGGGCUAUACAAGUCCCCCAUGACCGUGUAACUCACUCAAUCUCACUUGAAUAGACUCAAUAGGAGGGUCACUCACCCUUCCAGGCCCCUUUAGGAGGGUAAAAGAAGAGCAAGACUAAAAAAAUCUGAGGGGACAUAUAAGGCCCUGACUAGUCGGGAGUCAUGGGACUCCGGAAGCACUGGCACUCUAAGUAUUUUUGUGCGCUGAGCACCACUCUCGAUGACCCUUCAAUAGAAUGUAGGUCAUGCUCCCACGAGAUGACUGAACCUAUUUAAAACAAUGUUGUGUCACCUUGUCGAAUGCAUGACAACCUUCACUAUAAGGCUGUCAUACACGCCUCGCCUACUCAUCACUAACCACGUUGCUAUGGAGACCCCUAGCCGACAGUUGAUUCUUGAACAUCAACUAAUAGAUAUGUAAAUAGAUAAGAGUAUCAUACGCCCAUUAGGGCACGUUUGGUUGGAUGGUAUAGUGAAGUCUUCUCAAUCCCCACCAACAAUUGUCCAUUUUAUCAUGAUCCUUCUGCAACAUCUUGCAUUUGUUCAUCUUAAGUGUCACAUAGGCCUCAUCCUUCCUCAUGUUGGUUGCCAUCUUUAUGAUAGUCGCCUUGCCCGAUGCAUGAGGACAAGCUAAGAAUCAGCCGAAACAAUAUGAAAAAUACAAGAAGUGUCAAAUGCUCUGUGCAAGAUUGAGGGCCAAAUCAUGUUGAUAGUAUCGUUGAGUGUUUAGACAUGGUCGUUUAAGAUGCACAAGAGUUUUGUGUAUAAGAAUUGGAGUGAGACACUAUAAACACUAGUAAAUGCGUACGUGCAAUGCACAUUGAUAUUAGGCAGAAAACUAAUUGCACAUUGAUAUUAGAAAAAAAAUUAAUAGCAUGUUAAUAUUAGGUAGGAUAUCAAUUACAUGUUAAUUACCUGGAUAGUCAUAUUUGGUAUGUUAUUAACUACACACUAAACAUGUUGAGUGCUCGCGGUUGGAACAAUAUAGGUUGUUGAAUUAACACUGUUUGAUGGCCGAGAUUUGUUGGAUCUGCCCCUUUUGAUUUUUCUGUAUUGAUAUAGAUAUAGAUUGUUGAAUGUUUAAUUAGAAAUAAUGCAAAAACGAUUACAAUAGUGAUUUGAUGCCAUCAUAUUGCUUGUAUCCAUGAAUGGAUUAGGCAAAGUGUUGCUAAGUUCCAAAGGAAAUACCGUACUCAUCGUUUUAUCCUUGUGCUAAAGCGAGCCUCGUUCAACUGUUGAGGUUCAUACACCGACCAAUUUAGCAAAUAGUUAUUGCAUGCUUUAUGCCACGUGGGUGUGUGGGAUUUCAGAAAAAAUCAAUAAGUUAUAUAUUGAAAUUCCAAAAAAAGUUGACAAAAGCCGACGUUUUACACCUAGGUAUGAUAUGCAUACUCUACCUUCAUUAAUAAAUGUUUUCAUUUGUGUGCUACAUAAAAAUCAAUUUCGCGGGUCUACAAUAGGAAAUGAUAUAUUGUAGAUCAACAUAUAUGUCUUUUUUAUGCAGCCCUACAAAUCAACAUAAUGUUAUAUGAAUAUUCACUAGUACAUAACCAGAGUAUACAUGUACUUGUACAUUUUUAUAAAAAAAAUUAAACUUUAGAAUGUUUUUUAUAGAGGAGUUGAUGAACAUGAGCUCAUUUAGCAAUAUCCGAGUAAGGAACCAAAUGCAAGUAGUAAGAUUAAACUAGGUCAUGUUACUGAAGGAAAUAUGUCCUAGAGGCAAUAAUAAAGUUAUUAUUUAUUUCCUUAUUUCAUGAUAAAUUUUUAUUAUUCAUGCUAGAAUUGUAUUAUCCGGAAACAUAAUACAUGUGUGAAUACAUAGACAAACAGAGUGUCACUAGUAUGCCUCUACUUAAUUAGCUCGUUAAUCAAAGAUGGUUAUGUUUCCUAACCAUAGACAUGAGUUGUCAUUUGAUAAACGGAUUAACUUGACCCAUUCCGUUAGCUUAGCACUUGAUCAUUUUAGUUACUGAUAUUGCUUUCUUCAUGACUUAUACAUGUUCCUAUGGCUAUGAGAUUGUGCAACUCCCGAUUACCGGAGGAACACUUUGUGUGCUACCAAACGUCACAACGUAACUGGGUGAUUAUAAAGGUGCUCUACAGGUGUCUCCGAUGGUACUUGUUGAGUUGGCAUAAAUCGAUAUUAGGAUUUGCCACUUCGAUUGUCGGAGAGGUAUCUCUGGGCCCUCUCGGUAAUGCACAUCACUAUAAGCCUUGCAAGCAAUGCAACUAAUGAGUUAGUUGUGGGAUAGUGCAUUACAGAACGAGUAAAGAGACUUACCGGUAAUGAGAUUGAACUAGGUAUUGAGAUAUCGACGAUCGCAUCUCGGGCAAGUAACAUACCGAUGACAAAGGGAACAACGUAUGUUGUUAUGCGGUUUGACCGAGAAAGAUCUUCGUAGAAUAUGUAGGAACUAAUAUGAACAUCCAGGUUUCGCUAUUGGUUAUUGACCAGAGACGUGUCUCGGUCAUGUCUACAUAGUUCUCGAACCCGUAGGAUCCGCAUGCUUAACGUUCGGUGACGAUCGGUAUUAUGAGUUUAUGUGAUUGGAUGUACCGAAGGUAGUUUGGAGUCCCGGAUGAGAUCGGGGACAUGACAAGGAGUCUCGAAAUGGUCGAGAUGUAAAUAUCGAUAUAUUGGACGACUAUAUUCAGACAUCGAAAAGGUUCCGAGUGAUUCGGGUAUUUUUCAGAGUAAUGGGGAGUUACGGGAAUACGGGGAAGAAGUAUUGGGCCUCAUGGGCCAAGUUGUGGAAGAGAGGAGGCAGGGCGCGCGGCCCCCUAGCCCAAACCGAAUUGGACUAGGGGGGCGACCCCCCUUUCCUCCUUUCCUCCCUCUCCUUCCUUCUCCCCUCCCCCUUCCUUUCCUCCUCCUAGUAGGAGUAGGAAAGGGGAGUCCUACUCCUACUAGGAGGAGGACUCCUCCUCCUGGCGCGCCCUAGGAGGGCCGGCCGGCUCCCCCUUGCUCCUUUAUAUACGGGGGCAGGGGGCACCCUAGGACCCACAAGUUGAUCAUUGAUCCCUUAGCCGUGUGCGGUGCCCCCCCUCCACCAUAAUCCACCUCGAUCAUAUCGUAGCGGUGCUUAGGCGAAGCCCUGCGUCGGUAGCAACAUCAUCACUGUCAUCACGCCAUCGUGCUGACGAAACUCUCCCGUGAAGCUCUGCUGGAUUGGAGUUCGUGGGACGUCGUCGAGCUGAACGUGUGCUGAACUCGGAGGUGCCGUGCGUUCGGUACUUGGAUCGGUCGGAUCGUGAAGACGUUCGACUGCAUCAACCGCGUUCUCAUAACUCUUCCGCUUACGGUCUACGAGGGUACAUGGACGAUACUCUUCCCUCUCGUUGCUAUGCAUCACCAUGAUCUUGUGUGUGCGUAGGAUUUUUUUUGAAAUUACUACGUUCCCCAACAGUUACCUCGUUGAUUACCUGUUGAGCCCACAUUCUUGAUCUUACAUGUCUUUAAGGCCAACUCCAACGUGUCGACGCGAAUGGACGUGGAUUUGGCCUGCCUUUUGUCCAUUUGGAUCGGCUGUAGGGACAGUGUUCCCUCGUCCGCACAAAUCUUGCUAGCACACCCAACCGACUAACCCAUAUGGUCCGCCUCAUCGGUUUUUUGCCAAAUUUUCUCAAUUUAGACAUUCUACGCAUAUACAACCAAAUAAAACAAAACAUUUCACAUAGUUUACAACCAAAUAAGUUACACAACAUUUUCAUCACAAUAAAUAAAAAAACUCAUAGUUUAUUACAACCAAAUGAAUUUAAAAUUGUACCAACUACAUUGUAAAAACAGAGUCGAUACACCUAUUGGUUUCCUACGCGAGUCCACAUAUGCUCAACCAAAUUAUUUUGAAGUUAAAUGAUGAGUUGUCCAACCACGUAUUUCUUGAUGAAAUUGGGUGAAAUGUGCAAACAUUGCCGCUCCAUACUCAGGCUCAACGUUCUCACCCUAGAAACCCCACCCUUGAUCAAAGACGAUGUCAUCAUGCUUGUCCUCUACAAUCAUGUUGUGCAUGAUCACACAAGCAGUCAUCACAUCCCACCUCCUCCGAGGACUCCAUGUUCAGGGUGCCGAACGGGGUUGAUUGGAAUCAAGAGACAAAGGUUUACCCAGGUUCGGCCCCUCGCGGUGGAGGUAAAAGCCUACAUCCUUCUUGAUUGCUAUUUGAUGCCGAUGAUGAUCUCGAUUACAGGGUGCUAUUUCACUACCUCUCAUCUCGAGAGCAUAUACUUUGAUCUUGUCUAAGACUUGUCUGUCUGUCCUGACUUGUCUGUCUAAAAAACCUCCUUCUGAUGACCCACGGACUCCCUUUAUAUAAUAGUUGAGCUCCUGGAUUACAAGAGAUUCCAGGUUAUACCCGUUUUCAGAGUCCUACUCUAAGUCCUCUAAGUCCCCCGUGCCAUCCAAGUCGGGGUUCUCCGUCUUGUAUUUGGACUCCUGGAAACCUAGACUUGUCUCUCCAAGUUGGGACUCAUCCUCAAGCCGGGUCUCGUCUUCAGAGUUGGCUCAUCUCCAUGAGCCGGUUUAUCUCCAGAGCAUGCUUAUCUCCGUGAGGCUUCUUCACUUAGUGAGACCACUUAAUUAACUCCGUGAGACGGCUCGUCCGUGAGCCUGCUUAUCCAUGAGCCGACACAUCUUCACGAGCCUGCUUAUCCAUGAGCCGACUCAUCUCCAUGAGCCCGCUUAACCAUGAGCCAGCUCAUCUCCCUGAGCCUGCUUAUCCAUGAGCCCGCUCAUCUCCAUGAGGCCGCGUCACUCCGUGAGCCUGCUUAGCCAUGAGCACGCUCAUCCAUGAUCCGGCUUAUCUUUAGAGUCAGAAAACUUGUCUUGUAAUCGGUCGGGUCAAGAUUGUAGCCUGCUACUUCUUGAGCUUGCGUUGAUUUUUCCCUUGAAGAGGCAAGAGUGAUGCAGCAAAGUAGAGAUAAGUAUUUCCCUCAGUUAAGAACCAAGGUAUCAAUCUAGUAGGAGGCACAAGCAAGUAUCCAAUCUAUGCACCUCCACAAACUAACAAACACUUGCACUCAACGCGAAAAAGGGGUUGUCAAUCUUGAUACGUCCAUUUUGCAUCAUGUUUUCUUACUGUUAUUUAUAAUAUUUUAUCCAUAAUAAUGUUUUUUGGAGUAAUUCUAAUGCCUUUUCUCUCAUAAUAUGCAAGGUAUACACAAAAAGGGAGAAUUCCGGCAGCUGGAAAUCUGGACCUGUAAAAGCUACGUCAGGCCAUCUAUUCCGCACAACUCCAAAUGAGCUGAAACUUCACGGAGAAUUUUUAUGAUAUAUUUGAGGAAUAUUGGAGCAAAUAUCUACCAGAGGGGUCCCACCAGGGCGCGCCAGGGAGCCCAAGCGCACCCUGGUGGGUUGUGCUCACCCAGGCCCACCUCCGGUGCCCAUCUUUUGGUAUUUAAGUCAUUUUGACCUAGAAAAAAUAAAGACAAGACUUUCGGGAUGGAGCGCCGCCGUCUCGAGGCGGAACUUGGGCAGGAGCACUUUUGCCCUCCGGCGGAGCGAUUCCGCCGGGGGAACUUCCCUCCCGGAGGGGGAAAUCAUCGUCAUCAUCAUCACCAACAACUCUCCCAUCUUGGGGAGGGCAAUCUCCAUCAUCAUCUUCAACAACACCAUCUCCUCUCAAACCCUAAUUCAUCUCUUGUGUUCAAUCUUGUUACCGGAAUUAUAGAUUGGUGCUUGUGGGUGACUACUAGUGUUGAUUACAUCUUGUAGUUGAUUACUAUAUGGUUUAUUUGGUGGAAGAUUAUAUGUUCAGAUCCAAUAUGCUAUUUAAUACCCCUCUGAUCUUGAGCAUUAUUAUCAUUUCUGACUAGUUACUUUUGUUCUUGAGGUCACGGGAGAAAUCAUGUUGCAAGUAAUCAUGUGAACUUGAUAUGGGUUCGAUAUUUGGAUAGUAUGUAUGUUGUGAUUCCCUUAGUGGUGUCAUGUGAACGUUGACUACAUGGCACUUCACCAUAUUUGGGCCUAAGGGAAUGCAUUGUGGAGUAGCGAUUAGAUGGUGGGUUGGGAGAGUGACAGAAGCUUAAACCCCAGUUUGUGCGCUACCCCGUAAGGGACCGAUUGGAUCCAAAAGUUUAAUGUUAUGGUUAGAAUUUAUUCUUAAUACUUUCCUCGUAGUUGUGGAUGCUUGCGGGAGGGUUAAUCAUAAGUAAGAGGUUUGUUCAAGUAAGAACAUCACCUAAGCACCGGUCCACCCACAUAUCAAAUUAUCAAAGUACCAAACACAAAUUAAGCCAACAUGAUGAAAGUGACUAGAUGAAAUUCCCGUAUACCCUCAAGAACGCUUUGCUUAUCAUAAGAGACUGUUUUGGCCCGUCCUUUGCCUCAAAAGGAUUGGGCUACCUUCCACUUUCGUUACCACUAUCGUUGCUUGCUCGUUACAAAAAUAGUAUAAAAAGUUGCCAAAAGUAUGUAAAAGUUGUAGAAUAUUGGCAUGGAACAAUCAAAAAUUACAGAUAUGAUGGAGACAUAUCAAGUAGAAGCACUCAGUUUCAGGCUUGGGUCUAGCUUUAGGCUUCUUCAUGGGAGUGGCAACUUGCUUGUCAUUCUUCUUGAAGUUCCCUUUUCUUUCCCUUGCCCUUUUACUUGAAACUAGUGGUCUUGUCAACCAUCAACAUUUGAUGUUUUUCUUGAUUUCUACCUUCGUCGAUUUCAGCAUCACGAAGAGCUUGGGAAUCGUUUUCGUCAUCCCUUCCAUAUUAUAGUUCAUCACGAAGUUCCAGUAACUUGGUGAUAGUGACUAGAGAACUCUGUCAAUCACUAUCUUAUCUGGAAGAUUAACUCCCACUUGAUUCAAGCGAUUGUAGUACUCAAGCAUUUUGAGCACAUGCUCAUUGGUUGAGCUAUUCUCCUCCAUCUUGUAGGCAAAGUACUUGUCAGAGGUAUCAUACCUCUCGACUCGGGCAUGAGUCUGAAAUACCAAUUUCAGCUCUUGGAACAUCUUAUAUGCUCCAUGGCAUUCAAAAUGUUUUUGAAGUCCCGGUUCUAAGCCGUAAAGCAUGGCGCACUAAACUAUUAAGUAGUCAUCAUACCGAGCUUGCCAAACAUUCAUAACGUCUGCAUCUGCUCUUGCAAUAGGUCCGUCACCUAGCGGUGCAUCAAGGACAUAAUUCUUCUGUGCAGCAAUGAGGAUAAUCCUCAGAUCACAGACCCAGUCUGCAUCAUUGCUACUAUCAUCUUUCAACUUAUUUUUCUCUAGGAACAUAUCAAAAAUAAAACAAGGGAGCUAUAUGCGAGCUAUUGAUCUAUAACAUAGAUAUGCAAAAACUAUCAGGACUAAGUUCAUGAUAAAUUAAAUUUUAAUUAAUCAUAUUACUUAAGAACUCCCACUUAGAUAGACAUCCCUCUAGUCAUCUAAAUGAUCACGUGAUCCAUAUCAGCCAAACCAUGUCCGAUCAUCACGUGAGAUGGAGUAGUUUUCAAUGGUGAACAUCACUAUGUUGAUCAUAUCUACUAUAUGAUUCAUGCUCGACCUUUCGGUCUUAGUGUUCCGAGCCAUAUCUGCAUAUGCUAGGCUCGUCAUCAGGUUUAACCCGAGUAUUCUGCGUGUGCAAAACUGGCUUGCAUCCGUUGUAUGUGAACGUAGAGAUUAUCACACCCGAUCAUCAUGUGGUGUCUCGGCACGACAAACUGUCGCAAUGGUGCAUACUCAGGGAGAACACUUAUACCUUGAAAUUUAGUGAAGGAUCAUCUUAUAAUGCUACCGCCGUACUAAGCAAACUAAGAUGCAUAAAGGAUAAACAUCACAUGCGAUCAAAAUAAGUGAUAUGAUAUGGCCAUCAUCAUCUUUUGCCUUUGAUCUCCAUAUUCAAAGCACCGUCAUGAUCACCAUCGUCAAGGCUUGAUACCUUGAUCUCCAUUGAAGCAUCGUUCUUGUCUCGCCAACUAUUGCUACUACGACUAUCGCUACCGCUUAGUGAUAAAGUAAAGUAAUUACAUGGCGAUUGCAUUUCAUACAAUAAAGCGACAACCAUAUGGCUCCUGCCAGUUGCCGAUAACUGUUACAAAACAUGAUCAUCUCAUACAACAAUUUAUAUAUCAUCACGUCUUGAUCAUAUUGAUAACCCACAAGUAUAGGGGAUCGCAACAGUUUUCGUGGGUAGAGUAUUCAACCCAAAUUUAUUGAUUCGACACAAGGGGGGCCAAAGAAUAUUCUCAAGUAUUAGCAGUUGAGUUGUCAAUUCAACCACACCUGGAAACUUAAUAUCUGUAGCAAAGUAUUUAGUAGCAAAGUAAUAUGAUAGUAGUGGUAACGGUAGCAAAAGUAAUGUUUUUGGUAUUUUGUAGUGAUGAUAGCAAUAGCAACGGAAAAGUAAAUAAGCGAAGAACAAUAUAUGGAAAGCUUGUAGGCAAUGGAUCGGUGAUGGAGAAUUAUGCCGGAUGCGGUUCAUCAUGUAACAAUCAUAACAUAGGGUGUCAUAGAACUAGCUCCAAUUCAUCAAUCUAAUAUAGGCAUGUAUUUCAAAUAUAGUCAUACGUGCUUAUGGAAAAGAACUUGCAUGACAUCUUUUGUCCUACCCUCCCGUGGCAGCGGGGUCCUAAUGAAACUAAGGGAUAUUAAGGCCUCCUUUUAAUAGAGUACCGGACCAAAGCAUUAACACAUAGUGAAUACAUGAACUCCUCAAACUACGGUCAUCACCAGGAGUGGUCCCAAUUAUUGUCACUUCGGGGUUGCCGGAUCACAACACAUAGUAGGUGACUAUAGACUUGCAAGAUAGGAUCAAAAACUCAUAUAUAUUCAUGAAAACAUAAUAAGUUCAGAUCUGAAAUCAUGGCACUCGGGCCCUAGUGACAAGCAUUAAGUAUAGCAAAGUCAUAGCAAAAUCAGUCUCAGAACAUAAUGGAUACUAGUGAUCAAACCCUAACAAAACUAACUCGAUUACAUGAUAGAUCUCAUCCAACCCAUCACCAUCCAGCAAGCCUACGAUGGAAUUACUCACGCACAACGGUGAGCAUCAUGAAAUUGGUGAUGGAGGAUGGUUGAUGAUGACGAUGGCGACGGAUUCCCCUCUCCGGAUCCCCGAACGGACUCCAAAUCAGCCCCCUCGAGAGGUUUUAGGGCUUGGCGGCGGCUCCGUAUCGUAAAACGCGAUGAAUUCUUUGCUCUGAUUUUUUCUCCCCGAAACCAAAUAUAUAGAGUUGGAGUUGAGGUCGGAGGAGCUCCAGGGGGCCCAUGAGGUAGGGGGCGCGCCCCUCACCCUCGUGGACAGGUGGUGGACCCCCUGGUCUUCAUCUUUUGCAAGGAUUUUUUAUUAGUUUCGAAUAGAUGUUCCGUGAAGUUUCAGGUUAUUCCGAGAACUUUUGUUUCUGCACAUAAAUAACACCAUGGUAAUUUUGCUGAAAACAACGUCAGUCCGGGUUAGUUCCAUUCAAAUCAUGCAAGUUAGAGUCCAAAACAAGGGCAAAAGUGUUUGGAAAAGUAGAUACGACGGAGAUGUAUCAACUCCCCCAAGCUUAAACCUUUGCUUGUCCUCAAGCAAUUCAGUUGAUAAACUGAAAGUGAUAAAGAAAAACUUUUACAAACUCUGUUUGCUCUUGUUGUUCUAAAUAUGUAAAGCCAGCAUUCAAGUUUUCAGCAAAGAUUAUGAACUAACCAUAUUCACAAUAACACAUAGGUCUGAAGUUUACUCAUAUCAAUGGUAUAAUCAACUAGCGAGCAAUAAUAAUAAAUCUCGGAUGACAACACUUUCUCGAAACAAUCAUAAUAUAAUACAACAAGAUGGUAUCUCGCUAGCCCUUUCUGAGACCGCAAAACAUAAAUGCAUAGCACCUUUAAAGAUCAAGGACUGACUAGACAUUGUAAUUCAUGGUAAAAGAGAUCCAGUCAAGUCAUACUCAAUGUAAACUAACAGUAAUGAAUGCAAAUGACAGCGGUGCUCUCCAACUGGUGCUUUUUAAUAAUAUGAUGACUCAACAUGAAAGUAAAUAGAUAGGCCCUUCGCAGAGUGAAGCAGGGAUUUGUAGAGGUGCCAGAGCUUGGUUUUGAAAUAGAGAUGAAUAAUAUUUUGAGCGGUAUACUUUCAUUGUCAACAUAACAACCAAGAGAUGGCGAUAUCUUCCAUGCUACACACAUUAUAGGCAGUUCCCAAACAGAAUGGUAAAGUUUAUACUCCCCCUCCACCAACAAGCAUCAAUCCAUGGCUUGCUCGAAACAACGAGUGCCUCCAACUAACAACAGUCCCAGGGGAGUUUUGUUUGCAAUUAUUUUGAUUUAGUUUGCAUAAAGCAUGGGACUGGGCAUCCCGGUGACCAGCCACUUUCUCGUGAGUGAGGAGCGGAGUCCACUCCUCUUGAGAAUAACCCGCCUAACAUGGAAGAUACGGACAACCCUAGUUGAUAUAUGAGCUAUUCAAGCAUACAAAACAUGAUAUUUAUUUGAAGUUUUAGAGUUUGGCACAUACAAAUUUACUUGGAACGACAGGUAGAUACCGUAUAUAGGUAGGUAUGGUGGACUCAUAUGGAAUAACUUUGGGGUUUAUGGAGUUGGAUGCACAAGCAGUAUUCCCGCUUAGUACAGGUGAAGACUAGCAAAAGACUAGGAAGCGACCAGUUAGAGAGCGACAACAGUCAUGAACAUGCAUUAAAAUUAAUUAACACCGAAUGCAAGCAUGAGUAGGAUAUAAUCCACCAUGAACAUAAAUAUCGUGAAGGCUAUGUUGAUUUUGUUUCAACUACAUGCGUGAACAUGUGCCAAGUCAAGUCACUUAAGUCAUUCAGAGGAGGAUACCACCCUAUCAUACCACAUCACAACCAUUUUAAUAGCAUGUUGACACGCAAGGUAAACCAUUAUAAGCUCCUAGCUAAUCAAGCAUGGCACAAGAAACUAUGAUCUCUAGUUGUCAUUGCAAACAUGUUUAUUCAUAAUAGGCAGAAUCAGGAACGAUGAACUAAUCAUAUUUACAAAAACAAGAGAGGUCGAAUUCAUACCAGCUUUUCUCAUCUCAGUCAAUCCAUCAUAUAUCGUCAUAAUUGCCUUUUACUUGCAUGACCGAAUAGUGUGAAUAAUAAUAAUAGUGCACGUGCAUUGGACUAAGCUGGAAUCUGCAAGCAUUCAAUAAACAGGAGAAGACAAGGCAAUAUGGGAUCUUUUGUCAGAUCAACAAUAAUGCAUAUAAGAGCUACUUCAAGAAUUUAAUUAUGGUCUUCUCCUAUCGACCCCCAAAGAAAAGAAAUAAAACUAUUAACACGGGAAAGCUCCCAACAAGUAAAAGAAGAACAAGAAAUAUUUUUGGGUUUUCUUUUUUAAUUACUACUACAAGCAUGGAAAGUAAACUAAUUAAAGGCUACAACUAUUUUUUUCUUAAUGUUUAUUAAACACAUAAGAAGAAAGCAUAAAAAGGAAAAUAAACUAGCAUGGGUGAUACAAUGAAAAAGUAUGAGCACCAACAUCUAGCAAUGAGUGUGUGAACAUGAAUGUAAUGUCGAUGGGAAAUACGUACUCCCCCAAGCUUAGGCUUUUGGCCUAAGUUGGUCUAUGGCCACGGUUGGCCUGGCUGAUAUCCAUAGUAAUAGUUGGGGUGAUACUGUGAUGCAGCGGCUAUCGCCUCCUGAGCUGCAGCGUGGCGAUGAGCGGCCUCUGCCCUCCUCUCGUACUCAUUUGCCUCCUCUCUGGUAAUAACAUAUCUUCCUUUUGCCUGAUAAUCAAAGAAGGCAGGAGCAUAGAGAGUAAUACGGACAUCACGACGUCUGUCAAAGAUUAAACGAUACUGGAGAGGUGAUUCAUUCCUCUCAACAAACUGGUGGUGAACCAUAGCAUUAAAGUCUAGGUAAGCAGGAGGUAAUUCAGUAUCAUCAUUACGUAUAGUUACACCAAGAAAAUCAGCUAAGCGGGUUGCAUAAAUUCCACCAAAGAAAUCUUUAUUAAAUCUAUUCAGAUGCAACCUACGUGCAACAAUGGCUCCCAAAUUAUAAGAUUUAUCUCCCAACACAGCACUCCUAAGAAUACUAAGGUCAGGGACACACAUGUGACAUGCUUCAUCUUUACCGUUAAUGCAUCUACCUAUGAAGAGAGCGAAAUAAUGUAUAGUAGGAAAAUGAAUGCUCCCUGUGGUAGCUUGUGUUAUAUCUCUAGAUUCCCCCACAGUUAUACUAGCAAGAAAAUCUCUAAAUUCAGAUUUGCGAGGUUCCCUGAUACUACCCCAUUGUGGAAGUUUGCAAGCAGUGGUAAAAUCCUCUAAGUCCAUAGUGUAAGAAUUUUCAUAAAGAUCAAACAGGACAGUUGGAGAAUUACGUGAAGAUGAAAAUUCAAACCUCCUCACAAAGGAACUAGUGAGAUAGUGGUACUGACGGUAUUUUUCUUCCUCGAAGCUCACAAGAUUAGCGUUACGCAAAUAUACGUUAAAUUCUUCCUUAAUUCCCGCUCGAUCCAUAAAGUUCUCCGAAGGCCAUUCACAAGGACGCACUGGAGCGUUUCUUGGUGGCUCAUCAUCAGCAUCACGCAUUGCAAGCCUGGGCUCUUGUUUCCUUGAAGAGCCCCCUUGGUACAUUUUCCUAAACAUAUUUCUUCCUCUAAAAAAUUUCUGAAUUUUUUAGUAACUUCAAAAUAAAAGUGAACCAAACUCAAUAAUAUUGAUAGCAACUACUCCUACAAGUUCUUAGAGCCUAUAUCAUGCAUCAAAACUACUUUUAACCAUAUAAAUUUGACAUGCAAGCUCAAGAACAGGGUCACCUAAGCAACACAAAUUUGCAAUGAAUAAAGCACUAGAACAAAAACUAAUUGGACCAAUGGAGGAGUCACCUACCAAGGAACAAUCUCCCCAAGCAGUUUUGUGAGAGGUGCUUUAAGCAAGGAGAUCGAAAAUGGUAGCAAAAUGAGCUUAGACUCGGGUUUGAGUUGGAUAUUCGUGUUUGUGGGAGGAAGAAGGAGUGUGUGGGUGCAGGAAUAAGUGGAGGAGGGCCACCAUGGGCCCACGAGGCAGGGGGCGCGCCUAGGGGGGUAGGGCGCGCCCCUGACCCUCGUGGCCAGGUGCCAGCUCCUCGUGUUGUGUUCUCAGUGCCAAAUAUUCUCAAAUAUUUCAGAAAAAAAAUCAUAUUUAAAUUUCAGGGCAUUUGGAGAACUUUUAUUUUUGGGGUAUUUUUAUAUUGCACGGAUAAAUCAGAUAACAGACAGAAAAAUACUAUUUUUAUUUUAUUUAAUAUAAAUAACAGAAAGUAAGAGGAGGGUACAGAAGGUUGUGCCUUCUAGUUUCAUCCAUCUCAUGAUCAUCAAAAGGAAUCCAUUAACAAGGUUGAUCAAGUGUUGUUAACGAACUCAUUCCGAAUAAUAUGGAACCGGAGAAAUUUCAAAUAACACUAUGUUACCUCAACGGGGAUAUGCACAUCCCCAAUAAUAAGAAUAUCAUAUUUCUUCUUGACAGUAGGAAGAGGAAAUUUAAAACCUCCAAAUAUAAUCGAUGGAAUUUUUCCAAUAGAGUUGAUUCUAUGAACUUGAUGUUGUUUCCUCGGAAAGUGUACCGUAUGCUCAUUACCAUUAACAUGAAAAGUGACAUUGCCUUUAGUGCAAUCAAUAACAGCCCCUGCAGUAUUCAAAAAGGGUCUUCCAAGAAUAAUAGACAUACUAUCGCCCUCGGGAACAUCAAGAAUAACAAAGUCCGUUAAAAUAGUAAUGUUUGCAACUACAACAGGCACAUCCUCACAAAUACCGAUAGGUAUAGCAGUUGAUUUAUCAGCCAUUUGCAAAGAUAUUUCAGUAGGUGUCAACUUAUUUAAAUCGAGUCUACGAUAUAAAGAGACAUGCAUAACACUAACAGCGGCUCCAAGAUCACAUAAAACAGUUUUAACAUAAUUUCUUUUAAUGGAACAUGGUAUAGUGGGUACUACCGGAUCUCCAAGUUUCUUUGGUAUUCCACCCUUAAAAGUAUAAUUAGCAAGCAUGGUGGAAAUUUCAGCUUCCGAUAUCUUUCUUUAAUUUGUAACAAUAUCUUUCAUAUACUUAGCAUAACUAUUCAUUUUGAGCAUAUCAGUUAAUCGCAUACGCAAAAAGAUAAAGGUCUAAUCAUUUCAGCAAAGCACUCAAAAUCCUCAUCAUCCUUUUUCUUUAAUGGUUUGGGAGGAAAAGGCAUGGGUUUCUGAACCCAAGGCUCUCUUUCCCUACAGUGUUUCCUAGCAACAAAGUCUUUCUUAUCAUAACAUUGAUUCUUUGAUUGUGGGUUAUCAAGAUCAACAACAGGUUCAAUUUCUAUAUCAUUAUCAUUGCUAAGUUGAGCAUCAUCAUGAACAUUAUCAUUAACAUUAUCACUAGUUUCAGGUUCAUUACCAGAUUGUGUUUCAGCAUCAGAGAUAGAAAUAUCAUUUGGAUUCUCAGGUGUUUCGGUAAUAGGUUCACUAGAAGCAUGCAAAGUGAUAGAGGCGAGGGUCCCGAUCUUUCGAUGAGACGAUAACUAUCGAUUUGGUGGAGACGACUUUGACGAUCCGACUACAAACGUGCAUGACGUUGCGCCUUAGCAACCGCUAAACCAAUCUCCUGAGGUUACUGACGAUGCUGGAAGCACGGUCAACCUGACCACGAAGGUCUAUUCCUGCAAGCAAUCAAAGAACAAGCAAGAAUAUGAUAAAGCAAUCUGAAUAUUGCGAGUAUAUAUGAAGUAUUGAUAAAGGUGGGGAUCCGUAAGCGGUCUUGGUCUGGUCGUUGGACACAAACGAAGUACACGAAGUUGCUAUGGCUAACUUUUAACUAAACAAAUCCCCAGAAAAAAGCUACUAGAUGAAUCUACUUAUAUAGGAGCAAGGGGUGGCGGCCAAGGAGGUGGGAGGACGUCCCAAGGCAGCCUAAAACUAACCCUAGGUCGUACAAGGCUCAUGGGUCCAAGUGGAGGUGAUGCAACACCUUUGGGCUUGUAAUUUGACUCGGAUUCUGCUGUAAUGUCAGAUUGUUUCGUCCGUAACUCAACGCUUCGGACGAAUUUGAAGGUGAAUCCAAUUGGGUUGGAAAGAGCAUGAAAUCUAGUUUCCAACAAAAAAAGAAUCACCCAAUUCAGAGUCCGUAUGAAAAAGUUGUUGGCGUUUUGAGUCAGGUAUGUCUGUGCAGUCCGAAUCUGAAUCCAGAACGUGAGAGACUUGGACUCUAUCUUCUCUUGGCCCAAAAGUGACGUGAGAGGACUUUUUGAACACAACCUAAACUUCUCCUUUUCCCUUAUCUUCAUAUGUGGAUUGUACAAAUGUCCCAUACACCUGCAAUUAGACAAAACACAAAAGUGUGUGAAGUAUUUUUGUUCUGGAUAACAUAAAUAGAUUAUUGAAUAGUUUGCAUUAAAAUCACCUGACAAAUAUGUAUGUAUGCAAUAUUUUUGGUCGUAUCCAAGGUAGUCAUGUCCUCAUCAUCCUCCCCUUUUUGAAAACAAAGCCGUCCUCGGCGUUGCUUAAUCUGAAAUGUGGUUAACAAAAGAGACAAGGUGUACAUGUUGUAUAUGUAUAUGUCAUCCAGUUUAACUUCCCUUGAUUUUUGCACGUAUGACACAUGUAUACAUGAGUAACUUUCAUAGUUCAUAAAAACUAAAGCCAAAAAAUUAUCACAAGAAGUAGAAGGCAUGAAAAUAUUAGAACUCAGUUUGCACAUAUAAGUGAAGCUCUUAUUCAUUUCAAAAGAUUCGCAAUGUUCAUCAUUAAACCAUCCCAACUUUGGUGAAUAAACCUUACUUGCAUCAAAUUUACAUGCUACAACAUGCUUAAAUAAGCAAACAUGCAAUAAGUCAUUGGACACAGAAUCAUCACCAAGAUUGGAGGCCAUAUCAAAAUGAUUAAACAUUAGUUCUUUUGCAUCAACAGUUAAUUCAGUGGGUGCACUCAAAAUUGUUGAUAUUUCAGUUGUUUGAUCACAUGACGCAUUCAUGACAGUAACAAGAUUCUCUAAAUAGGUGGUGUGCUCAAAUCAACAGGUAACUCAAUACAUGACACAUUCAAGUUAACUAGGCAUGCAUCAUUCUCAUGUGAAGUUAUAUCAUCAAUACCUUUACUGUUACCUUGUGGCAAAGAUGUAGCUGAUGUAGGUACGAACGUUGACAAUGUACCAUACCCUUGAGAUGAUGCCGCGCUCAUAAUCUGAGGUGCAAUGAUGGAGGAACCCACCGGCGGUGGUGAGCAUGAACUGAAAUAGUAGUUGUUGUAGUCACCUAAUGCAUCCUCCUGUAUCUGUCUCUCAAAGGUACAAGCACGGACAUACAUAUCAGUAAUGCAACAAGGAAUAUACUGAAAUCUUGCCUGAAUAUCAUGGUUCAAACCACCAAAAAAUCUAUUCAUUGUAUCAUUCUCAGAUUCUUCUAUGUCACAAUGAUGCAUAUAAGAUUUGAACUCUUGGUAGUAAGCAUGAACAGUGUUGUUGCCUUGUUUAAAUUGUUCAAAUUUGCGAAGCAAUUCACGAUGAUAAUAAGGAGGGAAAAAUUGUUGUCUCAUUACAGCUUUCAAAACUUUCCAAGUUGUGGGUUGGUUAUCAAUGUUUUUCUUACAAUGUACACUCCACCAAACAGAAGCAAAAUCAGUAAAUGCUCUAGUGGCUGCUCGCACUCGCUCAAGUUCAUAAAAGUCAUGGUGACUAAAAGCUUGUUCUACUUCAAGCUCACAAGCUAGAUAAGUAGUAGGAUUAAAUCUGCCCUCAAAUGACGGUAAAAAGAUAACCUGACCAUGUGCUUGUGUGUGUUGUCCCAACUCUCGUGAUGGUGAAGAUGUGUUUGUCGUCUAAGAACUUCUAUCUUCGGAACCUGUCAUGAUUAGUAGAAACAAGAAACAAAAUUCAAGAAUAAUGUUCCUAUGAACUACUAGGGUGUGGUGGUAAAGCGCCCACAGUAAAGCAAAUAUCAAUAUCUUACAAGUUCUUACCAAGCAGCAGAUGGUGACAGGCAACCAGCGGUGUCAAAUAACUCCGAAGAUUGUGUAAAGUGAUUGCCAGGGGAACGUGCGUAUACACGGUUUAGAAAUAUGUGGAGCUGGGUUGGCUAUAUAUGGUAGCAAAAGAUUAGCAAUAAUCAAUUCAGAGAUGCAAUGUUGAAUAAACGCUCAAUGAUGGUACUGUGCUGGUCCUAGGCUAGACCGAACUAGAGACGCGAGCCUAGAACACUAAUGAGGUCACGUCGUAGCACAACUAGCAUCAAUGAAGGAUACUAAGUAGCUCUGGACAGCAAGAUAUAAGUAAAGAUCACAACGGCAGUAAAGAUAAUGAUGUGAAACAACAGCCAAGAAGGAUAUAUCAACAACUUUGUCUCCAACUUUCCUUUAAAAAAGUUUGUGCCGAUUUUUUUGAUUUUUUUUCAAGAAUGGUAUUGACUCAAGCUUUCAAACACAAAAGGAAUCACUCAAUUUCGAGUUGAUAUGAGGAGUUAAAAAAUUCGAAAACUGGCCUGAAAAACUGAAAUAAGCUGUGUUCAAGAACUUCGGAGGGCAAAAAGACCUAUUUAGAAGCCGAUUUUGAGGUGCCAAAUAUUGAACUAGCUUCUUCAACUAUUUAGAUGCGGCUCGUCGCUAGCUUUCGUUUGAGUACUCGCGGAGGCAAAACGGACUUCGUAUGAGGAAGUUAUGUCUGUUUUACUGAACAGUGCACAAAACAGAUUCCAAUCCGAAUUCAACUACGAGAUUGAGCCUAAAAAGAUCCGAAUUUUGUUUUUUUUCUUCUCUUUUUUUUCCUCACACUUUUUUUUCUUUCUCUCCUUUUUUUCUCUGACUUUUUUUCUCUUUUUUUCUCUCAUUUUUUUCUCUCUUUUUUUCUCCCUCUUUCCAAAACAAACUAGAUAAGAUGCAGAUUGGAUCAAGCGAAGAUGUGAACGAGAUCAACUAUUAUUAUGACAAUGAAUGGUGGGUAGCACGUGGUGGAAAUUGAUGGAUGGGUGGUGGACAGCGAAAGAGAUAAUGAUGCAGCGGUGGCGUGACUAAUGUGAACAGAACUCGAAACUCUAAACGAACUAGACACUAAGACCAGCAACUCGACACGAUGAUGUAACCGAUAAUUCAACUAUGCAAGCAAUGAAAAGAAAAUUGCAAAGGCCCAGACUGGCUUGGACCAAGGUUGAAUAGAUCUAACUCUUUUUUGUGCCUUUUCCUUGGACAAUAGGUAAGAAAAAAAAUCUAAUCUAGGAAAACUGGAAAUUCUCACCGAGCAACCUGAAAACUGAUACCACUUGAUAGAGGCGAGGGUCCCGAUCUUUCGAUGAGACGAUAACUAUCGAUUUGGUGGAGACGACUUUGACGAUCCGACUACAAACGUGCAUGACGUUGCGCCUUAGCAACCGCUAAACCAAUCUCCUGAGGUUACUGACGAUGCUGGAAGCACGGUCAACCUGACCACGAAGGUCUAUUCCUGCAAGCAAUCAAAGAACAAGCAAGAAUAUGAUAAAGCAAUCUAAAUAUUGCGAGUAUAUAUGAAGUAUUGAUAAAGGUGGGGAUCCGUAAGCGGUCUUGGUCUGGUCGUUGGACACAAACGAAGUACACGAAGUUGCUAUGGCUAACUUUUAACUAAACAAAUCCCCAGGAAAAAGCUACUAGAUGGAUCUACUUAUAUAGGAGCAAGGGGUGGCGGCCAAGGAGGUGGGAGGACGUCCCAAGGCAGCCUAAAACUAACCCUAGGUCGUACAAGUCUCAUGGGCCCAAGUGGAGGUGAUGCAACACCUUUGGGCUUGUAGUUUGACUCGGAUUCUGCUGUAAUGUCAGAUUGUUUCGUCCGUAACUCAACGCUUCGGAUGAAUUUGAAGGUGAAUCCAAUUGGGUUGGAAAGAGCACGAAAUCUAGUUUCCAAUAAAAAAAGAAUCACCCAAUUCAGAGUCCGUAUGAAAAAGUUGUUGGCGUUUUGAGUCAGGUAUGUCUGUGCAGUCCGAAUCUGAAUCCAGAACGUGAGAGACUUGGACUCUAUCUUCUCUUGGCCCAAAAGUGACGUGAGAGGACUUUUUGAACACAACCUAAACUUCUCCUUUUCCCUUAUCUUCAUAUAUUGAUUGUACAAAUGUCCCAUACACCUGCAAUUAGACAAAACACAAAAGUGUGUGAAGUAUUUUUGUUAUGGAUAACAUAAAUAGAUUAUUGAAUAGUUUGCAUUACAAAUCACCUGACAAAUAUGCAUGCAUGCAAUAUUUUUGGUCGUAUCCAAGGUAGUCAUGUCCUCAUCACAAAGUCCUAUCAUUUUUCUUUUUCUUCCUAUUAGAAGGACUAGGUGCAUCCACAUUAUUUCUAUGAGAAUCUUGCUCAAUUCUCUUAGGGUGGCCUUCAGGAUACAAAGGUUCCUGAGUUAUUCUACCACCUCUAGUCAUAACUCUAACAAUGUUAUCAUUAUUCUUACUAUUCAAUUCAUUGAUCAAAUAAUUUUGAGCUUUAAGUACUUGUUCUACUCGAGUGGUAACCAUAGAAGCAUGUUUACUAAUAAGUUUAAGUUCACCUUUGACAUUAGCCAUAUAAUUACCCAAGUGUUCAAGCAUAUCUGAAUUGUAUUUCAAUUGUCUACCAAAAUAAGCAUAACAAUCUUCUUGCUUAACCAUAAAUUUAUCAAGCUCAUAUAAGCAUGGGCUAGCAAAUUUAGUAAACGGGAUUUCAUCUUUAUCAUGUCUAUAGAGAGAAUUUACCUUUACUACCUGUGUCGGGUUAUCAAGACCAUGAGUUUCUUCAAUAGGAGAUGUAUUAAGGUCAUAUGUUUCUUCAACACGCGGUAAAUUAAGAUCGUGUAUUUCUUCAAUAGGAUGUAAAUUCUUAACAUCUUCGGCUUUAAUACCUUUUUCUUUCAUAGAUUUCUUUGCCUCUUGCAUAUCUUCAUGACUGAGAAAUAGAACACCUAUCUUCUUCGGAGUUGGUUUAGGAAUAGGCUCAGGAAGUGUCCAAUUAUUUUCAUUUGUCAACAUAUUAUUCAAUAGAAUUUCAGCUUCAUCCUGUGUUCUUUCCCUGAAAACAGAACCAGCACAACUAUCCAGGUAAUCUCUAGAGGCAUCGGUUAGUCCAUUAUAAGAGAUAUCAAGUAUUUCAUUUUUCUUAAGAGGAUGACCAGGCAAAUCAUUAAGUAAUUGGAGAAGCCUCCCCCAAGCUUGUGGGAGACUCUCUUCUUCAAUUUGCACAAAAUUAUAUAUAUCCCUUAAAGCAGCUUGUUUCUUAUGAGCAGGGAAAUAUUUAGCAGAGAAGUAAUAAAUCAUAUCCUGGGGACUAUGCACACAACCAGGAUCAAGAGAAUUAAACCAUAUCUUAGCAUCACCCUUUAAUGAGAACAGAAAUAUUUUAAGGAUAUAAAAGUAACGAGUUCUCUCAUCAUUAGUUAAUAGGGUGGCUAUAUCAUUUAAUUUAGUAAGAUGUGCCACAACAGUUUCAGAUUCAUAGCCAUGAAAAGGAUCAGAUUCAACCAAAGUAAUUAUAUCAGGAUCAACAGAGAAUUCAUAAUCCUUAUCAGUAACAAAGAUAAGUGAAGUAGCAAAAGUAGGGUCAGGUUUCAUCCUAGCAUUUAGAGAUUGCUUAUUCCAUUUAACUAAUAACCUCUUAAGUUCAUAACUAUCUUUGCAAGCUAAAAUAGCUAAAGAAGCUUCUUUAUCAAAAACAUAACCCUUAGGAAUAACGGGCAAGUCUUCAUCAUCACUUUCAUCAAUAUUAUCAGAUUCAAUAUUUUCAUUCUCUCUAACCCUAGCAAGUUGUUCAUCAAGAAAUUCACGAAGUGGCACAGUAGUAUCAAGCAUAGAAGUAGUUUCAUCAUAAGUAUCAUGCAUAGCAGAAGUGGCAUCAUCAAUAACAUGUGACAUAUCAGAACGAAUAGUAGAAGCGGGUUUAGGUGUCGCAAGCUUACUCAAAACAGAAGGUGAAUCAAGUGCAGAGCUAGAUGGCAGUUCCUUACCUCCCCUCGUAGUUGAGGGAUAAAUCUUGGUUUUUGGAUCUCUCAAGUUCUUCAUAAUGAUAAGCAGAUAUAAAUCCCAAGUGACUCAAAGAAUAGAGCUAUGCUCCCCAGCAACGGUGCCAGAAAAUAGUCUGGAUAACCCACAAGUAUAGGGGAUCACAACAGUUUUCGAGGGUAGAGUAUUCAACCCAAAUUUAUUGAUUCGACACAAGGGGAGCCAAAGAAUAUUCUCAAGUAUUAGCAGUUGAGUUGUCAAUUCAACCACACCUAGAAACUUAAUAUCUGCAGCAAAGUAUUUAGUAGCAAAGUAAUAUGAUAGUAGUGGUAACGGUAGCAAAAGGUAACGGUAGCAAAAGUAAUGUUUUUUGGUAUUUUGUAGUGAUGAUAGCAAUAGCAACGGAAAAGUAAAUAAGCGAAGAACAAUAUAUGGAAAGCUUGUAGGCAAUGGAUCGGUGAUGGAGAAUUAUGCCGGAUGCGGUUCAUCAUGUAACAAUCAUAACAUAGGGUGACACAGAACUAGCUCCAAUUCAUCAAUCCAAUGUAGGCAUGUAUUUCGAAUAUAGUCAUACGUGCUUAUGGAAAAGAACUUGCAUGACAUCUUUUGUCCUACCCUCCCGUGGCAGCGGGGUCCUAAUGGAAACUAAGGGAUAUUAAGGCCUCCUUUUAACAGAGUACCGGACCAAAGCAUUAACACAUAGUGAAUACAUGAACUCCUCAAACUACGGUCAUCACCGGGAGUGGUCCCGAUUAUUGUCACUUCGGGGUUGUCGGAUCAUAACACAUAGUAGGUGACUAUAUACUUGCAAGAUAGGAUCAAGAACUCACAUAUAUUCAUGAAAACAUAAUAGGUUCAGACCUGAAAUCAUGGCACUCGGGCCCUAGUGACAAGCAUUAAGCAUAGCAAAGUCAUAGCAACAUCAAUCUCAGAACAUAAUGGAUACUAGGGAUCAAACCCUAACAAAAUUAACUCGAUUACAUGAUAGAUCUCAUCCAACCCAUCACCGUCUAGCAAGCCUACGAUGGAAUUACUCACGCACGGCGAUGAGCAUCAUGAAAUUGGUGAUGGAGGAGGGUUCAUGAUGACGAUGGCGAUAGAUUCCCCUCUCCGAAGCCCCGAACGGACUCCAGAUUAGCCCUCCCAAGAGGUUUUAGGGUUUGGCGGCGGCUCCGUAUCGUAAAACGCGAUGAAUUCUGUAACAUCCCAAAAUUCUAAAUUUUGGAAUGUUAUAAUAAAUAGAUAGAUUGAUUGUUUGUUUGAUUGUUGUGUGAUUGAUUUAGUGAAAUUCGAAACCUUUUGAAAGUUAAAUGAGAGGGAAUAAAAGGACUUUCCCAAACUUUCAUUUUUGCAUUUAUGAUCUCCGGGAAUUCAAAUUCUUUUCACCACAAAACCCUGGAGAGAAGAUGACAUGACUUCUUCCAUUUAUUCAAAUGAAAAAGGGUUUUGAAAAGAUUUGAAUUUUAUUUGGAAAUAUUUCCAAUUCUGAAACUUUAUGCAACUCAAUGAUUUUCACGAGCGAAGAUAAAAUGACUUCUUCAAAACAUAUGAAAUAUGAGUUGGGAUUUUCAAAGGAUUCAAAGUCCUUUUGGAAAUUAUUUUUAAUUUGGAGUUAUUUGGUUUUAUUCAAAUUAUUUUUCUCCAAAAAUAAAAUACAUGGAAAAUAGGGUAACAUGAUUCCCUACAAUAGAAAAUUGAAGAGAAAUAAAUUUGAAUUCAUUUUGGUUUUUAAAAAAUGAUUUUUGUUGGAUUUUAUUAGACAAGUAGCACUCUUUGAAUUAUCUAAAUUUGUGUGAAUUUUAUUUAAUGCUAGGAAAAUGUUCACGCUGUAGACAAUAUUUUUCUGAAAUUUUUGAUAUAUUAUAUGCCUAUAGUUUAUUUUUUUGUGGUUAUUCGUAUUUUUGCUGUCAGUAAAAAAUGUUUUAAGAAAACCUUUCUCUUCGGGCCGACCAAACUGGGCCGCGCCCAGCCCAGCCGGCCCAGCGCACCGUCACCCUCGUGUACCCGAGCAGGACUACCGCCGGAGUCCGGCACCGACCUCGCCGCCUUUGCGCCUCGCCCAUGCAUCGCCCGCCCCCUCCCCUCCUUAAAAAGCGGCCCCGGGCCCUGCCUCUCUCCCUGCCGUGCCGCGCCGCCCCUCCCGCGUCGCGUCGCCGUCCCGCGCUGCAGAUCGCCACUCACCGCCGGCGAGAUCCGCCGCGCCGCCGCCGCAGCCGUCUCCUUGCUGCGCCGCUGCCCGCUAGNNNNNNNNNNNNNNNNNNNNNNNNNNNNNNNNNNNNNNNNNNNNNNNNNNNNNNNNNNNNNNNNNNNNNNNNNNNNNNNNNNNNNNNNNNNNNNNNNNNNNNNNNNNNNNNNNNNNNNNNNNNNNNNNNNNNNNNNNNNNNNNNNNNNNNNNNNNNNNNNNNNNNNNNNNNNNNNNNNNNNNNNNNNNNNNNNNNNNNNNNNNNNNNNNNNNNNNNNNNNNNNNNNNNNNNNNNNNNNNNNNNNNNNNNNNNNNNNNNNNNNNNNNNNNNNNNNNNNNNNNNNNNNNNNNNNNNNNNNNNNNNNNNNNNNNNNNNNNNNNNNNNNNNNNNNNNNNNNNNNNNNNNNNNNNNNNNNNNNNNNNNNNNNNNNNNNNNNNNNNNNNNNNNNNNNNNNNNNNNNNNNNNNNNNNNNNNNNNNNNNNNNNNNNNNNNNNNNNNNNNNNNNNNNNNNNNNNNNNNNNNNNNNNNNNNNGGAGCCGCCGUCUCGCCUCGCCCCGUUCGCCGGAGCCGCCGCACCAUCGUCCCGUCUCGCCGGAGUAACCACCCCAUCGCCGGUUUUGUCUUCGUGAACCGGUAUAAACCGUAAACCCGUUCGGUUUCUUUUCUUUAGCUCGGUUUAUUUCUUUUGAUCGGUUUUUCUUUUAGUUAGAUCUAAAUAGUGAAUGUUCGCUAGAUUAGGUCCUCACAGUGAAAGGAUUCGUCUGUUAGCGUUCUGCAACAAAUAUUCGGUAUUUAAGUUUUUCUUUUUCUGUUUUAAUUCCAGCCAGGGACCUAUCUGUGAAUUCUUUUCUUACAAAUUAGUCCCUCUGCUUCAAACGAUCACUACUUUUUACGCGUUUAUCCAAAUCCAACGAAACCAACGCCCACUUCUUCGUUCUGAUCCCCUCUAUCCAGUAAAACAACUUGAACAUAUUUUUGAAAGUUUUAAAAUUUGAAUUCAAACAGUUUUGUAUUUGAACUUUGUUUGAUCAUAACUUGAGUUUUAUAACUCCAUUUGAGUUGAUACUUUUUGCAAAUCGAAGCUCUUGACCUACACUUUCUGAUAAAGCCAAAUUCACAUAAUUUUGGUACUGUUAGAAAUUGUUUUAUGUUGCAAGAGUUAUUUGCUUGGUUUAGAAGUUUUCCGAAUCGUCUUCUUCGAUCUUUCUGAUCUGUUGAGUGAUUGCUUAUGUGUGGUUCUAUUGCUUGCGUACGAUAGAUUGACCGGAGUGUGACGAGUAGAUCUAUCAAGAGUUAUGAGUGCGAAUCAUGUUCAUCAACAUUGCAGGCAAGUUCACACUUUGAUCAUAUCCCUUUCAUACCCAGUUUUUAUGCAUUAGUUUCACCCUCAAACAUUGCAUGGUUAGGACUUGAUAACAUGUGGGUAUUGGGAAGUAGUUGAUGAGGUAGGAACCUAUUGCCCUGUUACUAUCAAACCCCUGGGAGUUACUAUUACGUUAUGCUUAUGCUGCUAUGCUAUGCUCGUAGACGUGGUUUGGGUGAGUGAAAUCCAUGACAGAUGUGAGGUUGUUAAUAAUGGUUUACUUAAGGUGGCAACUUUAACACAUAUCUGGGUGGAUUGAGGCACCUGGGUAUUCCAACGAUUGCCUGUUUUUCUUUAUGGACCGCCACCCAGGCUCAAAGGGAUCAUGAGAUUAUUCAUGCUAGAAACUUCCGUGUGCAGCCACAAGCUACUAUGGGCUCUAGCAUAGUUGAUUAAGUCGCGCGAACUCUUAUAGUGGUAGACUAGCAGAUGUAGGGGAAAGUAGGUGUAACGGUGUACCCGAUCGUAAGGUGCUAGCGCUUCUGAAAGACUAUGUCUCGGUCAUCCGUUUCUCAAACACCAUGUAGUGCAAGAAUCCCAACGGAGGAGAUCGAGUCUUGUGGGGAAAAGUGCGCAAACUCUGCAGAGUGUACAAACUAAUCAUGGUUAGCCGUGUCCCCGGUUAUGGACAAUCUUGAGUCUCUGGUACUUGGAUUAUAAUAUUGAUCUCAUCACGUUACUUAAAUAAUUUGUUGGGUUAUUGAUGUUAAUUUGGGAUUGAGUUGGAGGAACCUUCUCAAUAUUUUCAACCAACUUUGUAGUUAAAUAAAAUAUAUUCCUUGCAGUAGGAAAAAAUUGGCUUUUCGCAAAAACAUUAUAACCAUAGAGAUUUUCCACGAGCCAAAUAUGCAUGUAGUGAUAGUUAUUAUUCAUCAUUAUCCUAUGGUGUGAAUUUGCCAGUACAUUGAAUGUACUGACCCUCUGUGGCUGCAACGUCUCAUGUUGCAGGAUUUUUUACGACGAGUAAGUGAUACGUUAGGGUUACGAUUUCUACACUCAACUUUGCCGUUGGUGUUGAUGGGAAUCCACAACCUUGUUGUUACUUCCGUUAUUGGAUUGAGGUAAUAGUAUUUACGUUAUUUUAUACAUGUGAUUUACCUCUGUUAUAAAUCCUCGAGUACUGUGCGUGUCAGCAUACCGAUCCAGGGAUGACACUUAAGCACAAAGACUUGACCGUCUAAGGUCGGGUCGCUACAAGAUGGUAUCAGAGCACAUGUUGACUGUAGGACGUGACCCAAGAAAUUGGCAAGCCCAUAGGAAAGAUUUUCUCUACAACUUCAUUUUCAAAAGAUCUUUUACCUCUCUUCUCUUCUGAGCUUAUUCAAAUAUUCCCUUUUAGUGAGACCAUACCCUUUUUUCCCUUUUGACCACACGAAGAUUCAGCUGAUGAGAUCACUCCAAGAAGUACAAGAUAUUGGAUAGCUAGGACCACUUUGGAAUGAAGAGGAUUUUUCUAUGCUUUAUAAAAUGGAAACUACAACAGUUAAAGACUCCGAAGACUAGGAGAAUUUGAAGGCUCUAAAGAAUUCCCAGAUUUGUAAGACCUAGGAAGGCUACCCUUAUUGAACUUGGCAGACUAAGGAAGCUGUCAAUACCCGUGAUCAAGGUGUAUCGGAGAAAGACCGGAACAUGGAGCAACCCAAAGUUUUUGUCAAGAAAACCCGAAGACAGGAGAUAUCAAUUAUGGAAUGAAAGCUCAUGGCAGUAACAUGGGCAGAAACAUGGCUAUCCAUGAUGUUAUCACCCACUUAUGCUAUUAUCACCAUGCUGAGUUAAGCAUGCUUAUGCAUGGAAGGAUUGGAUGGUAGAAGGCUGAUGGAGCACCUAUUAGCAAAAGAUGAAGUUUUAACCUUAGCUGGUGUAUCGCCAGAAUCUGGAGUAAUACAUCAAGAAGUUUAAGAUGGACUUGUAGGAAGUCAUAUUUGACAAGGAGGCCAUUCGUGAAGAACUCAGGAACCAAAAACUGAAAGUAGCCAAGCUGGAGGAGCUACAACCUCGAGAUACCGAAGAUUUGUCAGGAACUGAGGGACAGUAGGACCAUGGCUCAUGCCAAGGAUGUUGAAACCCAGAAGUUUGGAACACAACUCUAGAAAUAUUGAAGGACGUCAUGAGAGACUUCGUGUCAACAGACAUGAUCUGGCAAAAGAACUUGAGAAGGACAAGCACAAUCGAAAGAAGCCAUUAGAGACAUGAACAAGACUCGUAGAGCUUGAUGACUUUGAAGAUUUAUUGACCUUUAGAAGACCCAACCCCUGUUAUAUGCCUAUGUUAGAUGCGACGAUUGUGAGCUGUCAUUUGUUUGAUGUUUUUCGACAGCCACAACAAAAAUCUGUCUUUUCAAAACUGUUGUUUGUAUUGUGUGUAUCCCUCUCCCUCCCUCUCAUCUCACCCCAAACCCAUGGACCCAAUAGAGGACGAAUGGAGAUGAACUCAUGUUUCCCUGGACCGAUAAGUCAAUUGGAGAUGGACCAAUGGAUUCAGAACAUGGAGGAUCAUAUGAAGAAUAACCCUAUAGUUGGAAAGGAUAUGACCCAGCAUGCUCUUCAGUGCUUUGAAAGAGGUGCUGCUACUUGGUGGAGGAUGUACCAAACCAUCAAUGGGUGGCAAGGAGUAACCACUUGGAAAGAAUUUAAGUUGACUUUGCCAAAGUCUCGGUUUGUGUCCUAGAAGUUGAAGCCUUAUGGAAAGGAUAUGAAGAAACCUUGUGCAUGCAAGAUUUGUGGAGAAAUAGGACACACCCAUAAAGAACACAAGGAUGAAUGUCCUAAUUGUGAAGGAAGUCACCCAGUUGAAGAAUGCCCAACUAGGCAGAUUACUUGUUUCUUGUGUGAAGGUACUACCCACUAUCCUGCUCAGUGUCACAUUUACCCCAUGGUACAACAAACCAUCCAGCAGAAGAAAGAAGUAAUGAAAGGAUCCCUCAUGGAAAUUUUAGAAGAAACUAUGAUGAAGGAAGAGGUGGAGGACACACCUAAAGAAGACCCGAGUAAACCCUGCACUAAGUCUUGCUAUUCAUGUGGAGAAGAAGGACACAUCUCCCAGAAUUGUAUGAAUGGGGAUCUAGUAGAAUUCCGUACGGAGGAACUAUAAUAUGACCCACAAGAAAUAGAAGCCAUGAUUGGCAUGGAAAGGUCCAGGAAGAGAAGAAGAUUGGAUUCCAGGAAGGACCUGAGUCAUAUCACCUGUUACAGGUGCAAGGAGUCAGGGCACUACCUCAGCAGUUGCCCAAAAAGGAAACCUCGAGACUUGUCAGAAAUAGUAUGUUUUCGUUGUAAGGGAGCAGGGCACUUUGCCAGAGAAUGCCCCAAGGAGAAGGAGACUUUUUCUAGAUAGUUGAGUUUGCAACAGAAGAAAUGGAGUAGUAGAAGUGAGAACAUUUUCUUUUAUUUCGAGGUGUUGAGUUGAGAUUGUAAUCAAUUGAGAGUGAAUAAACUUAGCAUUGUUGGUACUGAUAUGGAUUUUAUGAGUUGUUACUCUAUGAAGAAAGAUUUUGACCAUUUUUGAGGAUAUAAGAAAUAUGGUCUAUGGAAGAUUUAUGCAUUUUAAGGGUGGUAGUACCCUGUAAGAACCCUUGACCCCUGGAAAAGAUAAGGAUACUCCACUGAGUGGAUUUCGGACAAAAUGACUACGAGUUUGUCUCGAUAUGUGUGAUACCCCAAGAGCAUGUGGGAUGAAGUUGGAGACCAUCAGUUGUUUGGACCAAAUGUGAUCAAGGAGUCAGGAGAUAAUGUUAAGUUGAUUCGAGAUAGACUGAAGGUAGGCCAGUCCAGGCAGAAGAGUUAUGCAGACUCAAAAACUCAAGGAGGUAGUCUAUGAGAUUGGAGACAGAGCAUGUCUUCGUCCCCUCUACGAGGAGUUAAACAAUUUGUAGUUAAGGGAAAGUUAGCCCCGAGAUUUGUAGGACCAUACCGAGUUUUGGAGCGUAUGGAAGAAGUGGCCAACAAGUUGGAGUCACCCGAAGGACUGUCAGGAGCUCAUGAUAUGUUUCACGUUACACAGUUGAAGAAGUGUCAUGCAGAGAUGGCCAAUAUUCCCCUGUAAGGAUGUUUGACCCCUGGAAGGGAUAAUGAUAUUCCACGGAGUGGACUUCAGACAAAAUAAGUAUAAGUUUUUAUCUCGGUAUGUGGGAUAACCCACGAGGAUGAAGAGAUGAAUUACUAUUGGAUAUAAAGGAGGUAUGAUGUUGGUAUUAUGGAACGAUAAUAACUCCAUGAUGAGUCUGAGUAAUCACGUCUUAGUUUGGAACCAAUAGAAAGAAGAAGGAUCGUACAAUUGGAUGGAUUUAAGCAUGCUAGAAAGCUGGAUGUUGGAAUAAUGACUAGUUGCCCCGAGGAUGAGUUCAAGGACUACAAGUGACGAGAUGGGCCAUAACCCACAGGCCCCAGGACCUGCCAAGAGGCAAGCACACUCUUGCUGAAGGAAAAACCGUGGAAGGAGUUACGACUUUAUCAACCGACGAUUUUAUAGGAAUUUACGCAAAACCUGAGAGUUGUGAAGGAACGAUAGAUGUUUCUUUGGCUUGCAGAAUUGAUAGAUUUAUCCGAACCUUGGUUCAUCGACAAGAGAAAUUCUGCAAUGCUUGUGAGGAUGACCAAGUGUUAGAGUGCGAGAUUCACUAAACCGUAUACCGGGUAAUGAUUUGGGUGCGGGAUGGAUUGAUCACCAUACCGACUUACUCUUAUUAUCCGCCUUGCUAUAUGGGAGGGUAAAUCUGAGAGACUUACCUAUAGUAGAGAGACGACGAUCAAACCUUGUUUAAACCCUAGAAUGGUAUAAGAAUUUUUUUCCUUGUACACUGCAGCCUUUCCCAACCGUGGGUUAUACGGUGAGGAUCAACCCAGACCCAUUUCCUGCAGGAGAAACCAUAAAUUGUUGACCACCAUGAGAUAUUGAUAGUUGUUUAGUAUUGGCGCCAGACCCGUCAGCACAGAAGACCCAGUCUCGGAAUAACCCUACCAAGAAGAAAGGAUGCAGAAGAAUUGAGGAAAAGGUUAUGCCACUACCGGAAGAGUCAGGGAAGGAAUUAUACUGAAGAUCUGAGAAGACCGGCCCUGUCAAGAAUAAGGAUGGUGUAUAUGAGUGUUGAUGGGACCGUAACGAUGUUUCUAAGGGUGGUAGCACCCCAAACCCCGGUGAUGAUUGAUGGAUUUUGAGGAGACCCCCAAACCCUAACCUUUUCUUGCUAGCCUCUCCGAAUCUCGAGGACGAGAUUCAUUUUAAGGGUGGUAGGUUUGUAACAUCCCAAAAUUCUAAAUUUUGGAAUGUUAUAAUAAAUAGAUAGAUAGAUUGUUUGUUUGAUUGUGGUGUGAUUGAUUGAGUGAAAUUCGAAACCUUUUGAAAGUUAAAUGAGAGGGAAUAAAAGGACUUUCCCAAACUUUCAUUUUUGCAUUUAUGAUCUCCGUGAAUUCAAAUUCUUUUCACCACAAAACCCUGGAGAGAAGAUGACAUGACUUCUUCCAUUUAUUCAAAUGAAAAAGGGUUUUGAAAAGAUUUGAAUUUUAUUUGGAAAUAUUUCCAAUUCUGAAACUUUAUGCAACUCAAUGAUUUUCACGAGCGAAGAUAAAAUGACUUCUUCAAAACAUAUGAAAUAUGAGUUGGGAGUUUCAAAUGAUCAAAUUCAAAGUCCUUUUGGAAAUUAUUUUUAAUUUGGAGUUAUUUGGGUUUUAUUCAAAUUAUUUUUCUCCAAAAAUAAAAUACAUGGAAAAUAGGGUAACAUGAUUCCCUACAAUAGAAAAUUGGAGAGAAAUAAAUUUGAAUUCAUUUUGUUUUUUUAAAUGAUUUUUGUUGGAUUUUAUUAGACCAGUAGCACUCUUUGAAAUAUCUAAAUUUGUGUGAAUUUUAUUUAAUGCUAGGAAACUGUUCAUGCUGUAGACAAUAUUUUUAUGAAUUUUUUUGUCACACCCUAGCUAGUUCAUGCAUUAGAGUGUUGCAUCAUGUCUAUCCUUUCAUCAGAAACUUGAAAUGGGGAUGUCAGAACCCCCAGCCCCCUCUGAAACCAACCAGGGUUUACUAAAAACUUUUUCAAUGAACCUGAAAUGCCCUUCUAAAAUGUCCAUCAUUUUUGUCUUGGUUCAGAACCUCUGCCAAAAGUGUUGCACAAUUUUCUAGGUCAUUUUAGGGUCUUUGAAUUAAAUGAUAAGUAUUUGAAUUUGGGCAUUUAAAAUUAUAUAAAAUAUUUCAAAUGCUCAAAUAUUCCUAAACUGAAAUGUUUCAUGUUGGAAAUAUUCUAACUUUGGACCAGGAGCAGUUUGGUGAUUUUAGGAGUUGCCUAGGUAUUUUUUAUAAUUCAACAAAGUUGCAGAAAAAUAGAAAAAAAAAGAGACAGAAAGGAAGGACUUACCUGGCGCCUGCAACCCGGCCCACCUGCCGGCCCAGCCCAGCGCCGCGCCAGCGAGCUGCUUGCCGGCCAGCCAGGCAGGCAGGUGCUCGAUGGCGAGCACCGCAUGGGUGCCACGCACCUGCUCGCCGCCUCGCCGCUCCACUCGGCCGGCUAACGACGUGGAUCGCUCCCCCUCGCUCUCCCGAACCCUCCAGACACCUCCUCUCCUCUCCAGCUCCUCCCCCUCGCGCUCCCCAGCCAUGGCCGACGCCACCGCCGCCGCUCCAUCAUCGUAGCCGCGCUCCCCGCCGCCCGUGCUCCGUCUCGUGGUGUCCAGGAGCUCCGCCGCCGUCCACUUCGUCGAGCUAACCGAGCCCCGCGUGCUCGUGAGGCCCGAGUCCACCGCACCGACCCCGCCUGAGUUCGCCGUCGCCGGAGAUCCCCUUCAACGCCGUCACCGCAUCAGCUCGUCCCCGACCCCGCUGGUGGCCUCUACGGGUGCUCUGUGAGCCUAGCUACCCCUCCUACCCUUCCUCUCUCACCCCCGAGCCGUGUAGCCACCGCACGAAGAUCACCCGCACGCACCGCCGCGGAUCUCGUCGCCGACGUGCUCCCGGUCAUCCUCCGGCCAACUCACGGUGUCCAACGCACUCACCACGUUGCGUUGAGUCCAAUCGUGCACUUCCCGCACCUCACCGCACACCCUAGCCCCGAGUUCACCUUCACCCGAACUCCGGUGAUCGCCUAGGUCGUCGCCGGCGCCAACUCCGGUCACCCCGACCUCAACUCGCUCCACCAAGAGCUGCGGUUCGUCCCCAGCUCCACGUAGAUGCAUUCCGCGCCCCAUUUGGUGGCCGGAACGGCCAAAACCACUUCCGCCGCCGCGUCGGGCUCGCCGGCGGCUAAACACCGGUGCAGCCGUUUUGACUUUGACCACGGGUGGGCCCUGGUUGACUCUGUUGAGUCAGUGACAGGUGGGGCCCCCUUCUGCUAAUCAUCCAGAUUAGUUUAAACUAAAUUAAAUUAGUUAAUUAUCCACUGACACCCUGGACCCACGCGUCAGGUUUGACCUGGACCGGGUCUGUUGACUUGCUGAGGUCAGCAUGACCUCAUGCUGACGCAGUAAACCUUUUCUGAGUUUAAAAUAAAUCUAAAAUGAUUUAUAAAUUCCAGAAAUUGUUGCAAACUUCAAAAAUCCAUAUAAAUUCAACCGUAGCUCCAAAUCAAACAAAUUAUAUAUGAAAAAUGAUCAGAAAAAUCCAAUCUAUCCAUCUGUACUAGUUUCAUGCAUGUUUAAACAAACUAACUUGAGGUCUAGUGCAGAACAAGAUAAAACACUUUAAAGGGCCAUUUAUGAGUUUGAAAUUUGAAUCUUUGGUUCAAAUUGAUUCAAACCCAUCUGGUUUUAGUUGCAUUAGCCCAACACAAUCAUAUUGCCAUGUUUCAUGCAUGCAUCAUAUUGUCGCACAUUGUUUGGUGAUGGUUGUGUAUCGGUGUUCUUUGCGGCAGGUUCUGCCUCCGAGGAGUACCGUGAUUACCCUAGCGAAGAACCGUAUCCGUGCAUCGAUCCAUCAGGCAAGCAACCAACCAUUUGAUCAUAUCGAUACAAUCCCAUGUUCUCGCUCUUGCUCUCUUUUACUGCAUUAAGACAACGCGUUUUAAACUGCUGUGUGCUACGGUAGUUGAACCCAUUUCCUCUGCAUGACCUGUCAUUGCCACAGUAAUUAGAUGAAACCCACUAGCAUGUGUAGGAAUUGAUUGAGCCAUAUGUUUGUGUUGUUCCUACCUUGCUAUGCCUGCUAUGCUUAGAGUCGUGUCAGGUCUGGUUCAUCUGGGUGAUGGCUAGAGUGAAAUGAUCAUGUCGGUAAUGAGAGUGAUGUGGUGAACACGAUUUGGUAAAGGUAUCGAUGAGAGGCCAUGUAGGAGUACAUGGUGGGUUGUUUCAUUGAAGCCGACCUUAAGAACUGAGAUCUGUAUGCCUGAUUUAAGAUUCAGCUACUACCAUGCAUUGGGCCCUGAAAUAUGACCCCGCUCGACUUCUUAUUCACCCUAGUCCUCUGUCUAGGAGUUGCAAGUAGUUUCUGGUGUUUGUAGCUUACUGGAGGCCGUGGACAGCACUGACCCGCGGGAUGGGCUGUGAUGCGGUAGGUACGUGGCACGGUGUAUCGAAUACCCGUUAGGUAUCUUGGGAACCCUGUACACAUCGUUCGGGGACGUAUGGGAAACCUCGGCCGGACUCCCUGCGGAUGGAACCUGGAUAGGCGAUAAACCUGGACUAGAUACUUAGGUGUUUAGGUAGGUCGUGGUCUACACCCACGCCGGCUUUCGCUUGAAGUCUGCCGAGCACAUGUCGUGUGCAGACGCUAAGUGGUGGAAACAUGUAUGAAGAAGUACACCCCUGCAGGGUUAACAUGAUCUAUUCGAAUAGCCGCGUCCGCGGUAAAGUACUACUUGGUUGCUUAUACAGUUCAUAGACAAGUGAAUGGAUACUACUAAAAAUCUCAAGAUAAGCGUGAGUGCCGAGGAUGGCCCUUCCGUAGGAUGACGGAGGUGGAUCCUCGGUGGUGUAUUGAAGUGGUGAGUAGUGGACUCGUGUGCGCAAAACCAUUUCAAGUUGGAGUCUCGUAGGAUAGUUUAGCCAAGAGUCAAAGCUGGCUUGCUGCAAUAACCCCACCAACCCUUCUUGAUAAUGUGCAUGUAUGUAGGAUCUGACGUAAGUCUUGCUGGGUACCUUUGUACUCAUGUUGCUAUAAUUUACAUUUUACAGAAGGCGCUGCAACCCCUUCUGAUGGGUUCUUCGUAGACGUUGACAUCGACGAGUAGACUAAGGCCCAGGUGGUAAUCCUGAGCUUGUGAAGGUCCACGUAGUAUAGCUAGGCUUUCCAAGCCUCUUUUAUUUUACUAGUUGUCUGUACUCAGACAAGUUACUUCCGCUGCUGGUUUGUAUGAUGGUAUGACUUGAAUGUGGGUCGUGUGACCCGUACUUGUAUGUAUGUUAUGUAUGGCUCUCUGAGCCUUUAGAUAAAGUACUUGUGUCGUAGAGUCAUGUUGUGAUGCCUUGUUGUAUUUGCACAUAUCGAGCAUAUUGUGUGUAUGAUUGAAAUGCUUGGUAUGUGUGGGAUCUGACUAUCUAGUUGUUUAUCUUUAGUAGCCUCUCUUACCGGGAAAUGCUCCUAGUGUUUCCAUUGAGCCAUGGUAGCUUGCUACUGCUCCGGAACACUUAGGCUGGCCGGCAUGUGUCCUUCUUCGUUCCUGUGUCUGUCCCUUCGGGGAAAUGUCACGCAUUGAGUACCGGAGCCCUGUUAGCCCGCUACAGCCCGGUUUACCGGAGUCCUGCUAGCCCAAUGCUACAGCCCGGACCCACUUGCUGAUGACCGACACGUUCGAUGCUGGGUCAUGGAUGCCUGUCCCUGUAAGUCUGUGCCACUUUGGGUUUACGACUAGUCAUGUCAGCCCGGGCUCCUUAUCAUAUGGAUGCUAGCGACAUCAUCAUAUACGUGAGCCAAAAGGCGCAAACAGUCCCGGGCAAAGGUAAGGUGACGCCCGUGGGAAUACCGUGCAUGAGGCCGCAAAGUGAUAUGAGGUGUUACAGGCUAGAUCGAUGUGACAUUGAGUCGGGGUCCUGACAACGUUGGCAUCAGAGCCGGACUGCCUGUAGGUUUUCCAAGCCAAACUGGUCGAUGUUGAGUCUAGAAAUGCUUUAGUUAUAUGUAGGGGAAUUGAUUGUGGGAUGGUACGUAAGGCUCUUUUUACUUCUUUACUUCAUGGCAUUCUGAUCUGAGUCAGUCCAUUCUUCUACCGGGGAUUAAGGAUUAGGAUCUUCUCUCUCUAUCAGGUUCACGUGUUACGAAUCAGUAGUACCUUAUAGGUUUGAUGACUACAAGCCUAGUUCAGUUCUACUACCUUGUUAUGCUGAUAAGUGAACCCAGAACCUUGAUAUGAUAUUGUUGAGUGUCUAUGCAAUUUUUUGAUAAAUUUCUCAAACCCUUCUUGAGCAUUUACAGCCGUUAUGCUGUCGAAAUAUUGCUAGAAAUUCUAAUGCCUUUGCAUUAUGGUUGUGCUUUCAGAUGGCCACUCGCGACCAAAAUCAAGUGGUUCGCCUGACCCGAUGCAUUGGUGUGACCGGUCAUACGGCCAUGUUAGUCCGAGUGAUGAUCGAGACGGGUUACCGUUGGUAUCCCGAAUACACGGUCGAAGAGCAGUUUCGAGAUUUUAACCAAAGCCAGUAUCUUUGCACCGUCCGGAUAUUUCCCUCUUAUCCUGGUUCUACCGAGGCUCUUCACUGUUCCUAUGGGCUCGGUGUUACUAUUGAGAUGGCUAUGCAAGAUGCGGCUUAUUCUAUGAUGACCAUCAUGCGAGUCAGGACUGGCCUGCUUCGCAACACCGACUUCCGGUAUAUGCCGGCUUCACUUCCUGGAGCGCACGGUUAUCUCCGGGCUAUCUAUGCUGACCCCAGUCAGGAGGACUCACUAACUCGCACCACUGCUGAGUUGCUCGAGGAUAAGGACCGAGAGAAUCGGGCCUUGAGAAUGGAGCUUUUCAACACCUGCGCCGAUCAUUGGGCCACCUUGACUCGGUUUGCACCGGCUGUGCAAGCUGGAUGCAUGGAUAUGAGAGAUCUGUAUCCUGUUAGGUCUGCUCUGCCGGACAUGAUGGAUUGGCGUGAUGUGGGAGGCAUCACCCCACCUCGUGGUCCUCGCAGGCCACCGUUUGUUGGUCCAAGACCUCACCCUAGCCCUUUUGGUCCACAGGCUCCUCAGGACCAUUUGUUUCCGGAUGCUCACGUUGAACUUCCAGGCUAUGGAGGAGACUUCUAUGAGAACUACUACGGAGAUGACUGAGAUAGUAGUAGAUCCACUAGGUAUUGUAAUAGUUGUAUUUCCACCGUCCUGCGUGACUUGUGGAAUAUGACUUAGCGGGUAGUAAUUCCGGGGGUGUAGGAAAAAUAAUGUAUAGGAGCUUGGGAUGCCUCCGAUGAUAUGUAAUCCUCCUCUCACCAUAGUAGUACUUGUUUGUCUUGUACUAAACCUCGUAUGGUGUGUAUGACAAUGGAAUAAAAGAAGUAGUUUCUGUAUCUACCAUGUCAUACGGAUGAUCAUCUUGCAUUCUGAGUUGUCCAUUACAUUCUACAUUCUAUGUCGGAAUCUUGUCAUGUUGGACUAAACCAUUGUCUUGUUUUUCCUAGGAUGGUCAACACCCGCAACAACCCUGCUCCCCCAGAGCAGGCCGAAGGCAGCAGAGUUGGGGAUACAAAUCUGCCUCACCCUCCCUCUCUGGCAGAAGUUAUGCUAGAGGCUGAGAGAAACAAGCGGGAGACCAACCGUUUGUUGGAGCAUAUUGAACAGAACACAGCACACCAUCAGAGGACUAACUUGGUGUCACUCAGUGAUUUCAUCAAGUUACAUCCACCCACGUUCCACCACUCCGUCGAGCCUCUCGACGCUGAUGACUGGCUUUGCAGUAUUUCUCACAAACUGCGUUCUGCGCUAGUAGCUGAGGCUGACAAGGUCACCUUUGCUGCAUAUCAUCUUGAAGGCCCCGCCAGUCUCUGGUGGGAGAAUUAUGAAGCUAUGCGCCCAGCAGGCCACGUCACUACUUGGGCUGAAUUCAGCGAGGCUUUCCGUGAACAUCACAUUCCGGAGGGUCUCAUGGACCGUAAACGUGAGGAGUUCUGUAGUUUCACUCAAGGUCGACUCUCUGUUGACGCUUACAGCAGGGAGUUUGGUAACCUUGCCCGUUAUGCAACGGAGGAAGUUUCUACUGAUGCCAAGAAGCAGGCAAGGUUCCGUAAGGGGCUUAGUUCUGAGCUUCGCCGCGACCUCCGUCUGCAUGAGUGCACAUCUUUUCAGAAGCUUGUUAACAAAGCCAUCAGUGCUGAGACUGGUCAGACUGAUUAUGAAGCAACUUGGGAAAGGGAGGAUCGUCUUCGACUCGAGUAUCCCGCCUUCUUCCCGGAGGAACCCAAAUCUCGGGACGAGAUUCUUUUGAGCGGGGGUGAGUUGUCACACCCUAGCUAGUUCAUGCAUUAGAGUGUUGCAUCAUGUCUAUCCUUUCAUCAGAAACUUGAAAUGGGGAUGUCAGAACCCCCAGCCCCCUCUGAAACCAACCAGGGUUUACUAAAAACUUUUUCAAUGAACCUGAAAUGCCCUUCUAAAAUGUCCAUCAUUUUUGUCUUGGUUCAGAACCUCUGCCAAAAGUGUUGCACAAUUUUCUAGGUCAUUUUAGGGUCUUUGAAUUAAAUGAUAAGUAUUUGAAUUUGGGCAUUUAAAAUUAUAUAAAAUAUUUCAAAUGCUCAAAUAUUCCUAAACUGAAAUGUUUCAUGUUGGAAAUAUUCCAACUUUGGACCAGGAGCAGCUUGGUGAUUUUAGGAGUUGCCUAGGUAUUUUUUAUAAUUCAACAAAGUUGCAGAAAAAUAGAAAAAAAAGACAGAAAGGAAGGACUUACCUGGCGCCUGCAACCCGGCCCACCUGCCGGCCCAGCCCAGCGCCGCGCCAGCGAGCUGCUUGCCGUCCAGGCAGGCAGGCAGGUGCUCGACGGCGAGCACCGCAUGGGUGCCACGCACCUGCUCGCCGCCUCGCCGCUCCACUCGCCCGGCUAACGACGUGGAUCGCUCCCCCUCGCUCUCCCGAACCCCCCAGACACCUCCUCUCCUCUCCAGCUCCUCCCCAUCGCGCUCCCCAGCCAUGGCCGACGCCACCGCCGCCGCUCCAUCGUCGUAGCCGCGCUCCCCGCCGCCCGUGCUCCAUCUCGUGGUGUCCAGGAGCUCCGCCGCCGUCCACUUCGUCGAGCUAACCGAGCCCCGCGUGCUCGUGAGGCCCGAGUCCACCGCACCGACCUCGCCCGAGUUCGCCGUCGCCGGAGAUCCCCUUCAACGCCGUCACCGCAUCAGCUCGUCCCCGACCCCGCCGGUGGCCUCUACGGGUGCUCUGUGAGCCUAGCUACCCCUCCUACCCUUCCUCUCUCACCCCCGAGCCGUGUAGCCACCACACGAAGAUCACCCGCACGCACCACCGCGGAUCUCGUCGCCGACGUGCUUCCGGCCAUCCUCCGGCCAACUCACGGUGUCCAACGCACUCACCAUGUUGCGUUGAGUCCAACCGUACACUUCCCGCACCUCACCGCACACCCUAGCCCCGAGUUCGCCUUCACCCGAACUCCGGUGACCGCCUAGGUCGUCGCCGGCGCCAACUCCGGCCACCCCGACCUCAACUCGCUCCACCAAGAGCUGCGGUUCGUCCCCAGCUCCACGUAGAUGCCUUCCGCACCCCAUUUGGUGGCCGGAACGGCCAAAACCACUUCCGCCGCCACGUCGGGCUCGCCGGCGGCUAAACACCGGUGCAGCCGUUUUGACUUUGACCACGGGUGGGCCCUGGUUGACUCUGUUGAGUCAAUGACAGGUGGGGCCCCCUUCUGCUAAUCAUCCAGAUUAGUUUAAACUAAAUUAAAUUAGUUAAUUAUCCACUGACACCCUGGACCCACGCGUCAGGUUUGACCUGGACCGGGUCUGUUGACUUGCUGAGGUCAGCAUGACCUCAUGCUGACGCAGUAAACCUUUUCUGAAUUUAAAAUAAAUCUAAAAUGAUUUAUAAAUUCCAGAAAUUGUUGCAAACUUCAAAAAUUCAUAUAAAUUCAACCGUAGCUCCAAAUCAAACAAAUUAUAUAUGAAAAAUGAUCAGAAAAAUCCAAUCUAUCCAUCUGUACAAGUUUCAUGCAUGUUUCAACAAAGUAACUUGAGGUUUAGUGCAGAACAAGAUAAAACACUUUAAAGGGCCAUUUAUGAGUUUGAAAUUUGAAUCUUUGGUUCAAAUUGAUUCAAACCCAUCUGGUUUUAGUUGCAUUAGCCCAACACACUCAUAUUGCCAUGUUUCAUGCAUGCAUCAUAUUGUCGCACAUUGUUUGGUGAUGGUUGUGUAUCGGUGUUCUUUGAGGCAGGUUCUGCCUCCGAGGAGUACCAUGAUUACCCUAGCGAAGAACCGUAUCCGUGCAUCGAUCCAUCAGGCAAGCAACCAACCAUUUGAUCAUAUCGAUACAAUCCCAUGUUCUCGCUCUUGCUCUCUUUUACUGCAUUAAGACAACGCGUUUUAAACUGCUGUGUGCUACGGUAGUUGAACCCAUUUCCUCUGCAUGACCUGUCAUUGCCACAGUAAUUAGAUGAAACCCACUAGCAUGUGUAGGAAUUGAUUGAGCCAUAUGUUUGUGUUGUUCCUACCUUGCUAUGCCUGCUAUGCUUAGAGUCGUGUCAGGUCUGGUUCAUCUGGGUGAUGGGCUAGAGUGAAAUGAUCAUGUCGGUAAUGAGAGUGAUGUGGUGAACACGAUUUGGUAAAGGUAUCGAUGAGAGGCCAUGUAGGAGUACAUGGUGGGUUGUUUCAUUGAAGCCGACCUUAAGAACUGAGAUCUGUAUGCGUGAUUUAAGAUUCAGCUACUACCAUGCAUUGGGCCCUGAAAUAUGACCCCGCUCGACUUCUUAUUCACCCUAGUCCUCUGUCCAGGAGUUGCACGUAGUUUCUGGUGUUUGUAGCUUACUGGAGGCCGUGGACAGCGCUGACCCGCGGGGUGGGCUGUGAUGCGGUAGGUACGUGGCACGGUGUAUCAAAUACCCGUUAGGUAUCUUGGGAACCCUGUACACAUCGUUAGGGGCCGUAUGGGAAACCUCGGCCGGACUCCCUGCGGAUGGAACCUGGAUAGGCGAUAAACCUGGACUAGAGACUUAGGUGUUUAGGUAGGUCGUGGUCUACACCCACGCCGGCUUUCGCUUGAAGUCUGCCGAGCACAUGUCGUGUGCAGACGCUAAGUGGUGGAAACAUGUAUGAAGAAGUACACCCCUGCAGGGUUAACAUGAUCUAUUCGAAUAGCCGCGCCCGCGGUAAAGUACUACUUGGUUGCUUAUACAGUUCAUAGACAAGUGAAUGGAUACUACUAAAAAUCUCAAGAUAAGCGUGAGUGCCGAGGAUGGCCCUUCCGUAGGAUGACGGAGGUGGAUCCUCGGUGGUGUAUUGAAGUGGUGAGUAGUGGACUCGUGUGCGCAAAACCAUUUCAAGUUGGAGUCUUGUAGGAUAGUUUAGCCAAGAGUCAAAGCUGGCUUGCUGCAAUAACCCCACCAACCCUUCUUGAUAAUGUGCAUGUAUGUAGGAUCUGACGUAAGUCUUGUUGGGUACCUUUGUACUCAUGUUGCUAUAAUUUACAUUUUACAGAAGGCGCUGCAACCCCUUCUGAUGGGUUCUUCGUAGACGUUGACAUCGACGAGUAGACUAAGGCCCAGGUGGUAAUCCUGAGCUUGUGAAGGUCCACGUAGUAUAGCUAGGCUUUCCAAGCCUCUUUAAUUUUACUAGUUGUCUGUACUCAGACAAGUUACUUCCGCUGCUGGUUUGUAUGACUGUAUGACUUGAAUGUGGGUUGUGUGACCCGUACUUGUAUGUAUGUUAUGUAUGGCUCUCUGAGCCUUUAGAUAAAGUACUUGUGUCGUAGAGUCAUGUUGUGAUGCCUUGUUGUAUUUGCACAUAUCGAGCAUAUUGUGUGUAUGAUUGAAAUGCUUGGUAUGUGUGGGAUCUGACUAUCUAGUUGUUUAUCUUUAGUAGCCUCUCUUACCGGGAAAUGUCUCCUAGUGUUUCCAUUGAGCCAUGGUAGCUUGCUACUGCUCCGGAACACUUAGGCUGGCCGGCAUGUGUCCUUCUUCGUUCCUGUGUCUGUCCCUUCGGGGAAAUGUCACGCAUUGAGUACCGGAGCCCUGUUAGCCCGCUACAGCCCGGUUUACUGGAGUCCUGCUAGCCCAGUGCUACAGCCCGGACCCACUUGCUGAUGACCGACACGUUCGAUGCUGGGUCAUGGAUGCCUGUCCCUGUAAGUCUGUGCCACUUUGGGUUUACGACUAGUCAUGUCAGCCCGGGCUCCUUAUCAUAUGGAUGCUAGCGACAUCAUCAUAUACGUGAGCCAAAAGGCGCAAACGGUCCCGGGCAAAGGUAAGGCGACGCCCGUGGGAAUACCGUGCGUGAGGCCGCAAAGUGAUAUGAGGUGUUACAGGCUAGAUCGAUGUGACAUUGAGUCGGGGUCCUGACAUUUUUGAUAUAUUAUAUGCCUAUAGUUUAUUUUUUUGUGGUUAUUCGUAUUUUUGCUGUUAGUAAAAAAUGUUUAAAAAAACCUUUCUCUUCGGGCCGACUAAACUGGGCCGCACCCCGCCUAGCCGGCCCAGCGCACCGUCUCCCUCGCGUACCCGAGCGGGACUCCCGCCGGAGUCCGGCACCGACCUCGCCGCCUUUGCCCCUCGCCCACGCAUCGCCUGCCCCCUCCCCUCCUUAAAAGGCGGUCCCGGUCCCCACCUCUCUCCUUGCCGUGCCGCGCCGCCCCACCCGCAUCGCGCCACCGCCCCGCGCUGCAGAUCGCCACUCACCGCCGGCGAGAUCCGCCGCUCCGCCGCUGCAGCCGCCUCCUUGCUGCGCCGCCGCCUGCCAGUAAACCGGAGUAACCACCCCAUCGCUGGUUUUGUCUUCGUGAACCGGUAUAAACCGUAAACCCGUUCGAUUUCUUUUCUUUAGCUCGGUUUAUUUCUUUUGAUCGGUUUUUCUUUUAGUUAGAUCUAAAUAGUGAAUGUUCGCUAGAUUAGGUCCUCACAGUGAAAGGAUUCGUCUGUUAGCGUUCUGCAACGAACGUUCGGUAUUUAAGUCUUUCUUUUUCUAUUUUAAUUCCACCAGGGACCUAUCCAUGAAUUCUUUUCUUACAGAUUAGUCCCUCUGCUUCAAACGAUAACUACUUUUUACCCGUUUAUCCAAAUCCAACGAAACCAACGCCCACUUCUUCGUUAUGAUCCCCUCUAUCCAGUAAAACAACUUGAACAUAUUUUUGAAAGUUUUAAAAUUUGAAUUCAAACAGUUUUGUAUUUGAACUUUGUUUGAUCAUAACUUGAGUUUUAUAACUCCGUUUGAGUUGAUUCUUUUUGCAAAUCGAAGCUCUUGACCUACACUUUCUGAUAAGGCCAAAUUCACAUAAUUUUGGUACUGUUAGAAAUUAUUUUAUGUUGCAAGUGUUAUUUGCUUGGUUUAGAAGUUUUCCGAAUCGUCUUCUUCGAUCUUUCUGAUCUGUUGAGUGAUUGCUUAUGUGUGGUUCUAUUGCUUGCGUACGAUAGAUUGACCGGAGUGUGACGAGUAGAUCUAUCAAGAGUUAUGAGUGCGAAUCAUCUUCAUCAACAUUGCAGGCAAGUUCACACUUUGAUCAUAUCUCUUUCAUACCUAGUUUUUAUGCAUUAGUUUCACCCUCAAACAUUGCAUGGUUAGGACUUGAUAACAUGUGGGUAUUGGGAAGUAGUUGAUGAGGUAGGAACCUAUUGCCCUGUUACUAUCAAACCCCUGGGAGUUACUAUUACGUUAUGCUUAUGCUGCUAUGCUAUGCUCGUAGACGUGGUUUGGGUGAGUGAAAUCCAUGACAGAUGUGAGGUUGUUAAUAAUGGUUUACUUAAGGUGGCAACUUUAACACACAUCUGGGUGGAUUGAGGCACCUGGGUAUUCCAACGAUUGCUUGUUUUUCUUUAUGGACCGCCACCCAGGCUCAAAGGGAUCAUGAGAUUAUUCAUGCUAGAAACUUCCGUGUGCAGCCACAAGCUACUAUGGGCUCUAACAUAGUUGAUUAAGUCAUGCGAACUCUUACAGUGGUAGACUAGCAGAUGUAGGGGAAAGUAGGUGUAACGGUCUACCCAAUCGUAAGGUGCUAGCGCUUCUGAAAGACUAUGUCUCAGUCAUCCGUUUCUCAAACAUCAUGUAGUGCGAGAAUCCCAACGGAGGAGAUCGAGUCUUAUGGGGAAAAGUGUGCAAACCUCUGCAGAGUGUACAAACUAAUCAUGGUUAGCCGUGUCCUCGGUUAUGGACAAUCUUGAGUCUCUGGUACUUGGAUUAUCAUAUUGAUAUCAUCACGUUACUUAAAUAAUUUGUUGGAUUAUUGAUGUUAAUUUGGGAUUGAGUUGGAGGAACCUUCUCAAUAUUUUCAACCAACUUUGUAGUUAAAUAAAAUAUAUUCCUUGCAGUAGGGAAAAAUUGGCUUUUCGCAAAAACAUUAUAACCAUAGAGCUUUUCCACGAGCCAAAUAUGCAUGUAGUGAUAGUUAUUAUUCAUCAUUAUCCUAUGGUGUGAAUUUGCCAGUGCAUUGAAUGUACCGACCCUCUGUGGCUGCAACGUCUCAUGUUGCAGGAUUUUUUACGACGAGUAAGUGAUACGUUAGGGUUACAAUUUCUACACUCAACUUUGUCGUUGGUGUUGAUGGGAAUCCACAACCUUGUUAUUACUUCCGCUAUUGGAUUGAGGUAAUAGUAUUUACAUUAUUUUAUACAUGUGAUUUACCUCUGUUAUAAAUCCUCGAGUACCAUGUGUGUCAGCAUACCGAUCACGGGAUGACACUUAAGCACAGAGACUUGACCGUCUAAGGUCGGGUCGCUACAAAUUCAUCUAUCUGAUUUUUUCUCCCCGAAACCAAAUAUAUAGAGUUGGAGUUGAGGUCGGAGGAGCUCCAAGGGGCCCACGAGGUAGGGGGCGCGCCCUAGGGGGGCAGGCGUGCCCCACCCUCGUGGACAGGUGGUGGGCCCCCUGGUCUUCAUCUUUUGCAAGGAUUUAUUAUUAUUUCUGAAUAGAUGUUCCGUGAAGUUUCAGGUCAUUCCGAGAACUUUUGUUUCUGCACAUAAAUAACACCAUGGUAAUUCUGCUGAAAACUGCGUCAGUCCGGGUUAGUUCCAUUCAAAUCAUGCAAGUUAGAGUCCAAAACAAGGGCAAAAGUGUUUGGAAAAGUAGAUACGACAGAGACGUAUCACAUAUCACAUCACAGCAAGCCCUUUAAAAACAAGUUAGAUGUCCUGUACUUUGUUGUUGCAAGUUUUACGUGGCUGCUACGGGCUUCUAGCAAGAACCAUUCUUACCUACGCAUCAAAACCACAACAAUUUUUCGUCAAGUGUGUUGUUUUAACCUUAAACAAGGACCAGGCGUAGCCAAACUCGACUCAACUAAAGUUGGAGAAAUAGACACCCUCCAACCACCUGUGUGCGAAGCACGUCGGUAGAACCAGUCUCAUGAACGCGGUCAUGUAAUGUCGGUCCGGGCUGCUUCAUCCAACAAUACCGCCAAAUCAAAGUAAGACGUUGCUGGUAAGCAGUAUGACUAUUAUUGCCCACAACUCAUUGUGUUCUACUCAUGCAUAUAACAUGUAACGCCCUCGAUGCGGCUAUAGCUCCCACGUGUCGAGGCACGACUUAGAGGCAUAACCGCAUUGAAAGCAAUGUUGCAAGUCAGGCAGUCAUUACAACAUCCCAUGUAAUAUAUAAUAAAAGGGGAAGAUAACAUAGUUGGCUUACACUCGCCACGUCACAUCAGAGUACAUAAAUAACAUCCAUCAAACAAGCACUCAUGGCCCGACUACGGCGCCAAAAUAGAAAAGAACCCAACAUGCGACAAGGUCCUGAAUCGACAACCCCAACUAGGCACCACUACUGAUCAUCCGGAAAAGACACAUAGUAACGCUAAGAGUCCUCAUCGAACUCCCACUGAAGCUCGUAAUCGUCAACUGGAGCAGAAACACCUGGACCUGCACCUGGAGUUGUAAUAUCUGUGAGCCACAGGGACUCAGCAAUCUCACACCCACGCGAUCAAAACUAUUUAAGCUCAUGGGAAUGGAUAAGGCGAAUAUAGGUGGAGCUGCAGCAGGCGACUAGCAUAUAUGGUGGCUAACUUAUACGCAAAAGAGAGCGAGAAGAGAAGGCGAAGCACGAUCGAUAAAAGUAUGAUCAAGAAGUGAUCCUGGACUACCUACGUCAAGCAUAACUCCAACAACCGUGUUCACUUCCCGGGCCCCGCCGGAAAGAGACCAUCACGGUUACACACGCGGUUGACGUAUUUUAAACAAGGUCAACUUCGGGUUUUCUACAACCGGACGUUAACAAAUUCCCAUCUGCCCAUAACCGCGGGCACGGCUUUCGAAAGUUCAAUCCCUGCAGGGGAGUCCCAACUUAGCCCAUGACAAGCUCUCACGGUCAACGAAGGAAUAGACCUCCACCCGAGACAUUCCGAUCAGACUCGGUAUCCCGGUACAACAAGACAUUUCGAUAGGGUAAAACUAAACCAGCAACACCGCCCGAAUGUGCCGACAAAUCCCGAUAGGAGCUGCACAUAUCUCUUUCUCAGGGCACACUCAGAUUGUCCUAGGUACGGGUAGGCCAGCCCAGAGUUGCCCCUGGUAGCCAUCGGUAGCUGACAGGUGGACCAACACUCAGAGGAGCACUGGCCCGGGGGGGUAAAAUAAGAUGACCCUUGAGUCUGCAGAACCCAAGGGAAAGAAAAGGCUAGGUGGCAAAUGGUAAAACCAAUGUUGGGCAUUGCUGGAAGAGCUUUACUUAAGACGAACUGUCAAGGGGUUCCCAUAAUAGCCCAACCGUGUAAGGAACGCAAAAUCCGGGAACAUAACACCGAUAUGACGUAAACUAGGGCGGCAAGAGUGGAACAAAACACCAGGCAUAAGGCCGAGCCUUCCACCCUUUACCAAGUAUAUAGAUGCAUUAAUUAAGUAAGAUAUAUUGUGAUAUCCCAACAAGUAAAUAAAAGUUCCAACAAGGAACGGCUCCAAUCUUCACCUGCAACUAACAACGCUAUAAGAAGGGCUGAGCAAAGCGGUAACAUAGCCAAUCAACGGUUUGCUAGGACAAUGGUGGGUUAGGGGAUCAACAUGGCAAUUGGGAGGCUGACAAGCAAAAAGGUAGGCAUCGUAGCAGUGGCAAAGCAAAAGAGCGAGCAAACUAGCAUAGCAAAGAUAGUAGUGAUUUCGAGGGUAUGAUCAUCUUGCCUGCACAGUUGUCCGAGUUGACUGGAUCCUCACAAGCAAACUCAACGGGCUCCUCGGUAGCGAACUCGUCUCCCGGCUCUACCCAACAAGACAAACAAGCAACAAGUACCCAAUCAAUCACGGGCAAGACCAAGCAAUAUGAUGAAAUGACGAUAUGCUAUGCGGGAUGCGAUGCGGGAUGCAAAAUGCAAGAUAUGACAGGAAAUGCAUGAACCUGGCAUAAACUUGGAAAACCAAGUGUGCCACUGGAUAGAGGGGAUGAAAUCGCUUGAAAACGAUAUGAAGAUCAAAGGAAUCGGAGCUACGGUUUAGAAAUGGCAAGCGUUUUAAGAUAUGACACCGGUCUGUGAUUUGCAGCAAGUAGGCAUCUAAAUGCAACGAAAAGAACAUGCUACAGCCACCAAACAUGAAAACAAAAUACAUGGCAGUGAUGUACACAAGAUGGUUGACAAAACACUAGCACUGAGCCAUAGGCAAAUUCAUCCAUUAAGAGGUUCAAACAAGCAUGGCUAAAACGCAAAUGCAAAACAGAUUUCAGACUUAGUGAAAUUAACACUAGUCUGAAAUUUCAGAUCACGAUGCUCUCUUCGGAGCAGCAAAACAACAUGAUAGAAAACCUGAACAUGACAAGUAAGAACAUGGCAUGGAGCUAUUCAACAAGCUUAAUAAAACACCCAAAGUGACCUGGGGCCAAAAGGGUUCACAAAAUACCCUACCGAGCUCACGAACAUCGCUCGAACACAAUCAGUUUUCAGACUUAGUGAAAACUGAGACAUGCUGAAAUUUAACUCACGAAGGCAUGUAAACGAGCUCGAUGCACUCACUACGGUGCAAGUCAUGGCAAGGAAAUCAUAUAACCAGCAAGAAGGCACAAAGUGCUAGCUACACAUGGCAAGAACGAAGGCAUAGCAUGUAUGGAACACUAACGGUAGCAUCGGCUAAAUCGCAAACGAGUUGACGAUCUGCCCAGAUUAACAACGAAGCAAAAGUUGAGCUCGAAUGAGUCAACCUAGAGCACUCCACAAAUGCAAACAAAGACAAGGAUGGAUAGAGCAUGACAUAAAUAUCAAAACUCCCUUACUGAUCAUCCUCAAAAGAGGCACGGAUCACUAGGAAACAAGCUGGACAUAUAGCAUCAUGAACUAAAAUAUCCCAGACUUAGUGAAAAACACUAAGUCCCUGAAAUCUGCAAUCUCAGGUACCUCUCUUCGCAAGCUUGCACAAGACAACACACACAUCCUAAAAAUGCAUGGGUGGCACCUCUGGAAAGAAGACAAAAUGCUUCACAAUACAUCCCAAAGGGGCACAGGCAUAUCAUGCACGAAUUAAACAUGGCAAAAAUGACAAAAGUGCAUGAUGAACUAACGGAUCUGCAAUUUAACUCACGAAGCCUCCUUCUAACAGCAUUUUGGGUAUCAAGAUGACCUCAAAUGCAAAUGAUGCAAUGGAANNNNNNNNNNNNNNNNNNNNNNNNNNNNNNNNNNNNNNNNNNNNNNNNNNNNNNNNNNNNNNNNNNNNNNNNNNNNNNNNNNNNNNNNNNNNNNNNNNNNNNNNNNNNNNNNNNNNNNNNNNNNNNNNNNNNNNNNNNNNNNNNNNNNNNNNNNNNNNNNNNNNNNNNNNNNNNNNNNNNNNNNNNNNNNNNNNNNNNNNNNNNNNNNNNNNNNNNNNNNNNNNNNNNNNNNNNNNNNNNNNNNNNNNNNNNNNNNNNNNNNNNNNNNNNNNNNNNNNNNNNNNNNNNNNNNNNNNNNNNNNNNNNNNNNNNNNNNNNNNNNNNNNNNNNNNNNNNNNNNNNNNNNNNNNNNNNNNNNNNNNNNNNNNNNNNNNNNNNNNNNNNNNNNNNNNNNNNNNNNNNNNNNNNNNNNNNNNNNNNNNNNNNNNNNNNNNNNNNNNNNNNNNNNNNNNNNNNNNNNNNNNNNNNNNNNNNNNNNNNNNNNNNNNNNNNNNNNNNNNNNNNNNNNNNNNNNNNNNNNNNNNNNNNNNNNNNNNNNNNNNNNNNNNNNNNNNNNNNNNNNNNNNNNNNNNNNNNNNNNNNNNNNNNNNNNNNNNNNNNNNNNNNNNNNNNNNNNNNNNNNNNNNNNNNNNNNNNNNNNNNNNNNNNNNNNNNNNNNNNNNNNNNNNNNNNNNNNNNNNNNNNNNNNNNNNNNNNNNNNNNNNNNNNNNNNNNNNNNNNNNNNNNNNNNNNNNNNNNNNNNNNNNNNNNNNNNNNNNNNNNNNNNNNNNNNNNNNNNNNNNNNNNNNNNNNNNNNNNNNNNNNNNNNNNNNNNNNNNNNNNNNNNNNNNNNNNNNNNNNNNNNNNNNNNNNNNNNNNNNNNNNNNNNNNNNNNNNNNNNNNNNNNNNNNNNNNNNNNNNNNNNNNNNNNNAGUCUUGAAGCACUUUCGAAGCUGAGAGACAUGGAACACAUCAUGAACAUUUGCAAAGUUUGAAGGAAGCUCGAGUUGAUAGGCGAGGUCGCCUCUCUUGCUGACAAUCUUGAAAGGUCCCACGUAUCUAGGGGCAAGCUUCCCUUUGAUACCGAAGCGACGAGUACCUUUCAUGGGAGAGACGCGGAGGUAAACAUGAUCUCCGAUCUCGAAAACCAGAUCACGGUGCUUACUAUCAUAGUAGCACUUCUGGCGGGAUUGAGCUGCUUUGAGGUUAUCACGAAUGACUUUGCACAUUUCUUCUGCUUCUGUGAUUAAGUCAUUACCCAGCAGCUGACGUUCACCGGUUUCAGACCAGUUGAGAGGGGUACGGCACUUCCUGCCAUAUAGAAUUUCAAAGGGGGCCUUGCCCGAACUUGCUUGAAAGCUGUUGUUGUAAGAGAAUUCAGCAUAAGGAAGACAAUCUUCCCACUUCAUGCCGAAAGAAAUCACACAAGCCCUGAGCAUAUCUUCAAGAAUCUGAUUGACACGCUCGACUUGACCGCUCGUUUGAGGAUGGAAAGCUGUGCUGAAGCGGAUGUUGGUGCCCAUGGCCUUCUGAAAAGAAUCCCAAAACUUGGAGGUAAAGAUGCUGCCACGGUCUGAAGAUAUCACUUGAGGAAUACCGUGCAGAGAGACAAUGCGAGAGGUAUAGAGUUCCGCCAAUUGAGCUGCAGUGAUCGACUCUUUGAUAGGCAGAAAGUGAGCCACUUUGGUGAGCUUGUCGACGGCAACAAAUAUAGCAUCAUUGCCACGCUUGGACUUUGGAAACCCAGUCACGAAGUCCAUUUCAAUGUGGUCAAACUUCCAUUCUGGAAUGGCAAGAGGUUGGAGGAGACCUGCUGGCCUUUGGUGUUCUGCCUUCACUCUUCUGCAGACAUCACACUCGUUCACGAAUUGAGCGAUCUCGCGCUUCAUUCGAGUCCACCAAUAAGUUUGCUUGAGGUCCUGAUACAUCUUCGUACUACCAGGGUGGAUGGAGAGGAGAGAGUUGUGAGCCUCGUUCAUGAUCACCUUACGAAGUUCACCUUUGGGCACAACAAUUCGAUCCUCGAAGAAGAGAGUGUCCUUGUCAUCAAGUCGGUAGCACUUGUACUUGGACUAACUCUUUGCAACAUCAAUCUUCACCUUCUUCACCAUAGCAUCAAGAAGUUGGGCUUGGUGAAUCUUGUCUUCUAAGGUAGGAGAGACUUGAAGGUUGGCGAGGAAACCUUGAGGAACAACUUGCAGAUUAAGUUUGCGGAAAGCUUCACAAAGCUCGGGUUGAUAAGGCUUGAGAAUCAGACUGUUGCAAUAUGCUUUUCUGCUCAAAGCGUCAGCAAUCACAUUAGCCUUGCCUGGAGUAUACUCGAUACUCGGAUUGUACUCUUGAAUCAUUUCGACCCAUCGAGUCUGCCUGAGGUUGAGAUUAGGCUGAGUGAAGAUGUACUUGAGACUCUUGUGAUCAGUGAAAAUAUCCACUUUCCUUCCCAAUAGAAGAUGUCUUCAAGUCAACAAAGCAUGCACAACUGCCGCCAACUCGAGAUCAUGAGUGGGGUAGUUCUUCUCAUUAGGUUUCAACUGGCGAGAGGUAUAAGCAACAACUUUCUUCUCUUGCAUCAGUACAGCACCGAGACCUUGGAGAGAGGCAUCACAAAAGACCUCGUACGGUUUGGUUUCAUCAGGCGGAGUCAGAACUGGAGCAGUGAUCAAUUUCUCUUUCAAAGUGUUGAAAGCCAUAUCACACUCCGGAGACCAAACGUACUUGACGUGCUUCUGAAGAAGAUUUGAGAGAGGCUUGGCGAUCUUAGAAAAGUUUUCAACGAAUCUUCUGCAAUAGCUUGCGAGACCGAGGAAACUGCGAAGUUGCUUCACGUUCUGAGGAGGUUCCCAAUUCACAAUUGCAGACACCUUCUCAGGAUUCACGGAAAUACCCUUGGCAGAGAUGAUAUGACCAAGAUAAAGAACCUCAUCGAGCCAAAAUUCACACUUGGAGAACUUGGCGUAGAACUGAUGUUCUCUGAGCUUGUCAAGAACCAAACGCAAGUGCUUGGCAUGAUCUUCCUUGUUCUUCGAGAAAACCAGAAUGUCGUCGAGAUAGACCAAAACGAAUUCAUUGGUGUAGGGGUUGAAGAUGAAGUUCAUCAUGCGAGAGAAUGUCGGAGGAGCGUUGGCGAGGCCAAAAGACAUGACGGUGUAUUCAUAUGAACCAAAGCUUGUUCUGAACGCCGUCUUGGGAAUAUCUUGCUCACGAAUACGAAUCUGAUGAUAACCCAUACGGAGAUCAAGCUUGGAGAAUACUUGAGCACCCUUGAGUUGUUCGAACAGCUCAUUGAUGUUGGGAAGUGGGUAUUUGUUCUUUAUGGUCUUCUUGUUUACUGGACGGUAAUCAACACAAAGUCGACUCGAUCCAUCCUUCUUCUUCACAAAAAGAACACCACAACCCCACGGAGAAGUACUAGGCCGAAUGAGACCCAAUCUUUCUUGCUCAUCGAGUUGUUUCUUCAGCUCCUUCAACUCUUCAGGUCCGAGCUUGUAAGGACGUUUGCACACAGGUUCCGUGCCAGGCUCAAGUUCAAUAACGAAUUCAACUGGCCGGUGCGGAGGCAUUCCUGGGAGCUCUUCUGGAAAGACGUCUUGAUACUCACAAACAACCGGAAUCUGCGAAAUAGCAUCCAAUUCACCCUUCUCAUUGAGAGAAAACAACCGGAUGGUAUUAUCCCGAGCGGCAAAGACAAUAACAUCCUCAGACGAAUGAGUCAGUUGAAUCUGCCUGGCUGCACAAUCAAGCUGAGCUCUAUGCUUAGAGAGCCAGUCCAUCCCGAGAAUAAGAUCGAUAUCCGAGUUGCCAAGAACCGUAGGAGAAGCCAAGAACUUGUAGUCACCGAAAGUGAUAGAAACAUCCGGAACGAUGGAGUUAGCCUGCAUGCGCUUACCGGGAGAGACAACUUCUAAAGGACUAGAUAAAACUUGUGAGACCAAUUCAUGCCUAUUUGUAAACGGUCUCGAGAUGAAGCAAUGUGAUGCACCAGUGUCAAAAAGAACUUUUGCAGGAAUAUCAUUAACAGGAAGGUUACCCAUGAUCACAUCUGACGAGUCCUCUGCCUGAGCUGCAUUCAUCAAGUUGACCUUGGCGGACUUGGGGUUAUGCUUGACCACAGCUGUACUUGCCGAUCUGACAGGAGGAGGAGGAGGAAGACGCCUCUGGUUGGUACACUUGUUGGCAUAGUGACCCUUCUGUUGGCACUUGUUGCACGUGACCUCUGAAAGCCGGGCGGUGAUACGGAGCACUCGAUCUUGGCGCUUGAGACGAAGAUUUGUUCUGAAAGCCUGGGUUGGGUGGGUGGGAGAAACCACUGCCACCUUUGCUCUUCUGCUGAUACGGCUGACGGAACGGAGGAGGAGGAAGCCAAUACUUCUGCUGCUUGACCACUUGGGUAGAGGAAGACGGAGUAACAUCUCUGGCACGCUUCCUCGAAGCAUCACACCUCAUCUGAGCAGCCUGUUGCUUCAGUGCCAUGUUGUAGAACUCAUCGUAUCUCAACGGCUCAAAGAGGACAAGAGCGAGCUGAAUUUCCUCAUGAAGACCACCCCUGAACUGAUAGAUCAUGCUCUUCUCAUCAGGAACAUCCUGCUUGGCAAAACGGGCGAGCUUCUGGAACAACUUGUUGUAGUCAUAGACAGACAAAGAGCCUUGCUUCAGAUUGCGGAAUUCCUGACGCUUACUCUCAACCACACUUUGAGGGAUGUGAUGAGCGCGGAAAUCUUGACGGAAAUCGUUCCAAGUGAUAACACGUCCACCUCUGGAAUCCUUGUACUGCUGGAACCACUCUGCAGCCUGAUCUUUGAGCUGGAAAGAAGCGAACUUGACGAAAUCUUCAGGCCUGACGUUGCUGCAUUCAAAAUGCUUGCCCAGAUCCACUAGCCAAUCGUCAGCAUCUGUAGCCUCAACACAACCGCUGAACGUCUUUGGGCCAUUAGCAAGGAACUGGUUCAGAGUAGCAAAGUGGUGUUGAUUAUGGCCUUGAUUCCCUUGACUGCCUUGAUUGCGCUCUUGAAGGAUUUGCAUGAUCAACUGUGUGUUUGCAUUAGUAGCGGCCAUCACAGCUUGCCAUGCUUCCGGAGGAGGCGGAGGUGGAGGCGGAUUAGGAUUCGGAAUCGUGCGCGUUGGAGGAGCCAUCCUGAAGAGGUUGACCACCAUUAGCACAUUGAUAGACAACAAUAUAGAAGCUGAAUCCAACGGAAUGAAAAAUUGCAACAUAUAGUCUUCACAUCCGAACAGAAUGAACGAAUGAAUUUCUCUUGAAAUGGUCACAUAUCCAUAAAUUGAGAAGCCACGAAGAAUUUAAGGUAGAGAAAUAAUACAACAAGGUACGAUCAAGAACGAAUAAUCGGUAAGAAAUCCCAAUCUCAAACCAAUAUCCGUGGAAGAAGAACUAGAGCUACUAGAAUUCCCACCUAUGAAAUUCCCGAACCUUUCCGGUUAUGCAAUCAGGUGUUGGGGAUACAGGGGAAGCACAAUAUCUCACCCAAACUAGCAAAUCCUACAUCCAGCUGUAUCCAUCCUUCAACACAUAACCAGGAAAACUUCGGAAACCAUCUACCUCAACCUUCGAAAAGCAUCCGUUAUACAAGUUAUGGCGAUACUCCCGAACUCCCGCCCCAGUUCUGGGUGGCGUCGAGGUUAUCUCACCAACGAACUGCAUAAAAGAGAUUUUCGAUGUCGGCGAACAUAUCUCAAGUAUACCAGAAUUGCAACGAUAAAAUUGUGACGACAACACCUCGGAGCUCAACUCCCCGGGACACUGCCACAACCCCUAAAGAUAGGAGGCACCAAGAACAAUGUUCUCGUCACAAAACCAUCGGAACAAAACCAAGAUACUCGCGUGAACCUAAAAAAUUUUUUUUAGUGAAAUUUUAGAAGAGAAGAGUCAAAACUCUACGCCAGGAUGCCUUACCAGAGCGAUGAGGAGACUGGGAAGUAAAAAGAAUUCCUAAGCUCUCCGAUAUAUAAUUCCUAAGGACUCAAAACAUUUUUCUAGACACAACUCGGCUGCUAAAACGAUCAAGCAAUGGGGCUCCUAAGGUCGGGGAUGGCUCUGAUUACCAACUUGUAACGCCCUCGAUGCGGCUAUAGCUCCCACGUGUCGAGGCACGACUUAGAGGCAUAACCGCAUUGAAAGCAAUGUCGCAAGUCAGGCAGUCAUUACAACAUCCCAUGUAAUAUAUAAUAAAAGGGGAAGAUAACAUAGUUGGCUUACACUCGCCACGUCACAUCAGAGUACAUAAAUAACAUCCAUCAAACAAGCACUCAUGGCCCGACUACGGCGCCAAAAUAGAAAAGAACCCAACAUGCGACAAGGUCCUGAAUCGACAACCCCAACUAGGCACCACUACUGAUCAUCCGGAAAAGACACAUAGUAACGCUGAGAGUCCUCAUCGAACUCCCACUGAAGCUCGUAAUCGUCAACUGGAGCAGAAACACCUGGACCUGCACCUGGAGUUGUAAUAUCUGUGAGCCACAGGGACUCAGCAAUCUCACACCCACGCGAUCAAAACUAUUUAAGCUCAUGGGAAUGGAUAAGGCGAAUAUAGGUGGAGCUGCAGCAGGCGACUAGCAUAUAUGGUGGCUAACUUAUACGCAAAAGAGAGCGAGAAGAGAAGGCGAAGCACGAUCGAUAAAAGUAUGAUCAAGAAGUGAUCCUGGACUACCUACGUCAAGCAUAACUCCAACAACCGUGUUCACUUCCCGGGCCCCGCCGGAAAGAGACCAUCACGGUUACACACGCGGUUGACGUAUUUUAAACAAGGUCAACUUCGGGUUUUCUACAACCGGACGUUAACAAAUUCCCAUCUGCCCAUAACCGCGGGCACGGCUUUCGAAAGUUCAAUCCCUGCAGGGGAGUCCCAACUUAGCCCAUGACAAGCUCUCACGGUCAACGAAGGAAUAGACCUCCACCCGAGACAUUCCGAUCAGACUCGGUAUCCCGGUACAACAAGACAUUUCGAUAGGGUAAAACUAAACCAGCAACACCGCCCGAAUGUGCCGACAAAUCCCGAUAGGAGCUGCACAUAUCUCUUUCUCAGGGCACACUCAGAUUGUCCUAGGUACGGGUAGGCCAGCCCAGAGUUGCCCCUGGUAGCCAUCGGUAGCUGACAGGUGGACCAACACUCAGAGGAGCACUGGCCCGGGGGGGUAAAAUAAGAUGACCCUUGAGUCUGCAGAACCCAAGGGAAAGAAAAGGCUAGGUGGCAAAUGGUAAAACCAAUGUUGGGCAUUGCUGGAAGAGCUUUACUUAAGACGAACUGUCAAGGGGUUCCCAUAAUAGCCCAACCGUGUAAGGAACGCAAAAUCCGGGAACAUAACACCGAUAUGACGUAAACUAGGGCGGCAAGAGUGGAACAAAACACCAGGCAUAAGGCCGAGCCUUCCACCCUUUACCAAGUAUAUAGAUGCAUUAAUUAAGUAAGAUAUAUUGUGAUAUCCCAACAAGUAAAUAAAAGUUCCAACAAGGAACGGCUCCAAUCUUCACCUGCAACUAACAACGCUAUAAGAAGGGCUGAGCAAAGCGGUAACAUAGCCAAUCAACGGUUUGCUAGGACAAUGGUGGGUUAGGGGAUCAACAUGGCAAUUGGGAGGCUGACAAGCAAAAAGGUAGGCAUCGUAGCAGUGGCAAAGCAAAAGAGCGAGCAAACUAGCAUAGCAAAGAUAGUAGUGAUUUCGAGGGUAUGAUCAUCUUGCCUGCACAGUUGUCCGAGUUGACUGGAUCCUCACAAGCAAACUCAACGGGCUCCUCGGUAGCGAACUCGUCUCCCGGCUCUACCCAACAAGACAAACAAGCAACAAGUACCCAAUCAAUCACGGGCAAGACCAAGCAAUAUGAUGAAAUGACGAUAUGCUAUGCGGGAUGCGAUGCGGGAUGCAAAAUGCAAGAUAUGACAGGAAAUGCAUGAACCUGGCAUAAACUUGGAAAACCAAGUGUGCCACUGGAUAGAGGGGAUGAAAUCGCUUGAAAACGAUAUGAAGAUCAAAGGAAUCGGAGCUACGGUUUAGAAAUGGCAAGCGUUUUAAGAUAUGACACCGGUCUGUGAUUUGCAGCAAGUAGGCAUCUAAAUGCAACGAAAAGAACAUGCUACAGCCACCAAACAUGAAAACAAAAUACAUGGCAGUGAUGUACACAAGAUGGUUGACAAAACACUAGCACUGAGCCAUAGGCAAAUUCAUCCAUUAAGAGGUUCAAACAAGCAUGGCUAAAACGCAAAUGCAAAACAGAUUUCAGACUUAGUGAAAUUAACACUAGUCUGAAAUUUCAGAUCACGAUGCUCUCUUCGGAGCAGCAAAACAACAUGAUAGAAAACCUGAACAUGACAAGUAAGAACAUGGCAUGGAGCUAUUCAACAAGCUUAAUAAAACACCCAAAGUGACCUGGGGCCAAAAGGGUUCACAAAAUACCCUACCGAGCUCACGAACAUCGCUCGAACACAAUCAGUUUUCAGACUUAGUGAAAACUGAGACAUGCUGAAAUUUAACUCACGAAGGCAUGUAAACGAGCUCGAUGCACUCACUACGGUGCAAGUCAUGGCAAGGAAAUCAUAUAACCAGCAAGAAGGCACAAAGUGCUAGCUACACAUGGCAAGAACGAAGGCAUAGCAUGUAUGGAACACUAACGGUAGCAUCGGCUAAAUCGCAAACGAGUUGACGAUCUGCCCAGAUUAACAACGAAGCAAAAGUUGAGCUCGAAUGAGUCAACCUAGAGCACUCCACAAAUGCAAACAAAGACAAGGAUGGAUAGAGCAUGACAUAAAUAUCAAAACUCCCUUACUGAUCAUCCUCAAAAGAGGCACGGAUCACUAGGAAACAAGCUGGACAUAUAGCAUCAUGAACUAAAAUAUCCCAGACUUAGUGAAAAACACUAAGUCCCUGAAAUCUGCAAUCUCAGGUACCUCUCUUCGCAAGCUUGCACAAGACAACACACACAUCCUAAAAAUGCAUGGGUGGCACCUCUGGAAAGAAGACAAAAUGCUUCACAAUACAUCCCAAAGGGGCACAGGCAUAUCAUGCACGAAUUAAACAUGGCAAAAAUGACAAAAGUGCAUGAUGAACUAACGGAUCUGCAAUUUAACUCACGAAGCCUCCUUCUAACAGCAUUUUGGGUAUCAAGAUGACCUCAAAUGCAAAUGAUGCAAUGGAAUGAAAUGAUGUACAUGUCGAGACGAAGAUUUUGAUAUAUCAUACGCCUAAAACGGAUCUACGAUUGCGGAGAUACGAGCAGUCAAACAUCGCAUAAAAACUAGGGUUUCUGGACAAAAGUCAACAGGGGGGGGGGUUGGAUCUGAGAUCUGGAACCUCACGGAAACCGAGGCGGCGCCGGAACACUGUAGCAACGGGGCGUCGCCGGAGCUCGUCGCGGCUCGCCGGAGGAAGAGGGACGGCGGCGUCGGGCGCCGGGGCGACGAGGGGCGNNNNNNNNNNNNNNNNNNNNNNNNNNNNNNNNNNNNNNNNNNNNNNNNNNNNNNNNNNNNNNNNNNNNNNNNNNNNNNNNNNNNNNNNNNNNNNNNNNNNNNNNNNNNNNNNNNNNNNNNNNNNNNNNNNNNNNNNNNNNNNNNNNNNNNNNNNNNNNNNNNNNNNNNNNNNNNNNNNNNNNNNNNNNNNNNNNNNNNNNNNNNNNNNNNNNNNNNNNNNNNNNNNNNNNNNNNNNNNNNNNNNNNNNNNNNNNNNNNNNNNNNNNNNNNNNNNNNNNNNNNNNNNNNNNNNNNNNNNNNNNNNNNNNNNNNNNNNNNNNNNNNNNNNNNNNNNNNNNNNNNNNNNNNNNNNNNNNNNNNNNNNNNNNNNNNNNNNNNNNNNNNNNNNNNNNNNNNNNNNNNNNNNNNNNNNNNNNNNNNNNNNNNNNNNNNNNNNNNNNNNNNNNNNNNNNNNNNNNNNNNNNNNNNNNNNNNNNNNNNNNNNNNNNNNNNNNNNNNNNNNNNNNNNNNNNNNNNNNNNNNNNNNNNNNNNNNNNNNNNNNNNNNNNNNNNNNNNNNNNNNNNNNNNNNNNNNNNNNNNNNNNNNNNNNNNNNNNNNNNNNNNNNNNNNNNNNNNNNNNNNNNNNNNNNNNNNNNNNNNNNNNNNNNNNNNNNNNNNNNNNNNNNNNNNNNNNNNNNNNNNNNNNNNNNNNNNNNNNNNNNNNNNNNNNNNNNNNNNNNNNNNNNNNNNNNNNNNNNNNNNNNNNNNNNNNNNNNNNNNNNNNNNNNNNNNNNNNNNNNNNNNNNNNNNNNNNNNNNNNNNNNNNNNNNNNNNNNNNNNNNNNNNNNNNNNNNNNNNNNNNNNNNNNNNNNNNNNNNNNNNNNNNNNNNNNNNNNNNNNNNNNNNNNNNNNNNNNNNNNNNNNNNNNNNNNNNNNNNNNNNNNNNNNNNNNNNGGAGCUAGGAGAGUCCAAAUGAGGUGCGGUUUUCGCCCACACGAUCGUGAUCGAACGCUCUAGGACAUGGAGCAGAGUUUGGUGGGUUUUGGGCCAAAUUUGGGGGGUGUUGGGCUGCAACACAAACGAGGCCUUUUCGGUCCCUCGGUUAACCGUUGGAGUAUCAAACGAAGUCCAAAUGACCCGAAACUUGACAGGCGGUCUACCGGUAGUAAACCAAGGCCGCUUGGCAAGACUCGGUCCAAUCCGGAAAUGUUUAAACCCCACACAAGAAAGAAAGGUAGAAAUGACCACCGGAGGAGAACGAAGCGCCGGAAUGCAAAACGGACAACGGGGAAAAUGAUCGAAUGCAUGAGAUGAACAUGUAUGCAAAUGCAAUGCCCGUGAUGACAUGGUAUGAGAUGCAUGAAAACGAAAACAACACACGGAGACAAGGACCCGAACCCGAGAAAUAAAUAUAACUUGACACCGGAAACGGCAAGAGUUGGAUACAAAUAUGGAAAGUUACAUCUGGGGCGUUACAUAACAUCUAGGUAUAGACCUGGCUCGGAUGCCACUGUUGGGGAACGCAGUAUUUCAAAAUUUUACCUACGAUCAUGCAAGAUCUAUCUAGGAGAUGCAUAGCAACGAGAGGGGAGAGUGUGUCCAUGUACCCUCGUAGACCGAAAGCGGAAGCGUUUAGUAACGCGGUUGAUGUAGUUGAACGUCUUCACGAUCCAACCGAUCCAAGUACCGAAUGCACGACACCUCCACGAUCAGCACACAUUCAGCUCGGUGACGUCCCUCAUACUCUUGAUCUAGCUGAGGCCGAGGGUGAGUUCCGUCAACACGCCAGCGUGGUGACAGUGAUGAUGAAGUUACCGACGCAGGGCUUCACCUAAGCACUACAACAAUAUGUCCGAGGUGUGUAACUAUGGAGGGGGCACCGCACACGGCUAAAAGAUUAACUUGUGUGUCUUUGGGGUGCCCCCUGCCUCCGUAUAUAAAGGGGGAGAGGGAGAGGUGGCUUCACACUACGGGCCAACUCAUUUGGCCAUCUGGAGCAGAUCGAUAGCUAUGCCCCUGGCCAUCAGGUCAAAUUUGGGAGCUUGAACUACGUCACGGACAUCCAUGGAGAUUUGAUCUUCGCUGGAUUCGAGACCGCGACGAUCGCUCUUGGUCACCUUGAUGAGCAUGACCUAAAUCUGUCAUCGGGCCACAUUCAGGAGAUAGCUCACGUAACUGCUCUGGCCUUAGAUCUGGAGCUUACGGCGACAUCUAAGGACUGGAGGUUCAACCCCACCACGGAGGCCACAGAUUCCCCAGCGUUGGAGCCGCACAUGGACUUAAACUUACACAAUAUUUGUGUCACCGGAACCCCGGACUCGUCUCUGGGUGUAAGUUUUGAACCAUGUGAGUCCACGGAUGCCGAACUUGAUCAUUUAUCGAUCUUCGAGUUCAGCGCCGCAGACAUCUUCCAGCACUCACCCUUGGGUGAUGUGCUAAGCUCAUUAAAAAACCUAUCCUUGGUAGGGGACUCAUAGCCGAACUAUGUACGGUUUGAACUAGGGGCUGAUGAUGGAGAAUCUUGCUUCCCACCUGCCACCCACUUCAUAGCCACAACCGAGGAUUUAACCGACACGCUCGAUUACGACUCCGAAGACAUCGGCGAUAUUGACGACGAUGCUGAUGAGGAGCAAAAUCAAAGUCCGCCAUUCACUGGACGCUGGACGGCCACCUCUUCGUACGAUGCGUACAUGGUGGACACAUCCAAAACAACCAACAACGAUGACAAAGAAAAUCCAGUUGAGAAUAAACCUCUCGAGACACAGCAAAAACACCAGCGUCCUCGGCACCGCUCUAAGUCACAUCGUUCAAAGGAUAGUAACACUGGCACCGGGGAAAAAUAGUACUCUGGACGAACCCGAAGAUAAUAAAGACCCUGUUGAGGUAACCUCCGAACAGGAGGAACGAGAAAAUGGGCAAGUUAGCCCUGAUGAACAGGCCAUACAUGACGAUUUGGAGGACGAUAAUUAUCUUCCGCUCUCCGAAGAUGAGGUAAGCCUCGACGACGAGGAUUUCAUCGUGCCCGAGGAACCUCUCGAGCAGGAGCGCUUCAAGCGCAGGCUAAUAGCCACUGCAAGGAGCCUAAAAAAGAAACAACAACAGCUUCAAGCGGACCAAGAUUUGCUCAACGACAGAUGGACUAAUGUCUUGGCAACCAAAGAAUACGGCCUCAAGCUCCGAGCUAGGAGUUACCCGAAGCGCAAACUACUACCCCAGUUUGAUGAGUAGGCGCUAGAGCUCAUACCUCACUCGCGCAACGCGGCCAACCGACUACAGCGCGGUCGGGACAAUGCGACAGGUCGACCACAACUUGGCCAGGAUAAAGCGGCAAUUCAAGACGAACAGCAACCCGCCCCACCGCCACGUAAAAACAGAAACAACAGCUCGGGGUGAUACACACGACCUUCGGCAGGACCUGGACAGUAAAAGCAGGAUACACCAGAUCGAUCUACAGAUCGCAAGGACGUACCGCGACACGCGACGAUGGCUAUCUAUUCGGAUGCAAGAAACCUAGCCACGCCCGGGCCGAAAACUACAGGCGGACUCCAUCGGAGCUACGUCGUGAUGCGGCCCAAUAUAGAGGCGUCGCACACCCUCUUUGCUUCACUGAUGGAGUAAUGGGUCACGAGUUCCCAGAAGGGUUUAAACCCGUAAAUAUUGAAUCAUACAACGGGACAACAGAUCUCACGGCAUGGAUUGAGGAUUUCCUUCUACAUAUCCACAUGGCCCGCGGAGACGACCUUCAUGCCAUCAAAUACCUCCCGUUAAAACUCAAAGUACCAGCUCGGCACUGGUUAAGCAGUCUGCCUGAAAACUCAAGUGGCAGCUGGGAGGAGUUGGAAGAUGCCUUCCGCGAUAACUUUCAAGGUACAUAUGUCCGGCCACCGGAUGCCGAUGACCUAAGUCACAUUGUCCAGCAGCCCGGAGAGUCCGCCAGAAAGCUCUGGACUAGGUUUCUAGUUAAAAAGAACCAAAUUGUUGACUGUCCGGACGCGGAAGCCCUCGCGGCCUUCAAACACAGCGUCUAGGACGAGUGGCUUGCCCGCCACCUCGAUCAGGAAAAACCAAAGUCUAUGUUAGCCCUUACCUCUCUGAUGACCCGCUUUUGCGUGGGAGAAGACAGCUGGCUCGCCCGUAGAAGCAAUAGCGCCAGCGAUCCGGGCACCUCCGAAGUGCGGGACGGUAAUGGAAAACCACGACGCAAUAAAAACAAAUGUCGCAAUAAUAAUGAGGGCACAUAGGACACAACGGUCAACGCUGGAUUCAGCGGCCCCAAACCCGGCCAACGGAAAAAGCCAUUUACGACAAACAAAGACGGACCAUCCAAUUUAGAUAAAAUAUUGGAUAGGCCCUGCCAGAUCCAUGGCCACCCCAAUAAACCAGCUAAUCACAUCAACAGAAGCUGUUGGGUCUUCAAACAGGCCGGCAAGUUAAAUGCCGAACACAAGGGGAAGAGGCCGCCCGGUGAUAGCGACGACGAACAGGCUCACCAACUGAACAACGGGGGUCAGAGCAGUUUCCCCCGACGCAAAAACAGUAAACAUGGUAUACGUGACACACACACACCUAGAGGUGAGCGCACGGAACACUCUCUCUGCAUAGGAGAUCAUACUACAGCUACCUCAGCCGAACUACGCAGCGGCCUUAUCACGCCGCAUACCAUGACGGCCAUCAUACCGCUGGUCUCCAUUCAACAUGACCGAUCAAUGUCCAUAUUGGACUAGCAAUUCGGCUUCCGCCGUUCGCCUAAUAUGCCUUCGAAGUGGGUACCGUGCAUACAUAAUUAUGCACUUGAAAUACCCUGGGCAUCGGUGGAAGCACAAUGAGGGUGGGCCUGCAAACCCCACUACUUUUCUAACUGCCCUUUUCCUUUUUAUUAUUCCCUCUACAGGUAGCUCAAGGGCCGGUCACCCCGAGGACUCUACCAGAGUUCGGGUUCAUACAAUCACCCAAGGGUUAUUCCUAUCAAGGAAUCCCUUAAUCGAGGACACGCGGCGCAGACGUGCGACAGGAGGUCCAAAAUAACUUUUUGUAGACUGCGCUCUCUAUUCCGAGCCUGUAAAGUGCCUUUUUCCUCAGCCUUCGACCCCUGGCAUGUCAAAUAGCCAGAGUCGCGGCUUUGUUAUCUAUAUAAUAAUUGGCAUAUCACCCAGCUCCCAGUAAAAGUAACGAGUGUCCAAUAUUGACUUUUUCCUAAUCGACCCGAAUUUUUGCUCCUGUAGUUCUUUUACACACACACCUCGGCAUAACCCGCCAGGGGCUCGGUAUGGGAACAAAUGAGUUGCCGGCAAGUCCGAACAGCUUUAUAGCGUACUUCAGCAUCGCGAGUUUGGCCUUAUAUGCAUCAGCUCCGAAUCAUGUCUUGGGUCAAUAGUUGGGUUGCCCGGCUCCUGUGCUUGCUACCCUAUGAUACGUCUCCAACGUAUCUAUAAUUUUUGAUUGCUCCAUGCUAUAUUAUCUACUGUUUUGGACAUUAUUGGGCUUUAUUAUGCACUUUUAUAUUAUUUUUGGAACUAACCUAUUAACCGGAGGCCCAGCCCAGAAUUGCUGUUUUUUGCCUGUUUUAGGGUUUAGAAGAAAAGGAAUACCAAACGGAGUCCAAACGGAAUGAAACCUUCGGGAACGUGAUUUUCUCAUCUAAUAAGACCCAGGAGACUUGGACCCUACGUCAAGGCACGAAACAGGAGGCCACGAGGUAGGGGGCGCGCCUGACAUACUCCUUCCUCCUAUAUAUAUUCACGUACCCCCAAACGAUCAGAUACGGAGCCAAAACCCUAAUUCCACCACCGUAACUUUCUGUAUCCAUGAGAUCCCAUCUUGGGGCCUGUUCUGGAGCUCCGCCGGAGGGGGCAUCGAUCACGGAGGGCUUCUACAUCAACACCAUAGCCUCUCCGAUGAAGUGUGAGUAGUUUACCUCAGACCUACAGGUCCAUAGUUAGUAGCUAGAUGGCUUCUUCUCUCUUUUUGGAUCUCAAUACAAUGUUCUCCCCCUCUCUUGUGGAGAACCAUUUGAUGUAAUCUUCUUUUUGCGGUGUGUUUGUUGAGAUCGAUGAAUUGUGGGUUUAUGAUCAAGUCUAUCUAUGAAUAAUAUUUGAAUCUUCUCUGAAUUCUUUUAUGUAUGAUUGGUUAUCUUUGCAAGUCUCUUCGAAAUAUCAGUUUGGUUUGGCCUACUAGAUUGAUCUUUCUUGCAAUGGGAGAAGUGCUUAGCUUUGGGUUCAAUCUUGUGGUGUCCUUUCCCGGUGAUAGUAAGGGCAGCAAGGCACGUAUUGUAUUGUUGCCAUCGAGGAUAACAAGAUGGGGUUUUCUUCAUAUUGCAUGAGUCUAGCUAUCCCUCUACAUCAUGUCAUCUUGCUUAAGGCGUUACUCUGUUCUUAACUUAAUACUCUAGAUGCAUGCUGGAUAGCGGUCGAUGAGUGGAGUAAUAGUAGUAGAUGCAGGCAGGAGUCGGUCUACUUGUCUCAGACAUGAUGCCUAUAUACAUGAUCAUGCCUAGAUAUUCUCAUAACUAUGCUCAAUUCUGUCAAUUGCUCAACAGUAAUUUGUUCACCCACCGAAGAAUACUUAUGCUCUCGAGAGAAGCCACUUGUGAAACCUAUGGCCCCCGGGUCUAUCUUUAUCAUAUUGUCCUCCUACUACUUUGCUAUUUACUUUGCCUUUAUUUUACUUUGCAUCUUUAUCAUAAAAAUACCAAAAAUAUUAUCUUUAUCAUAUCUAUCAGAUCUCACUCUCGUAAGUGGCCCUAUAGGGAUUGACAACCCCUAUUUGCGUUGGUUGCGAGGAUUUAUUUGUUUUGUGCGGGUACGAGGGACUCGCGCGUAUACGUAGCCUCCUACUGGAUUGAUACCUUGGUUCUCAAAAACUGAGGGAAAUACUUACGCUACUUUGCUGCAUCAUCCCUUCCUCUUUGGGGAAAACCAACGCAGUGCUCAAGAGGCAGCACCCUACGUUCCACUCUAUCGGCUAGGGUAGUAAAGGGAGAACUACUGUGAUUGUGCUUAUAGUUCAUCUGGUCAAGCACCUCAGUAGAGAAAGCCAAAAACUGGCUGUCAUGAUGCAGCGAGAGCUGGUCAACCACUCGACGACUUAUCGGAAUCUUUAGCGAUUCUCUCCGUGUCAUACGAAGGAUCUUUUUCAGAUCAUUUUUUGCAACGCAUCUUAUUAAAAAUAGGCCGCGUAUGUCCAGGGGCUAUAUCGUAGACCCACCAUAAAACUCCUAUGGCUAAGCGAAAGUGUUAACACCCUAUAGUCUGAUUGCCUGGUUCGCCGCAUUGUCACCUCCUUCAUGGACCAAGAUGUUGGGUCAAGAGUGAUCAAAUGCUUUUCCGAACACCCCCGUACUUCCUACAAGGGGGCUAAAGCCGACGACUGGAAAACUUUCAGAUUAUAUAAAAAUGACCGCACAGAAGGAACAAAAGCUUUCAAGCAAAACUUAAAAAUAGAUUAAAUAUAAAAUUGUCUUUUACAAUUCCCAUACACCUCACUCGAAUAUUAUGUCUUCUGAGCAUUGGCCCUCUAUCAAGCGGGCAGCCUCUAAGAUGUCCUCAAAAUAAUGCUCCGGUGCGUGAUGGUCCUUGCCCUUGGGUUGACUCUUCGCUGCAACAUCGAUGGCCUUCAUCUUCCCCCAGUAUGUCUUCAUACGGGCAAAGGCCAUUCGUGCACCCUCAAUGCAUGCCGACCGCUUAACAUCGUCGAUACGUGGCGCCGCAUCAACAAGCCACCACACCAAGCCGAAGUAGCUAUUCGGAAUAGGCCCAGUCGUCCACAGCCGGAUUAUGACGUUCUUCAUGGCAGCGCCGGAUAUCCUAUGAAGCUCGGCCCAUUGGGGCAUCUGUUCAUUCGGCAGCAGAGGGUGUUUUGAUGCACUAAACUGCGACCAGAAAAGCUUCUCCAUUGCAUAUCCCUCUUGCGCCUGGUAAAACUGCACCGCAUCAGAAGAACUCUUUGGCAGGUCCAAAAACGCGUCUGGAGAGCUCCACACUUGGUUAAGCUGAGCAUAAUUCGUAUCGUCGAACUUAGUCUGUAAUAAAAAGGGCUUACCAGCCGCAAUCUCCCCAGCUUGCCGGAUCUCCUCACGGGCCGCUCUAGAUUCUGACCGCGCUUCUUACGCCUCCCGCAAGGCCUUGUCAAGAUCGGCCGUUUUGGCUUUAUUCGCCUUCUCAAAGAAUUCACAGCAGCUAGUAGCAUUCUUUAGUUCGAGCGCCAUCGUGGAUAUUUUCUCCAUGUCUUGGUGCCGAGCAGCUCGUUCGGCCUUUAACUCGGGUGAUGCCUUUUCGGCAGCCCCAUUACUAAACCGGGCCUGCUCCUUGGCUUGGGCCAGCUCCGCCCGAAGAAUCUCAACGGCGGCGGCACCAUCUGCAGCCAUAUAUAUCCCAGUAUGCAAUUUUCAGCGUCAUGCUUAUAUUACAGACACGUAUGUAUAAGGACUGCUCCGAAUACAUACCUUGUGACUCGUCAAGACGCCUAUUGAUUAACGCAAUGUCAUCCCCUGCCACAUCAAGCUUCCGCUGCAGCUCGACAAUAUCCGUAGUCCGGGCAGUCAUCAGGGGAGAAACAACCUGUGUUCCAAUUAAUCAGGUCAGUCCCUGGGCAUUUCUUUUGAUCCUCUGAUUACCUCCCUCGGGAAGCCAAUCAGAGUCUCAGGGGCUACUAUCUAUACAUAGGUGCAUUUCGUGAAUAAAACACAAUUGAACAUAUUACAGUACAAACCUCGAAACCUCUUAGUAGGCCCACAAAUGCCUCAUUCAAUCCGCGCUUCACGGACAGGACCUUUUCAACCACCGUGCCCAUCAAGGUACGAUGUUCCUCUGAGACGGACGCCUGCUGCAGCAUGUUAGUCAGUAUAUCCGGCGCCUCUGGAUCUCCGGAGGCUGCUGUAGGAGUACGGCCACCCUUUGGAGGGAUCCAUUUAUUCAUAUCCAGCUAUAGACCAGAUUGUUCGGGGCCUACAUUACUGGUCCUCGGACCCUGGGCCACCGAAGUAUCACCUUCGGGUAAUAUCUUCAUCGUCCCUCGCACCACCUGUUGGUCGGGGGAGACCCUCCGCGACGACACCUCGAAGUCGUACGCCCUAUGGGGUGGAGAGGCCGGUGGAGGCGUCUCGCUUUCCAUCAUCUUUGGGAGAAGGUCCCUAGAGGAAGAGGAUUGUUGAAGAAGACUGCGUGCCGAACUACAAAAAAUAUAUAUUCUAGGCAUCACAAUAAAGAGAACGAGACAUGUCUAAAACAUCCUUGUUUACUUACGAUUUGGCCUGAGGCUUGUCCUCAUCAUGAGACUGCGCGUCGACGUCCUCCAAGCCUGAGCCGCCCGACAGAGGCAUCUUGCCUUUCUUAGGAGCCUUUUCCUCCCAAUCUCCGAAGGCGGCCUUUUUUCCAUGGGGGGAAGAGGCGUUGACCUCCCCCUCAUUUUUGUCUUCGGACGAUGGGAUCUUGAUUCCUCCGGACACAAUGUCGGAUGCACCUUCGGGAUGGAGGCCAUCUUUGGUCCUCUCCGCCUUGCCCCCCUUCGCAGGCAUCUGGUAUGGUACCAGGGCCAGCAUCCUUGAUAAAAACAGGAUUCACUGGGCCUUCGGGCAAGGGGGCCAAACACAUGAUUAGUUCCGCUUUCUUUAUCCAGCCUUGGAAGAAGAUAGUUUGCUCAGUACCAUAUUACGGUAUGCGUAACUACAAAGUGUUCGGAAGACAAGUGCUUACUCGGGUAUCCAGACGGUGGUAGUCAAGGCUAGCGUCCUCAGUAGUGUCCGGCCAAUGUUUUCGCUUCCCGAAAAACAACUUCGACAUCCCUUCGUGCGUAGUGCCGAAGAAGUGUUGGAGGGUUCGUGGUCCUUCUGGAUUAAGCUCCCACAUGCGGCGAGACCUGCGCUGGCAUGGAAGGAUUUGGCGAACUGGCAUCACUUGAAUCAUGUUGACAAGAUCGAUGUCUCUCUCAAGGAGGGUUCGGAUGCGGCUCUAUAGAGUUUGCACUUCAUCAACUAAUCCCCAGUGCAGCCCCUUGUUAAUCCAUGAUGCAAGCUGUGGCGGAGGGCCGGAACAGAACGCAGGUAUAGCUGCCCACUUGGUGCUACGGGGUUCCGUGACAUAAAACCACUCUCGCUGCCAUUGGUUGGAGGUUUCGGUGAAAGAGCCUUUUGGCUAGAAGGUGUUGGUAAGCUUGCUCACUAUAGCACCACCACACUCUGCCUGUUCCCCGUCGACCACCUUCGGCUUCACAUUGAAAGUCUUGAGCCAUAAGCCAAAGUGUGGGGGGAUUCGGAGGAAGGCCUCGCAUGUAAUAAUAAACGCCGAGACGUGGAGGAAAGAGUCUGAAGAUAUAUCAUGAAAAUUUAGUCCGUAAUAAAACAUUAGCCCCUGGACGAAGGGGUGAAGAGCAAACCCUAGCCCUCAGAGGAAGUGGGAGAUGAAUACGACCUUCUCGCCAGAUCUGGGGGUUGGAAUAACCUGUCCUUGAGCCGGAAGCCUAUGGUGGAUAUCCGCGGUCAAGUAUCCGACCGCCCUAAGCUUCACAAUAUCCUCCUCUGUAAUGGAGGAAGCCACCCACCGGCCUUGAGGGCUGGGUCCUAACAUGAUGGGGAGGCUUGAAGCAAUGAAGUCGGACCUUGGGCGCUAGAACUCGAGGUUGGGAAGGCCGAGGAGAGGUUUGGCAUUAAAAACACAGCCCUUGGUUCCUUUAUAAAGGCAGUGGGUAUUGAACGCCUCCUCCUAAGCCUAAGAACCUGCAUAUUCCUAAGGAAUCUUUCCCACAGGACGGUUGGGUUACCCACGCUCGUAUUGAUGAGAAUUCCGCGAUAAGGGGGCACGAUCUCUGCUUCGACAGGACAUGCCAACAAAAACCACGCCCCGAAAGUGGAACGGCGGGACGGGAACCGGUUUGAAAUAAUAACCGGGCAAGCGUGACGUCACGUUACUAAAGUGGUCAACAGAUUGGAUUCGUGAAAUAUUAUACUCUCUACGGCUGUGUGUUGCAGAUCCGGACACGUUUGUAUUGUCCGAAGACUAUCUUGGAGUUCGGAAGGAGGAACCCGCCUUGCAAUGACGAAGACAGAUCUACGCGCCGGAUACCUUGUCAUUGAAGCCAGGUUCAGGGGCUACUGAGGGAGUCCUAGACUAAGGGGUCCUCGGGCGUCCGGCCUGUUAGCCAUGGGUCGGACUGAUGGGCCGUGAAGAACACGAAGACCGAAGACUACACCCGUGUUCGUAUGGGACUCUCCUUGGCAUGGAAGGCAAGCUUGGCGACCAAAUAUGUAGAUUCCUUUCUUGUAACCGACCUUGUGUAACCCUAGAUCGUCCCGGUGUCUAUAUAAACCAGACGACUUAGUCCGAAGGAGAGGGAUAGAGAUUCAUCAUCAUAGCCAUACAAGCUAGACCUCUAGGGUUUAGCCAUUACGAUCUCGUGGUAGAUCAACUCUUGUAAUACUCAUAUUCAUCAAGAUCAAUCAAGCAGGACGUAGGGUAUUACCUCCAUAGAGAGGGCCUGAACCUGGGUAAAUAUCGUGUCCCCUGUCUCCUGUUACCAUCGACCAUAGACGCACAGUUCGGGACCCCCUACCCGAGAUCCGCCGGUUUUGACACCGACAUCGGCCCCCUUCUCCUAGUCCUAAUCGGCCUCCUGCCCAAGGGGGGGCGCACCAGCCCCUUGUGAGCUGGUGUGCUUCCCUCUUAUGGCCCAUAACUUCUCCCCGGGGGGGGGGGGUUCCGGUAACCUCCCGGUACUCUGGAAAAAUGUCCGAACCACUCGGAAUCAUUCCGAUGUCCAAAUGCAACCUUCCAAUAUAUGAAUCUUCACCUCUCGACCAUUUCGAGACUCCUUAUCAUGUCUGUGAUCUCAUCCGGGACUCCAAACAAGCUUCGGUCAUCAAAUCACAUAACUCAUAAUAUAAAUCGUCAUCGAAUGUUAAGCAUGCGAACCCUACAUGUUCGAGAACUAUGUAGACAUGAUCGAGACACAUCUCCGGUCAAUAACCAAUAGCGGAACCUGGAGGCUCAUAUUGGCUCCUACAUAUUCUACGAAGAUCUUUAUCGGUCAAACGGCAUGACAACAUACGUUGUUCCCUUUGUCAUCGGUAUGUUACUUGCCCGAGAUUCGAUCGUCGGUGUCAUCAUACCUAGUUCAAUCUCAUUACCGGCAAGUCUCUUUACUCGUUCCAUAAUGCAUCAUCCCGUGACUAACUCAUUCAUCACAUUGCUUGGAAGGCUUAUAGUGAUGUGCAUUACAGAGAGGGCCCAGAGAUACCUCUCCGAUACACGGAGUGACAAAUCCUAAUCUCGAUCUAUGCCAACUUAACAAACACCUUCGGAUACACCUGUAGAUCAUCUUUAUAAUCACCAGUUACGUUGUGACGUUUGAUAGCACACAAGGUGUUCCUCCGGUAUUCGGGAGUUGCAUAAUAUCAUAGUCAGAGGAACAUGUAUAAGUCAUGAAGAAAGCAAUAGCAAUAAAACUAAACGAUCAUAAUGCUAAGCUAAGGGAUGGGUCUUGUCCAUCAUAUCAUUCUAUAAUGAUGUGAUCCCGUUCAUCAAAUGACAACACAUAUCUAUGGUCAGGAAACAUAACCAUCUUUGAUAAACAAGCUAAUCAAGUAGAGGCAUACUAGGGACACUCUGUUUGUCUAUGUAUUCACACAUGUACUAAGUUUCCGGUUAAUACAAUUCUAGCAUGAAUAAUAAACAUUUAUCAUGAUAUAAGGAAAUAUAAUAGCUUUAUUAUUGCCUCUAGGGCAUAUUUCCUUCACCUACGGGUUCGAGAACUAUGUAGACAUGACCGAGACGCCUCUCCGGUAAAUAACCAAUAGCGGAACCUGGAUGCUCAUAUUGGCUCCUACAUAUUAUACGAAGAUCUUUAUCGGUCGAACCAUUAUGACAACAUAUGUUAUUCCCUUUGUCAUCGGUAUGUUACUUGCCCGAGAUUCGAGCGUCGGUAUCCACAUACCUAGUUCAAUCUCUUUACCGGCAAGUCUCUUUACUCGUUUCGUAAUACAUCAUCUUGUAAUUAACUCAUUAGUCACUUUGCUUGUAAGGCUUCUUAUGAUGUGCAUUACCGAGAGGGCCCAGAGAUACCUCUCCGAUACUCGGAGUAACAAAUCCUAAUCUUGAUCUAUGCCAACCCAACAAACACCUCCAGAGAUACCUGUAGAGCAUCUUUAUAAUCACCCACUUACGUUUUGACGUUUCAUAGCACACAAGGUAUUCCUCCGGUAUCCGGGAGUUGCAUAAUCUCAUAGUCGAAGGAAGCAAUAGCAAUAAAACUGAACGAUCAAUAUGCUAAGCUAAUGGAUGGGUCUUGUCCAUCACAUCAUUCUCCUAAUGAUGUGAUCCCGCUAUCAAAUGACAACUCAUGUCCAUGGUUAGAAAACCUUAACCAUCUUUGAUCAACUAGUUAGUCAAGUAGAGGCUCACUAGGGACACAGUGUUUGUCUAUGUAUUCACACAUGUAUUUGGGUUUCUGAUCAAUACAAUUCUAGCAUGAAUAAUAAACAUUUAUCAUGAAUAAGGAAAUAUAAAAUAAGAACUUUAUUAUUGUCUCUAGGGCAUAUUUCCUUCAGUACUCCGGGCCAAACACUGCAAGCACAACUUUGCAGAACUUGUACAAUGACGCUAGGCAUAUGGAAUCACUCAUGCAAACAUACUCAUCCACAAGAUCACCGAAAAUUCCGUAUGCAAGCAUCCGAAUAGGUGUAGUACAUUUCUGAUAAGAAGAGAAGCCAACCUUUUUCAUGGCAUUAUGCUUGCAUUUGAAGUAAUCGUCAUACGCCACCACUCCUCUCGAAUAUGGUUGAACACAUGUGUCGCCAUCCGGAAGUCGUCGUCGGAAAAGCUUGGGAGGGAAUAGUGGGUCAAUGAACUUGAAAUAAUCGUUGUAGAGUAGGAAAUGGCUGCACUCUCUGUUAUGAUUCAACCCCAGAGCAAUGGCCCAUGACCGAUCCCCUAAAACUAGGCCGCUGACUAUCAAUGUGCUUGUUAACAACCAAAAUAGCAACCACAAAAUCCUCAUUGUUGGAUUCAUCGAUGAACAUAUGAACUUGUUGUAAAAUAAUUCAUUCGAGCUGUCCACCAUGGUACCUUGUGGGCAAACGCCCGAACACCUUGAGGGGAACAACGGAGGCGGGCGGGUCGAGUCGCGGCCGGUGAAGGGAAACACCAUCUCCCUGUACAUGCAGCAGGCCUGUUGAAGCACACGCCCUCCAGUGUUGACCGUGGAGCGGUAGAGGCAGAGGCGGUGCCAGCGACCUGGGUAGGCCACAAAUGCCGACAAAAGUCGGCGACGGUGGAUGCGGUGGCGAUGGGGCGGUGACGAAGCGGGCAAAACUAGGUGGCGGCGGUGAGGGUGAUGAGGCCAGGGUGGUGUGUGUGUGUGUGAAAUGGAGNNNNNNNNNNNNNNNNNNNNNNNNNNNNNNNNNNNNNNNNNNNNNNNNNNNNNNNNNNNNNNNNNNNNNNNNNNNNNNNNNNNNNNNNNNNNNNNNNNNNNNNNNNNNNNNNNNNNNNNNNNNNNNNNNNNNNNNNNNNNNNNNNNNNNNNNNNNNNNNNNNNNNNNNNNNNNNNNNNNNNNNNNNNNNNNNNNNNNNNNNNNNNNNNNNNNNNNNNNNNNNNNNNNNNNNNNNNNNNNNNNNNNNNNNNNNNNNNNNNNNNNNNNNNNNNNNNNNNNNNNNNNNNNNNNNNNNNNNNNNNNNNNNNNNNNNNNNNNNNNNNNNNNNNNNNNNNNNNNNNNNNNNNNNNNNNNNNNNNNNNNNNNNNGUUGUGCCACAGACUGAAGGGCCAGGGGGAGGACAUGGGAGGACGUUGUGGGCAUCCGCGCGGACGCAAACCCGACCCAAAUUUGGGCCAAAAUGAGUCCAAACAGAAAAGAAAACAGACAUCCAUGUGUGUGCGUUGGUCGCGUUUUGUGUCCGUUUGGACUCAAACGGAUGCGGGCAGACAAAUGGGUCGUGCACGUUCGAGUUGGCCUAAAAUUACUCAGGAAAAAAAGUGUGUAACGUUUUCUUUUCUUUGAGAAUCAAAUGUGUGUAAAGUUGGUGAGACAUGCAUGGCUCGUAACUACUCCAGGUCAGCACCCAGUCCAGUGGGUUAGCAAAGAAACGCAUGAAAGGCAAGUUCGUCAUUCGUGCAUAUCCAUCCAUCCACCUCCCAACCACACUGCCCCGGGCUUCCCGGCAGCACAUAUCCCUUAACUUUGCGCUUUUGUUGCAACGCACUCUAGCCACACACACACAAGUGUCACUAAAGGGCGAGCACCUUCUCGCCGUCCUCAAAUUCAACGACAGCAUAUGUGCAUGCAUGCAUAUAAAACUACUUACACUAGUGGCUGGCUCCCAAGUAGUAGGCCAGUACUGACAAGCUAUAUUUCGAAUUUGAAUGAAAACAGCAGUACAAACUUGUGAAAAUAUUAUACACGUACGUACUACGCCAGCUCACGGUCUCACGGGGAUCCAAGACCAAGAGGCCGGUUUCUCUCUCCAGCUACCGUCCACACCGAGCUCCUAUGCCCAGCGCAUGUGCGUGGUCUCGCGCGAUGCGCCGUGUUCGGGGGGCAGCGAUGGUGAUGAGCUAGGCUUGUUGUACCUCUACGAGCUCGCAUGGAGCAACGGGAAGGUGGCAGUGGGGCGGCAAGGCGCCGCACGCACGGCCACGGCCGCUCGCAUAUUCCGUCUGUCAGCGGGUGGUGACAAAUCGGCACAUGGAGCUGUUCUCCCCCCCUCCCCUCCCCCUGUGUGCCAAUAGAACCGGUACUACUACUACUACUACUACUACUAAAAUGUUUAUUUUAUUUUUAUUGUUUGGAUUUUGAAUUUUGAAUCGAGCCUGGCAUCGUGCCAACCUCACAAGAUUCCCCAGACAUGGCCGGCUUGAUCGAUCAGCAGAGCAAAUGGAUUAUCAUCAGCAGAGAAUACGUAUAUUGCAAAGAUCUGCAGAAUAUCCUUCCACUGAUAAUAACUAUUAAUCGCAGCCUCCCUCCCUGCUUUCGAAAAGGAAAAAUAAAAUAAAAGGGAAACUGAGAGAUGGUCACAGGGGUUCAUUUUCGCCACCACUUGAGCUGCAAGUGGCAAUCCAUGUCGACCGCCAAUAUUGUAACCUUCUUCAACAUCUCUCUUAAUUCGAUGGCUAGAUUAGGUGGGUUAGAGUACCGAUCGCAUCCACUAAACUAAAGCCGGUGGCCAUGUGCUCCAUCCAGCUUACCAAGUCCAGUCAGUGGGUGGCAUGCCAUGCCUUCACAUGAGGAGCAAAGCAAACCGGCCGGCCUCCAAUUAAGCACGGCGUCGGCAUUGACCAUCACUGGCUCCAAGGACUAUUCAUUCAUUCAUGCGCAGAGGCCGGCCGGCCGGUGGUUGCGCGCGCGACGCAUGAACCAACAUGUGAAGUGCGUAAUUAGCGCAUUAACUACCCAAUUUACUCGAGCUGCAAGUACAGUUUAAUGGACUCUGCAAGGACACGAUCACACGAGGAAACAUGUAUGCAGGGAGCAUCCGAUGCAGGCUCUCCUGGAGGAGGAUAUUUUGUGAUCGCCAUCACUGUAUCUAUACUGAUUCAAUGAAGGAGAUAGGUAUUUCACGCCGUGGCUCAGUUCGAAACCUUGGGCCGUUUCAUUCAGCUGAAAAUAUCGUAAGGCGCUGGAGAUAUUUUAUGUCCAAGGGAAAAUGAAACAGAGACAGAAAUACGGCUGCUGUAUUGUAUGUAAUGGCUGCCACGAGGCCGCGACGCGAGGGCGACCUCUGUGCUGUGUGUGUGGCUUCGUGCUCCAGCUUUGGUGACAGCUACGGUGAAACGUCCUUCUUUGUGCAGCUGCCACGUAGUUUUCCAUCUCUGUUUUUCGCCUCUUUUAUUUCUCUCGAUGAAGUCUGUCUUUUUCUGCUGACCGUGCAUGAGAAAAAUGGGUAGAAAAACCAGCAGCAGCAACAGCAGAAAUAUCUAUCGCUCAUUUUUUCGGGUGAAAUGUCAAUUUUGACGAGUUCACACUUUUUUUUGAGACAAAGAUACCUAUCGCUCAUGGCCGGGCCAGUUUAACUCCUGGCUCCCGGCCUCAAAGCAAAGCCCAGAACUAGCUGGGCCAUCUUGAUGUUUUCGGCAGCGCAGGCCUCCGUCUGUCAGGCCCAACCACCGCUCCACCUCAUCCCCCUCGUCGGCGACGCGGCCCCGCCGGCAGAAGACCGCGGCGCAGCUUCCGUCCGCUCGCCGCUCGCCGCUCGCCGCCCGAGUAGUGGCAGGCACCGCGAGCGCGAGGUAUUUGUCCUGUCCACGUCGCUACUUUACGGAACGGCUCCGCUACGUACGCAUUCUCUCCCUCCCGGGCGGCACGGCGUCGUGUGUCCGGUGGCAAACUAAUUGUGGCCGUGCCCGUGCGCGGCCGCUCGCCGGCGCCGCCGUGGCUGUACUUAUUCCUUGCUUCUUCACGGGCCGGGCAGGUGCGCUCAGAUUUCUCCCGCUGUGCUGCACUACACUGUACUGUACUGUACUGUACUGUACUGACGGUGCUGGUAUAUAUGGGUUUGGCAUCAGGAGAAAGCAGUACUAGCUGGUUGCGGUGCCAACUUAACUGGCGUGGAAAGUGGAAACCAGACAUUGCCUGCAGUAGUUCCUGAGUACUGCUUGUCAUAGUCCAUUGCUUUGGACUGCAAUACGGCCGCCGAUUUACUUGGAUGGCGCGGUUAGUUUCUGCUUUAUUCUCGAGCUGCACAUCUGAAGAGCCACACAUUUUUUAGGUAGGGAGUAUUGUUUAUCUCCAGCUGCUUUAUUCUUAAAUACUAGACUAGAAAGGCUAAUAUUUGGGUCCGUUUAUGGUUGCAUAUCCGUUGAUUAUGUAUUGUUAACAAUAAAACCAAACAAAUACUGUUUCUAUGAGAAGUGGGGAAAAUUUUGUACCACAAUUACCAUUUUUGGUUUUUGCAAUCAAAGAAAUAAAUUAAACAUUGUUUGGUAUGUUGUGACUGUAAUGGUUCAUACACCAUUUCAUCUAAUUUUUUACCAAGUCAGAUGUGCAGCCGUUUGACGCUAGUUCUAUCUUAAUCUUAGUCUUCUUCAUGCAACUAAAAGCGUUAAAGUAAAUGCCGCUGACCACAGUUUAGUGAGUUUGCCAUCAAUCACUGGCUCAGUUUUCGCACCAGCCAGGAUAUCUUGCUGCUGAAAAGUUGGUUAUGCCUAAUCGAAGAACUCAAGUCAAUCUCAUUCAAGAACGUCAUAUGCUGUUACAUCCUUCCUAUAUGUGCUGUACAUUACAGACAGAGAUAUCAUACAAGGCCUGCGGCGCCUCCAUCUGCACCCCUACAAACUUUGCUGGCUUGAUUCACCAUCUGUUCGUCUCACAAGCCAUUUUAGCUAUCCUCUACUUGUUUUCCCUCAAACUUUUCUUUGACCUCUUCAGGUUCGCUUAGGCUAAUUCCUCUGUCGAAAUCGGGAACUGUUAUAGGUAGAGGCUCAAUGUCAUCUGGAGGGUCAUAGUUUGGAUCAGCAAGAAAUGUAAGGGCCGUCACCACAUCACUGAUUAGUGGACGACUGCUUGCUUCUUCUUGUAGGCACAUUGAUGAAAUUGCAAGUGCCUGGUAUAGACCUUUUAGGGGGUACUUGCUGUCAAGUUUUGGAUCAGCCAUCUUGGUAAACUUCUUCUUAUCCUUGAAGAGUGGCGCUGCCUGCAGAUAUAGCAGCAUCUUAAUCCCAAACCGUAUGGGCAAUCUGUAUAUCUCAAGCAUGAGCUGUUUUACUUGGUUAUCACAAUUCAAUAUGACUACCAAGUGAAAAUUUCAAGGCUAUAGUAUUUCUUGGUCAAUUAGAUGUAAGUCUUACCCAGUGGACAAGAAUUUGCUCGCGAGUUGGUUUCGUGGUGUCGAUUGCUCGCCUCCCAGUGAUGAGCUCCAAGAGAACUACACCAAAGCAAUAUAUGUCUGACAUCUUUGUUAACUUGCCACUCAUGGCGUACUCGGGAGCGCAGUAUCCGUACGUGCCCAUCACCCUUGUGGUGACAUGAGUUUUGUCGCCGACUGGGCCAAGCUUUGCAAGGCCAAAAUCGGCCAACUUUGCACUGAAGUUCCCGUCCAAGAGAAUAUUUGAUGCCUUGAGAUCACGGUAUACCACCGGUGGAUUGGCUACCUCAUGCAAGUACUCGAGGCCUCUGGCAGCAUCAACUGCAAUCUUCAUCCGUGUAUUCCAGGACAGCGGCUGGGAUUUUGGAGUGAGAUCUGCAGAAUUCAAGUACCAAAUCAGCGUCGAUACAAAUGCGCGAUCAUAAUUUCUGAUCUUUCAAUUCUGCGGAAUAUUUUUGAGGACCACAACAUUGUUGUUCUGUAUUACCUAGGAGAUGAUCUUGCAAAGAACCGAGUGGCAUAUACUCAUACACUAGAAUCUUUUGGUCACAUUCGGUGCAGUACCCGAGCAAGGUGACAAGGUGUGGGUGAUGAAGGAGGCUAAGCAUCAGCACCUCGACAAGGAACUCACGAUUUCCUUGCAACCCAUCCUUGUCCAGCUGCUUAACCGCUAUGACCUACGUACGCACAUAAUUUACAUCAGAAACGUGUUGCUGCUGUAUGUAGCAUAGCAUCUUGAGGUGCCAACUUAAUGAAACAUAGAACAGGAAGCUGGGAGAAGGAAUGCUUAUUACUUCCAUGGUCUCUGAAAUGUAUCCUUUGUACACCCUUCCAAAGCCACCUUCUCCCAGGAGAUUCUCCUGGCUGAAAGAAUUGGUCGCGUCUGACAGUUGACUGUACGCAAACACUCUGCUAGGAAUGUUGUGGUUGCCAAUCCGUAGUAUUUCCCCUGCCGCAGCCCUGGCCUUGGGACUAUCUGCAUUUUAAGAUUUCUUCUCAAUCAGAAAUGCUUACUUAAUCGCCCAAACAUGAAUUACUAAUCCAGGAUUACAAAUUUCAGGGUGAAAGCAGGUCCAAGAAGAGGGGAAUGCAUAUACAACUUUCCUGAACAUCACUAACUGUUGUUGCAAUGUAUCUGAACUAAAAAUUCUUACCACCAGAUUUCCUAUGUAAGUACCUAAAUGCUCGUCACAUAUCUGUGUUGGGCAAAUAUUCAUUGAUAAACUUGAUAUUGACAUGCAUUGCUGAAUUUAGUUUCUCUGCAAAGAUGGAUAAUAAGAUGAUGGAGGGCAUUACUUGGGAGUGAAAUCUCUUUCACAAGCGUUGCCAACUGUUUGUUCUUGGCCUUCUUCUUUCUCCAAAUCUUGUUCUUGAACCACCUUUUCUUGUCCGGCUCAGAGCUCGAUGCCCCGUUCUUCCUCUUCUUCUUUGUCUCUGAUGUCAAUGGCUCCUCCGCUUCAUGUGACGUCCAGCCACAGAAACUGCGCCCCCACUUCCUCUUUGUUUUCUUUGUCUCUGAUGUCGAUGCCUCUUGCCCAGCCUCCCUCUUCUUCUUUGUCUCUGAUGUCAAUGGCUCCUCCGCUUCAUGUGACGUCCAGCCACAGAAAUUGCGCCUCCACUUCCUCUUUGUUUUCUUUGUCUCUGGUGUCGAUGUCUCUUUCCCAGCCUCCCUCUUCUUCCUGCCGCACAGGCCACGGAUCCAUGAACAGCAGCAAGCACAGCUACCACGAACCCACGAGCAGCAGCACCCGAGGCGUAUGCUGCUGCAUUUCACGGUGCGAAUACCACGAAUCCACGAGCAGCAGCACCCCAUCGAAUUGCUGGAUCGACGCGAGAGUGGGCGAGCACUCUCAUGCCGAUCAUUACGAUCACCGGAUAAGAAUUUUCACCGGCGGUAAGAAGGAGCGGCAGGAGGCACAGGUGAGCUCACAAUUGUUCUCUCGUAUCCCUAGUCUGCACCCGAAGAAUGCGGCGGUUUCCCUUUCCCUUGGAGGCUUGCUUGGAUGAUGAUAGGUCUCAAACCAAGAAGCCAUUUUUGGUCUGUUCUUUUUUCCUUCUAAGUGUUGAUAGUUUUAGCCAGGGAUAUUGCCACACCCUCUUUCUUCGCAUGCAAAAUAUAGGAGUCUGUUCGCAUUCAGUGGCUGACAAUGAGCUGAGACAUGCACAUACUAUAUAGCACCAGUUUUGUUCUUUUUUUAGCCCAAAAAGCUUUUCAUUUUGCAUCAUUACUGGGCUUUACAUUAGUUACAUGAAAAACUUGAACACACGCCACAUUUAUUGUAUAGCUAAGGUGCAUGCAUGCCUAAGCACCAAGCGAGCUGCAGAGAGUUCUAUCACUGGCUGGCCAACAAUGCGUCGCCGCCCUCUAGCCGGCACAUUGCCGGCAGCUGUGCCGCGAGCUGCUGUGCCUUUGCCACCUUUAGGCUGGCCGCAUGGUGCUCCGCGCUAACAUGGUAUGGGCUGUCGUAGCCUUGUUGCCCUUGUCCUGACUGCUGCGGAGAAGUUGGGUAGUAUCCUUGUUGCCCUUGUCCUAAUUGUUGCCCUUGUCCUGACUGCUGCGGAGAAGUUGGGUAGUAUCCUUGUUGCCCUUGUCUUGGUUGCAGCCAUUGUCUUGGCUGUUGCCCUUGUCCUAACUGCUGCGGAGAAGUUAGGUAGUACCCUGAUUGCAGCCAUUGUCCUGGUUGCAGCCAUUGNNNNNNNNNNNNNNNNNNNNNNNNNNNNNNNNNNNNNNNNNNNNNNNNNNNNNNNNNNNNNNNNNNNNNNNNNNNNNNNNNNNNNNNNNNNNNNNNNNNNNNNNNNNNNNNNNNNNNNNNNNNNNNNNNNNNNNNNNNNNNNNNNNNNNNNNNNNNNNNNNNNNNNNNNNNNNNNNNNNNNNNNNNNNNNNNNNNNNNNNNNNNNNNNNNNNNNNNNNNNNNNNNNNNNNNNNNNNNNNNNNNNNNNNNNNNNNNNNNNNNNNNNNNNNNNNNNNNNNNNNNNNNNNNNNNNNNNNNNNNNNNNNNNNNNNNNNNNNNNNNNNNNNNNNNNNNNNNNNNNNNNNNNNNNNNNNNNNNNNNNNNNNNNNNNNNNNNNNNNNNNNNNNNNNNNNNNNNNNNNNNNNNNNNNNNNNNNNNNNNNNNNNNNNNNNNNNNNNNNNNNNNNNNNNNNNNNNNNNNNNNNNNNNNNNNNNNNNNNNNNNNNNNNNNNNNNNNNNNNNNNNNNNNNNNNNNNNNNNNNNNNNNNNNNNNNNNNNNNNNNNNNNNNNNNNNNNNNNNNNNNNNNNNNNNNNNNNNNNNNNNNNNNNNNNNNNNNNNNNNNNNNNNNNNNNNNNNNNNNNNNNNNNNNNNNNNNNNNNNNNNNNNNNNNNNNNNNNNNNNNNNNNNNNNNNNNNNNNNNNNNNNNNNNNNNNNNNNNNNNNNNNNNNNNNNNNNNNNNNNNNNNNNNNNNNNNNNNNNNNNNNNNNNNNNNNNNNNNNNNNNNNNNNNNNNNNNNNNNNNNNNNNNNNNNNNNNNNNNNNNNNNNNNNNNNNNNNNNNNNNNNNNNNNNNNNNNNNNNNNNNNNNNNNNNNNNNNNNNNNNNNNNNNNNNNNNNNNNNNNNNNNNNNNNNNNNNNNNNNNNNNNNNNNNNNNNNNNNNNNNNNNNNNNNNNNNNNNNNNNNNNNNNNNNNNNNNNNNNNNNNNNNNNNNNNNNNNNNNNNNNNNNNNNNNNNNNNNNNNNNNNNNNNNNNNNNNNNNNNNNNNNNNNNNNNNNNNNNNNNNNNNNNNNNNNNNNNNNNNNNNNNNNNNNNNNNNNNNNNNNNNNGUUGCGGAGAAAUUGGGUAGUACCCUUGUUGUCCUUGUCCUGAUUGUUGCUUUUGUCCUGGCUGCUGACCUUGUUGCCCUUGUUCUAGUUGUUGCCCUUGUCCUGACUGUUGGCCUUGUUGCCCUCGUUCUGGUUGCUGCCCUUGUUGGCCUUGUGUUAGUUGUUGCAAUUGUCCUGGCUGCUGCGAAGAAGUUGGAUAGUAUCUUGGUUGCCCUUGUCCUGACUGCUGACCUUGUUGUCCUUGUCUUAGUUGCUGCCCUUGUCCUGGUUGCUGUCUUUGUUGCUCUUGUGUUGGUUGUUGCAAUUGUUCUGGCUGCCAUGGAGAAGUUGGAUAGUACCCUGGUUGCUCUUGUCCUGACUGCUGCGGAGAAGUUGGGUAGUACCCUGAUUGCCCUUGUCCCGGUUGUUGCCAUUGUCCUGACUGUUGCGGAGAAGUUAGGUAGUAUUCUUGUUGUCCUUGUCCUGGCUGCUGACCUUGUCCUGGCCGUUGCGAAGAAGCUUGGCCUGGAUAGUAUGAAACCCGUUGCGGAGAAGUUACACUUAGGUAAUACCUUCUUAGUAGUGCAGGUAUUCCCCAAAGUAUACUUUGUUGGAGUUGCUGUGGUGGCGUGGUCUCGCCGGGGUAGAAAGAUCCACCCUUGGGCGGCACCACGACUUGCUGCUCAUAUUGUCUCGCGACCGGGCCGCCGCCGACGGGUUGGCACUCGGGGCUAACGUCUCGGAGCUGCUGGUCUACGACCUGUCGGCAUGCCUUAAGCGAGUGCUCCUGGAGCUCGCGCUCACACUGUAGUUGCCCAGAGGCCUCACCUUCAGCAGCGGUGAGAGCCACAAGGGCGACGACUACCGCCGCAAAAAGAACCAACCGCUUAGUCAUCUCGGUGGACUGUCGGUGAAUUGAUCUCUAGUUUGUGAUGCUCGGUGUUGUGGGUGAUGAAGAGAUUGUGAAGGUUGGCUAGGCUUUUAUAGGGACGAGGUGAAGAUUCAGGACCAUGGCUGCGUGCACGGUAAGGUUUGUUUAGCCUAAGAAGAAAGUGUGAGAAGAACAAAAUCGGUUGAAAAAGUGUAGUUUGCCAACACAAAAAAAGCUGGAUAAGCAAGGAGCAAUUGGAGCUUUGUAAAACAGAUUUUUGGACGGUCUGCUAAAGCCACGUAAUCGGCUUAAUCCUAGUUCUGGUGUAUUGUUUCCAGAAGUGUGGAUGUUUGUAUAUUGGUCUGUUCCUUUUUAUCUAAGAGAAGUGAUUAUCCUUCUUGGGGUUUGGCAGAAUAUGUGUCCGUUAGCCAUUGCUUUUGCAAAUCUGCGGCCACUCAAUGCUUCUAAGCAUGUCGAGUAGUGGAAGGUAGCCUGCAUGAAACAAGUAAAUGGAUAACUCCUAAAGGCCAUUUCAGGUUUUGUUGAUUGUCAUGUUAGUUGGAUUUCCCGGCAACACAAAUCCAUCCUAUGACUCACAAUAUCUAUCCAGUGACUCACAACAUCUAUCUAUGCUAUGACGCGCCGUACAAAAAAGUUGGUAGAAUUUUGGACUUAUGGAAACACCUUUCCGUGACAAAUGAACUAACCAAACCAUGUCUAAAAUUAAUAUAUGAUCUUCAGAGAAAAUCCGCGUCAAAUAGUUUGAUUUACACAGAAUAAAGAAUUUGUUUACUUCCCAAAUGAGUUCAAUUAAUGCAGAUUUAAUUGUCCAUUAUAUCCUCCUCCUAUGUUUAACCUCUUAUCUUCUUUUAUGAUCUCCAAGUGUUUCUUCCCCGCCCUUGCCUCUCUGCAUGUCCAUUGUCUUUCCCUAGCCUCCGUAGACGAUACACUUCUUCUCUCCUUGGCCUUAUCGCUUGCUCACGCCAUCACUAAUAUUCCCUUGUAACUAGAUAUACCCCACAAGUUGUUGCUGGAAUGUUUUAUAUAUUUGAAUGAGAUUUGGUUGUAUGAAACAUGUAUAUUUGGAUAUGAGAACUAAAACUAAAAACACAUAUAAUUUAUUGUGUUUGAUUAUUGUAUAUUUGUGAAAUAUUUAUCAAAUAUAAUUAGCCAAGUAAAAAGUAAAUUAUGUUGCAUGUUUGCAUGCUGAGUUGCGAAAGUGCCUUUAUACACCCAGGAGCAAAUGCUCCUGGUGUGAACAGUAAAAUAAAAAUAAUAAAAAAUCAAAUUUUUUUGUGACAUUAACAAAUGUUUAUCGUGCACGCAAAAAUUCAUCGCAAAAUCACGUUGGUGGAAGUCGUGCCAAAAAAAACAAAAUCGAAACUCCAAAAUGCUUUUGUAAGUAACAUUUUUAGAGCAUCGAUUUUGUUUUUUUAUCACGCCUUUCACCAAUGUGAUUUUGUGAUGAAAUUUUGCAUGUACAACAAACAUUUGUGAAAGUAUGCCACAAAUAAAUUUCAGAUUUUUUUGAACUUUUUUUGUUUUUUUUGUUUUUACUAAGCAUUUGUGCUCAUGGGUGUAGAAACUCCACAUCCGCUGAGCUGAGCUUUCUUCUAUGCAUGGUUGCAUAUUGAGGUAGGCAUUUUCUUAUGUGACAUGCUUGCAUGUCGAGAGAAAUGUGUUAGUGGAGGCUAGUUAUUUAGACUAGAAGGGUUGGGCACGCUUUGCUGCUUUGUUGGUGUUGUUGGGGUAAAAAAACUACUCCCCCUGUUUCAAAAUAUAAGGUGUAUUAGUUUUCCGAAAAGUUAAACCUUUUAAAGUUUGAUCAAAUUUGUAAAGAAAUAUAUCAAUAUCCAUAAUAUCAAGUCGAUAUCACUGGAUUAAGCAUGAAACAAAUUUUCAUAUUUUAUUUAUUUAGUAUUAUGGAUGUUGAUGUUUUUGGUUGUGAACUUGGUCAAAGAAACAGAUGGAGUAUUUGGCUUGGCGAGCGAGGGAGAUGAUGAAGUGUAUUUUCUUUUUAUUUAUAAUAAUGCGGGUUUCGAUGAGCCUUUCACGGUGUGAUUAUGAGUUUUUUAUUAAUCAACCAUACUUAUGCAGGGACGUUUUCUAUGUCGGUGGCUACAUGUAAUGUAUUGAUGCUACAAUAUCAUAUAUUGACGUUUCUUUUUUCUCGGUGGUGAGAGGAUGUGCGGGAUUGAUACCAUCGACCCGGUCAAAAUUAUGAACCAAAUCUAAAAUUGAAUAUUUCAAUCGGAUGGGAGAGCUCCAAAAUUAGGGAGCAUAAUGAAUUAAAAGAAUUGAAUGAGAGUGCUCCUUCAGAGGGAAAAAAACUAUUGUUGGCUCGGUCAAAAUCCGAUGAUUCAAUUUCAAAUUGGAGACCUCAAUUGACUUUCAGAAUUCACAAAUUAGGGAGAAUAAGGAAUUAAAUAAGAGAGCUUCACAAUUAGCCACCACCUUGCCAUCAUUAUCUGGAGUUCAGCAAAGGCAAACUGAACAUUACAGAAAACCUUGCCGCUGAAGAAAAUGAUGGCAUCCGAAUUAGUUAUCUGGAAUUAGAUUUACAAUAUCAUCAAGAAAAAAUUGACUUAAUACAAAGAAAAAACAAUAUUGUCAAGAACAACAUGAGGGGUCAGCUGUAACUUGGUUAAGAAAGAAGAUCAUGUGUCAAACCAUUGACACCCGCAUACAACUCAUGAGGGAGUGUUCUUUCCCGAUCAGCUAUGCAGUUACGGGCCAACUUGCACCUUGCAGCCCCAUAAUCGUUGCCUCUGGUCUUGCCGGUCACUAUGAAUAUCUCUUUUACAACAAAUACCAGAACACCAGUGUAAAUGAUUGGCCAUUAUCUCGAGACAAAAGUAUAUUCGCUAGACAAAAGAAGCAACUUUUCAUAUCUUAUUCAAGAAGCUACUUUACUAUCGCGUCAUGCAAGGAGAUACCAGCAGACCUUGCACAUAUCCUAAGAUAGUUUACAAUGUAUUUGGCUAAAUUCUUCAGAGAUGUUGUUUGUAGUAGUCUCAUGUGUGUUUACACAAAGGCUUAAAUUCCGUUUGGCAGAAGAAGAAACUGACAAUGCAUACGACUUUUUUAGUAGCACUUAAUUUACAACACAUGUUGAAUUCAAGCAAGGGCACAUCAACAGUUGCAUACAUUUUAUUUCCAGGGAUGUGUUGUGAAUAUGUGAUGCAAACUUUGACAACCAAACUGGUUUGACAAGUAUGAAAACAACUUCCGUUUAUUAAUUUGUUAUUUUUAGGAGGAUAUCAUCUAUAAGAGGCCGAAAUAAGACCAAACACACCUUCAGCUCACCUCCUCAAUAUCCAUAAUUCAUAUUGGCAAUGGCAAGUGACUCUAGAUAAGAGUCUUCACCCACUUCUUCCAAAAUUACUUCAAAAAAAUUCUCUCUAUUUGAUGCAUCACGUAACUUUAUCAUCGGCCUACAAUAGUGAUAAUAAUUACCAAUCAAAUGAUUAGCAACCAAUAGGCAACAAUUCAGUGAUCCCAACCCAAUGCAUGAGAGAUGAAAUUACAGUUACUACCUGUGGGUGAACCGCCUAAUGAAAGCCUUAUCUAGGUCAACCCCAGUCAACUUGUGGCACUACUACAAAUUAUCAAUUCAAGCAUGAUAGACAUGCACCGCAUAUUUCUCUAUAGUGCUAAUCGCAUCAAUUCAAGCAUGCGAACAAAUUACUUUCAAUCUCUAUAUCCUAGCUCUUUUUCCUCUCGAACUAGCCCUCUAUCAGCAAGAUGCUCUUCGCUUCCCCGAACAUAAAUGUUCACUUCAGUUUUCUACAAGCUGUGGUAGUCUAUUUCAGCACGAAUCAACUCUGACAUUGAAGUAAAUGGAAAGAAAGUUCCCAUUUCAGGAGGCAUGGUUGGUUCUUUGGUUAAAGGUAUGAACAGAACAACCAAAGCCUGCAAUCUUCUAAAGAUAUACAGAAGCACAAAUUAACAUACACAAAAUUUGUUGUCUUGCUUGUCCAUUUAGAAUAGUAAAUCUGUGCUAGAAGGGCCAUUGUCUGUUGAUGUCGCUGCUUUGAGAAACCAAGAAACUGAUGAUAAUUAAACAUCACUCGUACAUGAAUUUCCAAUCAUCGGCUUGCACAAAACUAGGGGUAAUAUAAGAUAUCAGUUACAGGAAGCAAUUACAUAUCAAAUUAGAUCCUGAACAGUUUUGAAACUGAAAUCAGUACCAGCAGACCACAUUCGCCUCUAAUAAAAAGAGAGUAUUGCUUGAUAUCACCUAACCGAACUUUGUUCAAAAUCAUAUCAUCCCAUAUAUAUCUAGUCAAGAUGGUACUGUAAACAAAUUUCUCCUAGGCUACAUCUAAAUGAUGAGGUCUCCACCUGUAGCAUUCGGAUCAAAACAUUUGCAGGGAAUGGAUGAACACCAGCACCAAUCCAUACAAAUUCUUUGUAGAAAAUAAUGGACAAAACAAGCAGGUCACCAACAAUCUUGAAAAAAGUUGUCUUCCACUUGGAUCAAAGAAAUAACACAAAUCCUUUCACCAAAUAAAUAACCCUGGUGGAGGAGGUCAUGGAGUGUUCGGCGGAUGAAGUAGUACAUCCAUCCCUGAUUAAGGCUCGGAGAGGCACCAAUUCUAGUGCCGCUCACCUCUGAACCCCGAUGUGCCACACGAUAGGAUUGCAUGACCCAGCGUCUUGUAGUUCUUUCCCUCGAGCAGCAGGGGCAGCUCGAUGUUGGCCAGCUUCGCCUUGUACACCCCGCAACAAGGUCACCGUCUCCACUACCUGCCCCAGGUGUGCCCCAACCUGAAACAAACACACAACUUCCCUACAAAUCCUCCAUCUUCAUCUCCCUCAUAAAGACCACUGUUAAGAGCGAGGUGAUGGUACUAGGUUAUUCCGCGGAGGACUCCCUUCGCAUAGCCAACCGGCUUAACUAUUGAUUAGGAUCAUUCCCAACUACCUAUCUCGGCUUGCCGAUUAGUGACUCCCAGCUCCAGGAGAAAGAUCUCUGUCCCACGGUGGCUAAGGUUCAGUACCAUGUCGAGCCGUGGCAGGGGCGUUGGCUCUCCAAAGCGGCGCGGGUAGUUUUGAUGAAGUACUCAUUGAUUAGCCUAUUGAUGUACAUGAUGGGAUUCUAUAGCCUGCAUGAAUCCCUUCACCAGGAAAUCGCCAAAUACUUGUCCAGAUUCUUUUGGGCAGGUCAGGGCAAUAGGCAGAAAUACCACAUGGUGAAAUGGUCUGAGAUAUGCAAAAACCAAAGGACCAAGGCGAUCUAGGGGUCAUUUCAUCCAAGUGGAUGAACAUUGCCUUGUUGUCCAAAUGGUUAUGGCGCAUUGAGGUUGGUGAAGGCAGGUUGUGGCUUCAGAUUAUCCGUGCAAAAUACUUGCAUGGGAAAGCCCUAGCUUUUGCACCCAAAACGGGUGGAUCCUAGUUCUGGUAAUCUAUCAUUCAGCUGAUGCCAGUUCUUCGGAUAGGAUCUUCGAUCGCAGUGGGGAUGGGUACCAACACUCUGUUUUGGCUAGAUCGGUGGUCGGGCGAUAGACCGUUCGCCGAAGAGUUCUAUGCACUAUUUAGUAUUUGUGCUCGCCCACAACUCACGGUGAGUGCGGCCCUAAAGGACCUGGGGUGCAUCGCCUUCCGCCGCACCUUUGGCCUGCUUGAGCAGGACCAGUGGGAGGAGCUGCUUCAAUGCAUAGCCCUCCAUUCUCCCACCCUUGAGGAGGAUGCGAUUUCCUGGUCACUUGAACCAGGUGGGAGGUUUUCCACAAAAUCCCUAUAUGCACUUAUGGCCACCUUGGGCUCGACCGAGCUGACUCCUCUAUGGGAGAUUAAGCUGCCACUGAAGAUUCGCAUCUUCCUCUGGCAACGGGUGCAUGGCCGCCUUCCUUCGGGUACAGAGGUCCUUAAAAGUAACGGCCCCGGGGACAGGCUAUGCCCAUUAUGCGGAGUGCCGGAAGACUCUAACCAUAUAUUCUUUCGUUGUCCGGCGGCGAUCUUCCUUUGGAGUUGCCUUCAAGUUACUGUUGGUGGCAACUGGUGCCACGACAAUCUUCCUGAUUUGUUCCAAGAGAUCCUAAGUCUGGAUUGUAGGAUGCGCCCCGCCCUUUGGGUAGUGAUGGGCUCGCUUGCCUAGACAUUAUGGAAUGUGCGCAAUAAACUAGUGAUUGAGCAUGUGAUUCCUUCUUGUGCGACUGACGCGAUAUAUAAACUGUGUGGUUUCUUACAGCUCUGGAGACCGCUUAGCAAGCGAUACGAUCGGGACAACAUCGACAUGAUCAUUGUGGGACUUCGCUCCACUGCCGGAUCCAUUGCGCCACUGCCCCCUCCACUGCCAGAGCCGGAUUAGCUAGUUCAUUGCUUCUUUUAUAGGGGUUUGUUGUGCUGUGUCCCCAGCUGAACCUAUUUGCAUUCUUCGACUUUGCUUUUGCUUUUGUUUCUGCUUGAAUCUUGAGCUCGAUGUUGUUGGUGCGGUUGCUUUAUAAUCUAAAGCGGGGGGAAACCCUUUUCCAUCAAAGACCACCGUGAACCUGUGAUCUUCUUCCUCUUGAAUCACUGCCAGAUGUGCGAGAUUUGUGGAGGAGAGAUGAUGAAAAAAGCGGCAACGACAGUAGCCGGCAUCACGAGAAUGGAGAGCAUCGGGAUCCGAGGGAGACAUGGAGCGGGGGUGGCGGCCGACUAUGCAGGUCGAGCUCUGGUGCGGCGGCGCUCUCCUUCGGCUGGGUAUCCUAAUGAACAAAGAGAAAUUGUGAGGUGUCCAGCAAGAGAGAUGGGCUGAGCGAGGGAGGGACCACCACACAAUCAGUUGUCUGGCUCUGUCAGCCUUACAAUUGGAAGUAUUUUUUGACAAAUCUAGCCCCUUUGAGCAACUUCAGGCAUGUCUAGCCUCCAGGCAAAACUAUUUCGGAAUCUGGCCCCUGGGAUCAGCGCCGCACAACAUGGCGCCGAACAUGUACACAUCGGCGCCAAACUAAGUGGCGCUUGCGCCGAGGUGUACAUGUUCGGCGCCGUGUUUUCCGGAUGACGAACUUACAUAUAUCGAUUCCAGUAUGAAAUGUGACUGCCUUUCCGUUUGUGGUUUAUUUGUUGUGUGGUGAGAUGUUGAAGAGAUUGAGAUUGAAACAUGUUUUCCGGAUGAUGUUGGAUGAGCUGGAAAGUUGCUUUUACUGCCAACACUCUUUAUCGUGUAGUAUGGAUGUCCUUAGCAUGUUAACGUCUUUUGCACUAGUCAUGAGUCACGAUGAUGAGGAUCAUGUAUCGACUUUAUCCAUAAUAAUAAUAAUUCCUUGAGAAGUGUCACGUAUGAUAAUCUUGUUUGUACUUUGUACAUUUCACAAAUGAAUUUUGAAGGUUUUCUAAUCUGACACAGGAACAAUGCAAGGGUGAAUCGAUCAGCUUUAGUUGUACUUUUCCUCUCGAGUUUGGUUUUGAGUGGUAUUUCUGAUUCUCUUUUCCAAACGAAAAACUUAACUGAUAAGACGAGAAUAUAUGUCGAUACUACUCCGGUCCACUUCGGUGAGGUGCCGCUACGUCGUCCGACCACUGCCUUAUUUCAACUUCGGUUGGAUGGGAGCCCUCGCCGACGGCUUCCCGCAACAGGUGAGGGAAUAUUUAGGCACGAGAUCAUGUGGGAAUCUCACAAUGGGUUUACUUCCGUACUUGGAAAGGAGAACCAGGAGCAACCACGUUGCCGGAUAUACAACACAAGUUGCUAUGAGUGUUGUUUUUUCACUAUUUGUGGCGAGAAUGUGUUGUUUCAGCGUUAGGAGCAACCGGAUCGCCCGAUCGGCCGCCUUGCCAGCCGAGCGAUAACCUCACCGCCACAUUGUCCCGUUCGCCCCUCCUACCAUGCACAUGGCGAGAAAAAAAACCACAUCUCACUUGGCAGCAUGAAAAAACUUGCCAAGCUUGCAAUUGUUGCCCGUCGACAUGCAACAGUGGUGGUGAGUUCGACCUAUCGCUACCACCGCCCACAACACCGCCGAGGCGAACAUGCAACAUUAUUGUUGCCGCUCCGGGAAUCUUUGACCCGGACAUGGAGCAUUGUCGGGAAACCUUGUAGCGUGGUUGGCUUCAGCUCUAGCAUCGUCGUGUGACCUUGCAGCUCACGAUUCCUAGCUUCCAUCGUCGGCGACCGCCACCUACAACAUCAUGCGUCACCCGCUUUGCAGAAAUAGUGGAUGAAUAACAACAAGGCGUGUCCCGCUUGUAGCAGGUUGCAUGACCGGUCCUUGUGGUGACCCCGACAAGUAGGAGGAGAGUGCACCAGACGAGCGGCGUGGGAAGACCAUGGAGUUGGGCGCACACGUGGAGGCCAGGAGCUGCCCCGCAAUGGGGAGAGAAGGGAAUGACAUGGCGGAUCUUGGGAUUUCGGGGCCCCGUGAAACUUAGAACCGAGGCCCCAUAAUAUAAACAUCAAUAGUGAUAAUUAGUAUGUGUAUACAAGAGAUGUAACUAAUAAACCCUUAGAAUAUGUACUCACUUCAUUUUGUUUGUCUUUUUACGAAAUUUGACCUAAGAUUUUAUCCAAUUUAUUACUAGAUUAAAUGUAUUUGCAUUAAAAAUGCUAUCAAGACAGGCGACCGGGAUUCAAAGAAAUAUUUAAUCAUAUAAUGUAUACUCCCUCUGUUCUAAAAUAAUUGAAGUUAUGGGUUUGUCCUAAGUCAAACUUCAUUAAGUUUGACCAAGUUUAUAUAAAAAUAUAUUAACAUCUACGACACCAAAUUUGCUUCAUUAGAUUCAUUAUGAAAUAUAUUGUCAUAUUAUAUAUAUUAGACAUUGUGGAUAUUAGCAUUCUUUCUAUAGCUUGGUCCAAUUUGAAGAGGUUUGACUUAGGACAAUUCUGGAACUUCAAUUAUUUUGCAACAGAAGGAGUACAUCACACUACUACUUCUUGAGCUUGCGUCAUUUUUUUCCAUGAAAAGGAAAGGGUGAGACAGCAAAGUAGAGAUGAGUAUUUCCCUCAGUUAGAGAACCAAGGUAUCAAUCCAGUAGGAGGUACAAGCAAGUCUCCAAUCUAUGUACCUGCACAAACAAUCAAACACUCGCACCCAAUGCGAUAAAGGGGUUGUCAAUUCCUUCAAGGUCAAUUGCGAAGGUGAUACUUGAUAGAGAUAGGUAUAAAAGAUUGCUAAGACGUAAAACAAAAUAAAAGUAAAUAAAUUGCAGCAAUAUAUUUUUGGUAUUUUUGAUUUAUAGAUCUGAAAAUAUAUAACGGAAAUAGACCCGGGGGCCAUAGGUUUCACUAGAGGCUUCUCUCUUGAAGGCAAAUAAUAUGGUGGGUGAACAAAUCACUGUCGAGCAAUUGAUAGAAAAGCGCAAAGUUAUGUCGAUAUCCAAGGCAAUAAUUAUGCAUAUAGGCAUCAUGUUCGUGUCAAGUAGACCGAAACGAUUCUGCUCUACUACUAUUACGUCACACAUCGACCACUAUCCAGCAUGGAUCUAGAGUAUUAAGUUCGUAAAGUACGGAGUAAUGCCUUAAGUAAGACGAGAUGAUGUAGAUGGAUAAACUCAAGCAAUAUGAUGAAAACCCCGUCUUUUUAUCCUUAAUGGCAACAAUGCAAUACGUGUUUCGCUACCCCUACUUUGUCACUGGGUGAAAUCGUGCAAGAUUGAACCCAAAACUAAGCACCUUUCCCAUUGCAAGAAAUACCAAUCUAGUUGGCCAAACCAAACCAAUAAUUCAAAGGGAAAUACAUAGAUAUCAAAUCAUGCAUAUAAGAAUUCAGAGAAGAUUCAAAUAAUAUUCAUAGAUAAGUUGAUCAUAAAUCCACAAUUCAUCGGAUCUUGACAAACACACCACAAAAGAAGAUUACAUCGAAUAGAUCUCCAAGAACAUGUAGCGAUCCGAUCUCAAACGAUCAAAUCUCUGUGCAUAAGUGUCAUCCCUGGAUCGGUAAUGCUGACACACACAGUACUUGAAGGAUUUAUAACAGAGUUUCAAUCACACACUUAAUACAUCGAUAGUCUCAAAAGAGAACUUAUUACAAUAAUAUGGCUUAAGCCCAUCUAAAUAAGAUAACAACGGAAGGCUUCGAAGCUAAAGUGAGUCCAUCAACUCCAACGGCAUAGCUGGGUGCACGACAAUGACCUAGCGCACCUUAAUCUUCGCCUGAAAAGUCUGCAACAUAAUACAACACAUGGAAUAUGCUGGCAAAAUAACACUGUAGAGCAAUGAACAUGAAACAAUUAUAACUACAUGCAUAUUUGGCUGGUGGAGGCUCUACGGUUUUCAUGUUUUUGCGAAAAGCCAUUUUUCCUACAAAAAAGGAAUAUAUUUUGUUUAACUAUCAUGGUAGUUGAUAAACAUUGAGAAUGGUAACCCCAUCUCAAUCCCAAUUAAAGUAAUCAUUAACCCAACAAGUUAAUUCAUUAUUGUGAUGAGAUCAACAUAAUAAUUCAAGCACCAGAUACUCAAGAUGUCCAUAACCGGGGACACAGCUAAUCAUGAUUAGUUUGUACACUCUGCAGAGGUUUGCGCACUUUUCCCCAUAAGACUCGAUCUCCUCCGUUGAAUUUCUCGCACUACAUGAUGUUUGAGAAACGGAUGACCGAGACACAGUCUUUCAGAAGCAUUAGCCCUUUCGACGGGUAAAUCGUACCACCUACAUCCCCUACAUCUGCUAGUUUACCACUGAAAGAGGUCACGCAACAUACUCAACUAUGCCAGAGCCCAUAAUGGCUUGUGGUUGCACACAGAAGUUUCCAGCAUGAAUAACAAUAUGAUCCCUUUGAGCCUGGGUGGCGGACCAUAGGAUGAUCACACGGAUUCCCCGAGAUCUCCUUGGACAGCACUGGAUUGACCCAGGUGCCCACAAACAAUCCACCCAGAUGUGUGUUAACGUAGCCACCUUAAAUAAACCCUUAGUUUAUAAUAAUACUCACAACUGUCAUGAAUCACUCAACCCAAACCACGUCUACGAGCAUAGCAUAGCAGUAUAAGCAUAACGUAGAAGUAACUCCCAGGGUUUGAAUGAAAAGGGCAAUAGGUACUACCUCAACUACUACUUCCCAAUACCCACAUGUUAUCAAGUCCUAACCAUUCAAUGUUUGAGGGUUUAAACUAAUGUAUAAAAACUGGGUAAUAAAGGGUAUGAUCAAAGUGUUACUUGCCUUGCUGACGAUCUGAAAACCCUAGUGACUCGUAGUAGCACGCUUCGCACUCCGGAAACUCUAUCGCAAACAAGCAAUAACAUACAUAAGCACUCAAGCAAUAGAUGCAAUGGUAAAACUCAAGAGAAAAUAUCCAAAUCGAAAGUUCAACUGAAGUGCUUCAAUUUGCAAAAAGAAUCAAUUGAAUCAGAGCUACGAAACUCAAACUGCGGUCAAAAGAAGUUCGAAUUCAAAUCUGCUUGCAACCAAAUUUUAAUUUGUCAAAAUCAUGUUCAAGUUGGUUAACUAGAAAGAGGGGUUCGAGGCGAAGAUUUUGGCGUUGGUUUCACUAGAUUUGGACGAACGGUUGAAAAACUGUGAGGGUUUGAAGGUCAGCGGCUAAUCUACUAUAAAAAUAAUCGCAAAUAGGUCCCUGGCCGAAAAUAAAAUAAAAAGAAAAGACUAACGAACUAACGUUCGUUAAUAGAGACAAACGAACGAACGUGUUCGUAAACAGAGGCUUACGGGCGAACGACGAAACCAAAGAAAACCGGGAAAACUGAUCUAUAAAAAACCUAGUGGGAUCUAGGGUUUACCGAAUAAAUCGAUGAAAAACCGAGAAAAACCGGUCGGCGGUGUGGUCAACGGCGAGGCGGCGGGGCUAGGGGGGCUCCGGCGGCGGCGACGUGCGGCGGCGCAGCAGCAAUAGUAGCGGCGGGCGGCGGCGCGGGCUGCAGCGACGGCAGCGGUGGCGGUGGGCGGCUGCGGCGGCUCCGGAUGGGGUGGAGAGGGGCGGCGGCGGCUACUUAUAGGAGGGGGGGCUCGGCUUGUGGGAGGGGGCAUGGGCAGCGGUGUCCGGGUGGGACACGGCGGCGUGCGGCGGCGCGGCUCGGGACUCUGUCCCGAGUCGGAGAGGGGAGGUGGCGGCGCGAUGGGCGUGGCCCGGCUUGGCUCGGGCCGUCUGAGGGAGUCCUGGAUUAGGGGGUAUCCGGACAGCCGGACUAUAUCCUUUGGCCGGACUGUUGGACUAUGAAGAUACAAGAUUGAAGACUUCGUCCCAUGUCCGGAUGGGACUCUACUUGGCGUGGAAGGCAAGCUAGGCAAUACGGAUAUGUAUAUCUCCUCCUUUGUAACCGACCUUGUGUAACCCUAGCCCCCUCCGGUGUCUAUAUAAACCAGAGGGUUUUAGUCCAUAGGACAACAUACAAUCAUACCAUAGGCUAGCUUCUAGGGUUUAGCGUCUUUGAUCUCGUGGUAGAUCAACUCUUGUACUACUCAUAUCAUCAAGAACAAUCAAGCAGGAUGUAGGGUUUUACCUCCAUCAAGAGGGCCCGAACCUGGGUAAACAUCGUGUCCCCUGCCUCAUGUUACCAUCCGCCUUAGACGCAUAGUUCGGGAUCCCCUACCCGAGAUCCGCCGGUUUUGACACCGACAUUGGUGCUUUCAUUGAGAGUUCCACUGUGUCGUCAUCAUAAGGAGGAUGGCUCGCCUCGUUGUCAAGGACAACAUCAUCCCUGGGGGAGCCCUGGCUAUAGGCCAAACUCUCCGACUAGGCGGCUUCGUCAUGACCGCCCACUCGGCCACUGCGCCGACGAUGACCUCUCGGGUCAUCGAAAAAAGCCUCCACAUCUGCUCGAAAUUUGCCGAGCAGAUGGAUCAAAUGGAGCUCUCCUCUUUGAACGAGCUCUUGGAUCGCAUUGCCGCUCUGGGAGUCACUACGGACUACGACCGGAUCGGGCUUAAACCCGACCAAAGGGAGAUUAACUCUCUGCCGGUCACCCAUCAGAUAGCGGUGGUGGAGGAGCAAUGCGGCGAUUCUCCUUCUAUCCCGAGGACGAACUAUGUCCGUAUUCCCGAGCUCUCCGAAUAGGAUACUCUCUCACGGGAGGACACCGCCCUAACCCUGAAUCCAGAAUCAGGCUGCAUACCGAACCCACAGGGCAACAUCUCGGAGCCUGAACUUCCAAGAUCGGAAACUCCCCUACCCCGGGAUCAUAGAUUGGGUCAAGGUCUGGACUUAAAUCCACCCACCCACCUAGAUACAAAUGAUCUUUCCCACAUUAGGCAAGCGCCCCAAGAGACAGUACAUCACUAUUGGGCCAGAUUCCUCCUUGUAAUGAACAAGGUCAAGGACUGUCGCGAGGAAGAUGCAAUUUCAUUCUUUUGCAACAAUUGCACGGACAAGGGAGUCCUCAACGCCAUAAGUCGCCGUGACGUAGCACACUUCGCUGACCUGGCGGCCAUAGUAUGAAAAUACUGUGCGAUGAAAGGUUCCUGGAAAACCCAAACGCAAUUUUGGGAUAAUCCGGCUCUGACAAAACCCCCAGUACGAACUAAAAGGGUGCACUCUCAUAAGUCGCCUGACUCAAUUACAAAGAAGCAAACACCCACUACAGGGCGUGGAACCGUAUUAGAGGGAUGGCUUAACGGGCCCUGCAAAAUCCAUAGUACACCGGAUACCAUAUCAACACACAUCCUUAGAGCAUGUUGGGUACUCCGGCAGGUGGCCAAAAGCGGUGAUGAUCUUCUCACCCAAAAUACCUCAGAGCAUCUUCCCACGGAUAACAAUACAGUAUUAACGGUCUUCGAGACCUUCGCCUCAAAUAAUAGGCGCAAACGAGCACUCCGCAGCCUUGCCGAAGUCUGCCACGUGGCAGCAAUAAAUCCAUGGAGCGACACGGCUAUCACCUUCAAUGCCAGUGACGAACCUAAAUUCCGAACAGCCUGAGCACCAGCCGCUUUGGUCCUCAGUCCAAUUGUGGACGGCUUUCGGCUCACUAAGGUGCUCAUGGACGGCGGCAGCGGAUUAAACCUCAUUUAUGAGGAGACUCUCCAAAAAAUGGAAAUAGGCAGCAACCGUAUUGAGCAAAGCAGUACGACCUUCCGAGGAAUCAUCCCUAGUUGGGAGGUACGUUGCGCUGGGAAAAUCACACUGAUGUGGUAUUCGGCACUCCGGAGAAUUACAGGUCCGAAGAAAUUACAUUCCAAGUGGCCCCAUUCAGUAGCGGAUACCACGCCCUUCUAGGGCGGGAGGCAUUCACGAUUUUUAAAGCCAUACCCCAUUACGGGUACAUGAAGCUCAAAAUGCCCGGACCCAAGGGAAUUAUCACUCUAGCUAGUGAUCCGUACAUAGCACUCCGCGCCGAGAACAAAACAGCUGCACUAGCCCUCGAGGCAUUAUCCGAAGUCCUUGUGGCGGAGGAGUUAACUGCGCUGCGCUCCACGGUAGACAGGGACGACGUGAUACUAGACAAAAGAUCCAAGUCCACCUCCUUUAAGCCAGCGGACGAAAUAGUUAAAUUCCAAGUCCAUCCAAUGGACCCUACAAAAACAGCAUCCAUCGGGGCACAGUUAGACCCCACGGUAGACGCUGCACUACGGGAGUUUCUGCGCGAGAAUUGGGAUAUAUUCGCCUGGCAUCCUUCAGACAUGCCAGGAAUCCCACGCAGAUUGGCCGAGCAUAGCCUUAAUAUUCUAAAAGGAUUCAAGACGGUCAAGCAGACUCUUUGGCGUUUCUCUGAACCUAAGCGACAAGCCAUGGGAGAGGAGCUGGCCAAGCUACUGGAAGCCGGAUUCAUUAAAGAAAUAAAACAUCCGGAUUGGCUAGCAAACCUGGUGAUGGUACCAAAGAAGAACAAAUCCUGGCGCCUAUGUGUCGACUUCAAAGACCUUAAUAAGGCUUGCCCAAAGGAUCCCUUCCCACUCCCUCGCAUCGAUCAAAUCAUCGAUGCUACCGCAGGACACGAAUCAUUGUGCUUCCUCGAUGCAUACUCCGGUUACCCCAAGAUUAAGAUGGCAGAGUCUGAUCAAGCCGCAACGACAUUCAUCACGCCAUACGACCCCUUAUGUUUUAACACAAUGCCCUUCGGGCUAAAAAACGCCGGCGCAACAUAUCAGCGCAUGAUCCAGACAUGUCUGGAAAAGCAGACCGGUAAUACUGUGGAGGCAUAUGUAGACGAUGUGGUCAUUAAAACCAGACACGUCGACUCUUUAAUAGACGACUUGAGGCUCAUGUUCACCAAUCUCCGAACAUAUGACAUUAAGCUUAAUCCAGAAAAAUGCGUUUUCGGUGUUCCCACCGGAAAGCUCAUGGGCUUCAUCGUCUCCAGUAGAGGAAUUGAAGCAAAUCCGGCUAAAAUCCGAGCUCUGUCGCAGUUGGCUAUCCCAACUGACCUCAAGCAAAUCCAGAAAUUGACUGGAUGUGUGGCGGCUUUAAGCCGCUUUAUCUCCUGAUUAGGAGAAAAGGCACUCCCCCUUUAUCGCCUUCUUCGGCGCACCGAACACUUCGAGUGGACGGACGCAACCACGGCCGGACUGGAAGAAAUAAAAGCCAUCCUGGCCACCAACCCAAUCCUGGCCACGCCAACUGUUGGCGAACCAAUGCUAUUAUAUAUAGCGACAACUCACCAAGUUGUAAGCGCAGUGCUCAUCGUCGAACGAGAGAUGGACGGACAUAAAUUCCCACUUCAAAAGCCGGUAUAUUAUGUAUCCACCGUCCUCACUCCAUGCAAAUCACGGUACCCACAUUACCGAAAGAUAGCAUACGCGGUAUUUAUGGCAUCCCGGAAAUUACGACACUACUUUCAAGGGUGUUCGAUUAUGGUGGCCUCCGAAGUACCACUCAAUGACAUAAUAAACAACCGCGAUGCCAUGGGCCGGAUUGCCAAAUGGGCCAUCGAGCUCCUCCCGUUCGACAUAACACAUAAACCACGACGAGCCAUUAAGUCGCAAGUACUGGCUGAUUUCGUAGCCGAAUGGACAGAAGCCGAACUCCCUAAAGAGUACAACGCAUACUCCAAUUGGAUCAUGCACUUUGACGGCUCUAAAAUGCUGGCUGGUCUGGGGGCUGGCAUCGUCUUGACGUCCCCCACUGGAGAUACGGUGCAAUACGUGCUCCAAAUACUAUAUACAGACUCCAAUAACACAACCGAAUACGAGGCCCUAUUACAUGGUGUCCGGAUGGCAAUAUCCAUGGGCAUCCAACGCCUAGAGGUGCGUGGGGACUCGAACCUCGCAAUAUCCCAAAUAAAUGGAGACUUCGAUGCCAAGGAUCUGAAAAUGGCGGCAUAUUGCAACGCCGUCCUCAAAGUGUCAGCUCGGUUCGAGGGGCUCGAAUUCCACCACGUGGCUCGGGAAAACAACCAGGCGACGGACAUCCUAGCCCGUAUUGGCGCUAAACGCGACCCUGUCCCACCGAACAUCUUCCUAGAAAGACUGUUUAAACCAUCGGUGGUAUGGGAAGGGGACACCGACAAAAAUAGUCCGGACCCGGCCUCAACCCCAGAUACCGAAUACUCUGACACAAUCGGAGGCUCUGCCACCGAAAUAACACCUUCAGCCCACGAGAUAAUGGCCGUGAUCGCCCCGUGGACAGAACCAUUCCUGGCCUACCUAACUAGACAAGAAUUACCCGAGGACCAAAAUGAAGCCCGCUGCAUAGUGCGGUGAUCUAAAGCCUACAAGGUCCAUGAGGGAGAGCUUUAUAAGAAAAGCACAACCGGAGUCCUUCAAAGGUGCAUCUCCGAAGAGGAAGGGCGGAAGCUUUUGGCAGAAAUCCAUGCCGGACUCGGCGGCCACCAUGCCGCAGCCCGGGCCCUUGUAAGCAAGGCCUUCUGUAUAUGUUUUUAUUGGCCGACGGCCCGGGCAGAUGCACAACAUCCGGUACAACAUUGUGUCGGUUGCCAGCUUUUUGCAAACCAAAGCCACAUGCCACCUAUCGCCCUCCAAACAAUCCCCAUUACUUGGCCCUUUGCGGUCUGGGGGCUCGAUAUGGUCGGACCCCUCAAAGGGGGAACCCAUAAGAAAAAAUACUUACUGGUCAUGGUGGAUAAAUUCACCAAAUGGAUAGAAGCCAAACCUGUCAAAACGGCCAAAUCCAGACCGGUGAUAGACUUCAUAUCCGGGGUUGUACACCGUUAUGGCGUCCCCCACAGCAUCAUCAUUGACAACGGCACGAACUUUACAACCGACGAGGUGAAACUUUGGUGCAGCAACAUGGGCAUCAAACUCGAUUAUGCUUCCGUCUAUCAUCCACAAACUAACGGUCAAGUCGAAUGAGCGAAUGGUCUUAUCAUGAGCGGCAUUAAACCCAUAUUAGUCCGGUCUUUAAAGGAAUCAGACACUCAUUGGGUAGAGGAGCUCGACUCCGUACUUUGGGGUCUGCGGACCACGCCGAAUCGCACUACUGGAUACACACCGUUUUUAUGGUGUACGGCGCCAAGGCGGUGCUGCCUUGUGACAUAAUUCAUGACUCACCUUGAGUGUGCAUGUUCGAAGAAAGAGAGGCCGAGCUUGAUCGGCAUGACAGUUUGGAUGCCCUGGAGGAGGAGCGCGACAUGGCAAAAGCCCGUUCCGCAUUCUAUCAGCAACAGGCUCGAAGGUAUCAAAGCAGAGAAGUGCGGGCCAAAACCUAUAAUGUUGGCGAACUAGUUCUAUGCCUACUGGAGAAGAAAAAGAACAAGCUCAAGCCCAAAUGGGAAGGUCCCUUCAUUAUCGACCAGGUUCUGACCGGUGGAGCGUACCGACUGCGGGAUGCAUCGAAUAAUUGACUCGAGCCAAACCCAUGGAACGUAGCCAGACUCCGAAGAUUCUAUGCCUAGCGCCGGACUCUAUGUUCGUCUCCUUACCUCCAUGAAUUUUUUGCACAUCUGUUUUCUCUCUCUUUCUUUCUCUCUUUUCUCUUCAAGGCCCUAAAGAGCUACACUUGUGUCUUGGUUACACAAUCUUGACGCGCUAACCGCGCUCAAUAUACCUGGGGGCUUCCUAUACAGAAGCUUAAUUUAAUUACCUUUCCGGGCUUUAUGCCCCGCACAUGUGUUAUUCUUCUGCAUGUACGUUUUUUCGCCAUUAUAUGCAUCAAUAUGACUUAAGUUUUGUCCAAGCUGGGUUGCCUGGCUCAUGUAUUUAUGCCCUACAUUCCAGCUAAUUCGGCUAGGGCAUAAGGGGAGCACCUCUGCGAUUGUUACUGUCGGGUCAGCCGGAUGUGUACCUCAGACUGGGUGAAGCCGAAAGCUAGCGUUCUUAAGGGAAUAUUCGGUCGGUGAAUAAAAGAUGACUUUCAUUUCAAUUACUACACGCCCCCAGAUGUUUUUUGCUUGCAUCUCGCAGUUCGGACAUGCACAUUAGGGCAUGCGUACCCAGGGAAAGGAACCCUUAACGAAACUAUUCUCCCUGGAAGAUGUUUCUUACUAUCCACGUAAUAUAACAUAGCUAGUUGGGUACUUGUCUGUUCAAGCACUUAUGACCCCUACGCCUGGUUUCCAUGCAUACCCCGGUUUUUAUAUAACCAAGUGGGUAUUCGGAUACACUCCGGACUAUCGGGUCCAGAGGUUGUGACGCCCGGAUAUUUAAGCUACAGUAAUUCUUUGCUAAUGAUGCCACGUCACUUCGACUACUGUCGCUAAUCUCGUGUUAGUUCGGAACCGAUUCAAAUUCUAAUUCAAAAUCAAGCAAACAAUAGAUGUUUUCAAAUAUUAAAACUAAAAUGUUCGGAGUGAACCAAAUAUUGCAUAGAUAAUUAUGGUGGAGAAACCACACCUUUAUAAAAUGUUUAAAUAAUAUGAGAUGAAUAAAACAGCAGCAAAGCAAUUAUUCAAAUGCUUUAAAAUAAUAAACGAUUUAAAACUAUUUUUAUUUGAGUGCUAAACGGUUUGUGGCAGUGGCAUGAAUUGUAACACUAUUUUAGAUGCCACUUUUGUAUUUUUGGAAACUAAAAUAAAACAAAUAAGAACUAAAAGAAUAAAUAAAAUAAAAUAGAAAAUAAACAACAAAAAAAUAAAAGAGACAAAGACCCCCCCUCCCGAGCUGGGCCUCGGCCCAGCAGGCUACAUGGCCGCCAGGCCGGCCCAACCGCGCCCGCUACUAAUCCCCUCGGGCGCCAGAAACCCUAGCCCCUCUCCCCCCACUACCCCACGACCCCCACUCCUCUUCCCCUCUCCCGAUCCGAUCUGGGGGCGGGAUCGAACCCCCNNNNNNNNNNNNNNNNNNNNNNNNNNNNNNNNNNNNNNNNNNNNNNNNNNNNNNNNNNNNNNNNNNNNNNNNNNNNNNNNNNNNNNNNNNNNNNNNNNNNNNNNNNNNNNNNNNNNNNNNNNNNNNNNNNNNNNNNNNNNNNNNNNNNNNNNNNNNNNNNNNNNNNNNNNNNNNNNNNNNNNNNNNNNNNNNNNNNNNNNNNNNNNNNNNNNNNNNNNNNNNNNNNNNNNNNNNNNNNNNNNNNNNNNNNNNNNNNNNNNNNNNNNNNNNNNNNNNNNNNNNNNNNNNNNNNNNNNNNNNNNNNNNNNNNNNNNNNNNNNNNNNNNNNNNNNNNNNNNNNNNNNNNNNNNNNNNNNNNNNNNNNNNNNNNNNNNNNNNNNNNNNNNNNNNNNNNNNNNNNNNNNNNNNNNNNNNNNNNNNNNNNNNCCUCCUCGACCCCCACUGCCCAGACCCUGCUCCGCGCCGUGAGCCCCCCUUCUCCUUCCCUCCCCUGCUUGAUGCGCCACCGCGCGAGCUCGUGCGCCCCAGCACCCACGCUCACCAUGGCCCCCGCGCCCGCUGGCCGCGUCAGGCGCCCCCCAGCGCCUCGCGUCCCGGUCCUCCUCCUCCCCGUGCCCGCGCGCCGCGCUCGCCAGCGGCUCUGCUGCAUCUGCUUCUGCCGCCGCACGAGUUCCCGCUCACGGCCACCAUGGCCCUUGCCGCCCCCACCGCGCCUGUACCCCUCCUCGACGCCGUUCAAGCCGCCCCAGUCACCGCCGUCGCGCGCCUGGCCCCAGGCCGCGCCGCGCCUGUGCCCCCUGCUGGCCUCUCCGAGGCCACGACCUUGCACCAUCGUGCCGGGCUACGGCCUCGCCGACGCCCCUGUUGCCCCGUGCCCUCGCAUGGGCGCACGCCCGUUAACCGCGCCCGAUAGGCCCCCUGGGCCUAUGACAACGGGCCCCGCCCCAGAACAAAAAAAAUGAUGAAUAAUAAUAAUAAUAAUAAUAAAUAAUUAAAAUAAUUAAUUAAUUAAUUAAUUAAUUAAGUUAAUUAAUCCUGUUAAUUAAUCUAAUCAAUUAGUUAGGUUAAUUAAACCCUAAUUAACAUAAACAGUGUAUGACAGGUGGGUCCCACUGGACCCACUGGUCAGGUUGACCAAGUCAACUCUGUUGACUGCUGAUGUCAGCAUGACAUCAUGCUGAUGUCAUUAAUCUGUUUUCCGAAUUAAUUUAAAUAAUUAAUUAAAUUCCAGAAAUUAAUAAAAUCUUUAGAAAAUCAUAUCUUAUAAUCCGUAACUCGGAUUAAAAUAUUUUCAACAUAAAAGUUGCUCAGAAUGUAGAGACGAUUCCGGAUACGCAAACCGUUCGUUCGCCACACCUCCCUAACCUAUCGAACUCGCAACUUUCCCCCUCUAGCUCCUCUGCCCGAAAACGCGAAACACCGGGGAUACUUUCCCAGAUGUUUCCCCCCUUCACCGGUACCACCUCGUACCGCGUUAGGGCACACCUAGCACCACACUUUGUCAUGUCAUGCAUCGUCAUGCAUUUGUUUGCAUUAUAUUUAUUGUUUUUCCCCCUCUUCUCUCGCUAGACACCGAGACCGACGCCGCUGCUACCCAGUACGACUAUGGUGUUGACGACCCCUCUCCCUUGCCAGAGCAACCAGGCAAGCCCCCCCUUUGAUCACCAGAUAUCACCUACUCUUCUCUAUACUGCUUGCAUUAGAGUAGUGUAGCAUGUUACUGCUUUCCGUUAAUCCUAUACUGAUGCAUAGCCUGUCCUUGCUACUACUGUUAUUACCAUUACCUGCUAUCCUACUGCUUACUAUAGGAUGCUAGUGUUCCAUCAGUGGCCCUACACUCUUGUCCGUCUGCCAUGCUAUACUACUGGGCCGUGAUCACUUCGGGAGGUGAUCACGGGCAUAUACAAUAUACUUUACACAGUUACAUUACCUGUGAUACUGAUCGGAGAUGUGGGCUGAAGGGGCAGGUGGCUCCAUCCAGGUAGUGGUGGGCCUGGGUUCCCGACGGCCCCCAAUUGUUACUUUGUGGCGGAGCGACAGGGCAGGUUGAGACCACCUAGGAGAGAGGUGGGCCUGGCCCUGGUCGGCGUUCGCAGAUACUUAACACGCUUAACGAGAUCUGGGUAUUUGAUCUGAGUCUGGCCAUUUGGUCUAUACGCACUAACCAUCUACGCGGGAGUAGUUAUGGGUAUCCCGGCGUCGUGGUAUCAGCCGAAGCCUUCGUGACGUCAGCGACUGAGUGGCGCGCGCCGGAUUGGACCGUAAGCCUGCUCUUGUAUUAAGGGGGCUAGUUCUGCUUCCGGUCGCGUUCGCAACGUGCAGGUGUGCAAAGGGCGAUGGGCCCAGACCCCUGCGCCAUAGGGUUUAGACCGGCGUGCUGACCUCUCUGUUGUGCCUAGAUAGGGCUGCGAUGUGUUGAUCUUCCGAGGCCGGGCAUGACCCAGAAAAGUGUGUCCGGCCAAAUGGGAUCGAUCGUGUUGGGGAAUGUGGUGCACCCCUGCAGGGAAGUUAAUCUAUUCGAAUAGCCGUGAUCUUCGGUAACAGGACGACUUGGAGUUGUACCUUGACCUUAUGACAACUAGAACCGGAUACUUAAUAAAACACACCCUUCCAAGUGCCAGAUACAACCGGUGAUCGCUCUCUCACAGGGCGACGAGGGGAGGAUCAUCGGUUAGGGUUAUGCUAUGCGAUGCUACUUGGAGGACUUCAGUCUACUCUUUUCUACAUGUUGCAUGAUGGAGGUGGCCAGAAGCAUAGUCUUUGACAGGGUUAGCUAUCCCCCUCUUAUUCUGGCUUUCUGCAGUACAGUCCACCGAUAUGGCCCUUUACACAUUUACGCAUGCAUAUGUAGUGUAGCUCCUUGCUUGCGAGUACUUUGGAUGAGUACUCACGGUUGCUUUCUCCCUCUUUUCCCCCUAUCCCUUCUACCUGGUUGUCGCAACCAGAUGUUCGAGCCCAGGAUCCAGACGCCACCGUCGACGACGACUCCUACUACACCGGAGGUGCCUACUACUACGUGCUGCCCGCUGAUGACGACCAGGAGUAGUUAGGAGGAUCCCAGGCAGGAGGCGUGCGCCUCUUUCGAUCUGUAUCCCAGUUUGUGCUAGCCUUCUUAAGGCAAACUUGUUUAACUUAUGUCUGUCCUCAGAUAUUGUUGCUUCCGCUGACUCGUCUAUGAUCGAGCUCUUGUAUUCGAGCCCUCGAGGCCCCUGGCUUGUAAUAUGAUGCUUGUAUGACUUAUUUUAUUUGUAGAGUUGUGUUGUGAUAUCUUCCCAUGAGUCCUUGAUCUUGAUCGUACACAUUUGCGUGCAUGAUUAGUGUACGGUCAAAUCGGGGGCGUCACAAGUUGGUAUCAGAGCCGACUGCCUGUAGGAAUCCCCCUUCCACACUCCUUGGCCGAAGUCGAGUCUAGACAUUGCAAAAAGUUUUACUAACAUGGCUGUGCGGCCCCUGGGCCCAUGUCGCCAUCGGGUGUUACUAGGAUCUUUUGCUCCUCGACCCUUACUCUGGGACUCUAACCUCUCUUCUAUUCGGGUUAAAUGAAUUUUGAUAAAUCUAACAUUAGGAUCUCGUUAUCACUUCAACCUGGAGAGCCCCUUAUUACUGAUGAUCGUCUGCUGCACGUGAAGACCCUGAAGAUACUCUCCGCUGUUAACCCGAGGACUUGUAUUCAUCGCGUUUGCAAUUCCCCUUCCACCGUCAACCCUUAUGGAUAACUACUUUCAGUUGUUAAUCUUACAAUCAUUCCCAGUUGGUCUUGUUAUUACAGGAUACCCCGAAAUACUCGUCGUAGUUUCAAUAAUCCUUUGAGCUUACUGCCUUGAUGUUCUUUGUCACCUGAAUACCCCUAUGGAUAAUUCUCGCGCUUAUCGAGUAUCUGCUCAUCCCCCAGUUGUCCAUGUGUUUCGCAAUGGUCUUCGAAAUACUAUUCGAUCCUCCAAAAAUCCUUAGUAGCUUAUUGCUCUGCAAUACUUGUCUGCUUGCAUUAUGGAUGCUUUCCAUAUGUCUGGCAAUAUUCGUUAGUAUCGUUAGACACCAUCAUUUUGAUCCUAUUGAUUCAACAUGAGUGCGAAUGCACGCAAUCAUCAGUUGAUCCUUUUAAAUCAUCUUUCCGGCUCAGACAUCAUUUUAAGCAUGAGCUGGUUCUCGACCAAUCAGAUUGCCAUCGAUUGUACCCCUAAGUCUAUCCAACUUGUCCGUCCUUGAUCGGAGCGUUUGCUCCUGAUCCCUUGAUUUGAAAAUCAUAAUUCCUUUGUUAUUUAAACGUUGAAUUAUUCAGAUGUUCUGUAAAACGAUGCAUUUGCAUUCUUUAUUCCUCUGAUUGGGUAUCGAUACUCACAUCAGCUCCAUUGUGGAUCACCAUAUCCACUGUUGGAUUAUUAUCCGACGAUGUCCUUCAUAAUUAAUGACCUUGUGAGUUCUGUCUCCGAUACAUAAUGCCUUUGGUAAUUUGUAUCCUCUCCUUUUGCCAACCAUGCUCUGCUUUCGAGCUGGUAAUAUUUACUCUCAAAGCUUGUGGUAUAUGUUUCCACGAUACCCUGACGGGUUGAACCUAUGCCUUCCUUAAUUUGUGUGACCUCGAAAUUUAUGCGGGUUAUACCCUGCUGACGCUUCGUCAGAUAACUUUUCAACACUACAACUUCGAAAAGGGGAGGUAAAUGUAAGGUUAUGCAUUGAAGAAGUGGGAGUCAACCUUGAACUUUGUGUUCAUGCCCAUGGACACGAUGUAGAUCUUAUCAUUAAAGCUUCUCUUAGAUUAAAUUAUUCCUUUGGUAUAAGUUCAUCUUAUAUCUGGGAUCUGACCUUUUUCAAUCGUGGUUCCGACCAUGUUCUCCUUUAAAUACCAUUUCGCGUGCAAGUUUAAGCGCUUGUCUUCUGUAGAGCAAUACCCCAGUCCAACCUCUACUUUGAUCUGUCAUCAAGUAUUACCCCCCCUGGUAUCUCGAGGAUACCACGGGAUACAUAACUUCUUAUGAGUUCUUCAUCAACUAAUAUUCUUGCUGAUUCCAUUUUUCCAACGGGUUCUCAGUUGUUAGAACCCCUCAAGGACACCGACAACUGAAUUGAGUCCGCACUAUGAUUCAACAACUCUUGGUAACCUUCAUUACUUACGAGUCUGAACUCGAUCACGUCAUUCCGAGCCUACUCGGCUAUAUCAUUAUCGUGCCAAAUUUUAACUGUGCUACCUGGUCCUUCUUUCCGGAGCACAAUUUCGACGAUGGGCUAAGCUUACAUCGAUCUUCCUUGUCUUAUUGUUUCACCUCAAACAACAAACUUGAUUUCAAGUUUGUGUCGCACCCAUGGUUCCAAUAACCUUUCGCUUCAUCAUUCGUUUGACUUGAUGUCAUCGCCGACCGAUUACAUCUCCAUGAAACCUCUCGACAGAAAUUGUCAUGAUCAUCAUCAACAUUUCGAGCUCCUCAAGGAUAUCAAUUGAAUUCCUGAUGAGAAAUACCAUCCUUGCCCUCGAUGAUUUGUGUUAUCAUCGACCACUCGAUUGCCUUCCGUUCAACACAAACUUGUUCGUGUUUGGUGUUAUACCUUGAGAUCCUUGCUAUCCAGCAUUUGUUCUCCUUUACCUUGGAGUAUUACCAUCUUUUAUGUCAAGAAUGUUGUGAGAAUUUCACCACCUCUUAAGGAUUCUUGGUAUUGUGAUACUUCUCACCAUCACCAUUCUUUCUUGGUCCUCGUGUUGAUUCCAACCGGGGUACCAACAAGUGAACAGUGUUGUUUGGAUUCUGCACUUCUAGCAACCCUAUUGCUUUGAAGUUAAUGGUCGGCCGUUCAUUCUUAGACUAUUGAUUAUUGAAUCACCAUUCUGACAUUGGUCGUGCAACCCAACCCAUAUUUUGGGCGCACCUUUCAACCAAUGUUUAAUUGUGUAUGUUUUCCGUGAGCAUACUUCCUUAUAUCAUUUGAUCUGACAAAUGUUAUCUCCUUGUUCACUUAAUUGUGGAAAUCCAUGUUUUGUUAAUCUCAAUGAAUUGUCGCUGAUUCCCUUAGCCACCUCCUCAUUAUAUCCUUGAUUUAAUAAUGAACUCAUGAUUCAGAACUUGCUUCCAUAGUUCAAUUCCCGAGGAUCUUACAAUGUCGUCUCGUCAAUUUGUCUUGCACCUUUUCUUCUCAGGAAUCUUGAGUCCGAGGUUUCCUAACACCGAUCAGAUCUGAAUCUCGGUCAUAUAUGAUGGUUGGAACAUACUUUCAAGAGUUAUAACAUUGAUCCUCAUAUGACCUGGUAAGGUGAUGUCAUGCCAGCACACCUGGCCGGAGGACCUACUGUUAUAGUUUUCUUAUUAGCAAGGUUAGCCAUUCUUCCACGAGGAAACUAUAAGACUUAUUCUAUAAGUUGUUCCUGAUGGAUCCUUUGCAUAUCCAAAGUCCGAUCUUUGCUUGAAGACCAUGUCGAUGCUAUCUCGAAGCAUGUCUGUGGUACUUCGAUUUUCAAUAAAAACAUUUGAAGCAUAAUGCUAAAUGUUACCUGCUCAAUUAUCCAAACACCAUUGCAUGGGUAAUGUCAUGAAAUUUCUUUCCCCUUUCCUAAAGAGUUUUUAUUAUAUCCUGCCAAGGAUAUCAUGCUCUGCUUGUCCUUGGGGAGGAUAUACCCCUGAUAUAUGUAUUUAAACGCAUUUUCCUUUCCAUUAAUUGGUUUAACCUUUCUUGUGAUCUAUAUGAUCUAAGCAGUAAUAUUCUCCUGCUUAUGUAUAUACCUUGGUGUACAAUUCUGUCACCAAGACCCUGUUACUGUUGUUGAUGACAUUUCGGUAGCCACCGAUGGAUGGGAACCUUGCCUAUUGGCCCGCCUCGUUCAACGAGCAGGAAAAUGGUUCUCUUCGUCCCUCGCCCUUGGUACCAACGUUGUUGCCGACAUAGCUGACAUGGUACUCCCUGACAUGCCUUGCUAUCAUGACCGUGCAAGAUGUCACUGCUCCUAUAAAAAAAAAGAACAACAUGGUGGGCCCAUAACCCACAGUUUCAUAGGAUCGAAACCUGACACUCCUGUACACCACCUGUUCCCAAGGUUGUUCCUCGCACUUGACUUCGUAUGUAAUUCACGGACCACCUGUCUAAUGAUCUAUUCUGGUAUGUGGCACAAUACCUAUUCUCGUUGCCCUGAAACCCUUUCACCUUCUGAUUAGGCAUCGAAUGAUUGCCUAUCCGUUUGAAACUUCUCAUGGUACCUUCUUACUUUGCUCUCGAUAUCUUCUUAAGUUUCAAUUCGAGAGAUACUUAUGCUUCUUCCCUGAGUUAACCGUCUGAUGCUCGAUCUUGUUAGAAUCCAUCCAUAUAGAGUUUUCCCUUCUUACCCUUUUGUAAGUACGAUGGAGUUCCCGAAGAAAGGACGACAACUUCAUCAUGAUGCAUUGAUGCAUAGGAAUGAAGACAUCGACGCUAUGGAUCGACCUGUUCGAGAAGAGCAACCAAGACCGAGAAGAUCCGUUAGGUUUUUCGUAACCCAAUCCCUCCCCCUUACUCCCUCCUAAAUCUCGGGACGAGAUUUCUUGUAGUGGAGGAGAAUUGUGACGCCCGAAUAUUUAAGCUACAGUAAUUCUUUGCUAAUGAUGCCACGUCACUUCGAUUACUGUCGCUAAUCUCGUGUUAGUUCGGAACCGAUUCAAAUUCUAAUUCAAAAUCAAGCAAACAAUAGACGUUUUCAAAUACUAAAACUAAAAUGUUCGGAGUGAACCAAAUAUUGCAUAGAUAAUUAUGGUGGAGAAACCACACCUUUAUAAAAUGUUUAAAUAAUAUGAGAUGAAUAAAACAGCAGCAAAGCAAUUAUUCAAAUGCUUUAAAAUAAUAAACGAUUUAAAACUAUUUUUAUUUGAGUGCUAAACGGUUUGUGGCAGUGGCAUGAAUUGUAACACUAUUUUAGGUGCCACUUUUGUAUUUUUGGAAACUAAAAUAAAACAAAUAAGAACUAAAAGAAUAAAUAAAAGAAAAGAGAAAAUAAACAACAAANNNNNNNNNNNNNNNNNNNNNNNNNNNNNNNNNNNNNNNNNNNNNNNNNNNNNNNNNNNNNNNNNNNNNNNNNNNNNNNNNNNNNNNNNNNNNNNNNNNNNNNNNNNNNNNNNNNNNNNNNNNNNNNNNNNNNNNNNNNNNNNNNNNNNNNNNNNNNNNNNNNNNNNNNNNNNNNNNNNNNNNNNNNNNNNNNNNNNNNNNNNNNNNNNNNNNNNNNNNNNNNNNNNNNNNNNNNNNNNNNNNNNNNNNNNNNNNNNNNNNNNNNNNNNNNNNNNCUCGUCGCCUCCCCGACACCGUCGCUGGUGCCGUCCCAGGCCGCCGUCACCGCUCGCCGGAACCACCGCGCGCCACGACUCCGUCGCCGCCCGUCAUCCCCGACCCCCACUGCCCCAGACCCUGCUCCGCGCCAUGAGCCCCCCUUCUCCUUCCCUCCCCUGCUCGACGCGCGACCGCGCGAGCUCGUGCGCCCCAGCACCCACGCUCAACAUGGCCCCUGCGCCCGCUGGCCGCGUCAGGCGCCCCCCCAGCGCCUCGCGUCCCGGUCCUCCUCCUUCCCGUGUCCGCGUGCCGCGCUCGCCCGCGGCUCUGCUGCAUCUGCUUCUGCCGCCGCACGAGCUCCCGCUCACGGUCACCAUGGCCCUUGCCGCCCCCAGCCGCGCCUGUACCCCUCCUCGACGCCGUUCAAGCCGCCUCGGUCACCGCCGUCGACCGCCGUCGCGCGCCUGGCCCCAGGCCGCGCCGCGCCCGUGCCCCCUGCUGGCCUCUCCGAGGCCACGGCCUUGCACCACCGUGCCGGGUUAUGGCCUCGCCGACGCCCCUGUUGCCCCGUGCCCUCGCACGGGCGCACGCCCGUUAACCGCGCCCAAUAGGCCCCCUGGGCCUAUGACAACGGGCCCCGCCCCAGAAAAAUAAAUGAUGAAUAAUAAAAAAAAAAAUUUAAAAUAAUUAAUUAAUUAAUUAAUUAAGUUAAUUAAUCCUGUUAAUUAAUCUAAUCAAUUAGUUAGGUUAAUUAAACGCUAAUUAACAUAAACAAUGUAUGACAGGUGGGUCCCACUGGACCCACUGGUCAGGUUGACCAAGUCAACUCUGUUGACUGCUGAUGUCAGCAUGACAUCAUGCUGAUGUCAUUAAUCUGUUUUCUGAAUUAAUUUAAAUAAUUAAUUAAAUUCCAGAAAUUAAUAAAAUCUUUAGAAAAUCAUAUCUUAUAAUCCGUAACUCGGAUUAAAAUAUUUUCAACAUGAAAGUUGCUCAGAAUGUCGAGACGAUUCUGGAUACGCAAACCGUUCGUCCGCCACACCUCCCUAACCUAUCGAACUCGCAACUUCCCCCCUCUGGCUCCUCUGCCCGAAAACGCGAAACACCGGGGAUACUUUCCCGGAUGUUUCCCCCCUUCACCGGUACCACCUCGUACCGCGUUAGGGCACACCUAGCACGACGCUUUGUCAUGUCAUGCAUCGUCAUGCAUUUGUUUGCAUUAUAUUUAUUGUUUCUUCCCCCUCUUCUCUUGCUAGACACCGAGACCGACGCCGCUGCUACCCAGUACGACUACGGUGUUGACGACCCCUCUCUCUUGCCAGAGCAACCAGGCAAGCCCCCCCUUUGAUCACCAGAUAUCGCCUACUCUUCUCUAUACUACUUGCAUUAGAGUAGUGUAGCAUGUUACUGCUUUCCGUUAAUCCUAUACUGAUGCAUAGCCUAUCCUUGCUACUACUGUUGUUACCAUUACCUGCUAUCCUACUGCUUAGUAUAGGAUGCUAGUGUUCCAUCAGUGGCCCUACACUCUUGUCCGUCUGCCAUGCUAUACUACUGGGCCGUGAUCACUUCGGGAGGUGAUCACGGGCAUAUACAAUAUACUUUACACAGUUACAUUACCUGUGAUACUGAUCGGAGAUGGGGGCUGAAGGGGCAGGUGGCUCCAUCCAGGUAGUGGUGGGCCUGGGUUCCCGACGGCCCCCGACUGUUACUUUGUGGUGGAGCGACAGGGCAGGUUGAGACCACCUAGGAGAGAGGUGGGCCUGGCCCUGGUCGGCAUUCGCAGAUACUUAACACGCUUAACGAGAUCUGGGUAUUUGAUCUAAGUCUGGCCAUUUGGUCUAUACGCACUAACCAUCUACGCGGGAGUAGUUAUGGGUAUCCCGGCGUCGUGGUAUCAGCCGAAGCCUUCGUGACGUCAGCGACUGAGUGGCGCGCGCUGGAUUGGACCGUAAGCCUGCUCUUGUAUUAAGGGGGCUAGUUCUGCUUCCGGCCGCGUUCGCAAUGUGCAGGUGUGCAAAGGGCGAUGGGCCCAGACCCCUGCGCCAUAGGAUUUAGACCGGUGUGCUGACCUCUCUGUUGUGCCUAGGUAGGGCUGCGACGUGUUGAUCUUCCGAGGCCGGGCAUGACCCAGAAAAGUGUGUCCGGCCAAAUGGGAUCGAGCGUGUUGGGGAAUGUGGUGCACCCCUGCAGGGAAGUUAAUCUAUUCGAAUAGCCGUGAUCUUCGGUAACAGGACGACUUGGAGUUGUACCUUGACCUUAUGACAACUAGAACCGGAUACUUAAUAAAACACACCCUUCCAAGUGCCAGAUACAACCGGUGAUCGCUCUCUCACAGGGCGACGAGGGGAGGAUCAUCGGUUAGGGUUAUGCUAUGCGAUGCUACUUGGAGGACUUCAGUCUACUCUUUUCUACAUGUUGCAUGAUGGAGGUGGCCAGAAGCGUAGUCUUCGACAGGAUUAGCUAUCCCCCUCUUAUUCUGGCUUUCUGCAGUUCAGUCCACCGAUAUGGCCCUUUACACAUUUACCCAUGCAUAUGUAGUGUAGCUCCUUGCUUGCGAGUACUUUGGAUGAGUACUCACGGUUGCUUUCUCCCUCUUUUCCCCCUAUCCCUUCUACCUGGUUGUUGCAACCAGAUGUUGGAGCCCAGGAUCCAGACGCCACCGUCGACGACGACUCCUACUACACCGGAGGUGCCUACUACUAUGUGCUGCCCGCUGAUGACGACCAGGAGUAGUUAGGAGGAUCCCAGGCAGGAGGCCUGCGCCUCUUUCGAUCUGUAUCCCAGUUUGUGCUAGCCUUCUUAAGGCAAACUUGUUUAACUUACAUCUGUCCUCAGAUAUUGUUGCUUCCGCUGACUCGUCUAUGAUCGAGCUCUUGUAUUCGAGCCCUUGAGGCCUCUGGCUUGUAAUAUGAUGCUUGUAUGACUUAUUUUAUUUGUAGAGUUGUGUUGUGAUAUCUUCCCGUGAGUCCUUGAUCUUGAUCGUACACAUUUGCGUGCAUGAUUAGUGUACGGUCAAAUCAGGGACGUCACAGAGGUUGAAGCGAAAAGGUCUGCCAUGACAAAUGAUUUACAAUCCGGCUAGGGACAUUAGAUAUGUCACUUGAAGUACACAGUCACUAAGACUGAUUAAAUUCUUCUUCUAUACCAUCCAACAGGCUGUCUAGCCUACAAUCCUGUUGGGAAUACUUUGUGGAUAAUUCUACUUGAUCAUACACUAAACUAACGGGGAUCUCUUUCCCAUUGGACCCCACAGGUCUGACCUCGGCCAUAUGGUUUGGGUUAGCCUUGGUAUAUCGUGUCUUCACCAUAGCCUAGGCUUCCCUCGCACCUUGUCGGCAGGCUGAUAUCUUCCAUAAUCGGAAGUGCCGUCGCGCUCCCUUGAGCUUCUCUAUAAGCUCCCCCAUGCCUCCUGGCGGGGACGCGGAUGGCCACAAGGCUUGAGCAAUACUCUGCAUCACCUACCGAACUUGUUCGUACAGUUUUGAGAGCUCAGGUAGAAGAUCACCCGAAGACCCGGGCAUCUCCUCCGCGGGACGACCCAUCAGCAUACCUGCAGACAUAACGCUGUUAGCAGGCUUCUUUGCCGAACUCCUUUAAAAAGUUCGUUCAAGCACUUACUAAAAAUGCCGCGCCAAAGCCGUUUAUUCUCCUUCACGGAGUCCGCAAGCUGGGCCCAGACAUCCUUCAGUUCCAUGCCCAGCCGAAUAUUGGCAUCUUGGAGAUCACUUUUCUCCUGCCUGACUCGCGUCAGCACGCGCUCGCCAACAUUUAGCUGUCGAUCAUCACAUGCCGUAUUCGCCUCCAUGGCCUCCGGAUUCACUCCGGGGCCACCUGCAACAUCUAUUGUUAGGUGUGCAUACAUGCCGCAUACUACCUGGUACCGAUAUUCUUUGCAAUAGACAAAAAGUUACCAGGGGGGCCCUUUUUGGACUCCUUCAAUGCGGCAACAAUGGCUUCCAGCUGGGCCUUGCACUCCUCCAGCUCUUGAGACAGUUGGGAAUUCUUCUCCGUAAGAACCUGCACAAAUAAUGAUCCUUAAAUCAGUUGCGUCAACUGUUUCAAGUCUCAGGGGCUACUGAUACAUAUAAUCGUCAGAUUUGCUUACCCGUAUAUCCCUUACAUACUAGUCCGUGGCUCUGGCUACACCAUUUUGAGCAACACGGAGGUACGCGUCUCUAGAAUUGAAGGCAUCAAAUGCCUCUGGUGAGAAGCAAGCAUCACGGAGUACCGCCCGGCGACGCCUAUGAUUCAUGGCGCUCUCCACUUCUGAAUUUGUAGCGUAUAGUCUAUCCGCAUCCUCUGUAGGAGGAGCAUCCAGCGUCCCCCCAUGUUGGCUUCCGCCUCUAUGUCCGGCCCUGGAGCCCGACUGGUGGAGGCGUGAUCGGCAGCCUCUCCCGAUAUACUCCGGCGAGUGUUUUUUAUUAAAGAAGCAUGGAUGUCAUUGCAUUUUGAGAAAGACGACAACCACGAGCGAGGUUUUGUGUCAUACCUCUGCUCCGGCGUCUCCGUCCUAAUCGCCUUCCUUUUUGGCCUACCCGGCUUUGGUGCCUCUUGUUGGCGAGUUGUUGCGGGUUUGGCAUGGCGUCCCAAAUGCCUUCCCUGUAAAACACCAUAUGUGUAUGGUAGGUGAAGUGUAUAAAAGGAGAUCCUAUUUUUGGAGUUGGGAUUUUGUUUUUUCUUACGUGCGACGCAGGGAGCAGCCCGGGAUAGUCGGCCGUUAUGGCCACCAUGGCGUCAUCGCAGCUCAAUUGAUAGAAUUGCCUAUCUAUCAGCUCCACGAAUAUGUUCGGAUUCUCUUCGAGUCUGGGACCGAGGGCCCGGCCAGGGUCCUCUGGUUGUGGAGAUGGGCUGUUGACCUCCCUUACAGCUUUUUGCAGUUCUUGCCGUAAAAUGGCAAGGUGAGUACCUACGACGAAGAAUGCGGGAAGAAUGAGAGUAAAGAGGUAUAACUCACCCAGCUUGGAGGGUUGUACAUGGAGAAUCCAUCCCGUGGCUUGAUACUGAUGAACUCCUCUUCCUCUCCCUUGAACAACUCGAACAAAAUUUUUGCGAAAGCAGCAGCGGAGUCCGGUCCCUUACGCCCGCAACGGGUGGCAUCAUCUUCCCCGUUAAAACACCACAGGGGGUGCCCUCGAUAUUGAAGUGGCUGCACUCCCCGCAUUAUGCAUAUUGACAUAACCUCGAUUAUUGUCAAUCCUGAUUGAGCCAGUGCUUUAAUCCGGUUCAUCAGGUAAAGGACUUCUCCGUUGUCUUCCUCCUAGGGGCUCCGUGGGCGCCAGCUUCGGCAUUUCUUCAGAGGAGCAUUGUUGAACUCAGGAAGACCCCGCCGAAUAGGGUCUGGAAGGGGGACGUCCUCCAUAUAAAACCACUACGAAGGCCAGUCUUCGGAUGUCUUCUUCGGAGUACCAAAUAGGUAUCCGGUUUCGGCGAUGCGCCAUAUUUCGGCUCCGCCCACUUGAUAAAGUGACCCCUUCUGUGUGCGGGGCACAAGGCAAAAUAACCUUUUCCACAGCUCGAAAUGAGCCUCGCAGCCCAGAAAUAGCUCACAAAGGGCAACGUAGCCGGUGAUGUGUAAUAUGGAAGCAGGGGUGAAAUUAUGCAGUUGGAGGCCGGAAAACUCCAGGAGCCCGCGGAGGAACGGAUGAAUUGGGAAUCCGAGUCCCCUUAGUAAGUAAGGAACAAGGCACACCCGCUCCCCCUUAGAGGGGCCGGGGAAGCUCUCCGCUUGCUCCCCGCCAUUAUAGGUGGCGAGCCCGACUCGGACGGGGACCAUAUACGCUGGAGGGAGAAAUCCUUGAGCCUGCAGCUCUACUAAUUGACUGUGUGGGACGGAACACGUCUCCCAAUCACCGGGCUUAGGGCUACGGGGGCGGGAGGAGGAGCUGCGAUGGUCGGCCAUGUUGAAGUGGAUUUUUCCGAAGCGCGCUCCGAUGGAUUCUCGCCGUGGGAGGAUGGUAUGGAUUGGAUCUAAGAAUCCCCAUCCCUUUAAUAGACAAUUUAUUUACCUAGCUAGGGGGGCGAAUGUAAAAAUGCCCUGGCUCCUCGUAUUUGUUCGAUGCGUGGAAGAUAACCCUUAUUGAGCACAGAAGCCAAGAAGUCCAGCAUUUAUGGGCCGGAAACUACUUAACAGACAUUCAAGAUUUGGAGAAGAACCCGCCUUGCAAUGUCGAAGACAAUACUGCGCGCCGGACUCAACAUCAUUGAAGCCUGGUUCGGGGGCUACUGAGGGAGUCCUAGAUUAGGGGUUCUCUGGACAGCCGAACUAUAUCCUUUGGCCGGACUAUUGGACUAUGAAGAUACAAGAUUGAAGACUUCGUCCCGUGUCCGGAUGGGACUCUACUUGGUGUGGAAGGCCUAGGCAAUACGGAUAUGUAUAUCUCCUCCUUUGUAACCGACCUUGUGUAACCCUAGCCCCCUCCGGUGUCUAUAUCAACCGGAGGUUUUAGUCCGUAGGACAACAUACAAUCAUACCAUAGGCUAGCUUCUAGGGUUUAGCCUCUUUGAUCUCAUGGUAGAUCAACUCUUGUACUUCUCAUAUCAUCAAGAACAAUCAAGCAGGAUGUAGGGUUUUACCUCCAUCAAGAGGGCCCGAACCUGGGUAAACAUCGUGUCCCCUGCCUCCUAUUACCAUCCGCCUUAGAUGCACAGUUCGGGACCCCCUACCCGAGAUCCGCCGGUUUUGACACCGACACCGUCCCUGAACUUUUUUUAUAAAUAGGUUCCGCCAAAAAAUCCUAGAUAAAUAUAAAAAAAUCUAAAAAUGCCAAAAACAAUUUUUACUGUCUAAAUAAAAUAUUUAGAACAAAGUGAACAUUUUUCCGGCCUAAAAAUGCAAUUUUUGAAAAAUGCAUAUUUUUCUAAUUCAAAUAAAAUCUCGAAUAAAAUCCAAAUAAAAUAUUAAUUUGAUUUUAAAAUCUUUCCUCCAAUAUUCCCCUCUGAUUUGGAGAAGUCAUAUUAUCUCCUCUCAUUUAUUUUAAUAUUGGAAAUAUUUUGGAGAGAAAAAUUAUUAAAAUUAGAAUGACCCUCUUUUCAAAUUUGAGAAAAUUCAAAUAUGAAAAUAAAUGAAAUCUCCAACUCUCUCCUUGGGUCCUUGAGUUGCUUAAGAUUUAUAGGAUCACAACCAAAAUGCAAAUAAAAUAUGAUAUGCAUAUGAUGACCUAUGUUUAACAUCCAAAUUGAAAAUUUGGGAUGCUACAGAACAUUGAGGAGUACAUGGUAUUGAGAAUCAUAGAAAGAGAAGAAGCCAUCUAGCUACUAGCUAUGGACCGGAAGGUUUGUGGUAAACUACUCACGCUACAUUGGAAGGGCAAUAGGGUUGCUGUAGAAGCCCUCCAUGGUCGAAUUCCCCUCCGAUAGAGUACCAGAAAAGGCCUCCAGAUGGGAUCUCACAAGGUCAUAGACCUGCGGCGGUGGAAAAGUAUUUUCAUGGGUGCUUCUGAGGGUUUUGGAAUAUAUAUGAAUUUAUAGGACGAAGAAGUAGGUCGGUGGACUCCCGAGGGGGCCACAAGGCAGGGGCGCCCCCUAGGGCGCGGCCUGCACCCUUGCCGCUGCCUCGGAACUCUUCUGACUUGGUUCUCGAGUCCUACGGGUAUCUAGUCUAAGAAAAAUCGUCGUAAAUUUUUAUUCCAUUUGGACUCCAUUCGAUAUUCUUUUUCUGCAAAACUCAAAAACAAGGAAAAAAUAGAAACUGGCACUGGGCUCUAUGUUAAUAGGUUAGUCCCAAAAAAAUAUAAAAUAGCAUAUUAAUGCAUAUAAAACAUCCAAAACAGAUAAUAUAAUUGCAUGGAACAAUACAAAAUUAUAUAUAUGUUGGAGACGUAUCAAGCAUACCCAAGCUCAAUUCCUGCUCGUCCUCGAGUAGGUAAAUGAUAAAAACAAUUUUUUUGAUGUGGAAUGAUACCUAACAUAUUUAUCAACGCAAACUCUUUUAUUUGGCAUGAAUAUUCAGAUCCGUAUGAUUCAAAACAAAAGUUCAUUGACACAAAGACAAUAGUACUUCAAGCACACUAAAAAGCAAAUCAUUAAGCUUAAAAAAUAACAUGGCUAAAGAAAGUUAUCCCUACAAAAUCAUAUAGUAUUGUUAUGCUCUCUCUUCUUAACACAAAGUAUAAAUCAUGCCCACCCUGGUGUCAGCCAAGCAAUUGUUUGAUACUUUUUAACACGCUUCAGCUUUUUCAACUCUUCACGCAAUACAUGAGCGUGAGCCAUGGACAUAGCACCAUGGGUGGAGUAGAAGGUGGUAAUAGACAAAAUAAGGGAGAAAGUGUCACAUUAACUAGGAAAAUCAAUGGACUAUGGAGAUGUCCAUCAAUUGAUAUCAAUUGAGUGAGUAGGGAUUGCCAUGUAACAGAUGCACUAGAGCUAUAAGUGUAUGAAAGCUCAAAAUAAAACUAGUGGUUGUGCAUCAACUUGCUUGAUCAUGAAGACCUAGGGCAUUUGAGGAAGCCCAUCGUUGGAAUAUACAAGCCGAUUUCUAUAAUGAAAAGUUCUAUCAUGAAGAACAUGGUGCUACUUUGAAGCACAAGUGUAGAAAAUGAUAGUAACAUUGUCCCUUCUCUUUUUUUCCUUUCUAUUCUUUUUUAUUUGGCUCUUUUUGGCCUCUUUUUUUAUAACCUCACAUGCGACAAUGUUCUAAUAAUGAUGAUCAUCACACUUUUAUUUACUCACAACUCAAAAUUACAACUCGAUACUAGAACAAAGAUAUGACUCUAUAUGGAUGCCUCCGGUGGUGUACCGGGAUGUGCAAUGAUAAAGAGUAAGGUGGCCAAGCCACAAAUACUACACAACCUACAUGAUCAUGCAAAGCAAUAUGUCAAUGAUGGUAUAUGUCAUAAUAAACGGAACGGUGUUAUACAUCCAUUUUGCAUCAUGUUUUCUUACUGUUAUUUAUAAUGUUUUUAUCCAUAACAAUGCUAUUUGGAGUAAUUCUAAGCCUUUUCUCUCAUAAUUUGCAAGGUAUACACCAAGAGGGAGAAUUUUGGUAGCUGGAAAUCUGGACCUGGAAAAGCUACGCCAGGCCACCUAUUCUGCACAAAUCCAAACAAGCUGAAACUUCACGGAGAUUUUUAUGGAUUAUUUAAGAAUUAUUGGAGCAAAUAACUACCAGAUGGGGCCCACCAGGUGGGCAAGCCCACCUGGGCGUGCCAGGGAGCCCAGGCGCGCCCUGGUGGGUUGUGCCCUCCUCGGCCCACCUCCGGUGCCCAUCUUUUGGUAUAUAAGUCAUUUUGACCUAGAAAAAAAAUAAGGAGAGGACUUUCGGGAUGGAGCGCCGCCGUCUCGAGGCGGAACUUGGGAGGAGCACUUUUGCCCUCCGGCGGAGCGAUUCCGCCGGGGGUACUUCCCUCCCGGAGGGGGAAAUCAUCGUCAUCAUCAUCACCAACAACUCUCCCAUCUUGGGGAGGGCAAUCUCCGUCAACAUCUUCAACAACACCAUCUCCUAUCAAACCCUAGUUCAUCUCUUGUGUUCAAUCUUGUUACCGGAACUAUAGAUUGGUACUUGUGGGUGACUGGUAGUGUUGAUUACAUCUUGUAGUUGAUUACUAUAUGGUUUAUUUGGUUCAAGAUUAUAUGUUCAGAUCCAAUAUGCUAUUUAAUACCCCUAUGAUCAUGAGAAUGUUUAUCAUUUGUGAGUAGUUACCUUUGUUCUUGAGGUCACAGGAGAAAUCAUGUUGCAAGUAAUCAUGUGAAUUUGAAAUGCGUUCGAUGUUUUGAUAGUAUGUAUGUUGUGAUUCCCUUAGUGGUGUCAUGUGAACGUCGACUACAUGACACUUCACCAUAUUUGGGCCUAAGGGAAUGCAUUGUGGAGUAGAAAUUAGAUGAUGGGUUGCAAGAGCGAUAGAAACUUAAACCCCAGUUUAUGCGCUAUCCCGUAAGGGACCGAUUGGAUACAAAAGUUUAAUGCUAUGGUUAGAAUUUAUUCUUAAUACUUUUAUCGUAGUUGCAGAUGCUUGCGGGAGGGUUAAUCAUACGUAGGAGGUUUGUUCAAGUAAGAACAACACCUAAGCACCGGUCAGCCCACAUAUCAAAUUAUCAAAGUAGCAAACACGAAUUAAACCACCAUGAUGAAAGUGACUAGAUGAAAUUCCCGUGUACCUCAAGAACAUUUUACUUAUUAUAAGAGACCGUUUUGGCCUGUCCUUUGCCUCAAAAGGAUUGGGUUACCUUGCUGCACUUUUGUUACUACUAUCAUUACUUGCUUGUUAUAAAUUAUCUUGCUAUCGAACUACUCUGGUACUUACAAUUUCAGCACUUGCAGACAUUACCUUACUAAAAACUACUGGCCAUUUCCUUCUGCUCCUCAUUGGGUUUGACACUCUUACUUAUCGAAAAGACCUACAAUUGAUCCCCUAUACUUGUGGGUCAUCAUGGUGGAGUUACAUGACGAUGUAUCUCGGAAUGGCUAUGAAAAUGACAUAGUAGAUAGGUAUGGUGGCUGUUUUGAGGAAGGGUAUAAGGUGGGUUUAAUGCACUGGCGAAAUUUGCGCGGUACAAGAGUGGCUAGCAAAGGUGAAAGGGUAAGAGUGCGUAUAAUCCAUGGACUCAACAUUAGUCAUAAAGAACUCACAUACUUAUUGCAAAAAAUCUAUUAGCCCUCGAAGCAAAGUACUACUCGCAUGCUCCUAGGGGAGAGGUUGGUAGGAGUUAACCAUCAUGCGCUCCCGACUUUCAUGCAAAGGAAGACAAUCAAGAAUAAAUUGCGCUCCAACUUCAUCACAUAACUAGAAGACUAUAUGUGCAUGCUACGAGAAUCACAAACCUUAACACAAUUAUUUCUUUGACUCCACAAUUUACUACUAGCAUGACUCUAAUAUCACCAUCUUCGUAUCUCAAAACAAAUGCAAGGAAUAAAACUUCUCAUGUAUUCAAUACUCUAUAUGAAAGUUUUUAUUAUAUUUCCCUUGGAUGCCCAUCAUAUUAGGACUACAUUCACAACUAAGCAAAUUACCAUGCUGACUCUCAAAAUAAUAUAAGUGAAGCAUGAGAGUUUAUUAAUUUCUAUAAAAUAAAACCAUCGCCGUGCUCUAAAAAGAUAUAAGUGAAGUACUAGAAAUGCUACAACAGAGAUAGCUAUUCUGCACAACUCCUAAUGACCUGAAAAAUUAUGGAGAAUUAUUAUUGAAUAUAUAAAAAAUAUUGGAGGAAGAAAUACUAGGAGGGGGCCAUGAUGUCUACUACGCAACCUUUUUCUUGUAGACGUUGUUGGGCCUCCAAGUGCAGAGGUCUGUAGGACAGUAGCAAAUUUCCCUCGAGUGGAUGACCUAAGGUUUAUCAAUCCGUGGGAGGCAUAGGAUGAAUAUGGUCUCUCUCAAACAACCCUACAACCAAAUAACAAAGAGUCUCUUGUGUCCCCAACACACCCAAUACAAUGGUAAAUUGUAUAGGUGCACUAGUUCGGCGAAGAGAUGGUGAUACAAGUGCAAUAUGGAUGGUAGAUAUGGAUUUUUGUAAUCUAAAAAUAUAAAAACAGUAAGGUAGCAAGUAAAAAAAGUGAGCGAAAAUGGUAUUGCAAUGCUUGGAAACAAGGCAUAGGGUUCAUACUUUCACUAGUGCAAGUUCUCUCAACAAUGAUAACAUAAUUAGAUCAUAUAACAAUCCCUCAACAUGCAACAAAGAGUCACUCCAAAGUCACUAAUAGCGGAGAACAAACAAAGAGAUUAUUGAGGGUACGAAACCACCUCAAAGUUAUUCUUUCUGAUCGAUCUAUUAGGCUAUUCCUAUAAGUGUCACAAACAACCCUAGAGUUCGUACUAAAAUAACACCUUACCAAAUCCCUAAUGUCAUUUAGAUACUCCAAUGUCACCACAAGUAUCCGCGGGUUUGAUUAUACGAUAUGCAUCACACAAUCUCAGAUUCAUCUAUUCAAACCAACACAAAGAACUUCAAAGAGUGCCCCAAAGUUUCUAUAGGAGAGUCAAGACGAAAACGUGCGCCAACACCUAUGCAUAAGUUCACAAGGUCAUAGAACCCGCAAGUUGAUCACCAAAACAUACAUCAAGUAGAUCACGUGAAUAUCCCAUUGCCACCACAGAUAAACACAUGCAAGACAUACAUCAAGUGUUCUCAAAUCCUUGAAGAAUCAAUCCGAUAAGAUAACUUUAAAGGGAAAACUCAAUCCAUUACAAGAAGGUAGAGGGGAAAAACACCAUAUGAUUCAACUAUACUAGCAAAGCUCGCGGUACAUCAAGAUCGUGCCAUAUCAAGAACACAAGAGAGAGAGAGAGAGAUCAAACACAUAGCUACUGGUACAUACCCUAAGCCCCGAGGGUGAACUACUCCCUCCUCGUCAUGGAGACUGCUGGGAUGAUGAAGAGGGCCCCGAUUGGUUUUUGGUGGCUAUAGAGGCUUGCGGCGGUGGAACUCCCGAUCUAGGUUCUGUUCUGGAGGUUUGGGGAUAUAUAAGAGGUGUUGGCGUCGAGAACAAGUCAGGGGAGUCCAUGAGGGGACCACAAGAUCGGAGGGCGUGCACUCCACCCUUGUGGAGGCCUCAUGGCUCUUCUGGCCCAACUCUUUUUCUUUGGGGGCUUCUUCUAGUCCAAAAACAAUCAUCGUGAAGUUUCAGGUCAAUUGGACUUCGUUUGAUAUUCCUUUCCUGCGAAACUCAAAAACAAGAAAAAAACAGAAACUGACACUAGGCUCUAGGUUAGUCCCAAAAAUUAUAUAAAAUAGCAUAUAAAUGCAUAUAAAACAUCCAAGAUAGAUAAUAUAAUAGCAUGGAACAAUCAAAAAUUAUAGAUAUGUUGGAGACGUAUCAAGCAUCCCCAAGCUUAAUUCCCGCUCAUCUUCGAGUAGGUAAAUGAUAAAAACAGAAUUUUUGGUGGAAUGCUACCUAACAUAUUUAUCCAUGUAAUUCUCUUUAUUGUGGAAUGAAUGUUUAGAUCCGUAAGAUUCAAAACAAAAUUUUAAUAUUGACAUAAAAACAAUAAUACUUCAAGCAUAGUAACAAAAUAAUUAUGUCUUCUCAAAAUAACAUGGCCAAAGAAAGCUUAUCCUUACAAAAUCAUAUAGUCUGGCUAUGCUCCAUCUUCAUCACACAAAACAUUUAAAUCAUGCACAACCCUGAUGACAAUCCAAGCAAUUGUUUCAUACUUUUGAUGUUCUCAAACCUUUUCAACUUUCACGCAAUACAUGAGCGUGCAUGGACAUAGCACUAUAGGUGGAGUAGACGAUGGUUGUGGAGAAGACAAAAAGAGGGAGAUAGUCUCACAUCAACUAGGCGUAUCAACGGGCUAUGAAGAUGCCCAUCAAUAGAUAUCAAUGUGAGUGAGUAGGGACUGCCAUGCAACAGAUGCACUAGAGCUAUAAGUUUAUGAAAGCUCAAAUGAAAAACUAAGUGGGUGUGCAUCGAACUUGCUUGCUCACGAAGACCUAGGGCAUUUUGAGGAAGCCCAUCGUUGGAAUAUACAAGCCAAGUUCUAUAAUGAAAAUUCACACUAGUAUAUAAAAGUGACAACAUAGGAGACUCUCUAUCAUGAAGAUCAUGGUGCUACUUUGAAGCACAAGUGUGGGAAAAAGGAUAGUAACAUUGUCCCUUCUCUCUUUUCUCUCUCUUUUUUUGGGCCUUCUUUUUUUAUUUGGACUUCAUUUUUCUUUUUUAUUUCCUCACAUGGGACAAUGCUCUAAUAAUGAAGAUCAUCACACUUCUGUUUACUUACAACUCAAAAAUACAACUCGAUACUUAGAACAAAAUAUGACUCUAUAUGAAUGCCUCUGGCGGUGUACCGGGAUGUGCAAUGAAUCAAGAGCGACAUGUAUGAAAAAUGAUGAACGGUGACUUUGCCACAAAUACGAUGUCAACUACAUGAUCAUGCAAGGCAAUAUGUCAAUGAUGAUGCGUGUCAUAAUAAACGGAACGGUGGAAAGUUGCAUGGCAGUAUAUCUCGGAAUGGCUAUGGAAAUGCCAUAAUAGGUAGGUAUGGUGGCUGUUUUGAGGAAUGUAUAUGGUGGGUUUAUGGUAUCGGCGAAAGUUGCAUGGUACAAGAGAGGCUAGCAAUGGCGGAAAGGUGUGAGUGCGCAUAAUCCAUGGACUCAACAUUAGUCAUAAAGAACUCACAUACUUAUAGCAAAAAUCUAUUAGUCAUCGAAACAAAUUACUACGUGUAUGCUCCUAGGGGGAUAUAUUGGUAGGAAAAGACCAUUGCUCGUCCCCGACUGCCACUCAUAAGGAAGACAAUCAAAAAAUAUCUCAUGCUCCAACUUCGUUACAUAACGGUGCACCAUACGUGCAUGUUACGAGACUCACAAACCUUAACACAAGUAUUUCUCAAAUUCAUGAUUACUCACUCACUACAAGAAUCAUGCACUUUGUCGUCUACCAUGGCUGGCGGCAAAGGCACGCCUGGCGGACGGCAAAGGCACGCCUAGCAGACGGCAACAAGUCCGGCUGAAUAGGCUACGGUUAAGGGCUCUUUGCCGUUUGCUGGCGGAUGGCAAAGAUGAAAUGGUCUUUGCCAUCCGCCAGCAGACGACAAAGGACCUAGACGGCACACGUGACAACUUAUGGCUGUUAGGUGGUUAACAACACGCUUUGCCGUCUGCUGGCAGACAUCAAAGAAACCAUAUAGGCCCCCAGGUUGCAUAGGUAGCUGCCACGUGGCAACUUUGCCGUCAGCUGGCUUAUGGCAAAGCUCUUUGUCGUCUGCCAGCUGACGGCAAAGUGCCUUUAUAGCCCCUGUUUUUUCUUUAAUCAUUCAAUUUGACAGAAUUUCACAAAUACACACACACACACACAUUUCAAAAGAAUUUCAACAAGCAUACCAACAAUAAGUUUCCAACAACAUAAGAAACAUACAAGUUUCCAACAACAUAUCCAACAUAUAUACAAUGAUUUCCAACAAGAAGUUUCCAACAACAUAUCCAUAUAUACAUACAUAUCCAAAAGAAGUUACCAACAACAUGCCCAUAUAUACAUUCAUAUCCAAAAGAAGUUUCAAACAAGUUUCCAUAAACAAAAAGGAAGCACAGGGAGAAGAGUACACUCCAUCAAUGCAAGCUUCCUCAUCUAAAGCAAAUCUGCAAAUUGGGAAAGAUGAAAGUUAGAAGAAGAAGAACAAGAACAAGAAGAAGACUAGCUAGAAGAAAAAUAAGAAAAGGAAGAAGAAAAAGAAGAAGAAGAAUUUAUCUUCUAUUUCUUUUUCUCCUCUCCUCUUCUUUAUCUUCUUCUUCUUCUUCUUCUAAGUAAGCUAGGUAAAAAUGCUAAUUGUGUAGGUCAUUUUAGAGCUAAGCUAGGUAAAUAGGUAAUUUUGGAGCUAACCUAGGCAAAAUGUAUCAUAUUGGAGCUAACCUAGGUAAACUUGGUCAUUUGGGAGCUAACCUAGGUAAACUUAUGCCAUUUUUGAGUUAACUAAGCAUAUUAUGCCAUUUUUGAUAGAAAUAAGCUAAGUGAUGACCCACAAGUAUAGGGGAUCUAUCUAGUCCUUUCGAUAAGCAAGAGUGUCGAACCCAAUGAGGAGCAGAAGGAAAUGACAAGCAGUUUUUAGUAAGGUAUUCUCUGCAAGCAUUGAAAUUAUUGGUAAGAGAGAGUUUUGUGAUAAGGUAAUUUGUAACGAGUAACAAGUAACAAAAGUAAACAAGGUGCAGCAAGGUGUCCCAAUCCUUUUUGUAGAAAAGGACAAGCCUGGACAAACUUUUAUAUAAAGGAAAGCGCUCCCGAGGACACAUGGGAAUUAUCGUCAAGCUAGUUUUCAUCAUGCUCAUAUGAUUCGCGUUCGUUACUUUGAUAAUUUGAUAUGUGGGUGGACCGAUGCUUGGGUACUGCCCUUCCUUGGACAAGCAUCCCACUUAUGAUUAACCCCCUUCGCAAGCAUCCGCAACUACGAAAGAAGAAUUAAGGUAAACCUAACCAUAGCAUGAAACAUAUGGAUCCAAAUCAGCCCCUUACGAAGGAACACAUAAACUAGGGUUUAAGCUUCUAUCACUCUAGCAAGCCAUCAUCUACUUAUUACUUCCCAAUUCCUUCCCCUAGGCCCAAACAAUGGUGAAGUGUCAUGUAGUCGAGGUUCACAUAACACUACUAGAGGAAAGACAACAUACAUCUCAUCAAAAUAUCGAACGAAUACCAAAUUCACAUGACUACUUAUAGAAAGACUUCUCCCAUGUCCUCAGGAACAAAUGUAACUACUCACAAAUAAUAUUCAUGUUCAUAAUCAGAGGGGUAUUAAUAUUCAUAAAGGAUCUGAACAUAUAAUCUUCCACCGGAUAAACCAACUAGCAUCAACUACAAGGAGUAAUCAACACUACUAGCAACCCACAGGUACCAAUCUGAGGUUUUGAGACAAAAAUCGGAUACAAGAGAUGAGAUAGGGUUUGAGAGGAGAUGGUGCCGGUGAAGAUGUUGAUGGAUAUUGACCCCGUCCCGAUGAGAGGAUCGAUGGUGAUGAUGAUGGUGACGAUUUCCCCCUCCCGGAGGGAUGUUUCCCCAGCAGAACAGCUCCACCGGAGCCCUAGAUUGGUUCCGCCAAGGUUCCGCCUCGAGAUGGCGGCGCUUCGACCCGAAAGCUUCCUUCUGAUUUUUUCCAGGGCGAAAGACACCUUAUACCAGAAGAUGGGCAUCGAGGGACUUCCAGGUGGCCCACGAGGCAGGGGGCGCGCCCUCCACCCUCGUGGACAGUGGGUGGCCCCCUCUGGUGCUUCCUUCGCCCAAUAUUUUAUAUAUAUUCCAAAACUGACUUUCGUGGAGUUUCAGGACUUUUGAAGUUGUGCAGAAUAGGUCUAUAAUAUUUGCUCCUUUUCCAGCCUAGAAUUCCAGCUGCCGGCAUUCUCCCUCUUCAUGUAAACCUUGUAAAAUAAGAGAGAAAAGGCAUAAGUAUUGUGACAUAAUGUGUGAUAACAGCCCAUAAUGCAAUAAAUAUCGAUAUAAAAGCAUGAUGCAAAAUGGACGUAUCAACUCCCCCAAGCUUAGACGUCGCUUGUCCUCAAGCGGAAGCCGAUAUCAAAAAAUAUGUCCACAUGUUUAGAGAUAGAGGUGUCGAUAAAAUAAAAUACAGACAUGAGGGCAUCAUGAUCAUUCUUAGAAUAGCAACACAUAUAUAUAUAUAUAUAUAUAGUCAUAUGGUUUCUUAUGCUAACAUAACAAUCCAUUCACAAUGUAAAGUAUGAAUCAGAAACUUCAUUGAAAACUAGCAAACUAUAAUCUCUGUCAUUGAGGCAAUUGCAAUUUAUCAUAACAUCAGAAAGAGUCAAAAUAAGAGCUUUUCAGCAAGUCCACACACUCAACUAUCAUUUAGUCUUUCACAAUUGCUAACACUCAUGCAAUACUUAUGGGUAUGAAGUUUUAAUCGGACAUAGAGAAAGAUAGGGGCUUAUAGUGUUGCCUCCCGACCUUUUACCUCAAGGGUAAUGUCAACAAUAAUGCUUUAUGAAAACCGACAUCCAAUUAGCUAUAUAUAUCAGGAUCUUAUCACUUAUGAUUAACCUCUAUUGCAAGCAUCCGCACCUACAACAAAAGUAUUAAGGUAAACCUAACCAUAGCAUGAAACAUAUGGAUCCAAAUCAGCCCCUUACGAAGCAACACAUAAACUAGGGUUGAAGCUUCUGUCACUCUAGCAACCCAUCAUCUACUUAUUACUUCCCAAUGCCUUCCUCUAGGACAAAAUAAUGGUGAAGUGUCAUGUAGUCGACGUUCACAUAACACCACUAGAGGAGAGACAACAUACAUCUCAUCAAAAUAUCGAACGAAUACCAAAUUAACAUGACUACUAAUAGCAAGACUUCUCCCAUGUCCUCAGGAACAAACGUAACUACUCACAAAGCAUAUUCAUGUUCAUAAUCAGAGGGGUAUUAAUAUGCAUAUAGGAUCUGAACAUAUGAUCUUCCACCAAAUAAACCAACUAGCAUCAACUACAAGGAGUAAUCAACACUACUAGCAACCUACAGGUACCAAUCCCAGACAUAGAGACAAGAAUUGGAUACAAGAGAUGAACUAGGGUUUGAGAGGAGAUGGUGCUGGUGAAGAUGUUGAUGGAGAUUGGCCCCCUCCCGAUGAGAGGAGCGUUGGUGAUGACAAUGGUGAUGAUUUCCCCCUCCCGGAGGGAAGUUUCCCCGGCAGAACAGCUCCGCCAGAGCCCUAGAUUGGUUUUGCCAAGGUUCCGCCUCGUGGCGGCGGAGUCUCGUCCCGAAAGCUUGCUGAUGAUUGUUUCCUCAAUGAAAGACUCCAUAUAGCAGAAGAUGGGCAUCGGAGGGCCACCAGGGGGGCCACGAGGCAGGGGCGCGCCCCCACCCUCGUGGCUGGUGAGUGGCCCCCCUCUGGUACUUCUUGCACUCAGUAUUUUUUAUAUAUUCUGAAAAUUACUUCCGUGAAGUUUCAGGACUUUUGGAGCUGUGCAGAAUAGGUCUCUAAUAUUUGCUCCUUUUCCAGCCCAGAAUCCCAGCUGCCGGCAUUCUCCCUCUUUAUGUAAACCUUGUAAAAUAAGAGAGAAUAGUCAUAAGUAUUGUGACAUAAUGUGUAAUAACAUCCCAUAAUGCAAUAAAUAUUGAUAUGAAAGCAUGAUGCAAAAUGGACGUAUCAACUCCCCCAAGCUUAGACCUCGCUUGUCCUCAAGUGAAAGCCGAAAUCGAAAAAUAUGUCCACAUGUUUAGAGAUAGAGGUGUCGAUAAAAAUAAAAUACAGACAUGAGGGCAUCAUGAUCAUUCUUAGAACAACAACUUAUAUAUAUAUAUAUUGUCAUAUGAUCUCUUAUGCUAAAGUAACAAUUCAAUCACAAUUUCAAGUAUGAAUCAUAAACUUCAUUGAAAACUAACAAACUAUAAUCUCAGUCAUUGAAUCAAUUGCAAUUUAUCAUAACACAGGAAAGAGUCAAUAUAAGACCUUUUCAGCAAGUCCACAUACUCAACUAUCAUAUAGUCUUUCACAAUUGCUAACACUCAUGCAAUACUUAUGGGUAUGGAGUUUUAAUCAGACACAGAGAAAGAUAGGGGCUUAUAGUUUUGCCUCCCAACAUUUUACCUCAAGGGUAAUGUCAACAAUAAUGCUUUAUGAAAACCCACAUCCAACUAGGUAUAUAUAUCAGGAUCUUUCCAACACAUAGUGCUUGCCAAAGGAUAAAAUGUAAAAAGGAAAGGUGAAGAUCACUGAUACGUCUCCAAUGUAUCUACAAUUUUUGAUUGUUCCAUGCUAUUAUAUUAUCUGUUUCGGAUGUUUAAUGGGCUUUAAUAUACCUUUUUAUAUUAUUUUUGGGACUAACCUACUAACCAAAGGCCCAGUGCAAAUUGCUGUUUUUUUGCCUAUUUCAGUGUUUCGCAGAAAAGGAAUAUCAAAUGGAAUCCAAACGGAAUGAAACCUUCGAGAGAGUUAUUUUUGGAAUAAACGCAAUCUAGGAGACUUGAAGUGGACGUCAAGGAAGAAACGAGGCAGCCACGAGGUAGGAGGGCGCGCCCAGGGGGUAGGCGCGCCCCACCCUCGUGGGCCCCUCGUGGCUCCGCCGACCUACUUCUUUCGCAUAUAUAUACCCAUAUACCGCAAAAACAUCUGAGAGCACCACGAAACCCUAUUUCCACCGCAGCAACCUUUUGUACCCAUGAGAUCCCAUCUUGGGGCCUUUUUCGGCACUCCGCCAAAGGGGGAAUCGAUCACGGAGGGCUUCUACAUCAACACCAUAGCCUCUCCGAUGAUGUGUGAGUAGUUUACCACAGAUCUUCAGGUCCAUAGUUAUUAGCUAGAUGGCUUCUUCUCUCUCUUUGGAUCUCAAUACAAAGUUCUCCUCGAUUCUCUUAGAGAUCUAUUCAAUGUAAUUCUUUUUUGCGGUGUGUUUGUCGAGAUCCGAUGAAUUGUGGGUUUAUGAUCAAGAUUAUCUAUGAAUAAUAUUUGAUUCUUCUCUGAAUUCUUUUAUGCAUGAUUUAAUAUCUUUGCAAGUCUCUUUGAAUUAUCAGUUUGGUUUGGCCUACUAGAUUGAUCUUUCUUGCAAUGGGAGAAGUGCUUAGCUUUGGGUUCAAUCUUGCGGUGUCCUGAUAACCCACAAGUAUAGGGGAUCAAUUGUAGCCUCUUUCGAUAAGUAAGAGUGUCGAACCCAACGAGGAGCUAAAGGUAGAACAAAUAUUCCCUCAAGUUCUAUCGACCACCGAUACAACUCUACGCACGCUUAAUGUUCGCUUUACCUAGAACAAGUAUGAAACUAGAAGUACUUUGUAGGUGUUGUUGGAUAGGUUUGCAAGAUAAUAAAGAGCGUGUAAACAAAAAGUAGGGGCUGUUUAGAUAAAGAAACAAUAAAGUUAGUAUAGCGAGUGUGGAAAAGUGGUGGUAGGAGUUGCCAAAUUGUCCCUAAGCAAUUGACUACUUUACUAGACUGGUAGCAAGUUUUAUGUGGGAGAGGCCACUGCUAGCAUGUCAUCCCUGACUUGGAAUUCUAUGUACUUAUGAUUGGAACUAUUAGCAAGCAUCCGCAACUACUAACGUUCAUUAAGGUAAAACCCAACCAUAACAUUAAGAUAUAUUGGUCCCCCUUCAAUCCCGUAUGCAUCAAUUUCUAUGCUAGGUUGAAGCUUCUGUCACUCUUUCCCUCCAAUACAUAGUCUUAUCAACAUACAACUAACCCUAUGGUGUGAUCCACGCACGCGCUCAUAUGAUGGGCACCAAAGGACAUCAACAUAACCACAGGCAAAUUAAACCAAUCAUAGCAAUUCACCAAUGUCGGAUCACGGGUUCCGGCAAAACCCUUAAGGUUCGAACACUGGGGUGCGCGGGAAGAUCUCCCCUCCUACCGAUCCGCGCCCUAACUUAGCCUAGAUCCCACGAACUAACUCGACAAACUCGCAACACAAAGGACACAAGAUUUAUACUAGUUUGGUCCACCGUUGUGGUGUAAUACCCUACUCCAGUGUGGUGGUGGUGGAUUGCCUCUUGGGCUGAAGACGAACAGUACAAGGGGAAGAACAGCCUCCUGAGGUUGAGGUGUUCUUGUGCUUGGUGAACUUGUGUGGCUGAGGAUGAUCUUGAUGAUCCGUACCCGCCUAUGGUGGUGGCUAGUCCUAUUUAUAGAGGCCCUGGUCCUCUCCCCAAAUAUUGAGCGGGAGGGAGCCAACAACGGCCAAUUUGAAAGGGGACAACUAGUACAAGCUAUCCUGACAAAAGGUGGUCUUCGCCUGCCAAAGGUUCUGGCGGUGGCGCCGUCUUGGGCUCCAUGGUGACCUCCAUCUUACCGUCCUUCUGGUCUUGGUCUCAUUGCACCAAUAUGGAAACCUUUGCUUGAUGCCUCGGUACUCCGCGCUUGCGCUUGUCCCCCUUAGGACUAAAGAGGAAACAAGGAUGCUGCGCGCGCUGGUGCCUGCCUGGCGCCCGCCUGGUCUCGAUCGUCAUGGCUUAUGUCACGAGAACCUCACGAGGCUUGCCCGGCCUUGAACUCUCCACCCCUCACGAGCCAGCCUGGUGAGGCCGCUCCUGAGGAGGUCUUGUGACGUUCUCCUCACGAGGCUUGGCCCCUCGCAAGGGUAUUGAUUCCUUGUUGAUGAAGAUGGGCAUACAUGCCUGCCAGCAAAGCCACGCCAUGGGCCACAGGCAGGCAAGUCUGGGACCCCCAUUCCCAGAACACCGAUAGUAGCCCCUGGGCCCAAGGUGCGCUUGGGCUUGGCUUCGAGGCAAAGCCAAGGGUCAAGUGUGGAGCGCUGCGGGCCCCAAUAGCCUGCGGCCUCGGUCGAUGCGUGGCGGUUGAUUGGACGUGGGCGUCUCUACUUCCCCAUGCUGCCUCGGCAACUGCCCAACAUGACAAGUCCCUGCGACAUGCAAUGAAGACCAUCAUUACAUGUGAUCGUGGGGGUGCUGGUUGGCCUUCUCCUGGUAUAAAUGGGAUGUGGGCGGAGCCCCUAUCACCCAUCCUUCUUCUGCCUCUCCCGCUUCCUCUUCUUCCUUGCUCCGCUCCUCACUCAUGCAGACAUGGCGCCGAUCCGGAGGUUCUCGGCCGCAGAGAAGGGCAAGACCCCCCUCAACGUGCCUGAGCUGCUCCCUCCGAAGAAAAGGAGGUCUCAUCUUCGCGAGGUGGUCAUGAGGCCGGUGGUGUCGCGGCCUGAUACGUCUCCAACGUAUCUAUAAUUUUUGAUUGCUCCAUGCUAUUAUGUUAUCUAUUUUGGAUGUUAAUAGGCUUUAUUUUACACUUUUAUAUCAUUUUUGGGACUAACCUACUAACUGGAGGCCUAGCCCAAAUUGUUGUUUUUUUGCCUAUUUUAGGGUUUCGAAGAAAAGGAAUAUCAAACGGAGUCCAAACGAAAUGAAACCUUCGGGAACGUGAUUUUCUCAACAAACGUGAUCCAGGAGACUUGGAGUGGGCGUCAAGAAACAAUCGAGGAGGCCACGAGGCAGGGGGCGUUCCUACCCCCCUGGCCGCGCCCUCCACCCUCGUGGGCCCCUCGUUGCUCCACUGACCUACUUCUUCCUCCUAUAUAAGUCCAUGGACCCCCCAACCAUCCAGGAGCACCACGAAAACGUAAUUCGACCGCCGCAACCUUCUGUACCCGAGAGAUCCCAUCUUGGGGCCUUUUCAGGAGCUCCGCCGAAGGGGGCAUUGAUUAUGGAGGGCCUCUACAUCAACUCCAUGGCCUCUCCGGUGAUGUAUGAGUAGUCUACUUUAGACCUUCGGGUCCAUAGUUAUUAGCUAGAUGGCUUCUUCUCUCUCUUUGGAUCUCAAUACAAAGUUCUCCUCAAUCUUCUUGGAGAUCUAUUCGAUGUAAUCUUCUUUUGCGGUGUGUUUGUCAAGAUCCAAUGAAUUGUGGGUUUAUGAUCAAGUUUAUCUAUGAACAAUAUUUGAAUCUCCUCUGAAUUCCUUUAUGUAUAAUUGGUUUAUCUUUGCAAGUCUCUUCAAAUUAUCAGUUUGGUUUGGCCUACUAGAUUGAUCUUUCUUGCAAUGGGAGAAGUGCUUAGCUUUGGGUUUAAUCUUGCGGUGUCCUUUCCCAGUGACAGUAGGGGCAGCAAGGCACGUAUUGUAUUGUUGCCUUCGAGGAUAAAAAGUUGGGGUUUAUAUCAUAUUGCAUGAGUUUAUCCCUCUACAUCAUGUCAUCUUACUUAAAGCAUUACUCUAUUCUUAUGAACUUAAUACUCUAGAUGCAUGCUGGAUAGCGGUCGAUGUGUGGAGUAAUAGUAGUAGAUGCAGAAUCAUUUCGGUCUACUUGUCGCGGACGUGAUGCCUAUAUACAUGAUCAUGCCUAGAUAUUCUCAUAACUAUGCUCAAUUCUAUCAAUUGCUCGAGAGUAAUUCGUUUACCCACCGUAAUACUUAUGCUCUUGAGAGAAGCCACCAGUGAAACCUAUGGCCCCCGGGUCUAUCUUCCAUCAUAUUAGUCUUCCAACACUUAGUUAUUUCUAUUGCUGUUUAUUUUACUUUGCAUCUUUAUUUCUCUUUAUCAUAAAAAUACCAAAAAUAUUAUCUUAUCAUAUCUAUCAGAUCUCACUCUCGUAAGUGACCGUGAAGGGAUUGACAACCCCUUUAUCGCGUUGGUUGUGAGGUUCUUAUUUGUUUGUGUAGGUGCGUGGGACUCGAGCGUGAUCUCCUACUGGAUUGAUACCUUGGUUCUCAAAAACCGAGGGAAAUACUUACGCUACUUUACUGCAUCACCCUUUCCUCUUCAAGGGAAAACCAACACAGUGCUCAAGAGGUAGCAAGAAGGAUUUCUGGCGCUGUUGCCGGGGAGAUUCACGCCAAGUCAAGUCAAGAUUUGACUCUUGACAACGAGCCAUUUGUGGCACUGUUGUCGGAGUCUACGCACAAGUCAAGACAUACCAAGUACCCAUCACAAACUCUUAUCCCUCACAUUACAUUAUUUACCAUUUGCCUCUCAUUUUCCUCUCCCCCAAUUUAUCCUUGUCGUUUUAUUCGCCCUCUUUUCCUCUUGCCCUCUCUUUCUGUUCGCCUCUUUUUCGCUUGCUUCUAGUUUGAUCAUGUGUUGGAUUGCUUGCUUGUCACGAUGGCUCAAGAUAAUACUAAACUGUGUGACUUUGCCAAUACCAACAACAAUGAUUUUCUUAGCACUCCGAUUGCUCUCUUACCGAUGCUGAAUCUUGUGAAAUUAAUGCUGCUUUGUUGAUUCUUGUCAUGAAAGAUCCGUUUUCCGGCCUUCCUAUUGAAGAUGCCGCUACCCAUCUAAAUAGCUUUGUUGAUUUGUGUGAUAUGCAAAAGAAGAAAGAUGUGGACAAUGAUAUUGUUAAAUUGAAGCUAUUUCUGUUUUCGCUUAGAGAUCGUGCUAAAGCUUGGUUUUCGUCUUUGCCUAAAAAUAGUAUUGAUUCAUGGAAUAAGUGCAAAGAUGCUUUUAUCUCUAAGUAUUUUCCUCCCGCUAAAAUCAUCUCUCUUAGAAACGAUAUUAUGAAUUUUAAGCAACUUUAUCAUGAACAUGUUGCACAAGCUUGGGAGAGGAUGAACUUAAUGAUACGUAAUUGCCCUACACAUGGUUUGAAUCUUUGGAUGAUUAUACAAAUUUUUUAUGCCGGAUUGAAUUUUGCUUCUAGAAAUCUUUAGAUUCGGCCAUAGGAGGAACUUUUAUGGAAAUCACUUUAGGAGAAGCUACUAAACUCCUAGAUAAUAUUAUGGUAAUUAUUCUCAAUGGCACACCGAAAGAUCUACUAGUAAAAAAGUGCAUGCAAUUGAAGGGAUUAAUGUUUUGAGUGGAAAGAUGGAUGAACUUAUGAAAUUGUUUGCUAAUAAGAGUGCUCCUACUUAUGCUAAUGAUAGGCCUUUGCCUACUUUGAUUAAGAAUAAUAAUGAAUCUAUGGAUGUGAAUUUUGUUGGUAGGAACAAUUUUGGUAAUAAUGCGUAUAGAGGUAAUUUUAAUUCUAGUCCGUUUCCUAGUAAUUACUCUAAUAAUUAUGGUAAUUCCUACAACAAUUCUUAUGGAAAUUUUAAUAAGAUGCCCUCUGAAUUUGAGACUAGUGUUAAGGAGUUUAUGAAUUCGCAAAAGAAUUUCAAUGCUUUGCUUGAAGAAAAAUUGCUUAAGGUUGAUGAAUUGGCUAGGAACGUUGAUAGAACUUAUCUUGAUGUUGAUUCUUUGAAUCUUAGAUCUAUUCCACCUAAGCAUGAUAUCAAUGUGUCUCUCAAAGCCAUGAGAAUUUCCAUUGAUGAGUACAAAGAAAGAACCGCUAGGAUGCUUGCUAAGAAAGAUUGCUUUGUGAAAGCGUGUUCUUCUAGUUUCUAUGAAAAUAAAGAUGAAGAUAUAAAAUUUAUUUAUGUGUCUCCUAUUAAAUCUUUGUUUUGCAAUAUGAAUCUUGAUAAUGAUGGGACUGAAUAUGAGCCACCUUUACCUAGAAGGCGUUCCAGAAAUUCGGAGUUUUUAGAUCUUGAUGCAAAAAUUGGUAAAAGUGGGAUUGAAGAGGUUAAAAAUUUAGAUAUCAAUGAACCCACUAUCUUGGAUUUCAAGGAAUUUAAUUAUGAUAAUUGCUCUUUGAUAGAUUGUAUUUCCUUGUUGAAAUCCAUGCUAAAUUCUCCUCAUGCUUAUAGUCAAAAUAAAGCUUUUACUAAACAUAUCAUUGAUGCUUUGAUGCAAUCUUAUGAAGAAAAACUUGAGUUGGAAGUUUAUAUCCCUAGAAAACUUUAUGAUGAGUGGGAACCUACAAUAAAAAUUAAAAUUAAAUAUCAUGAGUGUUAUGCUUUGUGUGAUUUGGGUGCUAGUGUUCCCACGAUUCCAAAAACUUUGUGUGAUUUGCUAGGUUUCCGUGAUUUUGAUGAUUGUUCUUUAAACUUGCACCUUGCAGAUUCCACUAUUAAGAAACCUAUGGGAAGAAUUAAUGAUGUUCUUAUUGUUGCAAAUAGGAACUAUGUGCCCUUAGAUUUCAUUGUUCUUUAUAUAGAUUGCAAUCCUUCAUGUCCUAUUAUUCUUGGUAGACCUUUCCCUAGAACGAUUGUUGCAAUUAUUGAUAUGAAGGAAGGGAAUAUUAUAUUCCAAUUUCCGUUAAGGAAAGGCAUGGAACACUUCCCUAGAAAGAAAAUUAAAUUACCAUAUGAAUCUAUUAUGAGAGCCAUUUAUGGAUUGCCUACCAACGAUGGCAAUACCUAGAUCUAUCCUUGCUUUUAUGCCUAGCUAGGGGCGUUAAACGAUAGCGCUUGUUGGGAGACAACCCAAUUUUAUUUUUAUUCCUUGCUUUUUGAUCCUGUUUAGUAAUAAAUAAUUUAUCUAGACUUUGUUUUUGUUGUGGUUUUGUGUUUAGUUAGUGUUUGUGCCAAGUAGAACCGUUGGGAAGACUUGGGGAAAGUCCUUUUGAUCUUGCUGUAAAAAAUAGAAACUUUAGCGCUCACGAGAAUUGCUGCCAUUUUUAUUUGGAGAGUGAUAUUUAGUUAAUUCUUUUUGAAGAUGAUUAAUAGAUAUAUUCCUCAUCCAGAAAUUUAUUUUAGAAUUUUUGGGGUUCCAGAAGUUGCGUUAGCUACAGAUUACUACAAACUGUUCUGUUUUUGGCAGAUUCUGUUUUUCGUGUGUUGUUUGCUUAUUUUGAUGAAUCUAUGGCUAGUAAAAGAGUUUAUAAACCAUAGGGAAGUUGGAAUACAGUAGGUUUAACACCAAUAUAAAUAAAGAAUGAGUUCGUUACAGUACCUUGAAGUGGUGUUUUGUUUUUCUUUCGCUAACGGAGCUCACGAGAUUUUCUAUUUUGAGUUUUGUGUUGUGAAGUUUUCAAGUUUUGGGUAAAGAUUUGAUGGAUUAUGGAACAAAGAGUGGCAAGAGCCUAAGCUUGGGGAUGCCCAUGGCACCCAAGGUAAAAUUUAAGGAGACCAAAAUGCCUAAGCUUGGGGAUGCCCCGGAAGGCAUCCCCUCUUUCGUCUUCGUCUAUCGGUAACUUUACUUGGAGCUAUAUUUUUAUUCACCACAUGAUAUGUGUUUUGCUUGGAGCGUCUUGUAUGAUUUGAGUCUUUAAUUUUUAGUUUACCACAAUCAUCCUUUCUGUACACACCUUUUGAGAGAGACUCACAUGAUUUGAAAUUUAUUAGAAUACUCUAUGUGCUUCACUUAUAUCUUUUGAGCUAUAUAGUUUUUGCUCUAGUGCUUCACUUAUAUCUUUUAGAGCACGGCAGUGGUUUUAUUUUAUAGAAAUAAUUGAUCUCUCAUGCUUCACUUAUAUUAUUUUGAGAGUCCUUUAGAACAACAUAGAAAUUUGCUUUAAUAUAAAAACUUUCAUAGAAGUGCAUUCAAUACUAUGAGAAGUUUGAUACUUGAUAAUUGUUUUGACAUAUGGAGAUGGUGAUAUUAGAGUCAUGCUAGUUGAGUAGUUGUGAAUUUGAGAAAUACUUGUGUUGAAGUUUGUGAUUCCCGUAGCAUGCACGUAUGGUGAACCAUUAUGUGCUGAAGUCAGAGCAUGAUUUAUUUAUUGAUUGUCUUCCUUAUGAGUGGCGGUCGGGGACGAGCGAUGGUCUUUUCCUACCAAUCUAACCCCCUAGGAGGAUGCGCGUAAUACAUUGUUUCGAUAACUAAUAGAUUUUUUCAAUAAGUAUGUGAGUUCUUUAUGACUAAUGUUGAGUUCAUGGAUUAUACGCACUCUCACCCUUCCACCAUUGCUAGCCUCUCUAGUAUCGCGCAACUUUCGCCGGUACCUUAAACCCACCAUAUACCUUCCUCAAAACAGCCACCAUACCUACCUAUUAUGGCAUUUCCACCGUUUCGUUAUUAUGGCACGCUUCAUCGCUGUCAUAUUGCUUGCAUGAUCAUGUAGUUGACAUUGUAUUUGUGGCAAAGCCACCGUUCAUAAUUCUUCAUACAUGUCACUCAUGCAUCAUUGCACAUCCCGGUACACCGCCGAAGGCAUUCACAUAGGGUCAUAUUUUGUUCUAAGUAUCAAGUUGUAAUUCUUGAGUUGUAAGAAAAUAAAAUGUGAUGAUCAUCAUUAUUAGAGCAUUGUCCCAAGUGAGGAAAGGAUGAUGCAGACUAUGAUUCCCCCACAAGUCGGGAUGAGACUCUGGACGAAAAAGAGGCAAAAAAAAAGAAAAAGAAAAGAAAAAAAGGCCCAAAUAAAAAAAUGAGAGAAAAAGAGAGAAGGGACAAUGCUACUAUCCUUUUUCCACACUUGUGCUUCAAAGUAGCACCAUGAUCUUCAUGAUAGGGAGUCUCCUAUGAUAUCACUUUCAUAUACUAGUGGGAAUUUUUCAUUAUAGAACUUGGCUUGUAUAUUCCAAUGAUGGGCUUCCUCAAAAUGCCCUAGGUCUUCAUGAGCAAGCAAGUUGGAUGCACACCCACUUAGUUGUCACAUCCCUAGUUCUGGUAUGACAUAGGCUAGCCUUCUUGUGAGCAUCAUGUUUAAAUUUAAUUUAAGUUUGAAAUGGGGAUUUGUGAAACCCUCAGAAAUCGUUUGUGGAAAUGACCCAGAUAAAAAUUGCUCCAAAAAGGUCCAAGAAAAUGUUCAUGUUGCUCUCUGAAAAUAUUGGUCAGAGGCAAAAUUCAAACCAAUAUUAUCAGGAGCUCAUAAAUAUUUAUUUUGGCCAUUUGGAAUUAAUGCGAUAAUUAUUUGCGUUGGAUAUAUAUAUGUUAUAUAUUUUAUAUAUGUCCAAAAAGUCUGAAAUUUGGUGAUGGGCUUUGGAAUAAUCCCUUAGGUCCAUGCAAAAAUUGUCAGAAGAAAAUAAAAUGAUUUAGUAUUGCUAUUAAAUCAGAAAACAAAUGUCAGAAAAUAGAAAAGAAAACAAAAUAGAAAAGAACCUUACCUCGGCUUACCUGGCAUCCCAUCUGCUCCGGCCCAGCUGACUGGCCGAUGCCAGUCGUCCCUUUCCUCUCGCCAGGAGGACAGGGGCGUGUGUUCGCGGUGCGCGCACGCGCAUCGCCAGCUCCUGCUUGGCGCUGCUGCUGGAGGCUGCUACGAGUGCCACGCGACCCCCGAGGCCUCUCUCACUCGCUCUCAUUCUCCCUCCUCCCCUGGAUCCCUCUCACUCGACCUGCCCGAGCGGAGGUCGUCGCCGCCGCUCGCUGCCCGUGCAGCCACCGCCUUCCCCUCACCCUCUCUUCGUGUCUGAGUGCUCCGCCUUGUCGCCUACAUCGUCCUCGACGAGCCAAGCGACCAGGGAUGCACUGCAUCACCGCCACCAUCAUCGUCUUCACCUUUGGCUGCCCGAGAUCGCCGUCGUUGUUCCGGCCGCACCAGUGGAUCCCCGAGCUCACGCACGACGCCGUCGAGACCGCUGUGAACUUUCCUCCGUUUCCCCUCCUUCCCUAUGCUUGAUUUCGUGCCGUAGCCCAGCUAACCGUCAAACCCGCGAGCACCUUGCUGCUGUCCAUGGUGCCACCAUGACCAGAGCCCGAGCCAGCCGCUCUCGCGCGCGUCACCGUGAUCCUGGUGACGCUAGGAGGCCGUAGAGGCCCUCCGCAGCCCCUGCCAUGCCCUGCAGCCACAUCCCGCUUGGAGCCGUGCUCCGGCCGCCGCUGCGAGCUCCGCUCCGGUGAGCUCCGCUCCGGCGAGCUCCGUCCUCCCCAGCUCCUCCCACAUGCUCCACUGGAUGCGGACAAUGACGGGCUACACGCCGGUGGUGUCCGCGCGUCCAGCCGCCGCUCGUAGCGCAAGUCCGGCGAGUUUUGGUUGUCGCCGGCCGAACUCCGCCGACUGCUGACGUGGCCUCUAAUUAGGCACUAAUUACUCCUAGAGACACUGACAGUGGGCCCCGACGCCCUCUAAUUUUUAGUUAGGCUAAUUAACCCCCUGUUAACUAACCAUGUCACUGACAUGUGGACCCCACACGUCAGGUUUGACCUGGUCAGCGCUAUUGACCUGCUGAUGCAGACAUGACGCAGUGCUAACACAAUAAAUGAUUUUCUGGAUUAUUUCUAUUUUGGAAAUUCCAUAAAAUUAGCUAAACUCCAAAAAAUCAUAGAAAUUCAACCGUAGCUCAGAUUGAAAUAAUUUAUAUAUGAAAAAUUAACAGAAAAAUGCAAUCUAUCCAUUUGUACCAUUUUCGUGCAUGACAAACCAACUUAUACCUGCUGUAUAGGUGAAAACACAUGAAUGGCAUUUAUAAGAGUUUAUUUUGGAGAUGCAUUUGAACCUUUGGUUCAAAUGGACUUCAACCAAAUGAAUUCUAGUUGCAUUAGCUCAAACAACAUCACAUCUUCAUGCCAUGUUCAUGCAUCAUAUUGUUGAAUAUGCUUGUGUUUUGAUUGUCGACACCGUUCCUUCUCGAUAGGUCCUGCUCCGGAGACCGAUCCAGAGUACCUGUCAGAGGAACAAUGCCCCCCUGUUGAUCUACCAGGCAUGCAAACCCCCUUGUCCAUUCCAAUACAAUCCUACUCUCUCGCUCCUACUCUCUUUUAUCGCAUUACAACAACAAUGAUUCAACUACUACUUUAUGUUGCGGUAGUUGAACCCAUUCCUCUGCAUGACCUGUCAUUGCCACCGUAAAUAGUUGAAACCCACUAGCAUGUGUAGGAGUUUAUUGAGCCAUGUUGUGUUCCUACCAUGCAUUGCCUGCUAUUGCUUAGAGUAUGUCAGGUCUGAUUCAUUGGGAAUGAAUUGGAGUACAGUGCUAUGUUCUGAUGUUGAGAGUUAAGUGUGUGAACACGAUUUGGUAAAGGUAGCGGUGAGAGGCCAUGUAGGAGUACAUGGUGGGUUGUCUCACUAGAACCGUCCCUAAGAACUGAGUUCUGUGUAUGUUUACCAAUGACUAGAUACUACCACACAUUGGGUUCCGGUAACUCGACCCCUCUCGACUUAUUAACCGACUUGGUCUCUGUCCAGGACUCGCAACUAGUUUCUGGUGUUUGUAGGCAGUGUUAUUCUUCUACCAAGUGGCACCCGGCAGGGUGGGCUUGGGAUAGACUAGGCACAGGUGGCACGGUGUACCAAGUGGCACCCGGAUGGUGGGCUUGGGAACCCUUCUCACAUCGUUUGGGGCCGUGAGCGAAACCUCGGUCGGAUCUCCUUGCGGAUGGAACCCGAAUAGGCGAUAAACCUGGACUAGAGUCUUGCGUGGUUAGUCAGGUCGUGGCCGACACCCUCGCCAGGCUUCCGCUUGAAGGUUGCCGAGGUACAUGACAUGUACAUGACGGUAAGUGGCGAUAGCGUGUGUGAAGAAGUACACCCCUGCAGGGUUAUCAUGAUCUAUUCGAAUAGUCGGGUCCACGGUUAUGGACUUCUUGGAUGCUUACGUGGUACAUAGACAACUUAAAGUGGAUACUCUAAGAUGCUCAAGACAAGUGUGAGUGCUAUGGAUGGCCUUCUCGUAGGGAGACGGGAAUGAAUCCAUACUAGUGUAUUGAUGUGGUGAUUAGUGGACUCGUGUGCGUUUUCUUACCUCAAAGAAGUUACUCGUAGUCGUAGAACAGGAUAGCCACGGAGUCAAAGCUGGCUUGCUGCAACUAAACCCCACAUUGCCUUCUUGAUACUAAUGCAUGCAUGAUAGGAUCUGAUGUAAGUGUUGCUGAGUACCUUUGAACUCACGUUUGCUUAAUUUAUGUUUUGCAGAUGAGACAGCUGUCUCACUAGUAGUUCCGCUUGGACUUCGAUGAGUAGCUUAUUACCUCAGCUACGAUCUUGUACCCUUGGGAGGGUCUUGUAGAUAGUCAGGCUUCUCAGCCUUUUUCUUUUGUAGUUGUCUGUACUCAGACAUGUAAUGCUUCUGUUGCUUGUAUGCUCUGAAUGAUGGGUCAUGAGACCCCUGUUUGUAUUAAAUGCUAUGUGGCCCUUCUGGGCCUUUGUCUAUAUGAGUUUGAGUUAUGUUGUGAUGCCAUGUUGUACAUCACAUACUUGCAUGUUGUGCGUACGUGUGACGUGUAUUGCUAUGUGUGGGAUCCGACAACCUAGUUGUCUAUCCUUGGUAGCCUCUCUUAUGGGGAAAUGUAGUCUGGUGCUUCCACUGAGCCAUGGUAGUCCACUACAACCCGGUUCACCGGAGUCCUGCUAACCCAGCACUACUGCUUCAGAAUAGUUAGACUGGCCGACAUGUGAUUCACAUCGUUCCUGUGUCUGUCCCUUCGGGGAAAUGUCACUCGGUGAUUUCCGGAGUCCUGCUAGCCUACUACAGCCCAGAUUCCCGGAGUCCUGUUAGCCCAGUUGCUACAGCCCGGAUUCACACGCUGAUGACCGACAUGCUCGAUGUUGUUUCAUGUAUGCCUGUCCCAGUAACUUAGUGCCACUUUGGGUGCACGACUAGUCAUGUCGGCCCGGGUUCUCUGUCAUAUGGAUGCUAGCGACACUAUCAUAUACAUGAGCCAAAAGGCGCAAAUGGUCCCGGGCCAGGUAAGGCGACACCCAUGGGAAUACCGUGCAUGAGUCCCCAAAGUGAUAUGACGUGUUGCAUGCUAGAUCGGUGUGACUUAGAAUCGGGGUCCUGACUGCUUUGGUAUUAGAGCCUGACUGCCUGUGGGAUUACCAAGCCAAACUGGUUAAAGUUGAGUCUAGAAAUUCUUUAGUUAUAUAAGGGAAUUGAUUGUGGAAGGGAACGUAAGGCUCUUUUUACUCCUUAUACCUCAUGCCUUCUGAUCUGAGUCAUCCUAUCUUUCCUACGCGGUUAAGGAACUAGGCUUUCUCUUCCGUCUAUCAGGAUCACGUGUUACUACUCCAUAGUCUCUUAGGAUUGAUUGAUCAGAGUCAUAUUCCAGUUUUUGAGUACUUCUGGUGUAGUCUGUUUAGUACUAUCACAGAACCUUGAGUGAUAAUGUUGAGUAUGGUACUACCCCAUCGUUUGCAGGAUGUCUCAUUUUGAGCAUUUUACCGAUGUUAUGCUGCCGGAAUUGUCCUAGGAGUUCAAGAGAUAGUAUUUUCCUUGUACUAUAUUCUACAUCCUUAUGAUGAUGCUGAAUCCAUCCUUGUUUCCUUGGUUGGUACUUCAGGAUGUCGUCAGUUAACCGAAGUUCUGUUGCUCGUAGCCGGAACCACGAAGAUGGUAGGGAUAAGGAUCCUCCCGACCAGCCUUCAUUGGCAGAGUUCAUGUUAGAGAUGGAGAAGAACAAGCGAGAGUCUAACCGCUUGUUAGCACGUAUUGAAGAGAACACCUCCCAUCAGUACAAAGAGUCCGCGUCCAUUCAUGACUUCAUUGGCCUGAAACCAACUACCUUCCAUCAUUCCAUUGAGCCACUUGAUGCCGAUGACUAGCUCCGUAGUGUCACUAUCAAGCUGCGUUCUGCGAACGUAGCUGAAGGUGACAAGGUCACCUAUGUUGCAUAUCAUCUGGAAGGUCCUGCUAGUAUUUGGUGGCAGAACUAUGAGGCUAUGCUUCCAGCUGGCCAGAUACCCACAUGGAGAGAUUUCACUGAGGCUUUUCACGAACAUCACAUUCCUCAGGCUCUCAUUGACCGCAAGAGAGAAGAGUUCUGUAGUUUCACACAUGAUAAGAUGGUUGUUGAUGCUUACAGUAGAGAGUUUGAGAACCUCGCCCGCUAUGCUACAGAGGAGGUGUCCACAGACGCCAAGAAGCAGGCUAGGUUACGGAACGGUCUCAACCCCAAGUUGUGUUGUGAUCUUCACUUGCACCAUUGCAAUAUAUUCUAGGCUCUUGUGAACAAGGCUAUUAAUGCAGAGACAACUUAGCUCACUUACGAGGAGUCUCAUAAGCACACCCGUGAUUUGGGUUCUUCCUCCGGUUCUAGUUCUUAGAAGCGCCGAAUUUGGGUUCCGAACUCCACUCUUCCACCCGUUGUUCACCGAGGCCAUCUUAUGUGGUACCUCCCCCAGUUAAAUUGUAUGCUCUACCCAUGCCUAUUGGUAGACCGCUUGUCAAUGCGAGUCCAUGUCCUACUUUAGGGACUUGCUUCACAUGUGGAGAGCCAGGACACUAUGCACAUGACUGCUCUCAAGCCAAGUAUGCUCCACCCCAGCUCGAGGAGUCUGUUCUUCGUGGUAAGCCAUCACGCAAGAUGAUCAGUGUCAAGUCAGCUUCCACUAAACGUGGACAUGUGAAUCACGUCUUAGCUAAAGACGCUCAUGAUGAUCCAGAUGUCGUUCUUGGUACACUCAUUGUCAACUGCCAUCCAACAUCAAUUUUGUUCGACAUUGGAGCAUCUCACUCCUUCAUUUCUAAAAGCUAUGCUAACUUGCACAACAUUUCAUUUUGUGAUAUGCCCUCUCCACUAGUCAUCAAACUCCUGGAUCCAAAUGGCAAACUUCUAGUGUAAGCCAUGGUAAUGAAAUCCUUGUUGACAGACUUGUAUUCCUUGCAUCACUUGUAGCCCUCAAGUCUACAGAUAUUAACAUCAUCUUGGGUAUGGACUGGAUGAAAGCCCAUUAUGCCAAGAUUGAUUGUUUCACCAGGUCUGUUCAGCUUACACAUCCAUCUGGCAAGUUAGUCACUGUCUCCACUAGAGUUGCAAAGCGUCAGCUCUACUCUCUUAAUGCCAGCCCACUUCCAGACCUUGAGGAUAUCCCGGUAGUCCGUGACUUUCCGGAUGUCUUUCCUGAGGAACUGGCAGGUAUUCCACCUGACAGAGAUGUAGAGUUUGUCAUAGAUCUUAUCCCAGGAACCUCCCCAAUUUCCAGGAGACCUUACAAGAUGGCACCCUUAGAGCUAGCUGAGCUUAAGAUACAGCUUGAUGAGUCCUUCAAAAAGGGUUUCGUCCAUCCUAGUUCUUCUCCCUGGGCUUGCCCCGUCCUCUUCAUCAAGAAGAAGGAUGGUACGGACCGAAUGGUUGUAGAUUAUCAUCCCGUUAAUUUGGUCACGAUAAAGAACAAGUAUUCGCUCCCUAGGAUCAACGACCUAUAUGAUCAACUCGCUGGAUCCUCAGUCUUUUCAAAGAUGGAUUUGAGGUUAGGCUACCACCAAAUCAAGAUCAGAAAUGGGGACAUUCCUAAGACGAAUUUUGUCACUCAUUAUGGCCAGUACGAGUACACCGUCAUGUACUUUGGUCUAACCAAUGCUCCAGCUACAUUCUCUCGCUUCAUGAACUCGAUCUUCAUGGAGUAUUGAGAUAAGUUCGUCAUGGUUUACCUCGAUGAUAUUCUUAUUUACUCGAAGAACGAGGAAGAGCAUGCCGAACAUCUUAGACUUGUGUUAGAGAAACUCAGAGAGCACUGCCUUUAUGCCAAGUUCUCCAAGUGCGAAUUUUGGUUGCCAGAAGUGACCUACCUAGGCCACAUGAUAUCUGGUAAGGGCAUUGCUAUCAAUCCCAAGAGAGUUCAGGCCUUUCUUGAUUGGACUCUGCCUGAAAUGGUUAAGCAAGUUAGGAGUUUCCUUGGCCUAGCCAGUUAUUGUCGACGCUUCAUUGAGAACUUCUCCAAAGUGGCCAAACCUCUCACGGAACUUCUCAAGAAAGAUAAAAAGUUUGAGUGGUCCCCAUAGUGUGAGCACAGUUUUUAGGAUCUGAAAACAUGCUUGACUUCUGCUCACAUACUUAUGUCACCGGAUUUCACUAAGGACUUUAUUAUCUAUUGUGAUGCCUCACGACAGGGACUAGGUAGCAUUCUUAUGCAAGAUCGCCAUGUGAUUGCCUAUGCAUCUCGAUAGUUGCAUCCACAUGAGGAGAAUUAUACUACACAUGAUCUAGAGCUUGCGGCCGUAGUCUAUGCUCUUAAGACCUAGCGACAUUACCUUCUUUGUAAGCGUUGCGAGAUUUACAUCGAUCACCAGAGUCUCAAGUAUAUCUUCACCCAACCAGAUUUGAACCUUAGACAAAGACGUUGGUUGGAGUUGAUCUCAGAUUACGACUUAGGGAUCACUUACACUCCCGGUAAGGCCAAUGUCAUGGCUGACACACUAAGUCGUAAGUCCUAUUGCAAGAAUCUCAUGUUGCAGGAGGGCCAACCACUUCUCCAUGAGGAAUUCUGUAAGCUUAACCUUCACAUUGCUCCUCGUGGAUUCCUUUCUACCUUGGUGGCGAAAUCAUAUCAUAGAAGCCUAGAAGCAUGAUACGGGGAUUACCCGGAUCAAGAGAAACAUUGCCAGGGGCAUUGCUGAUAGUUUCUCUAUAGAUGAUCGAGGUGUUGUUUUCUUCAGGAAUCGCCUAGUGGUCCCCAAGAAGCAGCAUCUUUGGCAACUAAUCCUUAAGGAGGCCCAUGAAUCUCCUCUCACAAUUCAUCUCGGUAGUACUAAGAUGUAUCUUGACCUACGCCAGAGGUUCUGGUGGACUAGGAUGAAGAGAGAAAUUGCUCAGUUCAUUUCUAACUGCGACGUUUGUCGUCAUGUUAAGGCAGAGCAUCAAAGGCCUGCUGGCACCCUUCAGCCUUUAGAUAUUCAUGAGUGGAAAUGGGAUAAGGUUGGUAUGGACUUCAUCACCGGCUUUCCCAGGACCAAGAGAGGGAAUAAUGCUAUCUUCGUAGUCAUUGAUCGCCUUUCCAAUGUGGCUCACUUCCUACCUGUUCAAGAGAGUAUCACUGCUAGUCAGCUCGCUGACUUAUAUAUUUGUCGAAUAGUGUCACUUCAUGGUGUUCCACUAGAGAUCAAUUCAGACCGUGGUAGUCUUUUCACUUCUCAUUUCUGGGAGAGUUUCCAAACUGCCAUGGGCACCCAUCUUUCCUUUAGUAUCGCUUUCCACCCUCAAUCAAGUGGUCAGGUGGAAAGGGUCAACCAAAUUCUUGAAGACAUGCUUAGGGCUUGUGUUAUCUCAUUCGGUAUGGAUUGGGAGAAGUGUCUUCCCUUCGCCGAGUUUGCUUAUAACAAUAGCUACCAAUCCAGCCUCAAGAAAGCUCCUUUUGAGGUUCUCUAUGGAUGAAGAUGUCGAACACCUUUGAACUGGUCAGAAACCGGUGAAAGACAAUUCUUUGGACCGGAUAUGAUCCAUGAGGCAGAAGAACAAGUUCGUGUCAUUCGUGCGAAUUUGAAAAUAGCCCAAUCUCGUCAAAAGAGCCAGUAUGACCGCCGUCAUAAGGAAGUGGCUUAUGAAGUUGGCGACAAGGCUUACCUUUGGGUUAGUCCUUUGAAGGGUACCCAUGGUUUCGGUAUCAAGGGCAAGUUGGCUCCUCGUUACAUUGGUCCUUUUAGCAUUCUCGCUAAACGAGGAGAGGUUGCCUACCAGUUGGAACUACCCCCACAUCUUUCCCGAGUGCAUGAUGUCUUCCACGUCUCUCAACUCAGGCAUUGCUUCUCAGAUCCCAUCCGCGGAGUGGACCACGAAAUGCUUGAUCUCCAAGAUAACCUCACAUAUCGAGAGUACCCUGUUUGCAUCCCUGAUCAAGCAGAGCGUGUCACUCGAUGUCAGAACAUCAAGUUUCUCAAGGUUCAGUGGUCUCAUCAUUCCAAGAGAGAAGCUACCUAGGAGCAAGAAGAUCGUCUUCGACUUGAGUACCCCACUUUCUUUCCGCCGACUCCUGAAUCUCGGGACGAGAUUCUUUCGAGUGGGGGCGAGUUGUCACAUCCCUAGUUUUGGUAUGACCUAGGCUAGCCUUAUUGUGAGCAUCAUGUUUAAAUUUAAUUUGAAUUUUAAAUGGGAUUUUGUGAAACCCUCGGAAAUCAUUUGUGGAAAUGACCCAGAUAAAAAUUGCUCCAAAAAGGUCCAAGAAAAUGUUCAUGUUGCUCUCUGAAAAUAUUGGUCAGAGGUAAAAUUCAAACCAAUAUUAUUAGUAGCUCAUAAAUAUUUAUUUUGGCCAUUUGGAAUUAAUGCAAUAAUUAUUUGCGUUGGAUAUAUAUAUGUUAUAUAUUUUAUAUAUGUCCAAAUUUUUUGAAAUUUGGUGAGGGGCUUUGAAAUAAUCCCUUAGGUCCCUGCAAAAAUUGUUAGAAGAAAAUAAAAUGAUUUAGUAUUAUUAUUAAAUCAAAAAACAAAUGUCAGAAAAUAGAAAAGAAAACAAAAUAGAAAAGAACCUUACCUGGGCUUACCUGGCGUCCCAUCUGCUGUAGCCCAGUUGACUGGCCGACGCCAGUCGUCCCUCUCCUCUCGCCAGGAGGACAGGGGUGUGUGUCCGCGGCGCGCGUGCACGCGCAUCGCUAGCUCCUGCUUGCUGCUGCUGCUGGAGGCCGCUACGAGCGCCACGCGACCCCCCAGGCCUCUCUCACUCUCUCUCAUUCUCCCUUCUCCCCUGGAUCCCUCUCUCUCGACCCGACCGAGCGGAGCUUGUCGCCGCCGCUCGUUGCCCGCGCAGCCACCACCUUCCCCUCGCCCUCUCUUCGUGUCCGGGUGCUCCGCCUCGUCGCCUACAUCGUCCUCGACAAGCCAAGUGACCAGGGACGCGCUGCAUCGCCGCCACCAUUGUCGUCUUCACCUCCGUCCGCCCGAGAUCGCCUUCGUCAUUCCGGCCGCACCAGUGCAUCCCCGAGCUCGCACACGAUGCCGUCGAGACCGCUGUGAGCUCUCCUCCAUUUCCCCUCCUUCCCCGUGUUCGAUUUCGUGUCGUAGCCCUGCUAACCGUCGAUCCCGCGAGCACCUCGCCGCCGUCCAUGGCGCCACCGUGACAAGAGCCCGAGCCAGCCGCUCCCGCGCGCGUCACCGUGCUCCUGGUGAAGCCAGGAGGCCGUAGAGGCCCUCCGCAGCCCCUGCCGUGCCCUGCAGCCACAUCCCGCUCGGAGCCGUGCUCCCCAGCUCCGGCCUCCCCAGCUCCUCCCACAUGCUCCACUGGACGCGGACGAGGACGGGCUACGCCCCGGUGGUCUCCGCGCGUCCAGCCGCCGCUCGUAGCGCUAGUCCGGCGAGUUGCCGUCGCGGUAUUGGUCGUCGCCGGCCGAACUCCGGCGACGGCUGACGUGGCCUCUAAUUAGGCACUAAUUACCCCUAGAGACACUGACAGUGGGCCCCGGCGCCCCCUAAUUUUUAGUUAGGCUAAUUAACCCCAUGUUAACUAACCAUGUCACUGACGUGUGGACCCCACACGUCAGGUUUAACCUGGUCAGCGCUGUUGACCUUCUGACGCACGCAUGACGCAGUGCUGACGCAAUAAAUGAUUUUCUAGAUUAUUUCUAUUUUGGAAAUUCCAGAAAAUUAGCUAAACUCCAAAAAUUCAUAGGAAUUCAAUCGUAGCUCAAAUUGAAAUAAUUUAUAUAUGAAAAGUUAUCAGAAAAAUGCAAUCUAUCCAUCUGUACUGUUUUCAUGCAUGACAAACCAACUUAUACAUGCUGUAUAGGUGAAAACACAUGAAUGGCAUUUAUAAGAGUUUAUUUUGGAGAUGCAUUUGAACCUUUGGUUCAAAUGGACUUCAACCAAAUGAAUGCUAGUUGCAUUAGCUCAAACAACAUCACAUCUUCAUGCCAUGUUCAUGCAUCAUAUUGCUGCAUAUGCUUGUGUUUUGAUUGUCGACACCGUUCCUUCUCGAUAGGUCCUGCUCCGGAGUCCGAUCCAGAGUACCUGUCAGAGGAGCAGUGCCCCCUGUUGAUCUACUAGGCAAGCAAACCCCCUUGUUCAUUCCGAUACAAUCCUACUCUCUCGCUCCUGCUCUCUUUUAUCGCAUUAGGACAACAAUGAUUCAACUGCUACUUUAUGCUGCGGUAGUUGAACCCAUUCCUCUGCAUGACCUGUCAUUGCCACAGUAAAUAGUUGAAACCCACUAGCAUGUGUAGGAGUUGAUUGAGCCAUGUUGUGUUCCUACCAUGCAUUGCCUGCUAUUGCUUAGAGUAUGUCAGGUCUAAUUCAUUGGGAAUGAAUUGGAGUACAGUGUUAUGUUUUGAUGUUGAGAGUUAAGUGUGUGAACACGAUUUGGUAAAGGUAGUGGUGAGAGGCCAUGUAGGAGUACAUGGUGGGUUGUCUCACUGGAACCGUCCCUAAGAACUGAGUUCUGUGUAUGUUGUCCAAUGACUAGAUAUUACCACACAUUGGGUUCUUGUAACUUGACCCCUCUCGACUUAUUAACCGACUUGGUCUCUGUCCAGGAGUCGCAACUAGUUUCUGGUGUUUGUAGGCAGUGUUAUUCUUCUACCUAGUGGCACCCGGCAGGGUGGGCUUGGGACAGACUAGGCACAGGUAGCACGGUGUACCAAGUGGCACCCGGAUGGUGGGCUUGGGAACCCUGCUCACAUCGUUUGGGGCCGUGAGCAAAUCCUCGUCCGGAUCUCCUUGCGGAUGGAACCCGAAUAUGCGAUAAACCUGGACUAGAGUCUUGCGUGGUUAGUCAGGUCGUGGCCGACACCCUCGCCAGGCUUCUGCUUGAAGGUUGCUGAGGUACAUGACAUGUACAUGGCGGUAAGUGGCGAGAGCGUAUGUGAAGAAGUACACCCCUGCAGGGUUAUCAUGAUCUAUUUGAAUAGCCGGGUCCGCGGCUAUGGACUUCUUGGAUGCUUACGUGGUACAUAGACAACUUAAAGUGGAUACUCUAAGAUGCUCAAGACAAGUGUGAGUGCUAUGGAUGUCCUUCUCGUAGGGAGACGGGAAUGAAUCCAUACUAGUGUAUUGAUGUGGUGAUUAGUGGACUCGUGUGCGUUUUCUUACCUCAAAGAAGUUACUCGUAGUCGUAGAACAGGAUAGCCACUGAGUCAAAGCUGACUUGCUGCAACUAAACCCCACAUUGCCUUAUUGAUACUAAUGCAUGUAUGAUAUGAUCUGAUGUAAGUCUUGCUGAGUACCUUUGUACUCACGUUUGCUUAAUUUAUGUUUUGCAAAUGAGACAGCUGUCUCACUAGUAGUUCCGCUUGGACUUCGACGAGUAGCUUAUUACCUCAGCUACGAUCUUGUACCCUUGGGAGGGUCUUGUAGAUAGUCAGGCUUCUCAGCCUUUUUCUUUUAUAGUUGUCUGUACUCAGACAUUUAAUGCUUCCGUUGCUUGUAUGCUCUGAAUGAUGGGUCAUGAGACCCCUAUUUGUAUUAAAUGCUAUGUGGCCCUUUUGGGCCUUUAUCUAUAUGAGUUUGAGUUAUGUUGUGAUGCCAUGUUGUACAUCACAUACUUGCAUGUUGUGCGUACGUGUGACGUGUAUUGCGAUGUGUGGGAUCCGACAACCUAGUUGUCUAUCCUUGGUAGCCUCUCUUAUGGGGAAAUGUAGUCUGGUGCUUCCACUGAGCCAUGGUAGUCCGCUACAGCCCGGUUCACCGGAGUCCUGCUAGCCCAGCACUACUGCUUCAAAAUACUUAGACUGGCCGGCAUGUGAUUCACAUCGUUCCUGUGUCUGUCCCUUCGGAGAAAUGUCACUCGGUGAUUUCCGAAGUCCCGCUAGCCUGCUACAGCCCAGAUUCCCGGAAUCCUAUUAGCCCAGUUGCUAUAGCCCGGAUUCACACGCUGAUGACCGACAUGCUCGAUGUUGUUUCAUGUAUGCCUGUCCCAGUAAGUUAGUGCCACUUUGGGUGCAUGACUAGUCAUGUCGGCCCGGUUUCCCUGUCAUAUGGAUGCUAGCGACACUAUCAUAUAUGUGAGCCAAAAGGCGCAAACGGUCCUGGGCCAGGUAAGGCGACACCCAUGGGAAUACCGUGCAUGAGGUCGCAAAGUGAUAUGACGUGUUACAUGCUAGAUUGGUGUGACUUAGAAUCGGGGUCCUGACAUUAGUUUCUUUUGUUGAGCGUUCAUAUACUUAUAGCUCUAGUGCAUCCAUUGCAUGGCAAUCCGUACUCACUUACAUUGAUAUCUAUUGAUGGGCAUCUCGAUAGCCCGUUGAUACGCCUAGUUGAUGUGAGACUAUCUUCUCCUUUUUUGUCUUCUCCACAACCACCUUUCUAGUCCACAUAUAGUGCUAUAUCCAUGGCUCAUGCUCAUAUAUUGCAUGAAGAUUGAAAAAGUUUGAGAACAUCGAAAGUAUGAAACAAUUUCUUGGCUUGUCAUAGGGGUUGUGCAUGAUUUAAAUAUUUUGUGUGGUGAAGAUAGAGCAUAGCCAGACUAUAUGAUUUUGUAGGGAUAACUUUCUUUGGCCAAGUUAUUUUGAGAAGACAUAAUUGCUUAGUUAGUAUGCUUGAAGUAUUAUUAUUUUUAUGUCAAUAUUAAAAUUUUAUCUUGAAUCUUUCGGAUCUGAACAUUCAUGCCACAAUAAAGAAAAAUUACAUUGAGAAAUAUGUUAGAAAGCAUUCCACAUCAAAAAUUCUUCUUUUAUCAUUUACCUACUCGAGGACGAGCAUGAAUUAAGCUCGGGGAUGCUUGAUACGUCUCCAAUGUAUCUAUAAUUUUUGAUUGCUCCAUGCUAUUAUAUUAUCUAUUUUGGAUGUUAAUGGGCUUUAUUUUACAUUUUUAUAUCAUAUUUGGGACUAACCUACUAACCGGAGGCCCAGCCCAAAUUGCUAUUUUUUUGCCUAUUUUAGGGUUUCGAAGAAAAGGAAUAUCAAAUGGAGUCCAAACAGAAUGAAACCUUCGGGAACGUGAUUUUCUCAACAAACGUGAUCCAGGAGAAUUGGAGUGGGCGUCAAGAAACAAUCGAGGAGGCCACGAGGCAGGGGGCGUGCCUACCCCCUGGGCGCACCCUCCACCCUCGUGGGCCCCUCGUUGCUCCACCAACCUACUUCUUCCUCCUAUAUAAGUCCAUGUACCCCCCAAACAUCCAGGAGCACCACGAAAACCUAAUUCCACCACCACAACCUUAUGUACCCAAGAGAUCCCAUCUUGAGGCCUUUUCCGGAGCUCCACCGGAGGGGGCAUUGAUCACGGAGGGCCUCUACAUCAACUCCAUGGCCUCUCCGGUGAUGUGUGAGUAGUUUACUUCAGACCUUCGGGUCCAUAGUUAUUAGCUAGAUGGCUUCUUCUCUCUCUUUGGAUCUCAAUAAAAAGUUCUCCUCGAUCUUCUUGGAGAUCUAUUCGAUGUAAUCUUCUUUUGCGGUGUAUUUGUCGAGAUCCGAUGAAUUGUGGGUUUAUGAUCAAGUUUAUCUAUGAACAAUAUUUGAAUCUCCUCUGAAUUCUUUUAUGUAUGAUUGGUUUAUCUUUGCAAGUCUCUUCGAAUUAUCAGUUUGGUUUGGCCUACUAGAUUGAUCUUUCUUGCAAUGGGAGAAGUGCUUAGCUUUGGGUUCAAUCUUGCGGUGUCCUUUUCCAGUGACAGCAGUGGUAGCAAGGCACGUAUUGUAUUGUUGCCAUCAAGGAUAAAAAAGAUGGGGUUUAUAUCAUAUUGCAUGAGUUUAUCCCUCUACAUCAUGUCAUCUUACUUAAAUCAUUACUCUGUUCUUAUGAACUUAAUACUCUAGAUGCAUGGUGGAUAGCGGUCGAUGUGUGGAGUAAUAGUAGUAGAUGCAGAAUCGUUUCGUCUACUUGUCACGGACGUGAUGCCUAUAUACAUGAUCAUGCUAGAUAUUAUCAUAACUAUGCUCAAUUCUAUCAAUUGGUCGACAGUAAUUCGUUUACCCAUCGUAAUACUUAUGCUCUUGAGAGAAGCCACUAGUGAAACCUAUGGCCCCCAGGUCUAUCUUCCAUCAUAUUAAUCUUCCAACACUUAGUUAUUUCUAUUGCCGUUUAUUUUACUUUGCAUCUUUAUUUCUCUUUAUCAUAAAAAUAGCAAAAAUAUUAUCUUAUCAUAUCUAUCAGAUCUCACUCUCGUAAGUGACCGUGAAGGGAUUCACAACCCCUUUAUCGCGUUGGUUGCGAGGUUCUUAUUUGUUUGUGUAGGUGCGUGGGACUCGAGCAUGAUCUCCUACUGGAUUGAUACCUUGGUUCUCAAAAACUGAGGGAAAUACUUACACUACUUUACUGCAUCACCCUUUCCUCUUCAAGGGAAAACCAACGCAGUGCUCAAGAGGUAGCACGGCCUUGGUAUGUGAGGCCGCCUCCUGGGUACCCGCUGCCCUUGUACGCUCUCGCCAACGAUUCCGGAGGGAGGAGCGGUGAGCGGCACUGCCCGCGCCAAAGCCGUGGGCGCUGUGCUGCGGUGGCGCACGUCGUCGCCCUAGGGGUCCAUGCCGCGGACUCUUCGCGCCAGUUCGUGUUGUGGGCGGCGAUGCCCCCGAGCACCUGGAUAUGCCUCCCGCCGUUCUUCGCCGCCGAGAUGCCAUCGAUGGGCCUUCGCGAACUUUGGCUGUAGCAUGUCGACUACGAUGCCCCAGCGACUGGAGCGGAGAUUGGAACCGUUGCCUCCUGGCAGAUCUUCAUGACCCGAGGCUGGGGUGAGAUUGCCCGAGUCUGUCGUGCAGAGGGCGCCCUCGCGAUGCAUUUCGAGUACGACGACGCCUCCAUGCUGUUCUUCAAGGUCUUCGACGAGGAAGGCCGCCGCCUGGAGUGCUGCCCGGAUGGAGGUCGCCAGGAUGAUGUUGGGGCGGGCGCGGGGCCCGCCACCGGUCUCGACUGCAGCUCCUCCAGCGACAGUGGCGACUCCUGGUGGUCCAAGGACUCUCCUGAGCUCUUGGAGUCUCUGGAGAUGAGCGACGACAGCUACGUGCCCCCGAGCUCUUGCCGAGCCCGGAGCAGGGCCGCGGUGUCCAGCCGCCGCUGCCGCUGAUCUGGAUGGGGUUGGCGCCGACCUCACGUGACCCACUGUUGAAGAUGGCGUCGGCGACACGUGGUGCGCGUAGAUAGAACCCCCUAGGAAUUCCUUCCCUUUUGUUCCCUGUGAGGAAUCAAGAAACGGACCCCGUGGGGGCGUGUAAAGCGUCUGUAAUGCCUUUUGUCAAUAUAGCCCUUAUUAUGGAGAUUUGUGUGCGCAUAUCCUGCCGAGGCUCGGCCUCCCCUUUCCAAUCCUACGGUAGCUUGGUGCUCUACGCUGACAGGUCCCGAUCCCCAGGCAGGCUGCAGUCGUCGCUGGUAUGCCAGGUCGUGUGCCGUGGUCAAGGCCAGGAGGUGAGCGGCCCGAGGUCCAGUAAGAGCUCCUGAGGUGCGAUGCUCAAGAGGUCCCCCUUAGCGUGCAAGCAGGUGCUUAGGACGGGAAAGGAAGAAAGCGUUACCGCAGCAGGGCAGCGAAGGGAGUGAGCGAGGGUCUCGUGCCGCAAACGACUGGUGGAUCCAGAGCGACAACUUAUCUUUGGCUGUCUGGGGUCUGCUCCUCGAGUCGUGCCGGACUCGCACGCCGGUCGCUGUAGCGUGGCUUGGUCUGGCCCGUGCAGGCCUGCCCUCCCCUCCAUGUCCUUCUUGGUGCUCUGCGUCCUCAGGUACCGGCCCUCGAGCGAGCUCAGCCGUCGCUGGUAUGCCAGGUCGCAUGCUGUGCUCAAGGCCAGGGGGUGAGGGUUGGAGAGCCAGUAAGAGCUCCUGAGGCGCGAUGCUCAGGAGCCCCCCUUUUAACGCGCAAGCGAAUCGCAUGAGAGAAGAGAGAGAGUCCACGGUACCGCCUGCUGUGGCCCUCAUGAAGUUCCUACAAGUUAGCGCAAGGAAGGGCACCGGUCGCCGUGGUGAUUGCUGGUUUGCUUCUGGCGCGUGAGAGGGGACUCCCUACUGCGAAGAGCCCUCGAGGCGUGUACAGCCCCGCCCUGACGCGUGGCUUGCACGACAGGGCUAGACGAGGUGUGUCUGGACACUCGUGAGCCGGCGCAGGACUCAUGAGGCCCUUCCGCAAGGUGGGUUGCACCUGGUCUUGAUUCUUGUUCGCUAUCUUGGUCCUGUGAGGUGGUUAGACAACCUGCGUCGAGCGAAUCUCCUGAGGUCAUCGCGUGAAAAAGCCAAGCACCAAUGGCCCCAGGAGGCGACGUGAACGGGGCCAGCCCGCCAGACAGAGCUCAGCCACUGGAUUUGUCGAUGCUGUAGGGACGGGCCCGAGCACAGACGCCGUGCUUAAAUUACUCACGCGAAGGGUCCUGAAGAAAGACGGCCGGCGCGCGGCUCCCAUGGUGGGUGAAAAUCAAGCAGUCGAUAGUCAUAGAUAGAUUAAGCAUGGAAAGCAACCUAGCUUAGGUAAAUGCAGGGAAGAUGCAUGCCACUCGGUCCGGCCCGAGCGGCUUGGGGAUGAUGCAGCUCGAGGGGCGCCCCCAACAGGGUAAGCUAAAGGAAUAAAAGGAAAGAUACAUGCCACAGGGACGGACCCAUGCGGCCUGGGGAUGAUGCUGCCCUGGGGGCGCUCCCAGCUGAAUGAACUUGGGAAAAUGUCAACUGGUUCUGUUGAUGAAGCAGAGUUGGGGUAGCUGAAGGCGUGCGAUGAAGGGGCUGCCCCUCAUGAGCCACCAGGGCCUUGAGCCUCGGGAGGCUCUGGGGGUCCAUGGGGUUCCCCGAGGAUCGUCUUCAUCUCUGUUAGCACAGCAUGGUGCCUGGCCUCCUGAGACACCAGGAUGCUCUGCAGGUUGUGUUGAUAGGCGACCGCCACGCUCGGCAGGCCGAAGGGCAUGCGAACGUAGCUGUGAGGUGGGCCCUCGUAGCGUCCCACGCGCGAAGGCCAGAGAAGCUCCUAAGAGGCUACCCGAUUGAGCCCUGGAACAUCGAUGCAGACGCACAGCCCGGCAUCCUCGCUUGGAUGGGGAGCUGUCCCUGGUGAGAGGCGACCGCCGCACAUGGCACAUGCGUCUUGUAGUUCCUGAGCGGUCUUAGCGAUGAACUCCUGAGCAGUGGGCACUGCUUGCCCUGUGUUCUCCUAAGGGAAACGUGCCGCGAAGCACGCCUCCAAGUGGUGCCCAAGCGCCUCCCUCAUGAUGUUGGCGAAGUCUAAGGCCCUCCAGAAGAGAGCCCCCGAGCCCUGCCCGAGAGGGGCGCUGGGCGCGCCUUCCUAUGCGAUGGAUGGAGGCGCCCCAGGCGCGGGCGCCGAUCUUGAUGAGGCGCCGCUUGCCUGAGGCCCUGCUUGGCGCAACUGCUUGUUCUUGGAGGUGGCCUCAUGAGGGCGCUUGUCCUGACUGUCGGGGUCAUCGAUUGCUGCAGCUUGGAAGGCAUGCUUGAGGGAGCACACCGCGUUUCUUUCUUCGCACAGUACUAUGAUGAUUCCACCACUUCCCGGCAUCUUGAGGACAUUGUAGCCAUGAUGGGUCACCGCCAUGAACUUGGCCAGGGCUAGAUACCCGAGGAUGGCGUUGUAUGGCAGGUGGAUGUAGGCGACGUCGAAGUCGAUGAGUUCGGUGCGGUAGUUGUUGCGUUCUCCGAAGGUAACGGGGAGGCGAACCUGCCCGAUCGGGGUAGUAGAGCCGUCGGUUACUCCUGAGAAAGGCUUGGUAGGCUGAAGCUGGUCAUAUGGCACUUGGAGGUUGUCGAACGUGGCGAUGGGCAGGACAUUGAGGCUUGUGCCGCCGUUGAUGAGGGUCUUGGUAAUUUGCACGUUGCUGAUGACUGGCGAACAGAGCAUUGGGAGGACGCCUGCAGUAGCCGCGCACUUGAGCUGAUCUGCCAAACUGAACAUGAUGGGGCACCUGGACCAUCUGAGUGGGCGUGUGGCCUCGAGCUUGGGGAGAACUGCAUUCACUUCACGGGCAAAUUGUUUGAAGAUACGCUGCGAGGCUGGGGCUUGAGCUCCGCCCAAGAUGCAGGCGAUAGCGCGUGGUUCCUGGAAGCCCCUAGCCCCCUCAUCUUGAUGGUGGUCGUCGUUCCUUCUGGGUGGUGGCGGUAGUGGAGGAAGGCCUGCAUUGCCUUGAGGAUGAGCCUCACGAGGCUGGUCCCUCCAGGCGCCCUUGCGACGCUGAUCCUGCCAGUGGUCCUCAUGAGGCCGGUCGUGCCACUCCUUGUCGGUGGAAACGACACCUAUGGGAUCACUAGGAUCCCUUCUACGGUCGGCGGGUGCAGGGUCGUGAAAAAAUCAGGUUUAGGAGCAAGCACACAGGUCGUUUACCCAGGUUCGGGCCGCGAGGACGCGUAAAACCCUAGUCAUGCUUUGGUGGAUGUAUUGAGUGUUCUUGAGCUUCUUGAACUAGCUACGGUGGAUGUGCCGUCCCAAAAAGCUGAAUCCCUCUCCUGGUCGCCUCGGGCCUCCUUUUCUAGGAAAAGGGGCUGCCAUAGUGGCACACAGGAGGUGGAAAGGCCUUAAGUGCACGAGCUUAUCACACAACAUUACGGGACAAAGAGCAUUAAAUGCGCUACGUAGGUGUCCAUUAGCUUUAUCGACAAUGGGAACAAGGCACGUCCCGUCCGUCGCCGCUCCGCCUCGCUUCGAUACGUGCCCAGGCUGGAGAUGCAUGUAGCGCCAUGUAGGCAGGCUGGGAGCUGAGGUGGCGCGGUGGUAGGGCCUUCAUGAAGAUCUGCAUGCCGCCACGUAGGCGCUUGCUGAGCUGGCCUGGCAGCUGGUAGCUGCAUGUUGCUACGCAGGUGCCUUCCCAGCUGGUUGGGCUGGCAGCUUCAUGCGAAUGGCGGCGGAGUCUUGGCUUGUGCGGGACUGGCAGUGGCCCUGCUGACGCCCUCGUCAAGGGUCUUGCCGGGGGCUCGACAAGGGUCUUGCCGUGGCAUCUCUAUCAUCCCCGACAAGGGUCUUGCCGGGGGUCUUGUGGAUUGCCUCGGCUAGGAUCCUGCCAAGGGUCGUCAUCUUCUAGUCCUCAUCUGAACUCAUAUAUUUAUGAGCUUGAUGAAGAUUUGCAUGCCACCACAGAGGUGUCUCCUGAGCCUUGGUUCUAACGCAGUUGGUUAGGUUGGAGCCGGUGGGCUCAAGGGUGGUUCACUCCGCUGGCAUCGGGCAAGNNNNNNNNNNNNNNNNNNNNNNNNNNNNNNNNNNNNNNNNNNNNNNNNNNNNNNNNNNNNNNNNNNNNNNNNNNNNNNNNNNNNNNNNNNNNNNNNNNNNNNNNNNNNNNNNNNNNNNNNNNNNNNNNNNNNNNNNNNNNNNNNNNNNNNNNNNNNNNNNNNNNNNNNNNNNNNNNNNNNNNNNNNNNNNNNNNNNNNNNNNNNNNNNNNNNNNNNNNNNNNNNNNNNNNNNNNNNNNNNNNNNNNNNNNNNNNNNNNNNNGUCCACCUUGCCCUCUUGCCCUCCUGCGCUUCCGGUCUUGGCGUCGCCUUGGUCACCUCGUGCUUCGGCUUCUCUCCGGCUUCCCUCUGCCCUGCUAAGUGUGGCCGUGGCGCGUGGCUUUGACUGCCCGUGCACAAGUAAAGGGGUCAAAAGGAGAACCCCUACUUUUGUACACUGACAGGAGCCCCCGGGCCUGGGCCACACAUAAGCGCAACAUGUUGUUGGGCUAGGCCCAGAACGGUGCGCGGGCAGGUUGGGCGGAUUUUACCGUAGUACCUUCCCGUCCGUUGCGCUUCCCCACGACCCGCGUUGAAAGCGCGACGUGGAGGGUCGUGUGUGAUGUGGGGGUCAUGUGUGGGGCGGUUCCUACACGCAUGCGUCACAUCGUGGUAAAGAGGCGGCUCACACCUUCCCCAUAAAAGGAGGGAGGUGUAGAGGCACGACCCAUUUACUCGGGUGGACUCGGGUCGUGGCCUUCAAGUCGCCCACCCCCCCACGGUCAUGGGGUGGGGAGCGGCCGCUUCGCCUGCCCCUUCAAUGCUGCUUGCUCGCCAUGUUUCCCCCAUGCAUGUGGCAGGAGGUGGAGGCGGGAAACCGGGCCGUUGCUGAUUGGGGCAGCGGGCCGGUCCGGAUUGGUCGAGUGGGGCGGCCAAGCCCCGACUCCNNNNNNNNNNNNNNNNNNNNNNNNNNNNNNNNNNNNNNNNNNNNNNNNNNNNNNNNNNNNNNNNNNNNNNNNNNNNNNNNNNNNNNNNNNNNNNNNNNNNNNNNNNNNNNNNNNNNNNNNNNNNNNNNNNNNNNNNNNNNNNNNNNNNNNNNNNNNNNNNNNNNNNNNNNNNNNNNNNNNNNNNNNNNNNNNNNNNNNNNNNNNNNNNNNNNNNNNNNNNNNNNNNNNNNNNNNNNNNNNNNNNNNNNNNNNNNNNNNNNNNNNNNNNNNNNNNNNNNNNNNNNNNNNNNNNNNNNNNNNNNNNNNNNNNNCUUCCUUCCAUCCACCAUGGCGAGAGGAAGAGCCGGCCCUUCGAGGGUGGCGAGAAGGGUCGCUGCUCGCUAGCGCGUUCCUCCUUCCCAAGAGCUCGUGGCGACGGAACUGGCCACGAGAGGAAGGGGAAGGGGCGAGGUCGAGGUCGUCGUGGCGCUCGGGGGAGAGGAGGAUGGGGCGGCGCAUCGGCCUCUCCUCCGCCAGCGAUGCCUCCCCCGAUGGAGCACCACGUCGGGGACCAGCCCCACGAGUUCUUCAUCAGGCUGUGCUGGCCACCACGUCGCCGCCUCCGUCUCCCUACUACCUUUGCCUGGGAGAUGGAGCUCGAUCCACCCCAGGCCCUCUGGUUGCACAUGAAGGGCUGCGGGAACGGCGGCACACAGGUCGACGUCGACUUCCCUGCCCCUCACGUCAUGUACCUCCGCCGCGGAUGGAAGACGUUCACAGCAACCAUAGCCUAACGGCAGGGCUUGUCCUCUACUUCAAGUUAACGGAGGGCAGCCUGCUCUCCGUCAAGUUCUUUGGAGAUCUCGGAACUCGCUUGAAGUGCUGCGUGGAGAGCUCCUCCGAUGACGAAGAUUCUUCCUCGAGCGGGAGUGACGAGGAGCACAAUGACAGCGACGGCGAGGGAGUUGAGCGGCAGGAUGCCGACUCCGACUGACCGCGCCGCCCAUCCCUCGGCCAUGCGCCUUGCCGAGGGCCAUCCUCGCCAAGCUCUCCAUCAGGGUGCUCCCCGUCGUCUCCUUGGGUGGCUGGCGUAGGAGGGCCAAAGAGGGCGAAGAAGGCGGGUGGCGGCCGUCAAGUCGGAGUAUGCGGGCACCGAUGCCUUCGUCGCGUAUUGCCAGCCCGCUGCCUCAUCUUCCAGCUCCCCUCCCGGCACCGGGACGUUCUCUUGGCGCCUUCUGCUCCUCGCACCUCACCUAGGCGCUCUUUUCGCCCUCCUGCCCUCUUGUUCCACCUUCUAAGGAGAGGGACAAGAAAGGGAUCACGCGCAUCUUAUCUUUUUUAGUCUGUAAGCCUGCGGGCACUUGUUAAUUUCAAGACUUGUUAUUCCCUUGCUCAUGUUUUUUAAUUCCGUACGAACUGUACAUGUAAGGGAUGUUUUUAAUGAAAAGGGUGCUUGCUGGGUUCUUUGUGCGCGAGCGAGGCCCAUGCCAAGGAUGAAUCCUUGUUAUUUUAAAUAUAAACAUGUCGCCCGGCAAUAGGCCUUGCCGUCUCCCCACUUCGGUCGACCAUUCUCAAGCUCUUGGCGGAGGCAGGGGUGAAGUAGAGUUAGGACCCUCGUCCAUCUCCUCGCCACUGCGACUACUACCAAAUUCCGACCCAGGAGGUAGCUCUUGGGUACAAGAAAGGGGGAGCACGGUGGUUUCAAGGACAUAAACGAGGUUAAACAUGUCCCAGUUCUAUACGGAAACACACAACAGGGGGAUGAAAGACUUAUCUGAAUCCGCAGCCCCCGGCAACCUUGGCUUGCCGUGGUCGGAUCCUUGUAUCUUCAGCCCCCAGCAGUCUUGGCUCGCCGGGGUCGGAGCACCGGUUCGUUCUCUUUUUCCCAAGCGGCUCAGCAGAAGUGUCUGCGUGCCUUAUGAACCAAAGAGAACAGAAAGACGCAAACUCGACCUCUAGGCUCGGGGUUAGUCGCCGCUAAGCACUAUCAACCCUAACCGAGGGAAAGACUUGACCUAGCAUGCAUGCUAUAACUUAGGGCACCAGCGCUUCAUUUAUUUAUGCUCGGGGUCUGCGCCUGGCUUUGUACAGAGGGUUACAUGCCUUGCCGGCAAGGCUCGUACAAAAGGUGGUUCACCGGGAGGCCCGGCAACCAUGCCUUAUGGGUAAAACUUGCGAAGAUGUUCGACGUUCCAGGAAUUGCUUACUGGGACAGCAUCUUCGGUCUCCAGGCGGACUGCGACAGGCCUGGUGACUCAUAUUACCCGAUAAGGGCCUUCCCACUUUGGCGUCAACUAGUUGGGAUUUUUGGCCUACUAAACGUGUCGAAGAACAAGGUCGCCUUCCUUAAAGCUUCGGGCACGGACCUUACGGCUUUGGUAGCGGCGCAAGGCUUGCUGCUAGCGUGCUGCUCUCACAGCCGCCCGAAGACGAUCUUGCUCAAGGAGCAUUGCAUCGUCUUGCCGCAAUCCCUCUUGCUCAAACUCGUCAUAAGAGAGCACUCGAGGUGACCCGUAUAUGAGUUCCGUGGGGAGAACUGCUCCUGCCCCAUAUACCAGGACAAAGGGUGUCUGGCCGGUGGCUCGAUUUGGCGUUGUUCUGAUCGACCAAAGAAUCGCCGACAACUCAUCAAUCCAGCGCCUUCCGCUCUUGUGUAGCCUGUCAAAAGUCUUUGUUCUCAGGCCUCGCAGUACUUCAUCAUUUGCCCUCUCCGCCUAGCCGUUGCUCCAUGGGUGUGCCACGGAAGCAAAACAGACCUUGCUGCCGAGGUCUCGGAUGUACUGCAUGAAGGUGUGGCUUGUGAACUGCGUGCCAUUGUUGGUUAUGACUCUGUUUGGCACACCAAAACGGCAGACUAGUCCCUUGAAGAACUUGACGGCUGAUUGUGCUGUCACCUUCCUCACUGCUUCCACUUCCGGCCACUUUGUGAACUUGUCGAUUACAAGGUACAAGUACUCAAAGCCCCCGAAAGCACAGGGGAAGGGGCCUAGUAUGUCGAUCCCCCAGAAUGAAAACAGUCAGGAGAGAGGAAUUGUUUGAAGGGCUUGAGCUGGUUGAUGAAGCUUCUUUGAAUGGAAUUGGCACGCUUCACACCUAGUUACUAGUGCUGUCGCAUCCUGGAGGGCGGUGGGCCAGAAGAAGCCUUACCGGAAUGCCUGGACGGCAAGGGACCUCGACCCUAUGUGAGAGCCACAUAUGCGUCCAUGUAUCUCUGCCAACAGCUCCAGUCCUUCCUCCCGGGGGAUGCACUUCAAUUUUACAUCGUUCGAUCUUUUUCUGUAUAGGACGUCAUCGACGAACUGGUACAAGGCAGACCGACGGGCUACUUUUUCCGCUUCUUCCGGCUCCUCAGGAAGUUCCUCUGUGUGGAGGAAACAAACGGUAUGCUGUGCCCAUGCCGGAGCCUAGGGAUCGACGGCAAGGACCAAAGGCAUCUCUUCCACCAUGGGGGCAGCCGUCUCUACGGCUAGGGCUUGGCGCCCUGCCGGAGCCAGCUGCCCCUUGGCAGGCUCGGAAUCCGCGGCAACACUCUUGCCGGCGGCCCCUGGGGGCUUGGCGGGAAAGUACUUGCCGGGGACCGAUUUCCUCCUCUUGUUCUGGUCCGUUGAUGGUUCGAUGGAUGGUUGAGUGAACCGAAGCAAAAAGGUACCUGGUUCCACAGGUAGCUUAAAUGCAACACACUUUGAUAGGUAGUCAGCAAUGUCGUUCUCCGCUCGGGGAACGUGCUCCGCUUGAAUACCGUCGAAGCGCUCCUAUAGCUACCUCACCUCAUCUACAUAGGCCUCCAUCAACGGACUCUGGUAGUCUUUGUUGACCUGUCUGACGACAAGCUGCGAAUCACCCAUUACGAUGAGCUUCCUCACCCCGAGGUCUGCCGCGAUCCUGAGACCGGCGAGCAGCCCCUCAUACUCAGCAGUGUUGUUUGUGGACAUCUCCUUGGGAAAGUGCAUCUGGAUCACAUACUUGAGGUGCUCUCUGGUGGGCGCGACAAGCAGCACACCGGCACCGGCGCCUUGCAGCGAGAAAGCCCUGUCAAAGUACAUGAUCUAGUCGGGACUUGCCUCCUUGCCGGGGAGAGCGGUCUCUUGGAUUUCCUCAUCGGGCGUUGAGGUCCAUUCUGCAAUGAACUCUGCCAAGACUCUGCUCUGGAUUGUUGAAGUACUUUCAAACUUCAACCCAAAGCUUGACAACUCCAAGGCCCACUCCACAAUCCUUCCUGUUGCAUCUAGGUUGUGCAGUAUCCAUUGCAAUGGGAGGCGGGUGACGACAGUGAUCUCGUGGGCUUGGAAGUAAUGAUGCAGCAUCCUCGAGGCCAUAAGGAGGCCGAAGAGCAAUUUCUGCACACCGGAGUACCUUGACCUGGCCCCCUACAAGAGGGAGCUGACAAAGUAAACUGGGUGCCGCAUCAUCUUCUUCUUUUGCACCACUUCACUUGGCUGCGAGGGCCCUGCCCCGAUGGCGUCGGACACUGCUGGGGGCCUUGCUAUGCCGACGCUAGGCCCUGCCAGGGGAAUCUCUGACUUGCCAUCCGCCGGUCCUGCCAUGGCCACUGCCUGUUCUUUGACCUCCCUCUGCGCCACUAGUGCGGCGCUGACCACUUGAUUCGUUGCCGCCAGAUACAACAGCAACGGCUCUUGUGGUUUAGGCGCAACAGUAUUGGCGUAGAGGAAAGGUAUUUCUUCAGAUCAUGCAACGCUGCCUCGGCCUCUGGGGUCCACUCCAUUGGGCAUGCCUUCUUCAAGAUUUUGUAAAAGGGAAGGGCAUGUUCAUCGGACUUGGAGAUGAACCUGCUCAUGGCGGCAACACAGCCAGUGAGCCGGCGCACAUCCUUGAUCCGCUUGGGUGCCUCAAUCUGCUCAAUAGCCUUGAUCUUGUCUGGGUUUGCCUCGAUCCCACGCUGCGACACAUAGAACUCGAGAAGUUUUCCUGACGGGAUGCCAAAGAUACACUUCUCAGGGUUCAGCUUGAUGUUGAUCUUGCGUAGGUUGGCAAACGUCUCUCCUAGGUCUUGUACAAGGGUCACCUUGUCCUUGGUUUUGACCACUAUGUCAUCCAUAUAUGCCUCCAUAUUUCUAUGUAGCUGGGGCUCAAAACCAAUCUGGACCGCCCUUGUGAAUGUCGAGCUAGCACUCUUCAACCCGAAAGGCAUCCGUAAAAAGCAAUACGUACCACAUGGGGUGAUGAAGGCUGUCUUCUCUUGCCAUGAAGAUCUAGUGGUAGCCUGAGUAGGCGUCGAGGAAUGACAACAGAUCACACACGGCCAAGGAGUCAACAAUCUGGUCGAUGCGCGGCAACAGGAAGGGGUCCUUAGGACAAGCCUUAUUGACAUCCGUGUAGUCAAUACACAGCCUCCACUUCCCAUUUGCCUUGCAGACCACCACCGGAUUGUCCAACCACGUCGGAUGAGCACUACUCUCACCAAACCUGCCGCUUCAAAUUUCCUGAUCUCCUCUGUGAUGAACUCCUGUCGUUCCAAAGCUUGCUUCCUGACCUUCUGCUUGACAGGCCGCGCAUGGGGACAGACAACAAGGUGGUGCUCAAUCACUUCCCUGGGAACGCCGGGGAUAUCGGAUGCUUGCCACGCAAACACAUCGACAUUUGCCCGCAGGAAAGUGAUGAGCGCGCCUUCCUUUUUGCUAUCGAGGGUGGAGCUUAUGGUGAAAGCCUCUCCCGUGCCAUCCUCCUUGACGGACACCCUCUUGGUCUCUGGUGGUGCAGCUCUGGAUUUCUUGAUCUUGCCGGUAGAGCUCUCGGGCACGUCCCUCGAUGGUAGCACAGCAUUCCGAAGAGGUGCGCUUGCCGGAGUGUGUGCGAGAGGUCUUGCCGGUCUUCUUCUUCCCUCCCGGGGCCUCAACGGCAGGAGCAGGUGCCUUGGCGGCAGCUGCUGCAACUGUUUAAUUGAGUUGGUUAGCACAGAUCAGCGCAUCCUUCUUGUCGGAGGGGACGGUGAUGAUGGUCAUUGGCCCAGGCAUCUUCAGCGUAUUGUAGGCGUAGUGCACCGCCGCCAUGAACUUGGCUAGUGCCGGGCGGCCGUGGAUCCCGUUGUAGGACAAGGGGAUCUCAGCCACAUCGAAGACGAUCCUCUCUGUCAUGUAGUUCAACUCACCUUCAAACAUCACGGGCAAUGUGACCUUCCCCUUCGGCUGGCUCCUUCCCGGACUGACCCCUUGAAACGUACCCGUUUCCUCAAGGUCUCCAUCAGGAAUUUGCAGCCUUUUGAUCACGAUGGGCAAGAUCAAGUUCAGGCCGGCCCCACCAUUAACCAGCAUCUUAUUCACCUUGAGGUUGCGCAUCGUUGGUGAGACCAACAAUGGCAAAUACCCGACCGCAGUAGUGCGGUCAUGGUGGUCCUCGGCAUCAAAGAUGAGGGGCAUGCUGGACCACUUCAGUGGCUUUUGAGCGUCAAACGAUGGCUCCCCUGCUGUAACCUCACACGCCCACUGCUUGAGCUGGCGGUGAGAAGUGUGGAGCGAGGCGCCACGCACAUGGCCUCCGUAGCCUUCUGGAACUCAUGCUCACUGGACUCGGCAUCCUCAUCAUGAGCAUCAUCUUCCUGCUUCUUGUCGCGGCCCCGGGCGGGCCUCUCUUGCUGGUUACCCUUGCCGCGGCGACCCCCUUGGCCGCCACGCUCCUUGCUGGAUCCUUCGGCACCAUCCCGACCCUUCUCCUUGUCCCGCCUCUCAUAUUCAGCUUUUUGCUUUUCAGCAAGCAGCUCAACUUGUAGACAGUUCUGGAGGUCGUGGCCCUUGGUGCGGUGGAUCUUGCAGUACUGCUUGUAGGAGCCCCCUGGCUUGUCGGCAGCCGCCAAGGCCCGGUAAGUGGCGCAACCGGCAAUAUCCUUGCCGGGGUCGUCUGCCUUGGCCUUCAUGGCGGCGUUGGUGUCGCCAGAUCCCUCGACUGCAACACGGUCUUGUCCUUGCAUUUCCUGUUGCGACGCCGACCCUUCUUCAUCGGGGCGGCGGUGUCUUCGUCGGUAGAGUCGGUUUCCGCACCGGCGUCUUCGCCGGGGUACUUCCUUCCCUCUUCAGCCCGGGCACAUCUAUCGGCCAGAACGUAAAGUUCAUCCACGUCCUUGACCUUGUUCAUUGCGAGCUCUUCACGCAUCUUGCGGUUACGCACAUUCUGAUGGAAUGCGCUGCUCACGGUGGCUGGAUGAACAUCUGGGAUGUUGUAUUGCACUCAGCUGCACCUCUGUAUGUACUUGCGCAGAUUUUUGCCUUCCUUCUGGGGAAUAAUAUGCAAAUCACUCGCCUGGCCAUGAGCUUGGUGACCUCCAGUCAAGGCACCAACGAACUCGUGGCACCGAUCUGACCAAGAAAAAUUGAAUCCAACGGCAAGUGCAUCAACCAAGACAUGACAUUGGGUUUCAGGGCCAACGGAAAGUAAUUGGCAAGCACCUUGUCGUCACGAGCUCCAGUGGCUUGCAUCGUGAUGGUGUAGAUGUCGAGGAACUCUGACGGUUGGGUCUUGCCGUCAUACUUCUCGCCAACAUCGGGCUUGAACGUGCGGUGGGACGACCACUGGAACUGCCGUAGCUCACGGGUAAAGGCUGGGUAACCCACCUCGUAAGGUAGGCCGCCGGAGCCUCCCGAUGCUGGGUGGUCCAUAGCGGGCCCCGCUCGCCUGUCUUACUGGUGGCGCGUAUCGCGCCGGCGCUCGAUGGUGGUUCGAGCGUCUUCAUGGGCUCGUUCCUGAAGAACCUGGCGUUGGUCGCGGCGGGUCCAUGGGUCGGACGUGCUAUGGAAAUGUCAUCACAAGUGUCAUCACGACGGACCGACAUCUGCGGUGGUUGGCGUGGAGGAGGAGAGUGCACCAUGGCCGCGGCGCCACCGGCCCCUCCACCACCGGCAUGCAGUGGCUCGAUGUAGCGCCGGCCUGAGGGCCCCACCGGCCGUGUCUCAUCUUUGUUGGAGAUGCCGACGAGGCUCCGGAUAGUGGCUCUCCACUCGUCGAGCUUCUCCGCGGCGGGAGGGAAGUCGAGGAGCAGCUACGCGCGCGCCAGGGCUUCUGCUGGCGUGGGUGGCGGCGAAAGCUGCAUGGACCGCGACGCGCUUCGACUUCUAACCACGUUAGAAGGAGCUUGGUGACGACCCAGCGGCUGUGCGCCAUCCUCGCCAGCACUUCGGCGGGCAUGCUGGCCUCCUUCGUCGCACGGAUGACACAGAGGACUCUUGCCACGACGGCGUCCAGGGUCACCGGUGUGGUGACGCUACUCGUCGCGCACAACAUGGGAAGAGCGCGCAGUGCGCGCCGGAGUGGGUGUCUUGGAGGUCGCCGGGCCGCCCGCGGGUGGUACGGCGAUGCCCCCGGAGGGUCCCGCGCCAUCUGCUAGCGGCCCAGCUCCGUCUCUGGAUUUCGCGGCGCGUGGCCCGUCGACUUGCGCACGAACGAUGCCGCUCGCCAGGCUCUGAUGCUCGCGGGUCGCGCCUCGAGUUCUGUCCGCGACCGGCCCGCUGCUCGCCCGCACUGGUACGGGCCGCCCGGCCCCCGAUGAACUGCUACCCCUUGAGCACUGCAUUGGUUUUCCCUUGAAGAGGAAAGGGUGAUGCAACAAAGUAGCAUAAGUAUUUCCCCUCAGUUUUUGAGAACCAAGGUAUCAAUCCAGUAGGAGGCCACGCACGAGUCCCUCGCACCUACACAAACAAAUAAAAUCCUCGCAACCAACGCAAUAAAGGGGUUGUCAGUCCCUUCACGGUCACUUACGAAAGUGAGAUCUGCUAGAUAUGAUAAGAUAAUAUUUUUGGUAUUUUUAUGAUAAAUAUGCAAAGUAAAGAAAGCAAAAUAAACGGAAAAGGAAAUAGCUUGUUGAUGGAAGAUUAAUAUGAUGGAAAAUAGACCCGGGGGCCAUAGGUUUCACUAGUGGCUUCUCUCGAGAGCAUAAGUAUUAUGGUGGGUAAACAAAUUACUGUUGAGCAAUUGACAGAAUUGAGCAUAGUUAUGAGUAGGUAUGAUCAUGUAUAUAGUCAUCACGUCCGAGACAAGUAGACCGACUCCUGCCUGCAUCUACUACUAUUACUCCACACAUCAACCCUAUCCAACAUGCAUCUAGAGUAUUAAGUUCAAGAGAACAGAGUAACGCUUUAAGCAAGAUGACAUGAUGUAGAGGGAUAAACUCAUGCAAUAUGAUAUAAACCCCAUGUUAUUAUCCUCGAUGGCAACAAUACAAUACGUGCCUUGCUGCCCCUACUGUCACUUGGAAAGGACACCACAAGAUUGAACCCAAAGCUAAGCACUUCUCCCAUUGCAAGAAAGAUCAAUCUAGUAGGCCAAACCAAACUGAUAAUUCGAAGAGACUUGCAAAGAUAACCAAUCAUACAUAAAAGAAUUCAGAGAAGAUUCAAAUAUUUUUCAUAGAUAAACUGGAUCAUAAACCCACAAUUCAUCGAUCUCAACAAACACACCACAAAAAGAAGAUUACAUCGAAUAUAUCUCCACAAGAGAGGGGGAGAACAUUGUAUUUAGAUCCAAAAAGAGAGAAGAAGCCAUCUAGCUAAUAACUAUGGACCCGUAGGUCUGAGGUAAACUACUCACACUUUAUCGGAGGGGCUAUGGUGUUGAUGUAGAAGCCCUCCGUGAUCGAUGCCCCCUCCGGCGGAGCUCCAGAAAAGGCCCCAAGAUGGGAUCUCAUGGAUACAGAAAGUAAUGGCGGUGGAAUUAGGGUUUUGGCUCCGUAUCUGGUAGUUUAGGGUACGUAGGUAUAUAUAGGAGGAAGAAGUACGUCGAUGGAGCAACGUGAGUGGGGGGGGGGGGUAGGCGCGCCCCCCUACCUCGUGCCUUCCUAUUUGCUUUCUUGACGUAGGGUCCAAGUCCUCUGGACCGUGUUCGUUCCAAAAAUCACGUUCCGAAAGGUUUCAUUCCGUUUGGACUGCGUUUGAUAUUCUUUUUCUGCGAAACUCUGAAAUAGGCAAAAAAACAGCAAUUCUGGGUUGGGCCUCCGGUUAAUAGGUAGUCCCAAAAAUAAUAUAAAAGUGUAUAAUAAAGCCCAAUAAUGUCCAAAACAAGAUAUAAUACAACAUGGAACAAUAAAAAAUUAUAGAUACGUUGGAGACGUAUCAAGCAUCCCCAAGCUUAAUUCCUACUCGUCCUCGAGUAGGUAAAUGAUAAAAACAGAAUUUUUGAUGUGGAAGGCUACUUGUCAUAAUUUCAAUGUAAUUCUCUUAAUUGUGGUAUGAAUAUUCAGAUCCAAAAGAUUCAAGACAAAAGUUUAAUAUUGACAUAGAAAUAAUAAUACUUCAAGCAUACUAACUAAGCAAUUAUGUCUCUUCAAAAUAACAUGGCCAAAGAAAGUUAUCCCUACAAAAUUAUAUAGUCUGGCUAUGCUCCUUCUUCAGCACACAAAGUAUUUAAAUCAUGCACAACCCCGAUGACAAGCCAAGUAAUUGUUUCAUACUUUUGGUGUUCUCAAAAUUUUUCAAUCUUCACGCAAUUCAUGAGCGUGAGCCAUGGACAUAGCACUAUAUGUGGAAUAGAAUGGUGGUUGUGGAUAAGACAAAAAGGGAGAAGGUAGUCUCACAUCAACUAGGCGUAUUAACGGACUAUGGAGAUGCCAAUUAAUAGAUAUCAAUGUGAGUGAGUAGGGAUUGCCAUGCAACGAAUGCACUAGAGCUAUAAGUAUAUGAAAGCUCAACAAAAGAAACUAAGUGAGUGUGCAUCCAACUCACUUGCUCACGAAGACCUAGGGCAUUUUGAGGAAGCCCAUCAUUGGAAUAUACAAGCCAAGUUCUAUAAUGAAAAAUUCCUACUAGUAUAUGAAAGUGAUAACAUAGGAGACUCUCUAUCAUGAAGAUCAUGGGGCUACUUUGAAGCACAAGUGUGGUAAAAGGAUAGUAGCAUUGUCCCUUCUAUCUUUUUCUCUCAUUUUUUAUUUAUUUGGGCCUUUUCUCCUUUUUUUAUGGCCUCUUUUUUUAGUCCGGAGUCUCAUCCCGACUUGUGGGGGAAUCAUAGUCUCCAUCAUCCUUUCCUGACUUGGGACAAUGCUCUAAAAAUGAUGAUCAUCACACUUUUUAUUUACUUACAACUCAACAAUUACAACUCAAUACUUAGAACAAAAUAAGACUCUAUGUGAAUGCCUCCAGCGGUGUACCUGGAUAUGCAAUGAAUCAAGAGUGACAUGUAUGAAAGAAUUAUGAAUGGUGGCUUUGCCACAAAUACAAUGUCAACUACAUGAUCAUGCAAAACAAUAUGACAAUGAUGGAGCAUGUCAUAAUAAACGGAACAGUGGUAAGUUGCAUGGAAAUAUAUCUUGGAAUGGCUAUGGAAAGCCAUGAUAGGUAGGUAUGGUGGCUGUUUUGAGGAAGGUAUAUGGUGGGUGUAUGAUACCGGCGAGAAGUGCGCGUCAUUAGAGAGGCUAGCAAUGGUGGAAUAAAGAAAGUGCGUAUGAUCCAUGGACUCAACAUUAGUCAUAAAGAACUCAUAUACUUAUUGCAAAAAUCUAUUAGUUAUCGAAGCAAAGUAUUACGCGCAUGCUCCUAGGGGGAUAGAUUGGUAGGAAAAGACCAUCGCCCGUCCCCGACCGCCACUCAUAAGGAAGACAAUCAAUAAAUAAAUCAUGCUCCGACUUCACCACAUAACGGUUCACCAUACGUGCAUGCUACGGUAAUCACAAACUUCAACACAAGUAUUUCUCAAAUUCACAACUACUCAACUAGCAUGACUUUAAUAUCACCAUAUCCAUGUCUCAAAACAAUUAUCAAGUAUCAAACUUCUCAUAGUAUUCAACAAACUCAUAAGAAUUUUUUUAUUAAUCUUGAAUGCCUAACAUAAUUAAAGCAAAUUACCAUGCUGUUUUGUAGGACUCCCAAAAUAAUCUAAGUGAAGCAUGAGAGAACAAUAGUUUCUAUAAAACAAAUCCACCACCGUGCUCUAAAAGAUAUAAGUGAAGCACUAGAGCAAAAACUAUAUAACUCAAAAGAUAUAAGUGAAGCACAUAGAGUAUUCUCACAAUUUCCGAAUCAUGUGUGUCUUUCUCAAAAGGUGUGUACAGCAAGGAUGAUUGUGGAAAACUAACAAAUAAAGACUCAAAUAAUACAAGACGCUCCAAGCAAAACACAUAUCAUGUGGUAAAUAAAAAUAUAGCUCCAAGUAAAGUUACCGAUGUAAGUAGACGAAAAAGGGGAUGCCUUCCAGGGCAUCCCCAAGCUUUGGCUUUUAGGUGUCCUUAUAUUAUAUUGGGGUGCCAUGGGCAUCCCCAAGAUUAGGCUCUUGCCACUCCUUGUUCCAUAAUCCAUCAAAUCUUUCACUCAAAACAUGAAAACUUCACAACACAAAACUAAAAGUAAAAAAUCUCGUGAGCCCCGUUAGCGAAAGAAAAAAAAACAGCACUUCAAGGUACUGUAAUGAACUCAUUAUUUAUUUAUAUUGGUGUUAAACCUACUGUAUUCCAACUUCUCUAUGGUUUAUAAACUAUUUUACUAGCCAUAGAUUCAUCAAAAUAAGCAAACAACACACGAAAAACAGAAUCUGUCGAAAACAGAACAGUCUGUAGUAAUCUGUAGCUAACACAAGUUCUGGAUCCCCAAAAAUUCUAAAAUAAAUUUCUGUACGUGUGGAAUUUAUCUAUUAAUCAUCUGCAAAAAUAGUUAACUAAAUAGCACUUUCCAAUUAAAAAUGGCAGCAAUUCUCGUGAGCGCUAAAGUUUCUGUUUUUUACAGCAAGAUUAAAAAGACUUUCCCUGAGUCUUCCCAACGGUUCUACUUGGCACAAAUACUAAUUAAACACAAAAAACACAAGAAAAACAGAGGCUAGAUAAAUUAUUUAUUACUAAACAGGAGCAAAAAGCAAGGAAUAAAAAUAAAAUUGGGUUGCCUCCCAGCAGGCGCUAUCAUUUAACGCCCCUAGUUAGGCAUAAAAGCGAAGAUAGAUCUAGGUAUUGCCUUCUUUGGUAGGCAAUCCAUAAGUGGCUCUCAUAAUAGAUUCAUAUGGUAAUUUAAUUUUCUUUCUAGGGAAGUGUUCCAUGCAUUUCCUUAACAGAAAUUGGAAUCUAAUGUUCCCUUCCUUCAUAUCAAUAAUUGCACCAAUUGUUCUAAGGAAAGGUCUACCAAGAAUAAUAGGACAUGAAGGAUUGCAAUCUAUAUCAAGAACAAUAAAAUAUACGGGCACCUAAUUCCUAUUUACAAAAACAAGAACAUCAUUAAUUCUUCCCAUAGGUUUCUUAAUAGUUGAAUCCGCAAGGUGCAAGUUUAAAGAGCAAUCAUCAAAAUCAUGGAAACCUAGCAAAUCACACAAAGUCUUUGGAAUCGUGGAAACACUAGCACCCAAAUCACACAAAGCAUAGCAUUCAUGAUCUUUAAUUUUAAUUUCAAUAGUAGGUUCCCACUCAUCAUAAAGUUUUCUAGGGAUAGAAACUUCCAACUCAAGUUUUUCUUCAUAAGAUUGCAUCAAAGCAUCAACGAUAUGUUUGGUAAAGGAUUUAUUUUGACUAUAAGCAUGAGGAGAAUUUAGCACGGAUUGCAACAAGGAAAUACAAUCUAUCAAAGAGCAAUUAUCAUAAUUAAAUUCCUUGAGAUCCAAAAUAGUGGGUUCAUUGAUAUUUAAAGUUUUGACUUCUUCAAUCCCACUUUUAACAAUUUUAGCAUCAAGAUCUAAAGACUCUGAAUUUUUGGAACGUCUUCUAGGUAAAGGUGGAUCAUAUUUAGUCCCAUCAUUAUCAAGAUUCAUAUUGCAAAACAAAGAUUUAAUAGGGGACACGUUAAUAACUUUUAGAUCUUCAUCUUUAUUAUCAUGGAAAUUUUCCGGCUUAGCGGGUGUCGGUGUCAAAACCGGCGGAUCUCGGGUAGGGGGUCCCGAACUGUGCGUCUAGGCCGGAUGGUAACAGGAGGCAAGGGACACGAAGUUUUACCCAGGUUCGGGUCCUCUCGAUGGAGGUAAAACCCUACGUCCCGCUUGAUUAAUAUUGAUGAUAUGGGUAGUACAAGAGUAGAUCUACCACGAGAUCGUAGAGGCUAAACCCUAGAAGCUAGCCUAUGGUAUGAUUGUUGUUAUGUAUGUUGUCCUACGGACUAAAACCCUCCGGUUUAUAUAGACACCGGGGUGGGUUAGGGUUACACAAAGUCGGUUACAAUGGUAGGAGAUCUGCAUAUCCGUAUCGCCAAGCUUGCCUUCCACGCCAAGGAAAGUCCCUUCCGGACACGAGACGAAGUCUUCAAUCUUGUAUCUUCAUAGUCUAGGAGUCCGGCUGAAGGUAUAGUCCGGGCAUCCGGACACCCCCUAAUCCAGGACUCCCUUAGUAGCCCCUAAACCAGGCUUCAAUGACGACGAGUCCGGCGCGCAGAUUGUCUUCGGCAUUGCAAGGCGGGUUCCUCCUCCAAGUACUUCAUAGAAGAUUUUGAACACAAAGAUAGUGUCUGGCUCUGCAAAAUAAGUUUCCACAUAUUGCCAUAGAGAGAAUAAUAUUUACACAAAUCUAAUCUGCUGACGUAUUCUGUAGCGUGACACACCACGGCCAAGCCUUUAUCCGAGUCAUUUCAUUAUCCCACCUCAGCGCAUCAUGCGAGGCGGUUUCCUUGGCACGUCUUGUUAAAGCAGAGAUCGUGUCCCCUUAUUCCGGGAUUCUCAUCAAUACGGGCGUGGGUAACCCAACCGCGCCAUUGAUUAUGUUACUUGGAGAUAAGCGAGUUUUACCAGGCUGGUGGGGACACGUAGUUGCGUCCACCCAUAUAAGGGGAUAAGGAUCCACCUUUUCACCUACGCCUUCUUCCUCCCUUGCUUAUCCAUUAUCACACACUCGAGCUGCAGCGCCCAAGUCCGCAUUCCCCACCUCAACCUUCUCCAGCCAUGUCCGGAGCGGGAGGCAAGUGGAUGGUCUCCUCCGUCAUGUAGGGACACAUCAAAAAACUGAGGAAGGCCGGAUACUUGUCUAUCGACAUUGCGUACCGGCUUCUCGAAAAGGGGCAGCUCAUCCCCACCCCUAGGCCCCAUGAGAGGGUGGUGUUCCUCCCCCAUUUCCUCCGCGGACUGGGCUUCCCUCUUCACCCAUUUGUCCGGGGGCUCAUGUUAUACUAUGGCCUGGAUUUCCACGAUCUGGCCCCGAACUUUGUCCUCAACAUCUCGGCGUUUAUCGUCGUGUGCGAGGCUUUCCUCCGCAUCCGCCCCCAUUUCGGCCUAUGGCUCAAGACUUUCAAUGUCAAGCCGAAGGUGGUGCGCAGCAACCAGGUGGAGUGCGGAGGCGCCAUGGUGGGCAAGAUGGCCAACGUCUUAUGGUUCGGGGGCUCCUUUGUGGAGACCCUGAAGGGGUGGCAAUCAGGGUGGUUUUACAUCACCGAGCCGCGCGACCCCGAAUGGGUCGCAGCCCCUGAGUUUCGAUCCGGACCCCCUACGCGGCUCACCUCCUAGAAGGAGACGGGCCUGUCGUGGGGUAAAAAAGGAGAGCUGACCGGACUCCAAACAUGCGUCCAAACCCUGGUGGACAAGAAGCUCAAACUUGUCAACGUAGUCCAGGUUAUGCUCAUCCGCCUGAUUCUCCCGUGUCAACAACGGGCUUUCAACCUGUGGGAGUUCGACCCGGCGCGGCAGCAAACUCUGAUCAGGCUCUUCGACACAAUGUACAAAGAUGCCUGGAAGGUGCUUUUCAAGGGCGCCGAGGCCCCCGCAUCCGCUACCGAGGAUCGCGGAUUCAGUACGCAGCAUCACGCUCAUGCGGUAAGCUGUUUUUUCCUUUUAUAGGGUAUCCGUUUUUCAUAGUUUGAUUCCAUGCGGGAUCUAAGCUCCCUUACCUUUGACAGGACUGGCAGGUGACGUUCGGACAGAUCAACUGUCCGGCUCCUUUGCCCGAAGGCCCAGCGAACACUCACUUGGUGAAGCUGCUAGUUCCGGCACCCUAUGUGGUGCCGGAGAAGAAGGUCGCGAAAAAGGCCACGGGGACUCUAAAGAGUGCCCGGCGCCAGGAGGUGUCGGAUCCAUCAUCCGACGGUUCCGAGGCACAUUCCUCCCGUGAAGACGAGGAGGAAGAAGAAGAGACCUCUCCCCCUCCAGCGGGGGAAGAGAAGAAAAGGAAGGCCGCCCUCUUUGGGGAGGCCGGAGGGUCCAAGAAGGGGAAAACCCUUCCUCCGGACUACUCUACCAAUGCCAAUGACGGCGGAGAGGAGUGGCCGCCCAGGGCCAAGCCCCUGACAAAAUCGUAAAUAUCCGGAUACCAGAGUCAUUCAUAGUAUUCGCUCAUUGCACAGCUUUCCCUUAUGUCGAAUAUGUUUAUGCAGCCCACCCAAAGACCGGCUCGACGCGUCGUUGAGAGGCUCACUGGACUCGUCGGAUGUGAACUCGCUUCCGACGGCUUCCUCCCCCCGCCCUACGGACGACACCAAAGUGUUGUCCCAACAGGUUCCAAGCCGGGAGGAGGUGGUCCUGGAGGCGCCGCAAAGCGACCUCCCGGACUCCAGGAGUAAAUGGGAUGAAACCCCCCAGGGCUCCAAGUCCAGCUCUAGGCCGGACACCGCUCCGGAACCUUCAAAGGUUCCAGAGUCCGGCGGGGGACCUCCUUCCAAGAGGAGCAAGCCCACCGUGUUGGUGACCCCCGUCCAACCGGAGGCGCCUGACAAUCUGUUGGAGGCGCUCCAAGGCGCCUCCAUCGACGAGGAGCACCGCACCAUUAUGAGUGCGGUGGUCCAGAAGGUUCAGUCCGCCAAGAGCGGACUGACUGAAGCUUGUACUAGCCUUUUAACAGGCUUUGAGGUAAGUAAAGAAUGUGUAAAUAAUAUUACCGCAUAGACAGUAGCCCCUGAUGCUCUGUUUGGUGUUCGAGAAGAAAAGCCGAAUAGAGGAUCAAAUAAAAUUCGCAGGAGUCUAACAAAAAGGAGUCAAUAUGUGUAUGCAGGCUUCUCUGCUUGCGUCCGCCACACUGACUGCGGAAGUGGACACGCUAAAGCAGAACCUCGAGCGGUCCGAGCAAGAGCUCGGGCGUGCCAAGAAGCAGCUCGAGGACAAUGAAGGUAAGAAAUACCUUGUUUAAAUAUAUAUAAAAAGGUGCAAUUGCAAAAAAUGACAGGAUUAUUGUGGCUAUUGUAGGGGCCACAUCUGAGGUGGCGACCCUUAAGCAAGCGCUGGUCGAGGCCGAGAAGAGGGCGGCCACGGAGCGCACCGAGCGGGAGAAGUAUGAGGCCGAGGUUGGCAAGGUACGGCAAGAGCUCCAGGCUCUCAUGGAAAAACAUGAGAGUUUGGAGCUUGACUCAAAGACGCGAGCGUCCGAGCUCACGGUGGCUAUUGAAAAUGCCAAGUCUGCCAAGGCCGAAUCCUAGAAGACCCUCUAGGAGUUGGAUGAGGUGAAGAAGAUAGCGGCAGGUAAGGCAUUCUUUAUGAAAAGCAAACACAUAAACAUGAGUUACUUGUUACUUACCCGAAUCCGGAGCUCUCCAGGAGCGUUCGUAGAUCUUCCCCGGAGUGUGUCCAAUGCCGCCGCAUUCUAUCGAGCCGAGGAGGGCAGCUCGACAGAGAAGGUGUUCUGGUCUUAGUAUGCUGAGGCCGGACACCCCGUGCCCCUGAGCGACCAGCUGAAGCAACUGGUCGAGCUCCACAAGGCGGCCGAACAGGCCAUGAAGGGCCUCAUAGUUCGGCUGUGGCCUGGAGGGGCUCUGCCUGGGAGCUAUUUCGGGCUGGUGCGGCGGCAGGUGGAGGCCUGUCCAAGGCUCGAAGUCAGCAAGCGCUCCGUCUGCAUUGAAGGUGCCCGUAGGGCCCUUGCCCGUGCUAAGGUGCACUGGGGCAAGCUGGAUGCUAAGAAGCUUGUGAAGGAUGGGCCACCGCCGGGGAAAGAGCAUCGCAAGCCCGAGAAUUAUUAUAAGGAUGUUCUGAAGGGUGUCUGCCUUGUGGCGGAUGAAUGUUCCAGGUAUGUAAUUUUUGAGUGAAACUUGCUCGUUUUGUCCUGUGCGCUGAAAACUUGUUCAUAUGCGCUAAGCAAUGCUGUUGGAAUUUAAAAUAUUACCUUCUGUGCGGCUGUUUAUCAAUUCUGAGAGAUGGCAAGUCGUCGGCUUCUGCCCCCGUGCCGCUAGUGCUGGGGUGUUCAGGGAUAAACCUGAGCGCUCUUUUUCCCAUGUUUGGGUCCUUCAAGGGAGGCGCUCAGCCCAACGAACAAGGUAAUCGGACUAUAAUGCGUGAACACUCUCACUUAGCCAUAGAAUUCUAUAAUUUUAAAUUUCGGCGAAGCCCCUGGUAUUCGGAAAACCGAGUUCGGGGCGCUAUCCACACCUUGGCCGGACAGAGCCGGAUCCUCACUCUAAGCGGCAUAAGUCUUUAGGGACUCGAAAAAUCUCUCGAACAACGACCAGCUCUCGCUUCAUCAUGACAGUCAGUUUUAGCUUUCUCCACUGAGGUGCUCGACCCAGCUCAACUGGGGCACAAUCGCAGUGGUUCUCCUAGUGCUACCUUAGCCGAUAUAGCGGAACGUAAGGCACCAAAACAUAGGAGCCGGGCAAACCCAACUAUUGACCCAAGACAUGAUUCGGAGCCGAUGCAUAUAAUGCUAUAAGUUCGGGGAGCCGCACUUGUUAAAGUGUUCGGACUUCUCACACCAUAUUGAGGGGUACUAAAGCCCCUGGCGUAUUUUGGUCGUACCAAAGUGUACAGAUGCAACAUGUCGUUAAGGAACAUAUAUUAAAAAAGAGUAAUGCAAAAAUAGACAAAAGCAAUUCAUUGUUUAUUAAAGAGGGCUGCGAUCAAAGCAGAACGAUAUAAAUAAUGCAAUAAGCAAAAGGUUGGACUAUUUAACGUGUCCAUUCUAGGGGCAGGCUGUGGAAUAGUAUGCGAAACAGGUAUACUGCUCGUGAUAGAGACCACCUGGGAGUUCCGUAAUGCGGUGUGGCUUGUCUGCUUCCCUGGUUCUUGCAUCGUUUGUUCGGCAAUGGAACUGCCGAACGGGCCUUCCGAAGAGUGGAGUCCUGAAAGUAAGAGAGAAUUAAAAAAUCGGCAGCCCCUGGUGCGGUUUAAGCCGUGUUUCGGGCGUGCCGUGAUGGUGCCCCUCCCUCCUGUACCCAUGGUAUUUCUAGAGUGUAGUUAUGUACGUGAAGUACUGGUAUCGCAUUUUUGUGAGGGCUGGGGUUGGGGCCGCAUUGCUACACCUGCUCGGGUCGUGCCAGGCGGUCUUAUUGUAGGUUACUCCGGGCGCGCUUGACGGUGUCCGGUCGUUUAAUGGCCGGACUGGAGAACUGCCUGGAGAGGCUGCUUUGUACUUCUGCUGCAAGGGCCGCCGUGUGCUCCUCCGUUUGGAGGGAGCGUUCGGUGUUUCCAUUGACCGUAAUUACUCCUCAAGGGCCUGGCAUUUUGAGCUUAAGGUAUGCGUAGUGCGGUACCGCAUUGAACUUGGCGAAUGCGGUUCGCCCGAGCAGUGCGUGAUAGCCACUACGGAAUGGGACUAUGUCGAAGAUUAACUCCUCGCUUCGGAAAUUAUCCAGAGAUCCGAAGACCACUUCAAGUUUGACUGAGCCUGUACAGUUGGCCUCUACACCUGGUAUUAUGCCUUUAAAGGUCGUUUUGGUGGGCUUAAUCCUCGAGGGAUCUAUGCCCAGUUUCCGCACUGUAUCCUGGUAAAGCAGGUUCAGGCUGCUGCCGCCGUCCAUAAGGACUCUAGUGAGAUGAAAUCCAUCAAUAAUUGGGUCUAGAACCAAUGCGGCGAAUCCGCCAUGACGGAUGCUAGUGGGAUGGUCCCUCCGAUCGAAGGUGAUCGGGCAGGAGGACCAUGGGUUGAACUUUGGGGCGACUGGCUCUACUGCGUAUACGUCCCUUAACGCGCGCUUCCCGCUCCCUUUUGGGGACGUGGGUUGCGUAUAUCAUGUUCACCGUCCGCACUUGUGGGGGAAAACCCUUCUGUUCACUGUUGUUCAGCGACCGGGGCUCCUCGUCGUCAUCGCUAUGCAACCCCUUGUCUUCAUUUUCGGUGUUUAACUUGCCUGCCUGCUUGAACACCCAACAAUCCCUGUUGGUGUGAUUGGCCGGCUUUUCAGGGGUGCCAUGUAUCCGGCACAAGCGGUCGAGUAUUCAGUCCAAACUGGACGGGCCCCUAGGGUUCCUUUUGAAUGGCUUUUUCCACUGACCGGAUUUAGAGCCUCUGAAUCCGGCAUUAACUAUCGUAUCCUCAGCAUUGUCGCCGUUAAUGCGGCGCUUCUGCUUGUUGCGAUGCGACCUGCCACUACUGUCCCUGGUAUCCGAAUUACCAGGGUUCUUGGUCAUAUUGUUGCUACGAGCAAGCCGGCUGUCUUCUCCUGCGCAAAAGCGGGUCAUGAGUGUCGUGAGUGCUGCCAUAGACUUUGGCUUUUCCUAUCCAAGGUGCCGGGCAAGCCACUCGUCACGGAUAUUGUGCUUGAAGGCUGCUAGGGCCUCAGCGUCCGGACAGUCGACUAUUUGAUUUUUAUUUGUUAGGAACCGUGUCCAGAAUUGCCUGGCCGAUUCCUCUGGCUACUGAAUUACGUGACUUAGGUCAUCGGCAUCUGGGGGUCGCACAUAAGUGCCCUGGAAAUUGUCGAGGAAUGCGGCUUCCAGGUCCUCCCAACAACUGAUUGAUCCUGUUGGCAAGCUGUUAAGCCAAUGCCAAGCUGGUCCUUUAAGCUUGAGUGGGAGGUAUUUGAUGGCGUGGAAAUCAUCGUCGCGGGCCAUGUGGAUAUGAAGGAGAUAAUCCUCGAUCCAUACCGCAGGAUCUGUUGUGCCAUCAUAUGAUUCGAUAUUUACGGGUUUGAAACCUUCGGGGAUUUGAUGAUCCAUUAUUUCAUCUGUGAAGCAUAGUGGGUGUGCGGUGCCUCUAUACUGGGCUAUGUCAUGACGUAGCUCCAAUGAGCUUUGUCUACUGUGCUCGGCCCUGCCGAAUUUGUGGCCGGCGUGACGGUUACCAUCUCGAGCCGUGGGGCUCCCACGCGAUCCGUGGAUCGAUCUUGUUUCCCUUGCCUUGUCCUCCAACAUAUCUCGUAAGUCCGGCGCAUAUUCCCGUGCCUUGGUACGGGGUGCGGCUUGAGUGGAGGGCCGAGAGGCCUCUCUGUCGCGGCCACGAGGUGGCUGGUCGGCCGCAUCAAGUGCUUCCUCCUCUAAUCGGGGUAGCAACCUGCGCUUUGGGUAGCUCUUGGAGGGGCAUUCGAGUUUAUGCUCUUCGGCCGCAAGGACUUCAGUCCAUCUGUCGACUAGCAAAUCUUGAUCAGCUCUAAGCUGUUGCUGUUUUUUCUUGAGGCUUCUUGUCGUGGCCAUAAGCCUGCGUUGAAAAUGCUGUUGCUCGACGGGAUCCUCUGGCACGACGAAUUCGUCAUCGUCGAGGCUUGCCUCGUCUUCGUAGGGAGGCAUAUAAUUAUCGUCCUCAAUCUCUCUGUCUGCUGCUCUCUCAUGAGGGCUAGUUUCUCCAUCCUCCUGUGCUAAAUCUUGCUGGAGGGGGUUUUCUUCGGCACUUUCCAGAGUAUUAUUAUCUCCCAUGCUGGAAUCACCGUAUUUGUUUUGGCGGGAUUUUGAGUGGCGCCGCUGACGCCGGCGCUUAGGCUGUUUCUUGGAGGGGUCAUCCUCCGUUGUUCCAUCGGAUAUCCUUCUUUUGGGGUGUCCACCAUGUAGAUGUCAUAUGACGAGGUGGCUUUCCAGGGCCUGAUAGGCGCUGGUUCUUCAUCGUGUCCUUCAUCGGCGUCCAUACCGUUGAUGUCUUCGGAGUCGAAGUCGAGCAUGUCGGUUAAGUCGUCAAUAGUGGCUACAAAGUGGGUGGUGGGUGGGCUUUGAAUUUCUUCAUUGUCCGAAUCCCAACCUUGCUGACCGUAGUCCGCCUAGGGCUCUCCUGAUAAAGAGAGAGACUUUAGUGUCUUUAGAAUAUCGCCGAAAGGCGAGUGCUGAAAGAUGUCCGCGGCAGUAAACUCCAUAAUCGGUGCCCAAUCGGAUUCGAUCGGCAGGGGCGUGGAGGGUUCGGGGUCCGGAGAGGAGUCCGGCUCCUUGGAGUCAUGAGUCUCGCAGAGUGCGGGGCUGGUGUUCGGCUCGAUCGCCGUUGGGAUCGCAGCCCUAAGGCAGCGUCCAACCACCCAUCCUCGAUCGGCGCAGUUGGCUCCGAAUUAAGGGUCUAAGCCGAUGCGGGUGUGGCCUCCAGGGCACUGUUCAGCGGCAGAGCUAGAUCAUGCUCGUCGUGACAGUGCGGCGCGCUCGGCAGUGGCUCGAAUCCGUCGAAGAUCAAGUCCCCGUGGAUGUUAGCCGUGUAGUUUAAACUUCCAAAUCUGACCUGACGGCCAGGGGCAUAGCUUUCGAUCUGCUCCAGAUGGCCAAGUGAAUUGGCCCGCAGUGCGAAGCCGCCGAAGACGAAGAUCUAUCCAGGGAGGAAGGUCUCACCCUGGACUGCAUCGCCAUUGAUGAUCGUAGGAGCCAUCAAGCCUGACGUCGACGACACAGAGGAACUCUCAAUGAAAGCACCAAUGUCGGUGUCAAAACCGGUGGAUCUCGGGUAGGGGGUCCCGAACUGUGCGUCUAGGCCAGAUGGUAACAUGAGGCAAGGGACACGAAGUUUUACCCAGGUUCGGGCCCUCCCGAUGGAGGUAAAACCCUACGUCCUGCUUGAUUAAUAUUGAUGAUAUGGGCAGUACAAGAGUAGAUCUACCAUGAGAUCGGAGAGGCUAAACCCUAGAAGCUAGCCUAUGGUAUGAUUGUUGUUGUGUAUGUUGUCCUACGGACUAAAACCCUCCGGUUUAUAUAGACACCGGAGAGGGUUAGGGUUACACAAAGUCGGUUACAAUGGUAGGAGAUCUGCAUAUCCGUAUCGCCAAGCUUGCCUUCCACGCCAUGGAAAGUCCCUUCCGGACACGGGACGAAGUCUUCAAUCUUGUAUCUUCAUAGUCCAGGAGUCCGGCUGAAGGUAUAGUCCGGCCAUCCGGACACCCCCUAAUCCAGGACUCCCUCAGCGGGCAUCUUAUUAACUAAGGUGUCCUUCUUAUCCGAGACUUCAGCUAUUAACUUCUCAAGGUGAGAAAUCUGAGAUUUCAAACCAUCAAAUUCUUUAGUCAUAUCAUCGAGCUCUUUAUUCAUAAAACCCAUAAAGCUUUUGUGUUCCGUAAGCUCGUUUCUAAAGAAAUUAUUAUGCUCAAAUUGUAAGACCAUAAAACUCCUGGCGUUGCUUUCGAUCUCUUCUAACCUUUUAAGGUGAUGAUCACCAAAUCUAGGUAGAGCCAUCGUGACAAGCAAGCAAUCCAACACACAAGCAAACAAGAGACGGGCAAAAGGAGGAAAAUAGAGAAAGAGAAGGGGGACGGAGAGAGAGGGCGAAUAAAAUGACAAGGGUGAAGUGGGGGAGAGGAAAACGAGAGGCAAAUGGCUAAUAAUGUAAUGCGGGAGAUAAGGGUUUGUUAUGGGUACUUGGUAUGUUGACUUUUGUGUAGACUCCCCGGCAACGGCGCCAGAAAUCCUUCUUGCUACCUCUUGAGCACUGCGUUGGUUUUCCCUUGAAGAGGAAAGGGUGAUGCAGCAAAGUAGCAUAAGUAUCUCCCUCAGUUUUUGAGAACCAAGGUAUCUAUCCAGUAGGAGGCCACGCACAAGUCCCUCGCACCUACACAAACAAAUAAAAUCCUCGCAACCAACACAAUAAAGGGGUUGUCAGUCCCUUCACAGUCACUUACGAAAGUGAGAUCUGAUAGAUAUGAUCAGAUAAUAUUUUUGGUAUUUUUAUGAUAAAUAUGCAAAGUAAAGAAAGCAAAAUAAACGGAAAAGGAAAUAGCUUGUUGAUGGAAGAUUAAUAUGAUGGAAAAUAGACCCGGGGGCCAAAGGUUUCACUAGUGGCUUCUCUCAAGAGCAUAAGUAUUACGGUGGGUAAACAAAUUACUGUUGAGCAAUUGACAGAAUUAAGCAUAGUUAUGAGAAUAUCUAGGUAUGAUCAUGUAUAUAGGCAUCACGUCCGAGACAAGUAGACCGUCUCCUGCCUGCAUCUACUACUAUUACUCCACACAUCGACCGCUAUCCAGCAUGCAUCUAGAGUAUUAAGUUUAAGAGAACAGAGUAACACUUUAAGCAAGAUGACAUGAUGUAGAGGGAUAAACUCAUGCAAUAUGAUAUAAACCCCAUCUUGUUAUCCUCGAUGGCAACAAUACAAUAUGUGCCUUGCUGCCCCUACUGUCACUGGGAAAGGACGCCGCAAGAUUGAACCCAAAGCUAAGCACUUCUCCCAUUGCAAGAAAUAUCAAUCUAGUAGGCCAAACCAAACUGAUAAUUCGAAGACACUUGCAAAGGUAACCAAUCAUACAUAAAAGAAUUCAGAUAAGAUUCUAAUAUUGUCCAUAGAUAAAAUUGAUCAUAAACCCACAAUUCAUCGGUCUCAACAAACACACCGCAAAAAUAAGAUUAAAUCGAAUAUAUCUCCAUAAGAGAGGGGGAGAACUUUGUAUUGAGAUCCAAAAAGAGAGAAGAAGCAAUCUAGCUAAUAACUAUGGACCCGAAGGUCUGAAAUAAACUACUCACACUUCAUCGGAGAGGCUAUGGUGUUGAUGUAGAAGCCCUCUGUGAUCGAUGCCCCCUCCGGCGGAGCUCCGAAAAAGGCCCCAAGGUGGGAUCUCACGGAUACAGAAAGUUACGGCGGUUGAAUUAGGGUUUUGGCUCCAUAUCUGGUAGUUUGGGGGUACGUAGGUAUAUAUAGGAGGAAGAAGUACGUCGGUGGAGCAACAUGGGGCGCCCUACCUCGUGCCUUCCUGAUUGCUUUCUUGACGUAGGGUCCAAGUCCUAUGGAUCAUGUUCGUUCCAAAAAUCACGUUCCCGAUGGUUUCAUUCCGUUUGGACUCCGUUUGAUAUUCUUUUUCUGCAAAACUCUGAAAUAGGCAAAAACAACAAUUCUGGGCUGGGCCUCCAGUUAAUAGGUUAGUCCGAAAAAUAAUAUAAAAGUGUAUAAUAAAGCCCAAUAAUGUCCAAAACAGGAUAUAAUAUAGCAUGGAACAAUAAAAAAUUAUAGAUACGUUGGAGACGUAUCACGAACCGACCGCCGUGGCCGCCUUUUUCUUGGGAGCCAUGGCGACGAAGAACCGCUAGGCUAACUGCUAGACCAGAUUCUCACAACUGUGUUCCCCUACCUGGCACGCCAAAGAUGUCGGUGGAAAUGACACCUAUGGGAUCACUAGGAUCCCUUCUACGGUCGGUGGGCGCGGGGUCGUGAGAAGAGCAGGUUUAGGAGCAAGCACACGGGUCGUUUACCCAGGUUCGGGCCGCGAGGACGCAUAAAACCCUAGUCCUGCUUUGGUGGAUGUAUUGAGUGUUCUUGAGCUUCUUGAACUAGCUACGGUGGGUGUGCCGUCCCAAAAAGACGAACCCCUCUCCUGGUCGCCUUGGCCUCCUUUUAUAGGAAAAGGGGCUGCCACAGUGGCACACAGGAGGUGGAAAGGCCUACAGUGCGCGAGCUUAUCGCACGGCAUUACGAGACAAAGCGCAUUAAAUGCGCUACGUAGGUGUCCAUUUGCUUUAUCGGGGACGGGAACAAGGCCCGUCCCGUCCGUCGCCGCUCUGCCUCGCUUCGACACGCGCCCAGGCCGGCGAUGCAUGCAGCGCCUUGUAGGCAGGCAGGCAGCUGAGGUGGCGCGGCGGUAGAGCCUUCAUGAAGAUCUACAUGCCGCCACGCAGGCGCUUGCUGAGUUGGCCUGGAAGCUAGAAGCUGCAUGUUGCCACGUAGGUGCCUGCCCAACUAGUUGGGUUGGCAGCUGCAUGCGAAUGGCGGCGGACUCUUGGCUGGUGCGAGCCUGGCAGUGGCCCUGCUGAUGCCCUCGGCAAGAGUCUUGCUGGGGGCUCGGCAAGGGUCUUGCCGUGGUGUCGCUAUAAUCCCCGACAAGGGUCUUGCCGGGGGUCUUGUGGAUUGCCUCGGCUAGGAUCCUGCCGAGGGCCGCCGUCUUCUAGUCCUCAUCUGAACUCAUAUAUUUACGAGCUUGACGAAGAUUUGCAUGCCACCACAGAGGCUUCUCCCGAGCCUUAGUUCCAACGCAGUUGGUUAGGUUGGAGCUGGUGGGCUCAAGGGUCAUUCACCCCGCUAGCAUCGGGCAAGUUGCCCCGGCAAGGCUCUUUCCGGGGCUGCGGGGGGGGGGGCUCGGCAAGGAUCUUGCCGAGGGAGUCCACCUCGCCCUAUUGCCCUCCUGCGCUUCCGGUCUUGGCGUCGCCUUGGUCGCCUCAUGCUUCGGCUUCUCUCCGGCUUCCCUCCUCUGCCCUGCUAAGUGUGGCCGCGGCGUGUGGCUCAGACUUCCCGUGCACAAGUAAAGGGGUCAAAAGGAGAACCCCUACUUUUGUACACCGACACUCCUGGCGCGGGCCACGGUCGUCCCAGCGUCCGCCACCACGUCCUCCUCCUCAGCCAUAGCCCCGGUCACUACACUCGGGGCGUCAACCGAAGCGUCCUUCUCGGAUGGCUCUGAGCUCUUGAUAGUAGCUGGUGUUGUGGGUAUGCGGGUUGUGGAAGGCGCAGAAUGGUCGGCUGCCCUUGGAUGACCCAGGCUGGUCUCUGCCGCGCUUGGUUUCUGGCUCCGCCGCGAGCACGGCUGCUCCCUUGCGCUUCACGUCCUUGGCCUUGGUCUUCUUCUCCUCCGGGUCUGCAGUAGGGAGUUCGAGGAGGGAGAGGCGCCCCUCCUCAGCUCUCGCACACUUGGUCGCGAUGUUGAACAACUCCAAGGUCGUGCACACCUCCUCGUGGAUGGCGAGCUCCUCCUUCAUCUUGACGUCGCGGACGCUGUCGGAGAACGCUGAGAUGAUGGCCUUGUCGGUCACCUUGGGGAUCUUGAUUCACGCGUUGUUGAAGCGCUGAAUGUACUUCUGCAGGGUCUCUCCUUGUUGUUGCUUGAUGCGGCGCAGGUCGCUCGUGACCGGGGGGCGGUCACGAGCGCCCUGGAAGUUGGCGAUGAAGCGGUUGCACAUCUCGCCCCAGGAGGAAAUUGAGCCUGGAGGCAGGUUCAGGAGCCAGGAGCAGGGGCCAUCCUUGAGAGCCAUGGGAAACCAGUUCGCCAUGACUUCCUCAUCGCCGUUUGGCCGCCUCGAUGCUCAGCUCGUAGAGCUGCAGGAACUCCGCGGGGUCAGGGGUGCCGUCGUAGCAAGGAGGCAGAUCUGGCUUGAACUUGCCCGGCCAGGCGACGCUGCGUAGCUCGGGGGUGAAGGCGCAGCAGCCGGCCAUGGUCACCGGGGCCCGCCUUGGAGGUGGAACUUGGCCUUGGCGCCCGUGCGCUGCUACGGCUAGUGGCGCGGGGACUUGCCACAGCAAACGAUCCUGGCGCGGCGGAGCAAGGAGUGGCGGAGCGUUUGCUUGCGGUCGAGGGACUUCUUGACAGCUUCUUUCUUCAUGCGCGGGCGCCGGACGUGGUGGGUCGCACCGUGGAGCCGCGUGCCUUGGCACUAGGGCACCGUCUUGGGGCAAAGGUGGUGGAGGUGCUUCGGGAGCUGCGUCGCCCGUGGCUGGCGGAGGGCAAGGCAGAGAGUGGGACGGCGCAGGGGAGCCCCCUGCGGCGUGGACAAGCUCGGUGAUGCGGUCAAGCCAGUCCUCAUAGAGGUCAUCGACUGGGCGGUAGCGCAGGAGCUCGUGCGCCAUGAGGAGCGCGGCCCAUGCGUUCGUGGGAACGCAGCGAGCAUGAGACGACGAACCAGCGAGAGUUAGCGAUGGAGUGGAGGUGCGGCCGUCCUGCUGCACCGAGGGGUGGAGCGAGGAUGCUUUCUGCUCGUUCCCCGCCGGGCCGGUGGCGGCGUUGGCGGCAGGAGACGGAGAGCGAUGGGGUGGCCUACCGACAGGGGCCGUCUGAGCGACGCGGGUGGCGAGGGAAGCCCGGCCCUCGGCACGGGCGCGACGUGCGUCCGCCAUGGAGACGAUGGAGCGACAUGAUGCAAAGCGGCAGGAAAGAAGCUUCGACGCACCCCUACCUGGCGCUCCAAAUGUCGGAUCACGGGUUCCGGCAAAACCCUUAAGGUUCGAACACUUGGUGCGCGCGAAGAUCUCCCCUCCUACCGAUCCGCGCCCUAACUUAGCCUAGAUCUCACGAACUAACUCAACAAACUCACAACACAAAGGACAUAAGAUUUAUACUGGUUCGGGCCACCAUUGUGGUGUAAUACCCUACUCCAGUGUGGUGGUGGUGGAUUGCCUCUUGGGCUGAAGACGAAGAGUACAAGGGGAAGAACAGCCUCCCAAGGUUGAGGUGUUCUUGUGCUUGGUGAACUUCUGUGGCUGAGGAUGAUCUUGAUGAUCCGUCCCCGCCUAUGGUGGCGGCUAGUCCUAUUUAUAGAGGCCCUAGUCCUCUCCCCAAAUAUUGAGUGGGAAGGGAGCCAACAACGACCAAUUUGAAAGGGGACAACUAGUACAAGGUAUCCUGACAAAAGGUGGUCUUCGCCUGCCAAAGGUUCUGGCGGUGACGCCGUCCUGGGCUCCAUGGUGACCUCCGUCUUGCCGUCCUUCUGGUCUUGGUCUCGUUGCACCAAUAUGGAAACCUUUGCUUGAUGCCUCGGUACUCCGCGCCUGCGCUUGCGCCCCUUAGCACUAAAGAGGAAACAAGGACGCUACACGCGCUGGCGCCCGCCUAGUCUCGAUUGUCAUGGCUUACGUCACGACAACCUUGCGAGGCUUGCCCGACCUUGAACUCUCCUCCCCUCACGAGCCAGCCUGGUGAGGCCACUCCUGAGGAGGUCUUGUGUCGUCCACCUUGCGAGGCUUGGCCCCUCGCGAGGGUCUUCAUUCCUUGUUGAUGAAGAUGGGCCAUACAGGCCUGCCAGCAAAGCCACGUCAUGGGUCGCAGGCAGGCAAGUCUGAGGACCCCCGUAAAUUUCAGCCCAAUCAAAGUUACGGAUCUCCGGGAAUUUAAGAAAUGGUGAAAGGGCAGAAUCAGGGAAUGCAGAAACAGAGAGAGAUAGAGAGACAAAUCCAAUCUCGGAGGGGCUCUCGCCCCUCCGCCGUCAUGGAGGCCAUGGACCAGAGGGUAAACCCUUCUCCCAUCUAGGGAGAAGGUCAAGGAAGAAGAAGAAGAAGAAGAAGAAGGGGGGCUCUCUCCCCCUCUCUCCCGGUGGCGCCGGAACGCCGCCAGGGCCAUCAUCAUGUGACGGCGAUCUACACCAACACCUCCGUCAUCUUCACCAACAUCUUCAUCACCUUCCCCCAUCUAUCUACAGCGGUCCACUCUCCCGCAACCCGCUGUACCCUCUACUUGAACAUGGUGCUUUAUGCUUCAUAUUAUUAUCCAAUGAUGUGUUGCCAUCCUAUGAUGUCUGAGUAGAUUUUCGUUGUCCUAUCGGUAAUUGGUUGUCGGCGUUCUGGUUACGGGGUGGCCAAAAGGGCCCAGGGUGCGCCUGACCCCCUGGGGCGCGCCCCCCUGCCUCGUGGCCCCCUCGGGCGUCGUCUGGCGUUGAUUCUUCUCCCCAAAAAUAACAUAUAUUCCAAAAAAGUCUCUGCCAGUUUUUAUCCUGUUUGGACUCUGUUUGAUAUGGAUUUACUGCGAAACAAAAAACACGCAACAAACUGGAACUGGCACUGGGCACUGGAUCAAUAUGUUAGUCCCAAAAAAUAGUAUAAAAACUUGCCAAAAGUAUAUGAAAGUUGUAUAAUAUUGGCAUGGAACAAUCAAAAAUUAUAGAUACGACGGAGACGUAUCGACAUCCCCAAGCUUAAUUCCUGCUCGUCCUCGAGUAGGUAAAUGAUAAAAAAGAUAAUUUUUGAUGUGGAAUGCUACCUAGCAUAAUCUUGAUAAUGUAAUCUAAUCAUGGCAUGAAUAUUAAGACAUGAGUGAUUCAAGGCAAUAGUCUAUCAUUUGACAUUAAGACAAUAAUACUUCAAGCAUACUAAUAAAUCAAUCAUGUCUUUUUAAAAUAACAAGGCCAAAGAAAGUUAUCCCUACAAAAUCAUAUGGUCUGGCUAUGCUCCAUCUUCACCACACAAAAUAUUCAAAUCAUGCACAACCCCAAUGACAAGCCAAGCAAUUUUUUCAUAAUUUUGACAUUCUCAAACCUUUUCAACUUUCACGCAAUACAUAAGCGUGAGCCAUGGGCACAACGAUAUGGGUGGAAUAGAAUAUGAUGGUGGAGUUUAUGUGGAGAAUACAAAAAAGGAGAAAGUCUCACAUCAACGUGGUGAAUCAACGGGCUAUGGACAUGCAAUUGAUGUCAAUGUGAGGAGUAGGGAUUGCCAUGCAACGGAUGCACUAGAGCUAUAAGUAUAUGAAAUCUCAAACUGAAACUGAGUGGGUGUGCAUCCAACUUGCUUGCUCAUGAAGACCUCGGGCAUUUGAGGAAGCCCAUCAUCGGAAUAUACAAGCCAAGUUCUAUAAUGAAAUUCCCACUAGUAUAUGAAAGUGAUAACUCAAUGAGACUCUCUAUAUGAAGAACAUGGUGCUACUUUGAAGCACAAGUGUAGUAAAAGGAUAGUAACAUUGUCCCUUCUCUCUUUUUCUCUCAUUUUUUUGUUUUGUUUUUUUGGUGGGCUUCUUUGGCCUCUUUUUUUUAUUUGGGCUUCUUUGGCCUCUUUUGUUUUGAUAACCUCACACGGGACAAUGUUCUAAUAGUGAUGAUCAUUACACUUUUAUUUACUUACAACUCACUAUUACAACUCGAUACUAGAACAAAGAUAUGACUCUAUAUGAAUGCCUCCAGCGGUGUAUCGGGAUGUGCAAUGAUCUAGCGUAGCAAUGACAUCAAAAAUGAACAAGCCAUGAAAACAUCAUGCUAGCUAUCUUACGAUCAUGCAAAGCAAUAUGACAAUGAUGCUUAAGUCAUGUAUAUGAUGAUGUUGGAAGUUGCAUGGCAAUAUAUCUCGGAAUGGCUAUGGAAAUGCCAUGAUAGGUAGGUAUGGUGGCUGUUUUGAGGAAGAUAUAAUGAGGCUUAUGUGUGAUAGAGCGUAUCGUAUCACGGGGUUUUGAUCGACCGACGAAGUUUGCACCAACUCUCGAGGUGAGAAAGGGAAAUGCACGAUACCGAAGAGGCUAGCAAUGAUGGAAGGGCGAGAGUGCGUAUAAUCCAUGGACUCAACAUUAGUCAUAAAGAACUCACAUACUUAUUGCAAAAAUCUAUUAGUCAUCGAAACAAAGUACUACACGCAUGCUCCUAGGGGGAUAGAUUGGUAGGAAAAGACCAUUGCUCGUCCCCGAUCGCCACUCAUAAGGAAGACAAUCAAUAAAUACCUCAUGCUCCGACUUCAUCACACAACGGUUCACCAUACGUGCAUGCUACGGGAAUCACAAACUUCAACACAAGUAUUUCUACAAUCCACAACUACCCACUAGCAUGACUCUAAUAUCACCAUCUUUAUAUCGCAAAACUAUUGCAAGGAAUGAAACAUAUCAUAUUCAGUGAUCUACAAGUUUUAUGUAGGAUUUUAUGACUAACCAUGUGAAUGACCAGUUUCUGUCAUCUCUCUAAAUAGAUAUAAGUGAAGCAAGAGAGUUUAAUUCUUUCUACAAAACAUAUGCCCACACUCUAAAAAAUAUAAGGGAAGCAAAAGAGCAUUCUAAAAAUGGCAGUUUUCUAUGUGAAGAGAAACAGGCAAUCCAAACUUCAAAUGAUAUAAGUGAAGCACAUGAAGCAUUCUAUAAAGUCAUACUCAAAAGAUAUAAGUGAAGUGCAAUGAGCAUUCUAUAAAUCAACCAAGGACAAUUUAAUACCAGCAUGGUGCAUAAAAUAAAAGUGAAAACUAAAUGCAAAAGACGCUCCAAGAUUGUACAUAUCGCAUGAACGAAAGGAAUCUGAAAACAUACCGAUACUUGUUGAAGAAAGAUGGGAUGCCUUCCGGGGCAUCCCCAAGCUUAGACGCUGGAGUCUCCUUGAAUAUUUACUUGGGGUGCCUUGGGAAUCCCCAAGCUUGAGCUAUUAUCUCUCCUCCUUAUCCUCAUAUCGAGACCUCCUCGAUCUUCGAACACUUCAUCCACACAAAACUCAACAGAAAGCUCGGUAAGAUCCGUUAGUAUAAUAAAGCAAAUCACUACUGUAAGUACUAUUGCAAACCAAUUCAUAUUUUGUUUUUGCAUUUUAGCUACUGUAAUAUAACUUUUUCAUGGCUUAAUCCACUGAUAUAAAUUGAUAGUUUCAUCAAAACAAGCAAACUAAGCAUCAAAAACAAAAUCUCUCUUAAACACGACAGUCUGUAGUAAUCUGAACAUUAACCAUACCUCUGGUGCUGCAACAAUUCUACCAAAAUUAGGACAAAUAAACAAUUUGUAAAGAAAGACAGUGCAAAAAGUUUCAGAACCGUUUGAUGUUCCAGUAAAAAAUGUAAAAUCACGCACUACAGCCGAAGUUUCUGUCCUGCACCGUACAAACCAACAAGCAAAGUAAACAUCCUAAAGGCAAAUCUUGGCACAUUAUUUUUAUUUUUAAACCUUAUAAAAGCACACAACAGAAAUAAAUGACUCUCUAAAACUUCUGGGUUGUCUCCCUGGCAGCACUUUCUUUAAAGCCCUUAAGCUAGGCAUAUAGUGCUCAAGUAAUGGAUCCACCCGGAUCCCAGGGUAUAUCAAAGCCAAUUUGAAUCAACAAUGAUUUGUAAUUUAGUGGUGAGCACAAAGUAACAUAUAUCAUGUAAUAACGAAGUCUAACUCUCUUCCUAUGCAUCGGCAUGUCAUAAAAGAACAAUUCAUGCACAUCAAGUAAAGGCCAAUACAUAGCAUAAGCAGUUUCUUGCAAUUUUUUCGUGUUGGAAACAUAAAGAGGCAGAGAUGUAGUUCCUCUCCCAUAAUAAUUGCAAGUUGGAAACAUAAACAUAAAGGAGCAGCAAGCACAUGCAUAUUAUAUCUAUCAAAAUCAUCAUGCGUAAUAGUAAAACGCAACCCAUCAAUAUAAUCCUUAACAAGAGCAAACUUCUCCGAUAUAGUGUAGUUGGGAGAAUUCAAAGAGAUAAUAGGACUAUCAUGUGUGGGUACAAUAGCAACAAUUUCAUGUUUAACAUAAGGAACUAUGGCAAGUUCAUCUCCAUAAGCAUAAUUCAUAUUAGCAUCUUGGCCACAAGCAUAGCAAGCAUCAUCAAAAAUGGAUAUUUCAAAAGAAUCAACGGGAUCAUAACAAUCAUCAUAGCAAUCAUCCUUUGGUAAGCACGAAGGGAAAUUAAACAAUGUAUGAGUUGAAGAGUUACUCUCAUUAGAAGGUGGGCACGGGUGAUCAAUCCGCUCUUCCUCCUUUGGUUCUUCGCUCUCCUCCUCACCUUUUUCAUCCAAUGAGCUCACAAUGUCAUUACUUUCUUCUUCCAUAGACUCCUGCAAAAUAUUAGUCUCUUCUUGGACACCGAAGGAGUCCUCAAUAUAUGUUUUAACAUAGGCAUUAGAAGCAUAAUUAUCAUAACAAUAUUUAAGUAUGGCAAAAUUUUCAGAUUUGAAAAGAGUAGCAUCAUACUUUUCAAUCAAAGAAGCAAUUUCAUAAGCACCCUUAAAAGCAACAAAUUCUUCAAUUUUUUGAACAUCAUAGUAAUUAUAAACACCCUUAGUAUACAAAGAUACGAUUCCAUUAUCAGUAAACUCACAUUGGUAGGGAAGGUGUUUCUUAGGGUUUUCAGAACAACAAAUAACAUCGUAUAUUUCACAUAAAUUCCAAGCAUAGCACUGCAAACGAUGAAUUUGAUCCAGUAAAAGUUCCCCUUUUUGAGAUAAGCGGUGUCGCACAUAACAAGCAUGCUCAUCUAAAGAUUUUCCCUCAACUAAGCUAGUUGGGGUUUCAGCACGAGCACAAAGGGAUCGAAGAUGAUCCAAGUAAAAAGCUUUAGGAGUGUGAUAGAUUUUGAGUGGUUCUUCAACAAUUGGUGUAGCAGGUACAACUAAUUUUUUUUGGUAUUUUGUGUUCCCUACCCAUAACUAAAGAUAUAAAACAACUUAUAACAAAAAAUAAAAAUUACUUAGUGAUAAAGCAAACACGCACACACAAGAAUAUUCACCCCACGCUAUGGCUCCCCGACAACGUCGCCAGAAAAAGGUCUUGAUAACCCACAAGUAUAGGGGAUCAAUUGUUGCCUCUUUCGAUAAGUAAGAGUGUCGAACCCAAUGAGGAGCUAAAGGUAGAACAAAUAUUACCUCAAGUUUUAUCGACCACCGAUACAACUCUACGCACGCUUAACGUUCGCUUUACCUAGAACAACUAUGAAACUAGAAGUACUUUGUAGGUGUUGUUGGAUAGGUUUGCAAGAUAAUAAAGAGCGUGUAAAUAAAAAGUAGGGGCUGUUUAGAUAAAGAAACAAUAAAGUUAGUAUAACGAGUUUGGAAAAGUGGUGGUAGGAGUUGCGAAAUUGUCCCUAAGCAAUUGACUACUUUACUAGACCGACAACAAGUUUUAUGUGGGAGAGGCCACUGCUAGCAUGUCAUCCCUGACUUGGAAUUCUAUGCACUUAUGAUUGGAACUAUUAGCAAGCAUCCACAACUACUAACGUUCAUUAAGGUAAAACCCAACCAUAGCAUUAAGAUAUAUUGGUCCCCCUUCAAUCCCGUAUGCAUCAAUUUCUAUGCUAGGUUGAAGCUUCUGUCACUCUUGCCCUCCAAUACAUAGUCUUAUCAACAUACAACUAACCCUAUGGUGUGAUCCACGCGCGCGCUCAUAUGAUGGGCACCAAAGUACAGCAACAUAACCACAAGCAAAUCUCUCCGGGUUCACCGUCGCAACGUUUUUACAAAAACGUCCCUUCUAUUUUUGCUAUUCAACCCGCACUCCCUUUUUAAGUGGAUAUAUGAGAAAACGUUUCACUCUUACUAAAGUAAUCCUGCACUCUUUAGUAUUCAACCCACGAUCCUUUCAUUAGCUGGCUAUAAUAAACGCACAACAUCCUCUCUGGCCGCUUCCUCUCCAGCCGCGACCGCCGCCGCCGCUGAUCUUCUUCUCCGGCCAUCCGCCGACCUCCUGUUCUCCUUCCCCUCCCAACCCGCACCCUCCUCAAUCUCCAACCUCCUACACCCGUAUCGUGCUUCUCUGCUUUGGAUCGAGUUGGCCGGAUCGACCCCAUGGCCGAUGCCAAGGUCGCCAGUCCAUCGUCCUGCUCCACUCGUGUGCGCCCUCGACGUCGACGCCCUCUAAUACUCUUUGCCGCAGCCGCCGCCGUCGGCCUCUGUCACCACGCGCCCCCUUUGAGCACACUGGAUGCAAUCUCACAUGGUGCCGUCGUCCGCACUGUCUAACACCACCUACAGACACAAAAUGGCGGAUCAAGGUGCAAUAAUUUUGAUCUGGCAAGAUACAUGCUACCCACUCAUCUCCCAGUGUUGGCGUUGGUAAGCAUCAGAAUCACUAUGUACUGGUACUAAUUAAACUAUAUCUUUCCAGGUGUUUAAUGAAAUGCCCAACCACACCAAAAACGCGAAUUUAGUUCUGCAUGGUGGAAUCAACGAGGUAGCAUGACCUUCAGCCUUCUACAAGAGGUCAACUUAGUUCAAAUCAUUUAGCUAUGUGCAGUACUAUUGCCAAUCGUCUAUUUAGAUGCCUUUUACAUCAAAAUGGUGAUUUUAUAUGUACUAUUUUUGUAUGUGGUUACGAUUAUGGAUAAGAUUAGAAAACAUGCAGUUCAAAUCGCCAUCAAGCGCAUCAGUCCUUUGAAUGUUAAGCACAUCAAAUGUUUUCAGUUCAUGCAUAAGUUACAAUCAAGCCAGAGACAUUAUGUGUUCUAUUUUUUAGAUCAGAAUCCUAGACGUGGCCAGUUUAUAACAUUCUCCCAGUACCUCUGUUCUGCAUAUGUUUCUCAAACUAAUUCUGCCAUUGAUUAGGAGUGACAUCACCAUGACAUUUCCAAGCUUUGUCUUCCAUGCUCGGGUCGAUGAUACCUGAAAUUCUUAGUUCUUUUGAAUCGAAACAGUAGAAGAUAAGCUUGUGGUGACUUUGUGAAUUUUUGGCAUUGGACCGUUUGAAACUUUAGAUUGGCAGAGAGCUAGAGACCCUGCUACUCUAAAGGAUGUUAAAUUUGAGAACACAAAUUAUUGUUGUUAAAUAAUCUUUGCUUCUUCAUUUGGAAAAGUUAGCAUUGUUGGGAGUUUGAUGUUGCAGUUGGCCUUGGCAGUGGCGAGCUGGGAACCGGCGAGGUAGGCGACAUCGUUGACGACGGCCGUCAUGGCCUCCACCUGUGCCCUCUUGCAGGUGGACUGCUGGUCAUUGAUGUGGCAAGUCGGGCUCUUGCAGCAAAAUCUACGAUAUUCUCUGGAUGAGCUGCAGGUAGGCCAGGCUGUUCACGAGGAUCCAACAACGACCACCAAGGUAUGCCUCCUCUCUUUGCCCUUGGGCUGGCAUCUCUGAUCAGGUUGUAAUCUGAUGGUGCUGUGUUGCUCUGCUUUGAUUUGGGAAUUCCUAUGGGAUCUAUUUUUGAUUGGCCAAAGAUGGUUUAUUUGCUGCCGUUUGGUUUAACAUGAUGCUAUAAUGCGCUAUGGAGAGAUAUGUUAUUCCAGUACAAGUGGCCGGUCAGCUAAUUUGAGGAUUUUUUGCCUUUUGUUCUUUAGGCCUAUAGUGUGUGGUUUCAGUCCGACAGUUAAAACUUGCAUUGGCUUGUUAAACUUCAUGUGACCGGAUCAGUAGGGGAGGAUGAUCACAUAUGGAAAAUACUACUCCAUGGUACUAAAAUCUGUUAUAGGUGUAGGAAGUCAAUGCUAGGACCUCCUGGGAUGUGCUCAUGCAUGCUUGGUCUGAACCUUUUCUUUUCAAUCAAUUGAUGAACCGAUGACAUCAGAUUAUGUCGUAUGUAUACUCCACUACGUAUGGAUAGCCCGCUCGUCGUAUCUCGACAGAGUGAAAACAACUUUGAUCGAUGGAGAUGGAUUUCUUUCCUGUUGGUGUAAUUGUAUGUUCAGGUGGUUCUUUCAGGUCCAUUUUCUCUCUAGCUUCUUGAUGUUUUCCUUCUCUGGUGUAAUUUAGUUGCCAUUUGUAAUAGUAAAACUUUCAUGUCAAAUAUCACUUGAAGAUUUUCUAUGCCAAUUGACAUGUCAUUUAUUUUCUAAUUAACCUAUUGUUGAUGGUGUCUGAUCUCCUUUCUGACAUAUUCCAAGAAUAAGUUCUCAUGUUCAUUAAAUGCAAUUCGGUUGAUUAUUUUGAAUUAUUGCAUUAGGUUAAUAGGAUUUAAUUGUACUUAAAUUUUAUUUUGCACAGGUACACAAACAACAAUGUAACAACUCUAGAAAUCUACAUCUUAAUGCUGCCCUAUUUUUGGGGAUUCAAAUCUCCAGGCUGGAAUCAACAGGCCCACAUAAUCUUCAGUCUUCCACAAUUAUGUUUUGCUUCAUGUUCUAUGAUCAGGCUGUAAUCUGCUGGUGCGGUGCUGCCCUGCUUUGAUUUGGGGGUUCAUCUGGGAUCUAAUUUUGACCGAACAAAGCUGGUGGCUGAUGGAUGGUGUCACCUGAUGGCACUGUGCUACAGAGAGAGAUGUUUUUCCAGCAAUAGAAGUGGCCAGUUAGUUAAGUUGAAGAUUUGUGCCAUCUCUUCUUCAGGCCUGUAGCUUCUGGUUUCAGUCAAAUAGUUAAAGUCGCAUUGUCUUGCAACAGUGAGUGACUGCUGGGUUAACUAUUUGUGGUUUCAGUCGGAUAGUUAAAGUUGCAUUUUCAGUCGGACACAGGCUUGUUGUUUUGCCUGCUUUUUUCUUGACGCGCACUCUCAUCGUUCGUCAUCAUGCAAUGUUGAAGUUAUUCAUGCGGUGGGGUGGAUGAAAGUUAGUACGAGACUAGCACUUUGGUUGUCCCUGUUUGGUGAUAAAAAGCUUUGACUGAAUAUUGAAUCAAUAAUGUUUCUUUUCAGCAAUCCUUCUGCUAUUGCCACUGCUUCCUUUCAUCAAGAUAUCUGUCCAUGCAUAUCUUCUUGAUGAACAAACAUAAAGCCUUGGAUGCCCAUAAAUAUGUUAGGUACUCACCUCCGCUUACUAAACAUAUAUGUACUUAUGUUUUUUUAAUAUGCUUCAACUCCAGCUAACAAUCUACUAAUAAGAAAGCGGUCCCAACCGAUUUUAUGCAUUCAAAAAGCAUUCUAACGUUAUCAAACGAAUUAGAGGACCAAGUGUAGGUUUCAUGUACGUGUGAAUCAACCUCAAAUUGUACGUAGUCAUAUGAUCAGAAUUGGAAAAGAAAAAAGGGUGUACAGUAAAGCUAGUGUUACUUGAGAACUUAAUGAUGCCUUUGUAUUGUUCGAUGCAAAGAAUUUCAUUUUUAAGAAAAGGCUAGGACAUCUAUUGUUGUUUGUAUCUUAGUGUUACAAUGUAAAUCAUAUGUGGUAGUAAAUAUGUUAACCAGGGCGCAAGUAUGUGAUUCAUGUUGUAUUGUACUUAAAUCAGUUUUUAUAAGUCCACAGAACUAACUACACGCUUCAUUUGGUUUUGUGUUUUUUCUUCUUUUUUUCUUUGUCACAGUGCUCAAUGCGAGUUUCAAUAUGAGCCAUCUCGAGUCUGAAGUCCAAACCAUGCAACCUCUUUCGGACUAUGAAGAUAUGAGCCGUUGGGCUUCCUUUCAAUCGGUUGGUGCCUCAAGAAGGCUCAAAUAGGGUGGAAGACUGAUUUGAGCUUCGGUUUUGUUGGCAAAUCGAGGGGAGGAGAAAUCAAAGUCAUGGAGAAAAAAUUCGACCCUAGAUCCCGUGGCCUCGAGUUGUGUGCAUGUGUGGUGCGACAAAUUGGCGCCCAUUUGGCGGCGAUUAGACACUAAGUGGUCAUGCGGGGACAUGUGAGGGACCCAUCCUACCUUAGUGGUAAAAGUCCAUGACACUCGGUGGAACAAGUCCAUGACAUUUGAUGUCAAUUGCGAGAGGUAGUAUGAUGGACGAAUGUAUAGGGUAUAGUUCAGAUCUUGAGCUAUGGUUACUAUUGGGCUAGGAGCUUGUGUUAUUUUUUUUCCGUUGCAACGCACGGGCAUUUUUCCUAGUUAAACCAAUCAUAGCAAUUCACCAAUUACCGAUAGGACAACGAAAAUCUACUCAGACAUCAUAGGAUGGCAACAUACAUCAUUGGAUAAUAAUAUGAAGCAUAAAGCACCAUGUUAAAGUAGAGGGUACAUCGGGUUGCGGGAGAGUGGAGCGUUGUAGAUAGAUGGGGGAAGGUGAUGAAGAUGUUGGUGAAGAUGACAGAGGUGUUGGUGUAGAUCGCCGUCACACGAUGAUGGCCCCAACGGCGUUCCGGCGCCACCGGGAGAGAGGGGGAGAGAGCCCCCUUCUUCUUAUUGUUCCUUGACCUUCUACCUAUAUGGGAGAAGGGUUUCCCCUCUGGUCCAUGGCCUCCAUGGUGGCGGAGGGGCGAGAGUCCCUCCGAGAUUGGACCUGUCUCUCUAUCUCUCUCUAUUUCUGCGUUCCCUGAUUCUGCCCUUUCACUGUUUCUUAAAUUCCCGGAGAUCCGUAACUCCGAUUGGGCUGAAAUUUUAACACCAUCUCUAUCCGGAUAUUAGCUUUCUUGCGGCAGAAGAAGGGCAUCAACCGCCUUAUGGGGUGGCCACGAGGGCCCAGGGCGCGCCUGACCCCUGGGGCGUGCCCCCCUUCCUCGUGGCCCCCUCGGGCAUCGUCUCGCGUUGAUUCUUCUUCCCAAAAAUCACAUAUAUUCCAAAAAAAUCUCCAUCAUUUUUUAUCCCAUUUGGACUCCGUUUGAUAUGGAUUUGCUGUGAAACAAAAAACAUGCAACAAACAGGAACUGGCACUCGACACUGGAUCAAUAUGUUAGUCCCAAAAAAUAGUAUAAAAAGUUACCAAAAGUAUAUGAAAGUUGUAUAAUUUGGCAUGAAACAAUCAAAAAUUAUAGAUACGACGGAGACGUAUCAUGUCCUUUGUCAAUGACAGCAGGGGCAGCAAGGCACGUAUUGUAUUGUUGCCAUCAAGGAUAAAAAGAUGGGGUUCAUAUCAUAUUGCUUGAGUUUAUCCCUCUACAUGAUGUCAUCUUGCCUAAUGCGUUACUCUGUUCUUAUGAACUUUAUACUCUAGAUGCAUGCUAGAUAGCGGUCAAUGUGUGGAGUAAUAGUAGUAGAUGCAGAAUCGUUUCUGUCUACUUGUCGCGGACGUGAUGCCUAUAUACAUGAUAAUGCUUAGAUAUUCUCAUAACUAUGCGUUUUUCUAUCAAUUGCUCGACAAUAAUUUGUUCACCCACCGUAGAAUUUGCUAUCUUGAGAGAAGCCACUAGUGAAACCUAUGGCCCCCGGGUCUAUCUUCCAUCAUAUUAUUUUUCUAUCAACUUGCUAUUUCUAUCGUUGUUUAUUUUGCAAUCUUUAUUUUCCAAUCUAUACAAUAAAAAUACCAAAAAUAUUUAUCUUAUUAUCUCUAUCAGAUCUCACUUUCGUAUGAAGGGAUUGACAAGCCCUUUAUCGUGUUGGUUGCGAGGUUCUUGUUUGUUUGUGCAGGUACUAGGGACUUGCAUGUUACCUCCUACUGGAUUGAUACAUUGGUUCGCAAAAACUGAGGGUAAUACUUACGCUACUUUGCUGCAUCACCCUUUCCUCUUCAAGGGAAAACCAACGCAUGCUCAAGAGGUAGCAAGAAGGAUUUCUAGCACCGUUGCUGGGGAGGUUGCACCAAGUCAAGUCAAGAUUGGAUCUCCCAUCAACAAGCCAUUUCCGGCGCCGUUACCGGGGAGAUCUACGCACAAGUCGAGACAAACCAAGUACCCAUCACAAACUCUUAUCCCUCGCAUUACAUUAUUUGCCAUUUGCCUCUCGUUUUCCUCUCCCCCACUUCACCCUUGCCGUUUUAUUCGCCCUCUUUUCCGUUCGCCUCUUUUCCGUUCGCCUCUUUUUGCUUGCUUCCUGUGUGCUUGUGUGUUGGAUUGUUUAUCACGAUGGCUCAAGACAAUACUAAAUUGUGUGAAUUUUCCAAUACCAACAACAAUGACAACAAUGAUUUUCUAAGCACUCCGAUUGCUCCUCUUAUCGAUGCUGAAUCUUGUGAAAUUAAUCCUGCUUUGCUGAACCUUGUUAUGAAAGAUCCGUUUUCUGGCCUUCCUAGUGAAGAUGCCGCUACCCAUCUAAACAGCUUUGUUAAUUUGCGUGAUAUGCAAAAGAAGAAAGAUGUGGAUAAUGAUAUUGUUAAAUUGAAGCUAUUUCCGUUUUCGCUUAGAGAUCAUGCUAAAACUUGGUGUUCGUCCUUGCCUAAAAAUAGUAUUGAUUCAUGGAAUAAGUGCAAAGAUGCUUUUAUCUCUAAAUAUUUUCCUCCCGCUAAGAUCAUCUCUCUUAGAAAUGAUAUAAUGAAUUUUAAGCAACUUGAUCAUGAGCAUGUUGCACAAGCUUGGGAGAGGAUGAAAUUAAUGAUACGUAAUUGCCCUACACAUGGUUUGAAUUUAUGGAUGAUCAUACAAAAAUUUUAUGCUGGAUUGAAUUUUGCUUCUAGAAAUCUUUUAGAUUCGGCCGCGGGAGGCACUUUUAUGGAAAUCACCUUAGGAGAAGCUACUAAUCUCCUAGAUAAUAUUAUGGUUAAUUAUUCUCAAUGGCACACCGAAAGAUCUACUAGUAAAAAGGUUCAUGCAAUAGAAGAGAUUAAUGUUCUAAGCGGAAAGAUGGAUGAACUUAUGAAAUUGUUUGCUAAUAAGAGUGUUUCUUCUGAUCCUAAUGAUAUGCCUUUGUCUACUUUGUUUGAGAAUAAUAAUGAAUCUAUGGAUGUGAAUUUUGUUGGUAGGAACAAUUUUGGUAACAACGCGUAUAGAGGAAACUUUAAUCCUAGGCUGUUUCCUAGUAAUUCCUCUAAUAAUUAUGGUAAUUCCUACAACAACUCUUAUGGAAAUUUUAAUAAGAUGCCCUCUGAUUUUGAGACUAGUGUUAAAGAAUUUAUGAUUUUGCAAAAGAAUUUCAAUGCUUUGCUUGAAGAAAAAUUGCCUAAGAUUGAUGAGUUGGCUUGGAACGUGGAUAGAAUUUCUGUUGAUGUUGAUUAUUUGAAACUUAGAUCUAUUCCACCGAAGCAUGAUAUCAAUGAGUCUCUCAAAUCUAUGAUAAUUUCCAUUGACGAGUGCAAAGAAAGAACCGCUAGGAUGCGUGCUAAAAAGAUUGCUUUAUAAAAACGUGUUCUUCUAUUUUCACGAUAAUAAGGAUGAAGAUCUAAAGUGAUUGAUGUGUCUCCUAUUAAAUCUUUGUUUUGCAAUAUGAAUCUUGAUAAUGAUGGGACUGGAGAUGAGUCAACUUUAGUUAAAAGGCGUCCCCAUGAUUUAGAGUUUUUAGAUCUUGAUCAGAAUUGGUAAAAGUGGGAUUGAAGAGGUCAAAACUUUACAUAGCAAUGAACCCACUAUUUUGGAUUUCAAGGAAUUUAAUUAUGAUAAUUGCUCUUUGAUAGACUGUAUUUCCUUGUUGCAAUCCGUGCUAAAUUCUCCUCAACUUAUGAUCAAAAUAAAGCUUUUACCAAACAUAUCAUUGAUGCCUUAAUGCAAUCCUAUGAAGAAAAGCUUGAAUUAGAAGUUUCUAUCCCUAGAAAACUUUAUGAUGAGUGGCAACCUACUAUUAAAAUUAAAAUUAGAGAUCAUGAAUGCUAUGUUUUAUGUGAUUUGGGUGCUAGUGUUUCCACGAUUCCAAAAACUUUGUGUGUUGUGUUAGGUUUCCGUGAAUUUGAUGAUGGUUCUUUAAAUUUGCAUCUUGCGAAUUCCACCGUUAAGAAACCUAUGGGAAGGAUUAAUGAUAUUCUUAUUGUUGCAAAUAGUAAUUAUGUUCCCGUAGAUUUCAUAGUUCUUGAUAUAGAUUGCAAUCCUACAUGUCCUAUUAUUCUUGGUAGACCUUUCCUUACAACGAUUGGUGCAAUUAUUGAUAUGAAAGAAGGAAAUAUUAGAUUCCAAUUUCCGUUAAGGAAAGGCAUGGAACACUUUCCUAUGAAUAAUAUUAAAUUACCUUAUGAAUCUAUUAUGAGAGCCACUUAUGGAUUGCAUACCAAAGAUGAUAAUACCUAGAUCUAUUCUUGUUUUUAUGCCUAGCUAGGGGCGUUAAACGAUAGCGCUUGUUGGGAGGCAACCCAAUUUUAUUUUUGUUUAUUAUUUUUUGUUCCUGUUUAAUAAUAAAUAAUUCAUAUAGAUUCUGUUUAUAUGUGGUUUUAUGUUUUUAAUUAGUGUUUGUGCCAAGUAGAACCGUUGGGAAAACUUGGGGGAAGUCUUGGCGAUCUUGCUGUAAAAAACAGAAACUUUAGCGCUCACGAGAUUAGCUGCCAUUUUUUACUGGAGAGUGAGAUUAGGUUGAUUCUUUUUUAAGUUGAUUAAUAAACAAAUUCCUCAUGUCCACCAAUUUAUUUAAGAAUUUUUGGGGUUACAUAAGUAUUCGAAACCUACAGAUUACUAUAGACUAUUCUGUUUUUGACAGAUUCUGUUUUUCGUGUGUUGUUUGCUUAUUUUGAUGAAUCUAUGGCUAGUAUCAGGGGGUAUGAACCAUAGAGAAGUUAGAAUAAAGUAGGUUUAACAUCAAUAUAAAUAAAUAAUGAGUUCAUUACAGUACCUUGAAGUGGUGGUUUGCUUUCUUAUACUAACGGAGCUCAUGAGAUUUUCUGUUGAGUUUUGUGUUGUGAAGUUUUCAAGUUUUGGGUAAAGAUUUGAUGGAUUUUGGAAUAAGGAGCGGCAAGAGCCUAAGCUUGGGGAUGCCCAAGGCACCCCAAGGUAAAAUUCAAGGACAACCAAAAGCCUAAUCUUGGGAAUGCCCCGGAAGGCAUCCCCUCUUUCGUCUUCGUCUAUCGGUAACUUUACUUUAGGCUAUAUUUUUAUUCACCACAUGAUAUGUGUUUUGCUUGGAGCGUCUUGUAUGAUUUGAGUCUUUGAUUUUUAGUUUACCAUAAUAAUCCUUGCUGUACACACCUUUUGGAGAGACACACAUGAAUCGGAAUUUAUUAGAAUACUCUAUGUGCUUCACUUAUAUCUUUUGAGCUAGAUAAUUUUGCUCUAGUGCUUCACUUAUAUCUUUUAGAGCACGGUGGUGGUUUAUUUUAUAGAAAUUAUUGAUCUCUCAUGCUUCACAUAUAUUUUUUUGAGAGUCUUUUAGAAUAGCAUGGUAAUUUGCUUUGGCUAUAAAAUUAGUCCUAAUAUGAUAGGCAUCCAAGAUGGGUAUAAUAAAAACUUUCAUAAAAAGUGCAUUGAAUACUAUGAGAAGUUUGAUACUUGAUAAUUGUUUCGAGAUAUGAAGAUGGUGAUAUUAGAGUCAUGCUAGUUGAGUAGUUGUGAAUUUGAGAAAUACUUGUUCUAAAGUUUGUGAUUCCCAUAGCAUGCACAUAUGGUGAACCAUUAUGUGAUGAAGUCAGAGCAUGAUUUAUUUAUUGAUUGUCUUCCUUAUGGGUGGCGGUCGGGGACGAGCGAUGGUCUUUUCCUACCAAUCUAUCCCCCUAGGAGAAUGCGUGUAGUACUUAGUUUCGAUAACUAAUAGAAUUUUGCAAUAAGUAUGUGAGUUCUUUAUGACUAAUGUUGAGUCCAUGGAUUAUACCCACUCUCACCCUUCCACCAUUGCUAGCCUCUCUAGUACCGCGCAACUUUCGCCGGUACCAUACACCCACCAUAUACCUUCCUCAAAACAGCCACCAUACCAACCUAUUAUGGCAUUUCCAUAUCCAUUCCAAGACAUAUUUGCAUGCAACUUGCCACCGUUCCGUUUGUUACGACACGUUACAUCAUUGUUAUAUUGCUUUGCAUGAUCAUGUAGUUGACAUCGUAUUUGUGCCAAAGCCACCUUUAUAAUUAUUUCACACAUGUCACUCUUGAUUCAUUGCAUAUCCCGGUACACCAUCAGAGGCAUUCACAUAGAGUCAUAUUUUGUUCUAGUAUCGAGUUGUAAUUUUUGAGUUGUAAGUAAAUAAAAGUGUGAUGAUCAUCAUUAUUAGAGCAUUGUCCCAAGUGAGGAAAGGAUGAUGGAGACUAUGAUUCCCCCACAAGUCAGGAUGAGACUCCAGACGAAAAGAAAAAAGGAAACAAAAAGAGGCCAUAAAAAGGAGGAAAAUGCCCAAAUAAAAAGAUGAGAGAAAAAGAGAGAAGGGAUAAUGUUACUAUCCUUUUAUGACGCUUGUGCUCCAUCGAUGUAAUUCUUUUUUGCGGUGUGUUUGUCGAGAUCCGGUGAGUUGUGGGUUUAUGAUCAAGAUUAUCCAUGAAAAAUAUUUGAUUCUUCUCUGAAUUCUUUUAUGCAUGAUUUAAUAUCUUUGCAAGUCUCUUUGAAUUAUCAGUUUGGUUUGCCCUACUAGAUUGAUCUUUCUUGCAAUGGUAGAAGUGCUCAGCUUUGGGUUCAAUCUUGCGAUGUCCUUUCCCAGUGACAGCAGGAGCAAUAAGGCACGUAUUGUAUUGUUGCCAUCAAGGAUUAAAAGGUGGGGUUUAUAUCAUGUUGCUUGAGUUUAUCCCUCUACAUCAUGUCAUCUUGCCUAAUGCGUUACUCUGUUCUUAUGAACUUAAUACUCUAGAUGCAUGCUAGAUAGCGGUCGAUGUGUGGAGUAAUAGUAGUAGAUGUAGAAUCAUUUCAGUCUACUUGUCGCGGACGUGAUGCCUAUAUACAUGAUCAUGCCUAGAUAUUCUCAAAACUAUGCGUUUUUCUAUCAAUUGCUCGACAGUAAUUUGUUCACCCACUGUAGGAUUUGCUAUCUUGAGAGAAGCCACUAGUGAAACCUAUGGCCUCCGGGUCUAUCUUCCAUCAUAUUAUUUUCCUAUCUACAUGCUAUUUCUAUCGUUGUUUAUUUUUCAAUCUUUAUUUUCCAAUCUAUACAAUAAAAAUACCCAAAAUAUUUAUCUUACUAUCUCUAUCAGAUCUCACUUUCAUAAGUGACCGUGAAGGGAUUGACAACCCCUUUUAUCGUGUUGGUUGCAAGGUUCUUGUUAGUUUGUGCAGGUACUAGGGACUUGCGUGUUACCUCCUACUGGAUUGAUACCUUGGUUCUCAAAAACUGAGGGAAAUACUUACGCUACUUUGUUGCAUCACCCUUUCCUCUUCAAGGGAAAACCAAUGCAUGCUCAAGAGGUAGCAAUCACCAUGACUCUUGUAUAAGGUAUAGGACAAAAAUAAAAGGUAGGCCCUUCGUAGAGGGAACCAGAGGUUGUCAUGAGCCUUUAUGGUUGGAUGCACCAAAUCUUAAUGCAAAAGAACGUCACUUUAUAUUGCCACUUGUGAUAGGGACCUUUAUUAUGCAGUAUGUCGCUUUUAUUUCUUCCAUGUCACAAGCUCAUAUAAAGCUUAUUUUCUCUACACUAAUAGAUCAUACAUAUUUAGAGAGAAAUUUUUAUUGCUUGCAACAAUGACAACUUACUUGAAGGAUCUUACUCAAUCCAUAGGUAGAUAUGGUGGACUCUCAUGGCAAAACUGGGUUUAAGGAUAUUCAGAAGCACAUGUAGUAUCUCUACUUGGUGCAAAGAAUUUGGCUAGCAUGAGGGGGAAAGGCAAGCUCAACAUGUUGGAUGACCCAUGACAAUAUAAUUUAUUUCGGAUAUAAUAAAAUAUAACCCAUUACGUUGUCUUCCUUGUCCAACAUCAACUUUUUAACAUGUCAUAUUUUAAUGAGUGCUCACAAUCAUAAAAGAUGUCCAAGAUAGUAUAUUUAUAUGUGAAAACCUCACUUUCUUUAUUACUUCCUAUUAAUUGCAACGAUGACCAAAACUAUGUUUGUCAAUUCUCAACAACUUUUAUUCAUCAUACUCUUUAUAUGUGAAGUCAUUACUCUCCAUAAGAUCAAUAUGAUCUCUUUAUUUCUUUUUAUUCUUUCUUUUAUUAUUUGUAUUCCCUCAAGAUCAUAGCAAGAUAACCAAGCCCUUGACUCAAAACUAAUCUUUACUAUAUAUAGCUCACGGAUUCGAUUACAUAGAUAAGGAUCAACGAAAAAACUCAAAGCUAGAUCAUACUAAAUUUUAUUCUACUAGAUCAAGAUAUAACCAAAAUGGUCGAACUAAGAAAAAGGUAAAGAUAGAAGUGUGAUGGUGAUAUGAUACCGGAGCACCUCCCCCAAGCUUGGCAGUUGCGAAGGGGAGUGCCCAUACCCGAUACUCAGUUCUCCUUUGGUGGUGAAGAAGAUGGUGGUGAUGAUGAAGUUGUUGAUGAAGUCGUGUCACACAUCGAGCGUAGGAGAUUCUCCAAUUUGCGAAUAAUGCCCUUGAGUGCAGUGAUGUAUUCUUGCAACAAAAUAUUUUCACGAGUGAGAUACUUGUUUUGCACCCGAACUAUUUCAAUCAUCUCGAAAGCUUCUAUUUCAGUAGGGGUAAGAUGGUUAUAGUAAGGUUGAAGGAUGUCUUCUUCUUCUUCUAUUGCAGGAGCUUGAUCCUCUGUGGCCUCCUUGAUCAUAUCACCCUUGUUUAUCCCAAGUUCUUCUCUCUUCAUCUCUAUCUUCAUUAGCCAAGCAUCGUUGCCUGCGUCAUUGGAUGAGGGGGCCGACAUGAUGCCUGGCCUUGAAAACUCUAGCAGAAAACAACUCAAAACAAAAAUAGGAGAUAUUUGCAUGGUACGAUGGUCAAAACCUUCGGGGGAUUAUAUAAUGAUUUUUUACCGACCAAAAGAAGUAUCAUGCAAGAAAUCAGAGUUCGGAGGGAACACGAGGUGCCCAUAAGGCAGGGGGAGCGCCCAGGGGGGUAGGGCGCGCCCUCCACCCUCGUGGAUGCCUCGUGUCCUUUCCGGACUACUUCUUAUUUUCCUAUUUUCUUAAAUAUUCCAAAACGGAGAAAAAUUUCCAUUAGAACUGUUUUGGAGUCGGUUUACUUACCGUACCACAUACCUAUUCCUUUUCGGAGUCUGAAACAUUCUCGAAAGUGUCCCUUAUGUACUACUCCGGGGUUACGGUGUUAAUAACAUUGGUUUCAACAUUUAUGGGAUUACCUGAGAUAUAAUGCUUAAUUCUUUGGCCUUUCACCACCUUCGGAUUUGUGCCUUCAAAGUUUGAUUUUUAUGGCACCGGAACGAUAGACCUCCUCGAUAAUGUAAGGACCUUCCCAUUUAGAGAGGAGUUUUCCUGCAAAAAAUCUUAAACAAGAGUUGUAUAAUAGAACAUAAUCACCUACAUUAAACUCACACUUUUGUAUCCUUUUGGCAUGCCAUCUUUUAACCUUUUCUUUAAACAGUUUGGCAUUCUCAUAGGCCUGGGUUCUCCACUCAUCAAGUGAGCUAAUGUCAAAUAACCUCUUCUCACCAGCAAGUUUGAAAUCAUAAUUGAGCCCUUUAAUGGCCCAAUAUGCCUUAUGUUCUCGUUCAAGAGGUAAGUGACAUGCUUUUUCAUAAACCAUUUUAUAGGGAGACAUAACCAUAGGAUUUUUAUAUGCAGUUCUAUAGGCCCAUAAUGCAUCAUCAAGUUUCUUGGACCAAUUCUUUCUAGACCUAUUAAUAGUCUUUUGCAAAAUUAAUUUAAGCUCUCUAUUACUCAGUUCUACUUGACCACUAGACUGUGGGUGGUAUGGAGAUGCAAUUCUAUGAUUAACAUCAUACUUAGCAAGCAUUUUACAAAAGGCACCAUGAAUAAAAUGUGAACCACCAUCAGUCAUUAAGCAUCUAGGGACUCCAAACCUCAGAAAAAUAACUUCUUUAAGCAUCUUAAUAGAGGUGUUAUGAUCAUCACUACUAGUUGGAAUAGCUUCUACCCACUUAGUAACAUAAUCAAUAGCAACUAAAAUAUGUGUAUACCCAUUAGAGGAAGGAAAGAGUCCCAUAUAAUUGAAGCCCCAAACAUCAAAUGGUUCAAUAACAAGUGAAUAGUGCAUAGGCAUUUCUUGACGUCUACUAAUAUUACAAUUCUUUGACAUUCAUCACAGGACAAGACAAACUUACAGGAAUCUUUGAAAAUAGUAGGCCAAUAAAAACCGGAUUGCAAUACCUUAUGUGUAGUUCUAUCUCCGGCGUGGUGUCCACCAUAAGCCUCGGAGUGACACUUGCGUAGGAUUUGUUCCUGUUCAUGCUCAGGUAAACAACGUCUAAUAACACCAUCUACUCCUUCUUUAUAAAGGUGUGGGUCAUCCCAGAAGUAAUGUCUUAAAUCAUAGAAAACCUUUUUCAUUUGCUCAUAUGUGAGACUAGGUGCUAUAAAUUUAGCAACAAUGUAAUUAGCAUAAUCAGCAUACCAUGGAGCAGCAUGAGAAUCAUUUAUGAUAGCUAAUUGUUCAUCAGGAAAGCUAUCAUCUAUAGGUAGUGGGUCAUCAAGAACAUUCUCUAACCUAGAUAAGUUGUCUGCAACGGGGUUCUCAGCUCCCUUUCUUUCAAUAAUAUGCAAAUCAAAUUCUUCUAGCAAGAGAACCCAUCUAAUAAGUCUAGGUUUAGCAUCUUUAUUUUCCAUAAGAUAUUUAAUAGCAGCAUGAUCAGUGUGAGCAGUUACUUUAGAAUCAACAAUAUAAGGUCUGAACUUAUCACAAGCAAAUACAACUGCUAAAAAUUCUUUUUCAGUAGUAGCAUAAUUUCUCUGGCCACUGUCUAGAGUUUUACAAGCAUAUUGAAUAACAUUUAAUUUCUUAUCAACUCUUUGUCCUACGACAGCACCUACAGCAUAAUCACUAGCAUCACACAUAAUUUCAAAGGGUAAAUUCCAAUCAGGUGGCUGAACAAUAGGUGUGGAAAUCAAGGCUUUCUUAAGUAUUUCAAAUGCUUCUACACAAUCAUCAUCAAAGACAAAAGGAACAUCUUUUUGUAAGAGAUUAGUUAGAGGCCUAGAAAUUUUUGAGAAGUCUUUAAUGAACCUCCUAUAAAACCUGGCAUGAGAAAGGAAACUUAUUAUACCUUUAAUGUCCUUAGGACACGACAUCUUUUCAAUAGCAUCAACUUUAGCUUUAUCAACUUCAAUACCUCUUUCAGAAAUUUCAUGCCCCAAGACAAUAGCUUCAUUAACCAUAAAGUGGCACUUCUCCCAAUUCAAGACAAGAUUAGUUUCUUCACAUCUCUGCAAAACUCGAUCAAGGUUCCUUAAGCAAUCAUCAAAAGAAGUUCCAUGCACAGAGAAAUCAUCCAUGAAAACCUCAACAAUCUUUUCACAAAAUUCAGAGAAUAUAGCAGUCAUACAUCUUUGAAAGGUAGCAGGUGCAUUAGAUAAACCAAAAGGCAUACGUCUAUAAGCAAAGGUACCGAAAGGGCAAGUAAAAUUGGUCUUUUCCUGAUCCUCUUUCGAUAGAGGUAUUUGAGAGGAACCAGAAUAACCGUCUAGAAAGCAAAAAUGCGUAUGUUCGGAUAAUCUUUCUAGCAUUUGAUCAAUAAAAGGUAAAGGGUAAUGAUCCUUUCUAGUAGCUUUAUUUAAUUUGCAGAAAUCAAUUACCAUUCUAUAACCUGUAACAAUUCUUUGUGGGAUCAAUUCAUCUUUAUCAUUAGGAACAACAGUAAUACAUCCCUUCUUAGGGACACAAUGGACAGGACUUACCCACUGACUAUCAGCAACAAGAUAAAUUAUACCUGCCUCCAGAAGCUUUAGUAUUUCAUUUCUUACCACUUCUUUCAUCUUAGGAUUUAACCAUCAUAAGUGAUCAACAACCGGUUUAGCGUCUUUCUUCAAUUUUAUUUUGUGUUGGCAUAAAGUGGGACUAAUGCCCUUAAGAUCAUCAAGAGUAUAUCCAAUAGCAGCAUGGUGCUUCUUCAGAGUUUUCAAUAAUUUCUCUUCUUCCUGCUCUGAAAGGUUAGCACUAAUAAUAAUAGGAUAUAUCUUCUUUUCAUAAAGAUAAGCAUAUUUAAGAGUAUCGGGUAAUGGUUUAAGCACAAACACGGGAUCACCCUUGGGUGGAGGAGGAUCCCCUAGAAUUUCAAUAGGCAAGUUGUGUUUCAAAAUAGGUCCCUGUUUAAAGAAUACUUCAUCUAUUUCCCUUCUUUCAUUCAUAAACAUAUCAUUUUCAUGGUCUAGCAAAUAUUGUUCUCAAGGAUCAUUAGGAGGCACGGCAAUAGAAGCAAUACCCAAUAAUUUCAUCUUCACUAGGCAAUUCUUUAUCAUGGGGUUGUCUACAAAAUUUAGCAAAAUUAAAAUCAUGAGACAUACCCCCUAAACCAACAGUAACAAUACCCUUUUUUGCAAUCUAUCCUAGCAUUAACAGUAUUCAAGAAGGGUGUAACAAAUAUAAUGGGACAAAAGUCACCUUGUGGGGAACCAAGAACAAGAAAAUCAGUAGGAUAUUUAACUUUCCCACACAAGACUUCAACAUCUCUAACAAUCCCAACUGGUGAAAUAGUAUCUCUAUUGGCAAGCUUAAUUGUAACAUCAAUAUCUUCUAUCUCAGUAGGUGCAAUAUCAUGCAUAAUUUCUUUGUAUAAGGAAUGAGGUAUUGCACUCGCACUAGAACCCAUGUCACAUAAGCCAUGAUAACAAUGAUCUCCUAUUUUAACAGAAACAACAUGCAUGCCUAUAACAGGUCUAUGUUUAUCUUUAGUAUUGGGUAUAGCAAUUCUAGCAGCUUCAUCACAAAAGUAAAUAACAUUCCCAUCAAUAUUAUCGACCAAGAGAUCUUUAACCAUAGCAAUACUAGGUUCAACUUUAAUUUGCUCAGGGGGUGUAGGUGUUCAAGCAUUACUCUUAUGAACCACAGUUGAAGUUUAGCAUGAUCCUUUAUUCUAACAGGGAAAGGUGGUUUCUCAAUAUAAGCGGUAGGAACAAUAGGAUGAACAUUAUAGGUGAUAGUCUUUUCUUCAACUUUAAUAGGUUCAACUACUUUUACUUCAAUGGGAGGAUGAUAUUUAAACAACUUCUCCUUAGGGAGAUCAACAUGAGUAGCAAAUGAUUCACAGAAAGAAGCUACUAUCUCAGAGUCAAGUCCAUAUUUAGUGCUAAAUUCACGAAAAGCAUCGGUAUCCAUAAAAGAUUUAACACAAUCAAACUUAGGUGUUAUACUGACUCCUUACCUUCGUCGAGUUCCCAAUCUUCAGAGUUUCAUUUAAUUCUUUCUAAUAAAUCCCAUUUGAAUUCAAUAGUCUUCAUCAUAAAAGAACCAAUAUAAGAAGUAUCGAGAAUGGAGCGAUUAUUGAGAGAAUGCCGAGCAUAAAAAUUUUGAAUAAUAUUUUUUCUUGAGAGCUCAUAAUUGGGGCAUGAAUAUAACAUUGACUUAAGCCUCCCCAAGCUUGAGCGAUACUUUCUCCUUCAAGAGGCCAAUAUAUAUAUAUAUAUAUAUAUAUAUAUAUAUAUAUAUAUAUAUAUAUAAUUACGAUCACGAUAAACCAGAUGCAUAGGAUAAAACUUCUGAUGAAAUUCCAAUUUCAAUCGGUUGUAGUUCCAUGAUCCAAUAUCAUCACAUAGCCUAAACCAUGUCAAUGCCUUUCCCUUCAAAGGUAAAGGGAAGACCUUCUUCUUGAUAACAUCCUCGGGCAUACCUGCUGUGACGUCCGGAUAUUUAAGCUACAUUAAUUCCCUGUUAAUGAUGCCACGUUGCCGCUGUUACAGUUGUUAAUCUUGCGUUAGUUCAAAACGAUUCAAAUUCAAAUUUGUGUCAAAGGCAAACCACAAAAGGUUUUAAAUAUUGAAACUAAAAUGUUCGGUUUGUGCCAAAUAAUGCAUAGGUAAUUAUGGUGGAGAAACCAAUUUUUUGUAAAGUGUUAAAUGCCCUAAACUAGUUAAAAAAGUGGCUGAAAUAAUGAUUUAAUAGCUUUUUAAAUUAUAACAAUAUUAAACUAAUUUACUUUAGGUCCAAACUAAGUUUGGAAGUGGCCUAUAUUAAUGAUACUAAUUUGGGUGCUAAAUUGGUAUUUUAUAAAACUAAAAUAAAUAAAACUAGAAAGAAAAUAGAAAAUGUAAAAAGAAAAACAAAAACAAAACAAAUAAAGAAAAGAACCUCCCCCCAACUGGGCCUUGGCCCAGGUAACCCCCAGGCUGGCCCAACCGAGCCACUCCUCCCCCCUGCUUAACCGCACCAUAGGGUCAAACCCUAACCUCCACGACCCCACAUCCCCAACCCCCUCUCCCUCUCGCACGAUCCCCCGCCCCCACUUCUCUCCCUAGCGCCCACGACCGUUCUGGGCACCACGUCGGCCCCGGCGUCGCCCGUCGCCCGCCUCCACCGACCCCGCCUCUCCUGCGCCGGUGCUGACCAGCGCCUCCCAUCGCCGCUGCUGCCCCGCAUCGCCCGAGCGGCGACGACCUUUCCCGAUGCCCCACCACCUCCACGCCGGUCCACCCCAGGCCUCGCCGCCCCCUCCUCAGCAAUGUGGGUGAGGCGAGCUCUCCCCCCUCGCGAACUCCUCUACUCGCCGUCAUGUUCGCCGUGCCGCGCUCGCCCCGCUCCCCACGUGCCUGCCCAUGCCCCGCAGCGCCUUGGCCGCACUCACGUGCCGCCUAGCACGCGCGUGCUUGCGGUGCCCGGUGAUAUGUCUCCGUCAUAUCUACUUUUCCAAACACUUUUGCCCUCGUUCUGGACUCUAACUUGCAUGAUUUGAAUGGAACUAACCCGGACUGAUGAUGUUUUCAGUAGAAUUGCCAUGGUGUUAUUUAUGUGCAGAAACAAAAGUUCUUGGAAUGACCUGAAACUUCACGGAACAUCUUUUCGGAAAUAAUAAAAAAUCCUUGCAAAAGAUGAAGACCAUGGGGCCCACCACCUGUCCAUGAGGGUGGGGGGCGCGCCUGCCCCCCUAGGGCGCGCCCCUACCUCAUGGGCCCCCUGGAGCUCCUCCAACCACAACCCCAACUCUAUAUAUUUGGUUUCGGGGAGAAAAAAUCAGAGAGAAGAAAUCAUCGCAUUUUACGAUACAGAGCCGCCGCCAAGCCCUAUAACCUCUUGGGAGGGCUGAUCUGGAGUCCGUUCAGGGCUCCGGAGAGGGGAAUCCGUCGCCAUCGUCAUCAUCAACCAUCCUCCAUCACCAAUUUCAUGAUGCUCACCGCCGUGUGUGAGUAAUUCCAUCGUAGGCUUGCAGGACGGUGAUGGGUUGGAUGAGAUUUAUCAUGUAAUCGAGUUAGUUUUGUUAGGGUUUGAUCCCUAGUAUCCACUAUGUUCUGAGAUUGAUGUUGCUAUGACUUUGCUAUGCUUAAUGCUUGUCACUAGGGCCCGAGUGCCAUGAUUUCAGAUCUGAACCUAUUAUGUUUUCAUCAAUAUAUGAGAGUUCUUGAUCCUAUCUUGCAAGUCUAUAGUCACCUAUUAUGUGUUAUGAUCCGUUAACCCCGAAGUGACAAUAAUCGGGAUACUUAUCGGUGAUGACCAUAGUUUGAGGAGUUCAUGUAUUCACUAUGUGCUAAUGCUUUGCUCUGGUACUCUAUUAAAAGGAGGCCUUAAUAUCCCUUAGUUUCCAAUAGGACCCCGCUGCCACGGGAGGGUAGGACAAAAGAUGUCAUGCAAGUUCUUUUCCAUAAGCACGUAUGACUAUAUUCGGAAUACAUGCCUACAUUACAUUGAUGAAUUAGAGCUAGUUUUGUGUCACCCUAGGUUAUGACUGUUACAUGAUAAACCGCAUCCGGCAUAAUUCUCCAUCACUGAUCCAUUGCCUACGAGCUUUCCAUAUAUUGUUCUUUGCUUAUUUACUUUUCCGUUGCUAUUGCUAUCAUCACUACAAAAUACCAAAAACAUUACUUUUACUACCGUUACCUUUUGCUACCGUUAUCACUACUAUCAUAUUACUUUGCUACUAAACACUUUGCUGCAGAUAUUAAGUUUCUAGGUGUGGUUGAAUUGACAACUCAGUUGCUAAUACUUGACAAUAUUCAUUGGCUCCCCUUGUGUUGAAUCAAUAAAUUUGGGUUGAAUACUCUACCCUCGAAAACUGUUGUGAUCCCCUAUACUUGUGGGUUAUCAAGACUAUUUUCUGGCGCCGUUGCCGGGAAGCAUAGCUCUAUUCUUUGAGUCACUUGGGAUUUGUAUCUGCUUAUCAUUAUGAAGAACUUGAGAGAUCAAAAAACCAAGAUUUGUCCCUCAACUACGAGGGGAGGUAAGGAACUGCCAUGUAGCUCUGCAAUUGAUUCACCUUCUGUUUUGAGUAAGCUUGCGACACCUAAACCUGCUUCUGCUACUCGUUCUGAUAUGUCGCAUGUUAUUGAUGAUGCCACUUCUGCUAUGCAUGAUACUUAUGAUGAAACUACUUCUAUGCUUGAUACUACUGUGCCACUUGGUGAAUUUCUUGAUGAACAACUUGCUAGGGUUAGAGAGAAUGAAAAUAUUGAAUCUGAUAAUACUUAUGAAAGUGAUGAUGAAGACUUGCCCAUUAUUCCUAAGGGUUAUGUUUUUGAUAAAGAAGCUUCUUUAGCUAUUUUAGCUUGCAAAGAUAGAUACAAACUCAAGAGGUUAUUAGCUAAAUGGAAGCAGCAAUCUCUUAAUGCUAGAAUGAAACCUGGCCCUUCUUUUGCUACUUCACCUAUCUGUGUUACCGGUAAGGAUUAUGAAUUCCUGUUGAUCCUGAUAUAAUUACUUUAGUUGAAUAUGAUCCUUUUCAUGGCUAUGAAUCUGAAACUAUUGUGCCACAUCUUACUAAAUUAAAUGAUAUAGCCACCCUGUUCACUAAUGAUGAGAGAACUCGUUACUUUUAUAUCCUUAAAAUAUUUCCGUUCUCAUUAAAGGGUGGUGCUAAGAUAUGGUUCAAUUCUCUUGAUCCUGGUUGUGCGUAGUCCCAGGAUAUGAUUUAUUACUUCUCUGCUAAAUAUUUCCCUGCUCAUAAGAAACAAGCUGCUUUAAGGGAUAUAUAUAAUUUUGUGCAAAUUGAAGAAGAGAAUCUCCCACAAGCUUGGAGGAGGCUUCUCAAGUUACUUUAUGCUUUGCCUGAUCAUCCUCUUAAGAAAAAUGAAAUACUUGAUAUCUUUUAUAAUGGACUAACCGAUGCUUCCAGAGAUUACCUGGAUAGUUGUGUUGGUUCUGUUUUCAGGGAAAGAACACCGAAUGAAGCUAAAAUUCUAUUGAAUAAUAUGUUGACAAAUGAAAACAAUUGGACACCUCCUGAGCCUAUUCCUAAACCAACUCCGAAGAAGAGAGGUAUUCUAUUUCUCAGUCCUGAAGAUAUGCAAGAGGCAAAGAAAUCUAUGAAAGAAAAAGGUAUUAAAGCUGAAGAUGUGAAGAAUUUACCUCCUAUUGAAGAAAUACAUGGUCUUAAUUUACCGCCUGUUGAAGAAACAUAUGACCUUAAUCCAUCACCUAUUGAAGAAACUCAUGGUCUUGAUAACCCGACACAUGUAGUAGAGGUAAAUUCUCUCUAUAGAUAUGAUAAAGCUGAAAUCCCAUUUACUAAGUUUGCUAGCCCAUGCUUAGAUGAGUUUGAUAAAUUUAUGGAUAAGCAAGAAUACUUUAAUGCUUAUUUUGGUAGACAAUUGAAAUACAAUUCAAAUAUGCUUGAGCACUUGGGUGAUUAUAUGGCUAAUGUCAAAGGUGAACUUAAACUUAUUAGUAAACAUGCUUCUAUGGUUACCACUCAAGUAGAACAAGUACUUAAGGCUCAAAAUGAUUUGCUCAAUGAAUUGAAUAGUAAGAACUGGUAAAAUGACUCAGGAACCUCUGUAUCCUGAAAGCCACCCUAAGAGAAUUGAGCAAGAUUCUCACAGAAAUAAUAUAGAUGCACCUAGUCCUUCUAAAAGGAAGAAAAAUAAAAAUGAUAGGACUUUGCAUGCUCCUACUGAACCUGUUAUUGAUACACCUGAGAAUCCAAAUGAUAUUUCUAUCUCUGAUGCUGAAACACAAUCUGGUAAUGAACCUGAAACUAGUGAUAAUGUUAAUUAUAAUGUUCAUGAUGAUGCUCAACCUAGUAAUGAUAAUGAUAUAGAAAUUGAACCUGAUGUUGAUCUUGAUAACCCACAAUCAAAGAAUCAACGCUAUGAUAAGAAAUACUUUGUUGCUAGGAAACACGGAAAGGAAAGAGAGCCUUGGGUUCAGAAACCCAUGCCUUUUCCUCCAAAACCAUCCAAGAAAAAGGAUGAUGAGGAUUUUGAGCACUUUGCUGAAAUGAUUAGACCUAUCUUUUUGCGUAUGCGAUUAACUGAUAUGCUCAAAAUGAAUCCUUAUGCUAAGUAUAUGAAAGAUAUUGUUACAAAUAAAAGGAAGAUACCGGAAUCUGAAAUUUCCACCAUGCUUGCUAAUUAUACUUUUAAGGGUGGAAUACCAAAGAAACUUGGAGGUCCAGGAGUACCCACUAUACCAUGCUCUAUUAAAAGAAACUAUGUUAAAACUGCUUUAUGUGAUCUUGGAGCCGGUGUUAGUGUUAUGCCUCUCUCUUUAUAUCGUAGACUUGAUUUGAAUAAGUUGACACCUACUGAAAUAUCUUUGCAAAUGGCAGAUAAAUCAACUGCUAUACCUGUCGGUAUUUAUGAGGAUGUGCCUGUUGUAGUUGCAAACGUUACUAUUUUAACAGACUUUGUUAUUGUUGAUACUCCCGAGGACGAUAGUAUGUCUAUUAUUCUUGGAAGACCCUUUUUGAAUACUGCAGGGGCUAUUAUUGAUUGCACUAAAGGCAAUGUCACUUUUCAUGUUAAUGGUAAUGAGCAUACGGUACACUUUCCGAGGAAACAACGUCAAGUUCAUAGUAUCAACUCUAUUGGAAAAAUUCCAUCGAUUAUUUUUGGAGGUUUUGAAUUUCCUCUUCCUACUGGUAAGAAGAAAUAUGAUAUUCUUAUUGUUGGGGAUGUGCAUAUCCCCGUUGAGGUAACAUAGUGUUAUUCGAAAUUUCUCCGGUUCUAUGUUAUUUGGAAUGAGUUCGUUAACAAGACUUGAUCAACCUUGUUAGUGGAUUCCUUUUGAUGAGCAUGAGAUGGAUGAAACUAGAAGGCACAACCUUCUGUACCCUCCUUUUACUUUCUGUUAUUUAUAUUAAAUAAAAUAAAAAUAGUAUUUUUCCGUCUGUUAUCUGAUUUAGCCAUGCCACAUAAAAAUACCCCGAAAAUAAAAGUUCUCCAAAUGCCCUGAAAUUUAAAUAUGAUUUUUUCUGGAAUAUUUGAGAAUAUUUGGCAUUGAGAACACAGCAGGAGGAGCUGGCACCUGGCCACGAGGGUCAGGGGCGCGCCCUACCCCCUGGGCGCGCCCCCUGCCUCGUGGGCCCACGGUGGCCCUCAUCCACUUAUCCUUUCACCCACACACUCCUUCCUCCCACAAACACGAAUAUCCAGCUCAAACCCGAGUCCAAGCUCAUUUUGCUGCCAUUUUCGAUCUCCUUGCUCAAAGCACCUCUCACAAAACUGCUUGGGGAGAUUGUUCCUUGGUAUGUGACUCCUCCAUUGGUCCAAUUAGUUUUUUUCUAGUGCUUUAUUCAUUGCAAAUUUGUGCUGCCUAGGUGACCAUGUUCUUGAGCUUGCAUGUCAAAUUUAUGUGGUUCCAAGUAGUUUUUAUGCAUGAUAUAGGCUCUAGGCACUUGUAUGAGUAGUUGCUAUCAAUACUAUUGAGUUUGGUUCACUUUUAUUUUGAAGUUACUAAAAAUUUAAGAAAUUUUUCAGAGGAAGAAAUAUGCUUAGGAAAAUGUUCCAAGGUGGUUCUUCAAGGAAGCAAGGACCCAGGCUUGCAAUGCGUGAUGCUGAUGAAGAACCACCAGGAGACGCUCCAGUGCGUCCUUGUGAAUGGCCUUCUGAGAACUUUAUGGAUCAAGUGGGAAUUUAGGAAGAAUUUAACGCAUAUUUGCGUAACGCGGAUCUUGUGAGCUUCGAGGAAGAGAAGUGCAGCCAGUAUCACUAUCUCACUAGUUCCUUUGUGAGGAGGUUUGAAUUUUCAUCUUCACGUAAUUCUCCAACUGUCCUGUUUGAUCUUUAUGAAAAUUCUUACACUAUGGACUUAGAGGAUUUUACCACUACUUGCAAACUUCCAUAAUGGGGUAGUGUCAGGGAACCUCGCAAAUAUGAAUUUAGAGAUUUUCUUGCUAGUAUAACUAUGGGGGAAUCUAGAGAUAUAACACAAGCCACCAUAGGGAGCAUUCACUUUCCUGCUAUACAUUAUUUUGCUCUCUUCAUAGGUAGAUGCAUUAAUGGUAAAGAUGAAGCAUGUCAUAUGUGUGUUCCUGACCUCAGUAUUCUUAGGAGUGCUGUGUUAGGAGACAAAUCCUAUAAUUUGGGAGCCAUUGUUGCACGUAGGUUGCAUAAUAAUAGAUUUAAUGGAGAUUUCUUUGGUGAAUUUAUGCAACCCGCAUAGCUAAUUUUCUUGGUAUAGCCAUACAUGAAGAUGAUAUUGAAUUACCUCCUGCUUACCUAGACUUUAAUGCUAUAUAUGGUUCACCACCAGUUUGUCGAGAGGAAUGAAUCACCUCUCCAGUAUCGACUAAUCUUUGACAGACGGCGUGAUGUCCGUAUUACUCCUGCCUUCUUUGAUUAUCAGGCAAAAGGAAGAUAUGUUAUUACCAGAAAGGAGGCACAUGAGUACGAGAGGAGAGCGGAGGUCGCUCGUCGCCACGCUGCAGCUCAGGAGGCGAUAGCCGCUGCAUCGUAGUUCGACCCCAACUACUAUUAUGGAUAUCCGCCAGGCCAGCCGUGGCCAUAGACCAACUUAGGCCAAAAGCCUAAGCUUGGGGGAGUACGUAUUUCUCACCAACAUUAUAUUCAUGUUCACACACUCAUUGCUAGAUGUCAGUGCUCAUACUUUUUCAUUGUAUCAUCCAUGCUAGUUUAUUCCCUUUUUAUGUUUUCUUCUUGUGUGUUUAAUAAACAUUAAGAAAAACCAAAAAAAUAGUUGUAGCUUUUAAUUAGUUUACUUUCCAUGCUUGUAGUAGUAAUUAAAAAGAAAACCCAGAAAGAUUUCAUGUUCUUCUUUUGCUUGUUGGGAGCUUUCCCGUGUAAAUAGUUUUAUUUCUUUUCUUUUCUUUGGGGGUCGAUAGGAGAAGACCAUGAUUAAAUUGUUGAGGUGGCUCAUAUAUGCAUUAUUGUUGAUCUGACAAAAGAGCCCAUAUUGCCUUGUCUUCUCUUGUUUAUUGAAUGCUUGCAGAUUCUAGCUUAGUCCAAUGCACGUGCACUAUUAUUAUUAUUCACACUAUUCGGUCGUGCAAGUGAAAGGCAAUUAUGACGAUAUAUGAUGGACUGAUUGAGAUGAGAAAAGCUGGUAUGAACUCGACCUCUUUUGUUUUUGUAAAUAUGAUUAGUUCAUCAUUCCUGAUUCAGCCUAUUAUGAAUAAACAUGUUUACAAUGACAACUAGAGAACAUAGUUCUUGUGCCAUGCUUGAUUAGCUAGGAGCUUAUAAUGGUUUACCUUGCGUGCCAACAUGCUAUUAAAAUGGUUGUGAUGUGGUAUGAUAGGGUGGUAUCCUCCUCUGAAUGAUUUAAGUGAUUUGACUUGGCGCAUUGGUAACCCACAAGUAUAGGGGAUCGCAACAGUUUUCGAGGGUAGAGUAUUGAACCCAAAUUUAUUGAUUCGACACAAGGGGAGCCAAAGAAUAUUCUCAAGUAUUAGCAGCUGAGUUAUCAAUUCAACCACACCUGGAAACUUAAUAUCUGCAGCAAAGUAUUUAGUAGCAAAGUAAUAUGAUAGUAGUGGUAACGGUAGCAAAAGGUAAUGAUAGCAAAGCUAAUGUUUUUGGUAUUUUGUAGUGAUGAUAGAAAUAGCAACAGAAAAGUAAAUAAGCGAAGAACAAUAUAUGGAAACCUCGUAGGCAAUGGAUCGGUGAUGGAGAAUUAUGUCGGAUACGGUUCAUCAUGUAAUAGUCAUAACCUAGGAUGACACAGAACUAGCUCUAGUUCAUCAAUGUAAUGUAGGCAUGUAUUCCGAAUAUAGUCAUACGUGCUUAUGGAAAAGAACUUGCAUGACAUCUUUUGUCCUUCCCUCCUGUGGCAGCGGGGUCCUAGCAGAAACUAAGGGAUAUUAAGGCCUCCUUUUAAUAGAGUACCAGAGCAAAGCAUUAGCACAUAGUGAAUACAUGAACUCCUCAAACUAUGGUCAUCACCGAUAAGUAUCCCGAUUAUUGUCACUUCGGGGUUAACGGAUCAUAACACAUAAUAGGUGACUAUAGACUUGCAAGAUAGGAUCAAGAGCUCUCAUAUAUUGAUGAAAACAUAAUAGGUUUAGAUCUGAAAUCAUGGCACUCGGGCCCUAGUGACAAGCAUUAAGCAUAGCAAAGUCAUAGCAACAUCAAUCUCAGGACAUACACUACAAAAAAAUACACUUCUGUGAUGAUACGUGUUUGUCACAGUAGGUCGCAUUUUCUGUCAUGCAUGUACAUCCAUGAUGAUUUUAUGACAGAAUCAAGAUAGUCAUACAUGUGCUGUCGUAGAAGUGUUCCAUGACAUUACCAAAAUUAUCAUCACGAAGUGUCCACUUCCAUGACGAUAAAUCGCGCGUCACAGAAGUGCUUUCGUCAAGGGUGACCGACACAUGGCACCCACCGUAACGGAACUCCGUUAAGCUAUCGGGUUGGGUUUUGGAUCCGAUAACCCGUUAACAGCCCCGACCAAUGAGGAUUUUCCACGUGUAAAAUCAUCAUUGGCUGGAGGGAACACGUGUCGGCUCAUCGCUGGGACAGAUGUCAUUCACUCAUUGGACAGAAGGCGCCUAUGAUACGUCGACAAGUGGCACGGCCCAACAGAGGCCCAUUCCUGUGAAAAGGCCGGCCCGUUUGACUUGGUCAAAAGGUGGCGGGCCGGCCCAUGGAAAGCCUGUUAACGGCCUAUUCGCAUAUAGCUCAUUUAUAGCCCGCUAACCCAAGGCCUGUUACGCCCUAUUCGAAUUAGGCCCAGUAGCGUCAUUUGGGCCAUCCAAUAUGAUUCCAUCCCAUUUUCACUUCUGGCCCAUGUAUGGCCCAUGACGUCUUUUGGUCCAUAUGAGGCCUUAUGUAACUCUUGGCCUAUUAAUGGCCCGUGGUGAAACUGGCCCGUAAUGAACAGUGUAUCACUUUACACCCAUUAACGGCCCGUGGUGAAACUGGACCGUAAAGAAUAGUGUAUCACUUUAUACCCAUUAACGGCACGUUAUUCUGUUGGGCCGUUUCCAGCCCAUGUUAUCUUUCGGCCUUCUCAGAGCUCAUUUAUUCUUGGGCUAUUUUCCAGCAUUCAUUUACUUACGGUCGUUACUGUCAUUUUCUGCUUGUAGGCCAAAUUCAGCCCGUGGUUACAGUCAGCCCGUUUGUGGUCCGUUAAUACGCUGGGCCAUUUUCAUAGCGUCAUCAAAUACAGCCUAUUAAUGAUGGCCCGUUAUGGUCGGCCCAUGAACGGACGAUUCCAAAUCUAGCCCGUUUACAGCCAGAAUGCGGUCUAUUUGGCCCAUGUUUGGCCAAUCGAUCAUGCGACCCGUAUAACGCCCAUUGAUGAUAUGGCCCGUAGAAGGCCCAUUGUUUCUACGGCCCAUAGAAGGCCCAUUGUUUCUACGGCCCAUAGAAGGCCCACUGUUUCUACGGCCCGUAGAAGGCCCACUGUUUAUACGGCCCGUAGAAGGCCCACUGUUUCUACGGCCCGUAGGAGGCCCAGUGUCACUACAGUAAAUAUUAGCCCAUGGUUAUUGUGGCCUAGUUUUAAAAAAUAGGUUAUUGCAGCCACUAGCAAACCGUAGAAAAAGAACUGCAUUGACUACAAGCAAACAAAUAAACAAGACAACAAGGAAAUAAAUAAGCAAGCAACUUACACUAGGCUAUCACGGCUAUUACACAUAUUACAUCCACCGGGCAUCAAAGUUCGCCACCGGUGCAAAUAUAGGGAACACAACAUCAUAUAAACGCCGUAGCAAAACAAGUCCGGAACUGAAACCACUUCAGAAGAGCUCAAGAAACAAUAUCCUGGGUACCCAUAAUGCUGACAAGAUGCUUAGCAAGCUUAUUAACUUUCUCUUGUUUGGCGCUUAAGUCCUCCAGCGCUUGCUAUUGCACCAGAAAGUAUGCAUCUGAAUUAUGCAGGGACUUCCUUAGUCCUUCGGCUUCUUGUCGCAUAACAUCUGAUCGAUGUCUUUCAAAUUGAAGUUGAGACUCAAGAAGCUGAACUGAUUCAGGCAACGAGUUUGAAGAGCUGGUGCCAGCAGUGGUAGCCAGUAACUCGAACACUACAUCAAGACAGGACUUUGGGGUGGUCUCAGUGUCUUCAAUAUAGUUUUUAUCAGCUUUCUUGGAGACCAACAGGGAUGUCUCACUAUCUUGAACCUUAUCUGCAUUACUUCCUUUACCAUUGCAUAACAGGGUACUCUUCUCCAAUAUUUUAUUCGUGUUCUAAAAGAGAAACAAACAAACACAUCUCAGGUUUACAAUGUAGUAUAUGAAACUCAUUUUGGUAAACUAGUUCAGUUGUAAGGUGGACAGGAUAACAGCAUGAAACAAACAUAUAUCUAUGUAGUAUGGUCAAUGUAUGGUCUAUAUCAUUCUAGUUUAUGUUGCCAAAUCAAGAUAGAUACAGUUCGAAUCAUAUCUAUUUAAGACAAAGCAGCAUAGACAAAAUAUAAGUGUGGGAAACUACACUGCAAUAACAACACUUGUAAUGUGCAUGGCAUCAGAACAUAACUGUCUAUUCAAUUGAAAUUGAAAUCAACAUAGAGCAAGUUACAACAGCAAAUAGCCAAACACGCUGAAGAAACAGGUUUAAAACAUACCUGUUACACCAUUGGAGUUUCAAUUGCAUCCUUCAAAUUUGAAAUUAGUUGGUAUCAGUAAAUACAGUGAUGCAAGAGCAAAGUAGUAUGAACCAUAGCUACGAAACCUGACCUGAGAACAAUUCUUCUUCUGCUUUAAGCGUUGACUUCGGGUUCGGAGUGGUGGUCCUCGUGAUUUGGGCACUGCAGUUGCCUUACUAAUUGCUUGUGUUUGGGUGCUCUAUGGUGGAGACGGUGCUAUGUCAAUGGGAACUGCGUGUCUAUCUGCUCGGGUUAGGGUUAGAAGCAGUGGUGAAGCCACGCUAUAACUGUGUAGUCGCUUGACUACACAGGAUUUUCCUAUUGAACUAGCAAUAUUUGGAAUUUAACUACAUAGGCCCAUGUAUUCUCUUAUUCCCUGCUUCUGUAACAAUUAGUUGGGCCACUAGUGGGCCAUAUAGCAAGAAGAAAGUCCAAAAUCCCUUAACUGGUCGCACUGUAUCCCCAAAUUACGUGAUCUCCUUGCCUCCCUUCCCACAUGCCUCUCCAAUGAUUGGACGGCCGUCGCAGCGCAUCGUCUCCAGACUUGCCAUCCAGGCGCCGGUGAUCUUUGGCUAGACUCUGGACAUGAGACGCGAGGAACAACCACCUUGGGCCGUCCGGCGAGCCACGAGCGGCGCACCCGCGGCUGCACACAAAUUGUCUGUCUGAAACUCUGAAUCAAUCAAUCAAUACUAUUGUACUAGUCUGCACUCUGUAUCUGAUCCAACACAAGGCAAGGCCCUCCACUUUUCUACUUCUACUAGUUUGUUUUAUUUGCAAAAACAGCAAUACAGUUCAUUAUUUUCCACUUUUUCUCUCACUAGCAAUAUUAGGAUUUAGGAUGUAGGAGAUUAUUUUGAUUAAGAAUGAGAAUUGCAUAUUUCCCUUUCUUAGUAAUAGAUUUAUUUUGUCAGGUCUUUGGUUUGAUAAAUGGAUAAAUUUGUGAGAUAAGAUGUUUUUAAUUUCUAUUUAUGAUCUAAAAAUUAUUAGUAAAGUUUGACAUCACAGGGUUUUGAUCCUGGCACCGCCACUGGUUAGAAGGGGUGUAGCUGGUUCUCUGUCCAACUAGGUAGGGGUACAAUCUGCAUGAGUGUGGGUUAUGUGUGGUGGGGCUGGUUCUUGGGCAAGUACAAACGUGGUUCUAUCUACAUCUACAGGUAGCAUGAUCUUUUCUGAAGACCGUGUUUUUACUCCCAUAGAUACUGCCAUCACUCCCUCCAAUUGAAAUGGCUGAUAAACAAGAAAAGUAAUUGAAUGUACAGACAUUGUAAGAUAGACAGGUGCAAUGGAUAGUAGGGAAGAAAAUAGGGCGUGCAAUAAUUCACAUUUAUGUUGUCUAAGCAAACAGAAUAGCAGGACAUAAUUUCACAUAUAUGAUGGCUAAUUAAACAGGAUAGCAUGACACAAUUUCACAUGUAUGAUGGCUAACUAAACAGGAUAGAAUGACAUACUUCAAAAUAUGAUGACUAUGUAAACAGGACGACAUGAUAUAACUAUACGAUGUGUCUAUUAAAGUGGUUGGCAUGCCAUAAAUCACAAACAUGCCGUCGAUGGAAACAUGAUGGCAUGAUACAAUUCACGGAUAGAAUGGCAUAAUUUAAAAUAUGAUGACUAUGUAAACAGGAUGAGAUGACAUAACUAUAUUAUGUCUUUAGAAAAUGGGUUGGCAUGCCAUAAUUCAGAUACAUGUUGUCUAUGUAAACAUCAUGGCAUGACAUAAUUCAAAUAUAUGAUUUAUAUACUAAGGAAGUGAGCAGAGGGCAACCGCAUAUAUGAUGUGUCAACUAAGGAUAUGGCAUUCAAUAUUGUGUAUAUGAUGUAAAAACUAAGCAUUGCAAUACAACAUAUGCAUUAUAUGAGUAAUAUAACCCUGCCAAGUAUGAGCAUACACCUCAGGGGGAUAAUAGGACUGGUCAUCUGCCUCUGAAUCCUCCUCUGAAGAGCUAUCUGUAACCAGCAAGAUAUCUGCUUCAGCAGGUAGCAUUGUCUGCUCUUAAGACCUUGUUUUCACUCCAGAUUUCUCCAUCACCAAUUCAAAUGGCUGAUGCACAGGAAGAGCUAUUGAAUAUACAAACAUUGUCGAGAAAAGCAAUGAGAAAUACAAAAAAGGACGGCAUGAUAUAAUUCACAUAUAUGACACUUGCCUAAACAGCAUGGCAUUGCAUAAUUCACAUACAUAAUGCCUUGCAACAAGAUAACAUUGCAUAAUUCACAUAUAUAAUGUCUUGCAAAAAGAUGGCAUUGCAUAAUUCACAUAUAUGGUAAUUAGACACUAAACUGGUGGCAUUCACACAAAGCAUGUGUAAACUAAGAAAAUGACAUAGCAAUGCAAGAUACCAUACGCACGAUAUGAGCAACAUAACCCUGCCAAGUUAGGGCAUGCACCUCAUGGGGGAAAUAUGACUGGUCAUCUGACUCUGAAUCCUCCUCUGAGGAGCUAUCAGUAACCAGCAAGACAUGCGCUUUGUCAGAUAGCAUUGUCUGCUCUGAAAACCUUGUUUCCACUCUAGAUUUUUCCAUGAAGUAAUUGAAUGUACUAAAAUUGUUGACAAAUUUAACACGUAAUAAGAAAAUGAUGGCAUGAUAUAAUUCACAUAUAAGAUGACUGGAUAACCAGGGUGGCAUUGCAAAAUUCACAUAUAUGAUGCCUGGCUAGACAAGAUGGCAUUGCAUGAUUCACAUAUACGAUAAAGAAACUAAACAGAUGGCAUUGACACAAAGCAUGUCUAAACUAAGCAGAUGACAUCUUUAAUGUAUACAGUAAGCAAUGCAAGGCACCAUAUGCAUGAUAUUACCAACAUCGACAUGCCAAGUUAGAACGAAGACCUCAUGGGGUAAAUAGGAGUGGUCUUCUCCUUUUGAAUCCCCCUCAGAACAGUUAUCUUCCUCUUGAUUACGAUCCAAAAUGGGUGGAGGGGGGCUGCCUUUGCGCCCACCAUGGAACGACGUAUGCAUGAAAUUUUAUUGCCACGCAAGGCUCGUCUCUUUUGCUCUACAUAAUCAGUUUCAUUGUGUACAAUAACUGGCAUGCAUAGGAAUAAAACAUAGUGAGAUUAUGUAAGGAGUGCAUGCACAAAUCCAGAGUGAUGGUAGCAAACUAUGGAUAGACCCAAAACCAAUCAUAGCAGACAGAUAAUAGCUUUAGUUAAAAAAUAUAGACAAUGGCUCCUUUAAUGUUUGUUUGCACCCAACAUGAAACUCAUAGUAGACACCAGAGAUUAACCAGAUAGUAGACAGAUAGUACUGAUUGCUGCCCCAAUAUGUACCCCACAACCAUUUAAAAACUCAAGUUUCAGCAUUAGUUUGGACCUGACUUGGAGUCUAAUAGGUCAACACGACGAUAAUGUAGCAUGUCAUCAUAUUAAGCGAUGCAUAACGUAAGCAGACAUGGAAGAGUGCGACCUCUCUUGCGGACCCAUGUAGUCCUCAAGGUCGUCUGCUCAGUUGAUGAUGGUAAUGCAGUUGCCAUGGCUGCUGACGGCGGGGAAGAAGAUCUGAGGCGGCGAAAGACAGUCUGGAGAGCCGAUCCCUACUGUGGUGAACCCUUCCGUCAUUGGAGCAGCUCAGCUGGGGUGGAACACAGCGCCGCAGGAGCAGGACAAACCACACAAGGUUUUCUUUGACACAUAUCUGUAACAGAAGUAAUUGAGUAAGGGCUUGUUUGAAUUUGAGGAUUCUAACAAUGCAGGGAUAGGAAAUAGACAUGAAUAGGAUAGGAAUGCAUGUGCAAAACAGAGAAUUAAAAACACAUGAUUUCUGCCAAUCUAGGUGUUUGAUUCACAACAAUUGGAAGAUCACAGGAUGCAAAAAAGCAUGGUGAGAUUAAGUCAAACCACAAGAAAAUGUGCGGUUAUAAUGCUAUUAUGCUACUAUCUCUUAGUAUUGUGCUUGAUGAAUAGGAAUAUGAAAAGGAGGAGAAGUGGAAAUUAGAAUUCCUACGGUUUUUCUUUCAAGGAGACACUAAAGGAACAAAUCCUACAGUUUUCCUUUGCUCCAUUCCUUUGCACCAAAUUCAUGAAAAGUAGUACCAUAGGAAACUUUCCAAUUCCGAUGUUUUUCAUUCACUUUUCCUUUCAAGCACUGGCGAUUCUAUUAGGCAGGCUUGAGCAAGGAAAAUCCUACACUAAAAAAUGUUUUUGUGCUACUUCUAUUACUUUGGACCCGGGCCACUGCCAUACUAGCUCAACUCCCAGGCCCAUCGACAAAUGCACAGCUCAAACGCGCAGAGAUAUAUAAUGAUGGUGUUCAAGAGAGUCCAUCACGGAUAGCUAAGUUGCCUACUACCUCACUGCUUGUCAUAUAGUAGGAUAAAAUAAUCGUAUUUCCCGUUACUACGAGUGCUCAGUGGACAAUAUAUAUAACAUGUAGAGUAAAAAAGAGAUGCAACAAGUGUACAAUCUCUUUGGCGAAGCCAUGUCGAUCUCAGUGUGAUUGGGUUGGCCGGUGAGGAUACUCCGGCUGACUUGGCUAUCGGAGGAGGGGAAGAAGAUCUUAGGCGUCUGGAGAUGGAGCCCGAGGUACUGCUCCGCUGUGAUGGAGGGUUUCGUCGUUGGAGCAGCUCCGGUGAGUUGUACGACGCCGAGGCUGAAGCAGGACAAGAGAGACAACAAACAACGUUAACCUGAGUGGAAUUCUAAUAGCAUCUCCAAUACAUGACGUAAAAUACAUAACCACAAAGUGCUAGAUGUAAAAUACAUCAGCCGCUCAUCUCUGAACUUAACUGUCGAAACUGAAUUUAACUGUCGAAACUGAACUUAACUGUCAAAACUGAACGCACUAGCAAGGUGAGGCUACAUGUCGGUCGACUGACUUUUUCAUCUCUAGUCAGUUGAUUUUGCAGCCGUUGGGUACGAAAUCAAGGGCCUGCGGUUCAUCUUCAACCUCCACCGCCCUGAGCCGCCAGCCACCACCGACCAAACAGCAGCCCCCCGCCGCGCGCGACCGGCAGUGCACCGCCCCGCCCGCCCCAAAAACACUCCCCACCGCCGGUCCGCCGCCGCCCCGGCCAUCCCUCUAGGCCCCCCGUGCCGAGCUUNNNNNNNNNNNNNNNNNNNNNNNNNNNNNNNNNNNNNNNNNNNNNNNNNNNNNNNNNNNNNNNNNNNNNNNNNNNNNNNNNNNNNNNNNNNNNNNNNNNNNNNNNNNNNNNNNNNNNNNNNNNNNNNNNNNNNNNNNNNNNNNNNNNNNNNNNNNNNNNNNNNNNNNNNNNNNNNNNNNNNNNNNNNNNNNNNNNNNNNNNNNNNNNNNNNNNNNNNNNNNNNNNNNNNNNNNNNNNNNNNNNNNNNNNNNNNNNNNNNNNNNNNNNNNNNNNNNNNNNNNNNNNNNNNNNNNNNNNNNNNNNNNNNNNNNNNNNNNNNNNNNNNNNNNNNNNNNNNNNNNNNNNNNNNNNNNNNNNNNNNNNNNNNNNNCCCGCUGCGGCUGGUUCUUCCUUCACCCCGGCGAGCCCCCCCCCCUACCCCCUGAAAAUCGACUGACCCAAAAGUCGAUUCAGUCGACUGAAGUGUAGCUAAAUCGGAGCAGCAUCACAAGCAAGAGCAAGGGCGAGAGCAGCAACGCAAGCAAGAGCAAUAGUAAGAACAGACCAGGCAGGGGACCGAGAGCAAGAGCAGAGCAGCGGCGCGAGCGAGAGCUAAAGCAGCAGCAGCUCCUACUGAUGUGGACGUCGCCGCCGAGGGAGCGACGCCAUGGAGGAAGUGGCCGGCGACGCCGCCGUGGAUGGAGCCGUGCCGUGUCGGCUCGGGACCGAGCACCGGCAGCACUGUUGUUGGUGUCAAAACCGGCAGAUCUCGGGUAGGGGGUCCCGAACUGUGCGUCUAGGCCGGAUGGUAACAGGAGGCAAGGGACACGAAGUUUUACCCAGGUUCGGGCCCUCUCGAUGGAGGUAAAACCCUACGUCCUGCUUGAUUAAUAUUUAUGAUAUGGGUAUUACAAGAGUUGAUCUACCACGAGAUCAGAGAGGCUAAACCCUAGAAGCUAGCCUAUGGUAUGAUUGUUGAUGUGUAUAUGAUCUAUCGACUAGCCUGGCCCUGGUUUAUAUAAUGCACCAGAGGCCUAGGUUAACAAGAGUCCUAGCCGAAUACGCCGGUGGGGAGAAGUCCUUGUCUUGAUCGCCAAGUCUUGUGGAAUCUUCCUUGUAUGCGGCAGUUGUCCGAACUGGCCCAUGAGUAUACGGCCACAGGGGUCCUCGGCCCAAUCUAUCAGAUCGGGAGAUGACGUGUUGAGCACCCCCUAGUCCAGGACACCGUCAGUAGCCCCCUGAACCGGUCUUCAAGUUAGGGACGCUCCUCGAUUCUUCCGAACCGUUCUUCAUCAUCGGUUGACGGUCUUGAAAACUGGUUCAACAAAUCUUCUCAUCUUCGAUCUUGAGGAUCAUCGAAAUGCAUUCGACGAGUUUAUACGCCGGGUAUCCGAGGAGCCCCUUUAAGUUUCCGGCCUAUAUCAAUGCCUUAUUAUUUUUAUGCCACACCUCGGGUUUGAAGUUGUUCCCAGGAGGCAGUGUCUUCUUGCGUCCGAGCUCUAACGUCGUACUGUAUUCGAGGUAUCUUUUGCAGCCGAGCACCAAUGCCGGACCGCUUCCCAUCUCUAACGCCGGAAUGUAUCCGAGCUCCAACGCCGGACUAUGUAUCCGAGCUCCAACACCGGACUAUAUCCGAGGUGUCAUAUCACCUUGGUUCAAAAAAGUUUGAAGGAGUUUAGCCGAGCUUAACGCCGGAAAUGCCCUCUACGGAGCCAGCCACUAGCGCCCGAGCUUUAUGCCGGAUUGCUUCCGAGGUGGUGCACCACCCCGACUGUGGGCCGAUUUUUUGUUAAUAUUUUUUAUUAUUGCAAUUUAUUCUCUGCCGAGAUAUGUAGCCAGUAGCCCUCAAGGUGUGUAUUGGUCUAAAACCCGAGAUGCACAUGAAGGAUGACAUAAGACCGCUGAUCCCAGUAGCCGCUGAGACUCAGGUCGAUUUGCAAAAUCGGCCUAAGGAUCAAGUCCUAACUCGGCAGAAUACUUCGGGACAAUAAAAGUGGCGUGCUUGGUCCUCGAGACUCAAGUUGGGUGCGGCCGACCAACCUGAGGAUCAAAAUCUCCUCAGAAACUAUAUUGCACAUAAAAUUUUCUGCAUUGGACAAGCAAUGCAGUAGCCCCCGAGACACUGGUCGGGUGGCAACACUAGAUCAGGGGAUCAAUGUGCCCCUUUAAUAUUUGUAAAUAAUAAGCCCGAAGCCCAGUAGCCCCCGAGCCUUAAUGCGGGCACGGGUGGCCAAAUUAAGGAUCAAUAUCCAUAGUAAAAUCACAAAUUAUGUGUGAUGACUCUAUGUAUCCAAGUACUUUAUGUCAUUAAUGCUCGGAUCCGCAUUGUACAAAACUUUGUUGACCGACCAUUGGCUUCCACCUCCUCGGCCAGUAGCCGAGGAGUGUUUGUCCUACUUUAUAAAGCCUUUAUAAGGGCAAAGAUUUACAACAAACAAGGCAAUCUGGCCAUACAGUUUUAUAAACAAAGGUACGCAGAGAGUUAUAUCACUGUUUAACAGAAGAAAUGUCUUCCAAAGAAAAUAGUCCCGCUAUCGGUUCCUUUCUUUGGGUUGUCAUGCUAAGCAUGAUCAUUAAACCUCAGCUCUAAUGUAAGAGCAAAAUAUUGAGGAUUUAGUUUGGGAGGCCAGUUAAUAGCCCCGGUAGUGUUCGGCGACAGUCGGGGCCAAGCCGUAAACACUUCAGCCAAUGUUAUGAAUGGCCCAUCAUUUAACAUAGUCAUCGGAUCGCUGACCAGUUUACUCUUAUUGUGAAAGUCAGUUUUCGGCUUUCUCCACUGAGGUGCUUAACCAUGUGAGCUGGAAGCACAAUCGCAGUGGUUCUCCCUUUGCACGCCUAGCCGAACAAAACAGAACGUAGGAAGCAAGUGCAGGAGCCGGGCAACCCAACUAUUGACCGAAGACACAAUUCGAAACCAAUGUAUAUAUAGCAAUAUCUGAGAAUGUUUUUGCCGAAUACCUAAAGGUGUCUGGCGUUGCACUGCGAGACUAAUGCUGGAAUAGCACAAAUAGUUUAAAAGUGCCAAAAAGCUUGGAAACCCAAGAAACGUCAGUAAAAACAUGACGUCCGAACAAUAUCAAGUGUUUGGUGCCAAUUCGAAAGUUGGUCUUAGAAAAAAGAAGUGCUUCUGUUGUGCUUUAACAUGAUACAUCCUAUCUCAAGACUUCGACCGGGUCAGCCUAUGGCUUCAACCUCCUACCUUGAGGGCGGAGUACUUCUCAUCAGGCCAGUUUAGAAAACUAAACUCUAGCGACUUUGAGAGAGAAAUUAGGCUCCCCGGCUAGUGACCGCACACUCGUGUCGAAAAAAGGAGUGAUAAAUAAUAAUAAAACUUUGCAACAACUAAGAAGAAGAACACUUAUUAUAAAACGGCUCAAAUAAACUUAAGAGCCCCCAAGUGACUUGGGUAGAAGAAUGAUUGCAUGUACCGAAGUACUUAUAUCAUAUCUAUGUUCAACCGAACUUUAAACGCGUCUUAACCGACCGUCAGCUUCUCCCUCUUAGGUCAAGGACCGAAAAGUGUUAUGUACUCCAUCGGUCGAGAAUAUCGACGGUGUUUCCAAUAACCAGGCAAUCAGGCCAUAAGGCUGUAACAGACAAAGCGCGCUCAGGGAACUUAUGCUAUAUUACCGUGAAGUGUAAGAAGCCUCUUCGAAGAAAAUAGUACCCCCACCGAUACCUUUCUUCGGUGCUCAUUGUUAUUAUGAGACUUGUGCAAUAGAUUUUUUGUACUCAUGAGUUCCGUUGUGUGCCGACCAUCAUUGAAAACUAUAAGAGCGCUAGCUUUCGGCUUCACCCAGUCUGAGGUCUGGCUCGAUUGACCCGAUCAUGACAAUCGCAGAGGUGCUCCCUUUACUCCCUAGCCGAACAAUCGGGAACGUAGGGGUAAACACAGGAGCGAGGCAACCCAGCUUGCAAAUCGCUUAAGUCAAUAUGGUGCAUAUUGUGGCGUAAUACACGAACAAGGAACGAAGCCGUACAAGUAUAAUCAUAUGCAACAGGAAAAGCUUCAUAAAGGAAGCCCCCAAGUAAACGGGGUAUUUGAAUUUAUGCGUCACAAACAAAGUUUGGACAAGGCAAAUUUUUUACAAGCAACUUUUUUCCAAAAAAGUAUAAUGCUUGGUCGAACCGAGCACAAGUUAGAAAUUAAAGCUUUGAGCAUGAAAGCGACUUAGCUGGUUAAUGUGUUCGGUAUUGAUGACGCGGUCCGAGCUUGAUGCGGGGCAAGGUUCCAUCCCCCAAGCUGGUCCUGAGGUGGCGGAGCGGAGAGCCCGACACGCCGAAGUGGUGACAUAGCAUGGUCAAUGCAGACUGGCAGAGUGAUGCCGAAGUCCCUGGAUCAUUUUCCUGUGCACAAAAAAUAGUGCAAACCAGAGAUAAUAGUAAUAAUGAUAAUUAAAAAGAUGUUGCAUAAUAAAUAAUUUAUGCAAAGUGAGUAAUAAAAGAAAUAUGGCCUGGCGCCGAAGUCAAUGUCGAUACAGGGCAUCGGCGUGAUGCGGUAAAGGCAUGGCAAAGCCUGAAUCCACAAGUCGGUCCAAGUUCCGGAUGCGGCGUUCGCCGGACUAUGUACGGAGACUGGCCAAACCACCAUGCGACCUCGUUAAUGCGGCCAUCAUUUGAUAGACCUGUGUACAUAUGAUGGACGAACCAGAGUAAUAAUUCCUUGAGAAAAAUGAACCCAAACAAGCAAAAAAUACUGGGAUUAAUAGCACCUGGUUUACUUGUUGUAGCAAUCCAAAGGAAGGCGAUUCCCAAAAUUGGGACUCGCUCCGCACACCCAUUGCCUGAUGGGCGAUAAAACGACGGCAUGGCAAUGCUGGUAAAGGUUGGCUCGCCAAGGCAAAGCCCUCGAUCCAGCUAACGUGACGGAGCUGGUCGGCUAGUGAUGCCGAAGUGUCUGGAGUAGGUUGAUGAAGAGAUGGUGAAGCCCCCGGUCCAGCCGAGAUGUCGAAGCCUCGAUGUCAGCCGAUGAGUCGAAGUAGGUCGGCGUGAUGGACACCAGCUUGAAGAAGCAAUAGUGCGGCCCUGUCGAUGCAGGUUGUGACGUGGUCGAUGCCGGCUUGAUGAAGCGACCGUGCGGCGAUGCCGGUAUGCCCGCUCCGUGUAAUCCGUGGGGCGGCGAUGUUGGUGAUGACUUACCCUUCGCGAUGCCGGACUCUUGUUCGGCUUGCCGAGAUGAUGAUCCGAAGAAGUUGAGCUCGGCUCAACAAAGUGACGCCGUGUCUAGCGCAGGUCGGCAGCCGUGGAGUAAUAUUGCCGGACUGGUUUGGCACCAGCAUGAUGUUGAAGAUCAUGUUGAAAAGAUAUUAAAGUUAGCAGGAUGUGUUCGGCAACAAAACACAAUACCCCAUACAAAACAUCCUUCAAAAGGGAUGUCCGAAAUCCUGUUCAUAAAAAAGAUGAACCCGGGUCGGAUUCAUUUUCGCACAGAAAACAGAUCCGAAAAGUGAUGCACUAAUGGGAAGGUUUCCGGAGUUUGGACGGUCGGCUCGAGCUGAAAUUUUAAGAGGUGGUAGAUAUAGGAAUUCCACAGCCGAUCAACGGUUGGAUCUUCCAAAGGACGUCCGAGCUAGAAGCUCGACACCACACCCUAAACGCAUCCAAAUUCCCGUCCAGAUUUGACAGGGCUCCGGUAUAUCGUGGAUUGCCAGAGAUUCCUCCAUCGGAACUCGACGAAAUUUUCCAGGGUUGUCGUAGACUCAAUUCCGCACAAUUCCACCAAAGGGAUCGUCAAAGCGAUGCUCUAAGAGGUGGUGGCAGCGGAUACAAGUUCGCUGUUUGGAAAAACAGCACGGUCGCUUGAGGGCAAUGUUGACGCUGAGCCCUCGAGCUCCAUAGAUGAUUCCUCCAUGAUUUUGAUAGAGAUCGGAGUUGAUGUUUGAUGAAGGCCCUCGUUCGAACAUGGUGAUCCGAACAUGGGGCGCAAUUCUUGGUCGAACCAAGGUGACCAAUCGAGCUGGUGACGAAGAUGCCAAAGUCGCAGUUGAUCUGCAGGCGAGCCAUCGAUCCUUUUGUCGAUCACACAGCGGAACUCUCAAUGAAAGCACCAAUGUCGGUGUCAAAACCGGCAGAUCUCGAGUAGGGGGUCCCGAACUGUGCGUCUAGGCCGGAUGGUAACAGGAGGCAAGGGACACGAAGUUUUACCCAGGUUCGGGCCCUCUCGAUGGAGGUAAAACCCUACGUCCUGCUUGAUUAAUAUUGAUGAUAUGGGUAUUACAAGAGUUGAUCUACCAUGAGAUCAGAGAGGCUAAACCCUAGAAGUUAGCCUAUGGUAUGAUUGUUGAUGUGUAUAUGAUCUAUCGACUAGCCUGGCCCUGGUUUAUAUAAUGCACCAGAGGCGUAGGUUAACAAGAGUCCUAGCUGAAUACGUCGGUGGGGAGAAGUCCUUGUCUUGAUCGCCAAGUCUUGUGGAAUCUUCAUUGUAUGCGGCAAUUGUCCGUACUGGCCCAUGAGUAUACGGCCACGGGGAUCCUCGGCCCAAUCUAUCAGAUCGGGAGAUGACGUGUUGAGUACCCCCUAGUCCAGGACACCGUCAACCGUGAGAUCGAAUCAAGAAGAAAAUGUGGUGAUCAGUGUACAACCUCUUUGGUGGCGCCGAUUAGGCCGCAGCUUCAUCCGAGGAAACAGUGAUGAUGAUGCUCUUUCGGUGGUGCAGGUGAAGACGGUGGUGUGGGAAUGGAGGUGGUGCGAAAGACGAGGGGAACGUCGGGGCAGCUCCUUGGAGGUGGAGGACGGGGUGGCUGAACCGGCGGGACAAUGAGAUCGACGACGGAUCCUCAUCUGGUAUGGUGGAUGAGGGCCGUCGAGGUGUUGCUGUGGACGAUGUCGUCGGGAAGAGGCUCCGGCUGGGUGGCGGACGGAGCAGGGUGUGGGGUUUCGUCGCGGGUUUUUGCGGCCUCGGUGUACGAAUGGGUGGGCGGAUGGGAUGGCAGUGGGGAACCAUGGCUUAGAGACGCGCUUGUCCGAAAUGUGGGAUAAGUUACGAAAGUACCGCCAGUGAUUUGAGGCGGUUCUUUCGGUUCAGGGGUACCACGGGCAUUUUGCGUGUCGGGAUUUCACAGGAGGUGGGAGUUUUCGCACGCGUUGUAAUUUCGGAAUAGCAAGGCGCGGGUUGAGAUGGAGGGAGUUGUCGGAGCACAACGAGACAAAGAUAUAUCUUAAAUAUUUCGGGCUAACAAGGCGUGGGUUGAAGAGGUGGGAGUUUCGCAGCACGAUACACAGAGACACUAGCUUGAAUUUUCGUCAUAACAAGGCGCGACUUGAAAUUUCAGAAGAACAAGCUUAACAUGUACCCAAAAAAAGACAAUUUGCACCUCAACACGCACAACACACACACAAACACCAUUUAAACUAGAGUAAGGUACACGUGCAUUGCACGCAUGAGAUUUGGCAACAAAAUUAUGAAUAAAUACCACAUUAUAGCAUGCAAGCUUUGAGUCAUAUAUGCAUGAUGUAGAUGUUCGUUUAAUUCUUAUAGUUCAUUUCAUUCAAAAUCAUCUAGUUUUUAUAAGAAAGCUAAUCUAUUUUAAGAUUCAUGGAAUUGUGCAUCGUAAGACAUAAAGUAAAAACAACUAAUGGAAAAUCAUGUAGUAAAACAUUUGGGCAAUUCUGAUAUGGAAGAUUCUAGAACAAAUAAGAAGUGCUUGUGUUUUGAUGUUUGUGCAUUAUGCUUAAGUUCAACCAUGGAGUCUUCUAGAUUAUACAUGUGGCGAAAUCUGGUGGAAUCUAGAUGAUAUCCAAUGGCCAGUAGUGCUCAAAUUUGCCAUUUUUGGACCAUCGGAUUCGCCUCAUCCAACGACCAUCUUUCAAAGUUAAAGUUACCUGCACACAAUAUAAAAAAACAUUAUAUAUAUAGGGGUAUAGAUAUAGAUAUGUGAUGCGAAAGCCGCCCAUCAUCUCCCAUUAGAAUAGUGUGACCAUGCAUGGAUGCGACGUGGCCAAAAUGAUGCCUGCCAUCGGUAUCUCAAAUUCAAAUCAGUCUGACCUUAUUCAAUGUGUAUACAUUACAACAUGCUCGUUUCCAACCCACACCGCGCAGAUCUCCGUUAUAUUCAUGCAUGCAUGGGUUUCAAACAUCAGGAUCUCUUAUUCAAACAUUUGAAUUCAACUUUACAUUGAUUAUGACCUCACCUAUUCUUUUACACCCACACAGUAGUCUUGUCUUUAUGAUUGUAUCACUAACUUUCUCUCGUGCAUGCAUGCACACACACUACCAGUCGGCAUUAUCCAUCGCCAUGCAUGCAAUCUUUUUCUUCAGGUCGGUCUCCCAUGAAGGCACACACCCACACACAUCCCCCUCUCCAUCAUACCGGGCAUUCUUUAUCUCUCACGCGUGCAUGCGCAACGAUCGAUGUUCCUCUAUGUAUGUGUGUAUAUAGCUAGGUCUUUCAUAGUUUUUCACACAAACCGAUCAAUCGAUAUAUCCAGUGAGGUCUCACCCUCUUUCCCACAUCCACAUCGAUCAAUCUAUACCUCUCUAUAUAGGAUUAACAUAUAUAGCUAAUACACCCACAUUAAUUAUAUAUCCAACGUCCCCCUCUCAUCAUCCAUGCCUUCCGCUUCAUCUCUCAGACGCAUGCACAAUCGCGAAGACAGGGGGCAGUAAGGGCCCUGCCCCCCUCCCCCCUAACAUCACUAUAUAUCGAGGCUAAUAUGAAUGUGAUCAUUAGACAAUUGCUGCUAAAAUGGUUUAAGUUCAUGAAUUGACCCUCCUCGUAAAGGAUUAGAAAUGCUUGGCCCCCUAGCUCAUUUAUUUUUCAUGGCUCUGCCACUGCGCGCAACAGCGCAUGUGUUUGCCCCCUCUCUCUAAAUAUCGAUCUCGCACUUGUGCAUUCCUUCAUAUUCUCCCUCCACUCGACCCCUCGCACCAUCUUCUAGCCCCCCACCGGAUUUUGCCACAUGUACAAUCUAGCAGACUCCAUGGUUGAACUUAAGCAUAAUGCACAAACCUCAAAACAAAAGUGGUUCUCUUUUGUUCUAGAAUCUUCCGUAUCAUAACUGCCCAAACUUUUUUUCUAGUUGAAUUGCCAUUAUUUGUUUUUACUUUAUGCUUUACAACACAAUUCCAUGAAUCAUAAAAUAGAUUAAGGGCUUCUUUGAUUCAAAGGAUUCUCAAAGGAAUUUUGGAGGAUUCUAAUCAUUAGGAAUUUUUCCUAUCUUGGUUGUUUGAUUCGUAGGAUUGUAAACCGUAGGAAUUUUUCCAUAUGAUUCAUUUGCACUAGAUUUCAUAGGAAACAUCCCAUCCACUCAAACCUCUUUGAAAGAAUUCUGCAUUUUUUUCUAUGCACAAUCAAACACUCGUACAAUCCUGUAGGAUUCAAGACGACGUUCCACUAUAAUCCCAUGUUUUUUCCUAUUCCCGCGUUCUUAGCUUUUUUAUAAAAACUAAUUGAUUUUGAAUGAGAUGAACUACAAGUAUUAAACGAAGGGCUACAUCAGGCAUAUAUGACUCAGAGCUUACAUGCUAUAGUGUGGUAUUUAUUCAUAAUUUGGUUGCAAAAUCUGAUGCGUGCAAUGCAUGUGUACCUUACUAGUACUUCGAGUAUGUGCAAAACACGUAAAUUAGAAUACCAAUGGCACUCUACACGGUGUCUCUCUUACAGUUCAUGAAGCCAUGUGGCACAUGUGGAGGCAUUGUCGCGACCUCCUUGUGUGGAUUGAUCACAGUGACGUGCUGCUGGUUCCAAAAGAAUGUACUCGUCCUCCCUGAGCCAUACUGGCGGUACAUGCACGAAGCGAAGAUGUACACGCAUGCCACGCAUGCACUCAUUCCCUCGCACGCACACGCGGGUACACGGGCAGACGCAAUUUUGUACCAAGAUCCACCCCAUGUGAUAAUUUGACGCGUGUAAAGUCGUUCACUUCAUUGAUGGCCAAUUAAUAUAGCGCAUGCAAAUUGAGUGGACGUGAGGGCGGAAGAAAGACAUUAUUACUCCACUGCGCGCAUGCGAGUAGUUAAAUCGUGGGUUGCUAGUAGUACUUCCAUUGGUCUCCUUCGUAUUUUGUGCCAAUUUUUGACAGUAACAUAAUAUUUACGCAUUUGAGCAGUGUAGUACUUGAAAUUUAUGUUCCGCUAAACUCAUCAGGAGCGUUUCAGGACUCGAAACCAAAACCAUCAAUUAAUCUUUACCUUGUUCCCAUCACAUUCGAAAGCCUGCUCACACCUACUAGUACGUACCAAACCUGAACGUGUUCCCACUAUGUAGGUAUUAGUUCUAGUGCUAGUACUUAGGUUAUAAAAAGGGGAACUACCUAACUGAAAAUUACUCCACCUUUCCUCCUCAUAAGUGCUUCUUCUUCGUCCAUCGUUGCCAUGGCCGGUGAGCAGAGCUCUAGGUCAAGAACUACUCGUAACAAGGGAGAGGCAACCAAGGCUACGGAAAAAAGAGGGCGCUCCGCCACACAGAGACAUCGAAAGAUCUCUCACGGGCAGGCGAUGGCUCCCAGGAGCGCCCUAGCCGCGGAGGCGAACAUGCCGAGCCGGCGGAGCUGGAGUCGUUAUCCCUCGACGGCAUGCCCGAUCAGCUCAAUAAGCACCUCAAUAAGCAGAAGGAGUUCAUCCAAGGCUUGAUGGAGUUGCUGAAGGAGAGCCUCGACGACAUGCCCGCUGAGCUCAAUCAGUAAGGGGAGUUGACCGCCGGCUUGGUAAUGCUGCUGAAGAAGAGCAUUGCCUCGAAGAAGAAGGUGACCGGCGAAAUCCUGUGACUUCAAGAGGACAAGGCGAAGAUCUGCCACGAGAUUGACCUGUUGAAGGAGAAGAACGCCGGCUGGAAGAAGCUACAUGAGAAUAGUAAUUCCUCGAUGAAGAUGUUGCAGGCCCUCAUCAUGGAACAGAAGGAGGAGUUGGCGAAGCUCCGCAUCGAGCACCCGGCUGCAGUCAAGGUACGUAAUGCGGCCGUGGAACAGAUGAUGAAGGCUCGCGUCGAGAAAUCCCGCGUCAUGGACAAAAUGAAGAAGAUGGCGGAGGAGACGCACAAGGAGAUGGAGGUCGUGGAGGCAAUGAAGAAGCUGUUACGACUCCGCGGCGAAUUAGAUCAUUUGGGGUGAUAAUCUUCCUUCUUCUUUUGCUCCUGUGUUUCCUCUUUUGCUUCGGGUGUUUCGCCGCACGUGUCACGUUCUCUGCGAGGCAUGAAUAGAACAAUGGUUUUUUUAGGGAAUGAAUAGAACAAUGCUAACAAUGAGAUGACUAGCAAAUUAGAUCAUUUUUAUCGCCAUAUGGCACUGGGCUGCCGUGUUUCGUGCUCCUCCGUCGCAGUACUACUCCAGUGGAAAACUUGAGUAUACCACACGGUUCUUUGCUCCUCCUCGAUCAGGUCGUCGGCGCAUUUAUACGAGCAGUCAAAUCACAAGGCCCUGCCUUCCAGCAGUAAUGAGCCGUCAAAUCACAAAGGCCCUCGCCUCUCAUGAAAUCGACCAAGCUAGACUGCCCCGCCCUCUAGCCUUUUAAAAAAUGUAUACUUUUGUACAGCAGUAGUAUCGAUGGAUUGCGCCAUGGAGCAAAACUUGAAAUUAAAAAAAAGGUGGUACAUAUAGAGAGCGCUCGUCGCCAAAUUAUGCAUAUAGUACUAUUAAAAAGGCUAGUCACAAUAAUGUUGUCCAACACAACCCACCCCUCAAAUAAAACUAAGAGGGUGCUUGGAUACAUUUUAGUCCCAUGACUAAAAGUAGUGGGACUAAAACAUGCUAGCCUCACCCAUGCUUGGAUCCAAAUACUAAAAAGGCUAAAAUCAAGUUAAUGAGCAUUUAUUAUCCUCCAAACCCUCCAAUCCAGAACUCGCCUGUGUUAAAGGAGAGGAGUUAAAUGAGUAGAGAGAGGACUAAUCCACAUUUUAGUAGGGGUACCCCUGACUAAAAAAAAUUAGUCUCAAGACUAGUUUUAGCCCCUCUUUAGUCAGGGGUGCUUGGAACUUUAGCCUCUUAAAGAGACUAUUUUUAGUCAGACUAAAAUAAGUCCCUUGGAUCCAAGCAUCCUCUAAGCAUCCUGGAAUUCUUUGACAAAACUAAGCACCCUGAAAUUCUUUGACAACUAAACUGCUGGCUAUAUGAUGUUGGCCAUAUAUAUUGUACAUAUAUAAUGUGAAGAAACGAAUGGUAGUACUAUACCAACUAAAAGAUGAAAUGUAAGAAAUACUAGUAUGUACGUACUGAAGAGUUAAAGUAACGAGAAGAAACAUAACAUAGUUCUGUUAGGGGCUCAGCACAACACACCCCUCAAAUUAAAUUAAGCACACCUAAAAUUAAACUUUGCAACUAUUCCGGUAGACACUGCAUUAGAACCACCAUGAGCAACGACACUGCCACCUUACUCAGAGUCCUCGUCCACGUCCUGGACUUCGUCCUUGCCCCUCUUCCUCUUGGCUGACACUUCAUUGCUUGAACCGCACACUUGGCUGUUGCUCUUCAUCCAAGCCUUGUAGAUAUUGAAGCAAAGGUAGCCAUCCAUUGCAGCGUAGUGGAUGUGGUCUAUAUCUAGUACAUUCCGCUGCCAUGCAUGACGAUGAAACGUUUAUGGAGGUUUCUCCAGUUUACCAUACGAAGGAUGAACCAUGGCUCCUGCCAGGGUCAACAUUGAAGGCUGACAAGAGGACACCAGUCAAUUCUUCUGGAGGUCGAAGGUGUUGCCUACGACAAGGCCUAUCCGACGCAGGACUUCUUUGUCGUUACUAAAGUCUACAGUAACAAAUUUGACUAGGUUGCUCUCGAGGAAGUCCUUAAAAUCAUGGCACUCAACGUCGCCAUGGUAUAUGUGGUAGACCAAGCAUAAGUCAUGCUCGCAAACCUGGAUCACAGUGGACUUCUUCCUCUCUUCAUCCUUUAGAUCCUUCUCUGGUCCCAGGACUGUGGUGUACUCAACAUCUAGCCCAGCGACCCACUCAUCAUCUGAGUCUUCGGACAUGCGCUUGAAGUGAGAAAGCCAUCCUUUCACCGUCGCGGAAGAACGGGUGUAGAUGACGUCGAACUCAUCGCCGGUGAUGGUUCUAACCUUGUACUCACCGCCGAUCGUGGAGAUUUGGGACGCCAUGGAUUUGGGAGGAGGGUUAGGAUUAGUGGAACUGCCGUAAUGUGAAUGGACGGGACGACUAGGAGCGAACCGCCGUAGUAUUGAAGGACGUGCGGGGACGAGUAGGAGUGGCAUUAAUUAAUUGAAUCGUCUCGCCUCCCUCCGCAUGCAGCCGCAUGCAAGCCUCACGCGCACAUCCCUAGUGCAUGCUACGGCUGGGUAUUUAUUUCUCCCAAUCAGCGUACGCAACGAGCAGCGGAAUCAGUGUAAUAUGUGGUGAUUUAAUUAUAGCGGGACUAAUAAAAAUGGGACUAAUAUGUGGUGAUUUAAUUAUCUUCUCCUCUUAAACCACCGCCGCUCCUCUCAUGUUCCAAUCUAAAUGCAGCGCCGUUCUUCUCCUCUUCCAUUUCAAAACCACCGCCCCUCCUCUCCUGUUCCAGUCCAAAACCAGUGUCGCUCCUCUCCCGUUCUAAUCCAAAACCAGCGCUGCUCCUCUCCUCUUCCAUUCAAAAAUCACCGCCGGCGAGUGAAGGUGAUGUGGAGAAGUAGAUCGAUGGAGGAGUACAACCGAUACGUGAGGAUCGCAGACGGCGACCCUGUGAAGCUAACUAGGAUGUUGGAGAUACAGUCUUGGUUUGACAACAAGGACCAACUAGCAGCGACGGCGACAUCCAUGGCCAAAUAUCUACAACAGAGCGAAAAGGCGGCGAUACUCCCGGAGGGAGUCGCGCCGGAGUACAUAGAGCUGCUCCUCUGGGCCAUGGAGCAAACAGAUUCACCGAAUCCGAUCGUGAGGGAGCGGUGGUGGGAGUAUCGAUCCCAGAUGGAGCAUCCACCAGAGAUUGAAUGAUCGAGCAUCUACAGGGUGCCGUUUGUGAGGGUGUCCUGCCAGAGCGAGCCGGUGGAAUCUUCGUCGACCGAACCCAACUACAAGAGGAGAAAAGCAGUUGGCCCGAUGACGCUUCCCCUCCAUCGUCUCCCUCGCCGUUCACAUCGUCUCACGGGGUGGCUGUCUACGCCGAGGAAUAGGAGGGGGCUGCNNNNNNNNNNNNNNNNNNNNNNNNNNNNNNNNNNNNNNNNNNNNNNNNNNNNNNNNNNNNNNNNNNNNNNNNNNNNNNNNNNNNNNNNNNNNNNNNNNNNNNNNNNNNNNNNNNNNNNNNNNNNNNNNNNNNNNNNNNNNNNNNNNNNNNNNNNNNNNNNNNNNNNNNNNNNNNNNNNNNNNNNNNNNNNNNNNNNNNNNNNNNNNNNNNNNNNNNNNNNNNNNNNNNNNNNNNNNNNNNNNNNNNNNNNNNNNNNNNNNNNNNNNNNNNNNNNNNNNNNNNNNNNNNNNNNNNNNNNNNNNNNNNNNNNNNNNNNNNNNNNNNNNNNNNNCAGGUUGUGAAUUGUCAGGAGGAUCUUAGGGUUGUCAGUAUUUGCAGGUUGUGAAUUGUGUUUUGUGUUGUGUAUUUUGAGAGUACUUUCAUAUAUGAAUGUCUUUUGAUUUCACAUUUGCAGUGUUGAGCAUAUGAAGUAUUUUAUGAAUUCUAGAGAUCUAUUUUUAGCACUUAAAAAAAUGUAGUUUUAUAGGAGUAUAAAAGUGCAGACAAUGUGAUUCUCGGAGAAGAAACUCCAAGUUUCAGUUUCAGAUAACAAACUGCAACUUUCAGAGGCAGAGCAUUUAUAUUAACACGGCCUUUUCAAACAGGGUUAACAUCAUGUUGGAAGUUUUAUUCAUGGUCGAAAAUGGAACUACCAGCCAGUUAACAUCAUGCUGAUCAACAUUCAUGCAUAGCACAUGUUCAUAUGAUGCACAGUCAAAAUGCCCACACAAUGUCGAGUGUGCGAAACACAGAGAAAACGAGGGACGAAGUUUUGGCAAGUGUUGGACGUGGUUUUGGGAUGCCCCGUCUAGGCUUUCAUUUUUAACAUGCGCAGCCCACGACCUCGGAUGGGAGAUCCAUAGGCCUGUUUGUAUUUUCUUAGGGUCGUCAUGUAUCGACCGGCCUAUGGACCUCCCAUCCGGGGUUUUACUUUUGGCAGCCCAAUUUAUGUAUUUUUUGAAGAAAACAUAGAGGUCUGUUCUAUUUUUCUAUAUAAGAAUAGGAACGCCAGGUCCAACUUAUGUUUCCCUUCUAACUAUAUUAUAUAUAUUUAAAUUAUUUUAUAUGUUAUUAUAUAUUAUUUUUAUUGUCAUCAUAUAUUUAACAGAUACUUACAUACGUAAGAAAACAAUAUCCCACAUCUUAUUAACUUAUAAAAAUAAUUUCUUAACAAAUAAAAUCCUGGAUUGUUUUGGCACGAAAAUCCUAGUGAUUAUGUACAAAAGCUUGGUAAGAUUUAAGGACGAAUGUAAUAAUAUCACUUAUUAUUAAAUAUAUUUAUAACAAAAUGCUCAGCCCCUUUUUAUUUUCUGAUAACAUUGCUGGCCCAACCCAACAUUAUAAUUAGAAUCAGCCCAGCAAAAUCGUGUAUUUCGAGAAAGUGCAAAUGGCCUGUAAUUUUUUAGGAAAUAAAAUAAAUGGGCUGCAUGGACGCUACAUUAUUUGUUCACCCAGCCCAGCUAAUGGUUGUAAUUCAAAAAAAGGAUCAAAUUGACUGUAAAUUCUACCGCGCAAAAAAGACUGUAAAUUCUGAAAAAAUGGGUUGAAUACGUGCCACAUUUUUGGAGGCUGAAAUGUGGGCCAAUAGGUCGAAGCCAACGCAAGUCGUUGUCAAUUUAGUCAACAAAUGAUUCUGACAUGUUAGCUGUUGGAUUUACAUCCAACGACCGGCAUCCAUCUUCAAUCUCUCGUCUUUUUCCUCCAGCGCCGCCGGGACCACCUCCCGCCUCCUACUGCUAGCAGCUCUGCUUAGCAUGCUUUGCUAUGAAGCGCUACUUCAUCGUUGGCCAGGCCAUCCCUCCACCCCUCCACACCUCCUGUUCUUCUCCACCGACUGUCGAACCACACCGCACUAGAACCAGUUAACCCUCGUACACCUCUCCGUCUGUGACUCUACUCCCGUGUCUUCCCAUCUCCGGCUCGUUGCUGUUCGGGGCCUCGCCGUAUCCACCACCUUGGAUGCACUCGGUGCGGCGUGGUCAACGUGGUCAACGAAUGACACCAACGGAAGUAGACUGUGCGUGGAGAGGCUGACAGCUAGGUCCACGGCCGCACACAAGGAAAUGCCUCCUUAUUACGCGCAAAAUAAUGAUUCCUCCACCUGACAUCUGGGACCCACCGGAAGGGCCUCUGUAUUUUGCGAAAAUAACGUGCCCCCCGCUGACAUGUCGGACCCACCAGCUAUCUUCGCACGCAAAGAAGUGCCUCCUUAUUACGCACAAAUAAAUGAAUAUUCCCCCUGCCAGCUGGAACCCAGCAUAGUGGGAGGCUGACUUGUGGGCCUACCAAGUUAACGGGGACGGAAGGCUUUGUCAACUUAGUCAAUAUGAACGAUUCUAGCUCCUAUUACUGUACGAUGUUCAUCCAAUGGUCGUAGUGCUUCUUCGACCUCUGGUCUUCUUGCUCCAGCCGCCCAAACCAGCGUCGGUCGUGCCACGUGCACCUGCCUCCCGUGGCCGGCUGUGAUACCAUGGAGGCCUCACCGCCCCCUACUACUCCCACCGCUAGCCAGGCCAUCCCUCUACUCACCCACACCCCCUGUUAUUCUGUGGCGACAGCAGCCUCACACUGCAGCCGAACCAGUGAACCCUCGUACUCUUCUUCACGUGGGCAUCCACUGUUCCGUCUUCCCCGGCUCCGAGUCGUCCCCUUCCUAGUCCUCGCCAUCAUCCACCGCCGUGGUCGGCGCGGCAUGGUCAACGUGGUCAAGGAACGACUUCCAUCGGACAUGGACUGUACGUGGAGAGGCUGACAGCUGGGUCCACGGCCGCAGCAAGGAAGUGCCUCCUUAUUACGCGCAAAAUAAUGAUUCCUCCACCUGACAGCGGGGACCCACCGGACGGGCCACCGUAUUUCGCAAAAAAACGUUUCCCCCUAACUGCUGGGACCCACCAGCUACAUCUUCGCACGCAAGGAAGUGCGUCCGGGCAAAAAAAACGAUUUUCCCCCCUGACUGCUGGGACCUACCAGCUACAUCUUCGCACGCAAGGAAGUGCGUCCGGGCAAAAAAAAUGAUUCGCCCCCCUGACUGCUGGGACCCACCAGCUACAUGUUCGCACGCAAGGAAGUGCCUGACAGUCGAGACCCACCUGGUUGAAGCGUACAUAGCGUUGUCAUUCUGGUCGCGAACGUGUACAUACAUAUAUACUGGUGGAUGUAGAGGUGCGCACGUGUCGUAGUAGAGGCGUGUACGUGUCGUAGUAGAGGCGUGCACGUAGCAUGUGCACGUACGUACAGUGGCCAUGGUGCAAGAAAGAAAAUAUGGCCACGUAUGUGUACAUACGGACGGGGUCUCGAACGCCUACUCGCGCAUACGUACGGCCAGGGCUCAUGUACAUGGCUGGGUCGGAACGAAGAAACAGCGUCGUCGUCGUGUUCAUGGGGAGGCAACGGAAUGCAUCGUGUUCAUUGGGAGGCAGCGGAAUGCGUCGUGUUCAUGGGGAGGCAACGGAAUGCUCGUGUUCAUCGAGAGGCAACGGAACGCGUGGGAGCCAACCGGCUGGGUUGGAACGGAAUGCCUGGUCGUGUUCAUCGGGAAGGCUUGGACGGAACAGGCGAUGGAAAUGAGGCCUGGCGUACCGCAAAACGGAGGAAACGAACCUCCUACGUUCGGAACGGGGUCUUGUUGAUCGGGAAGGGUGUGGCGUAUCGCAAAACGGAGGAAACGGACCUCCUACGGUUGAAACAGGGGUCCUAUUGAUCAGGAGGGGUGUGGCGUACCGCAAAACGGACGAAACGGACCUUCUACGGUCGAAACGGGGGUCCUGUUGAUCGGGAGGGGUGUGGCGUACCGCAAAACGGGACUCCACGGGAUACUGUUCAUCUCCACCGUCGACCUCCUCCAGCCUCCACGGGCUACCGUCGACCUCCUCUAGCCCCCACGGGCUCCUGUUCAUCUAGCCUCCACAGCACGCUACUCCACCGGCUACUGUUCAACCACCCCUCCACGGGCACCCCUCUACCGUCUACUGUUCAUCAAGCCCUCCACACCACGGGGUCCUGUUCAUCCAGAGGCAACGCCACCGCUCACUGUUCAUCCACCCCCCCCCCCAAUGCUCACUGUUCAUCCAAUAGAUCGGCUUCAGUUAGCAGCAGUAGCGAAGGAAUCACUCGAUCGGGUUCAGUUAACAGCCAUCGAUCGAUCGCUCGGGUUCAAUAACGCGUAGCCUGUAGUGCAAUCGCUCAGGUUCAGUUAGAGCCCAAUGCCUCGCUCGGGUUCAGUUAGAGCCAACACCUCGCACACGCACGCGUAUGUGUAUGAGAGAAAUGCGCAUCGCUCGGCCCCCGACCUCCCACCGUAACCGGGAACUCCCCGAAAUUUUCCUCCCCCUCGCUUCUACCAUGGUUUUUUCCGUCAUGGACGGCCCAAAGAAUGUCAUGCAGCAGCGUCUCUGGCCCGCCCAGGACGAAAAGCCCAUUUUCUGUCAUGAUUUUUUGUCAUAGAAGUAGGAGCCCACCACAUCUAUGAUGAUACCGGGUUUUUUCACAAUUAUCGUCAUAGAAGUGUCAUAUGUAUGACAAAAAAAAUUGUUCGGCCCAAAAUGUCACGGAUGUGUCUUCUUUUGUAGUGAUAGUGGAUACUAGGGAUCAAACCCUAACAAAACUAACUCGAUUACAUGAUAGAUCCCAUCCAUCCCAUAACCGUCCUGCAAGCCUACGAUGGAAUUACUCACGCACGGUGGUGAGCAUCAUGAAAUUGGUGACGGAGGAUGGUUGAUGAUGACGAUGGUGACGCAUUCCCCUCUCCGGAGCCCCGAACGGACUCCAGAUCAGCCCUCCCGAGAGGUUUUAGGGCUUGGAGGCGGCUCCGUAUUGUAAAACGCGAUGAUUUCUUCUCUCUGAAUUUUUUCUCCCCGAAAGCAAAUAUAUAGAGUUGGGGUUGAGGUCGGAGGAGCUCCAGGGGGUCCACGAGGUAGGGGGGCGCGCGCCCCACCCUCGUGGACAGGUGGUGGGCCCCCUGACCUUCAUCUUUUGCAAGGAUUUUUUAUAUUUUCCGAAUAGAUGUUCCGUGAAGUUUCAGGUCAUUUCGAGAACUUUUGUUUCUGCACAUAAAUAACACCAUAGCAAUUCUACUAAAAACAGCGUCAGUCCGGGUUAGUUCCAUUCAAAUCAUGCAAGUUAGAGUCCAAAACAAGGACAAAAGUGUUUGGAAAAGUAGAUACGACGGAGACGUGUCAACUCCCCAAAGCUUAAACCUUUGCUUGUCCUCAAGCAAUUCAGUUGAUAAACUGAAAGUGAUAAAGAAAAACUUUUCCAAACUCUGUUUGCUCUUGUUGUUGUAAAUAUGUAAAGCCAGCAUUCAAGUUUUCAACAAAGAUUAUGACUAACCACAUUCACAAUAACGCUUAGGUCUCAAGUUUACUCAUAUCAAUGGCAUAAUCAACUAGCGAGCAAUAAUAAUAAAUCUCGGAUGACAGCACUUUCUCAAAACAAUCAUAAUAUGAUAUGACAAGAUGGUAUCUCGCUAGCCCUUUCUGAGACCGCAAAACAUAAAUGCAGAGCACCUUUAAAGAUCAAGGACUGACUAGACAUCGUAAUUCAUGGUAAAAGAGAUCCAGUCAAGUCAUACUCAAUGUAAACUAAUAGUAAUGAAUGCAAAUGAUAGCGGUGCUCUCCAACUGGUGCUUUUUAAUAAGAGGAUGAUGACUUAGCAUAAAAGUAAAUAGAUAGGCCCUUCGCAGAGGGAAACAGGGAUUUGUAGAGGUGCCAGAGCUCGGUUUUGAAAUAGAGGUGAAUAAUAUUUUGAGUGGUAUACUUUCAUUGUCAACAUAACAACCAAGAGAUGGCAAUAUCUUCCAUGCUACACACAUUAUAGUCGGUUCCGAAACAGAAUGGUAAAGUUUAUACUCCCCCUUCCACCAACAAGCAUCAAUCCAUGGCUUGCUCGAAACAACGAGUGCCUCCAACAAACAAGAGUCCCAGGGGGAGUUUUGUUUGCAAUUAUUUUGAUUUGAUUUGCAUAAAGCAUGGGACUGGGCAUCCCGGUGACCAGCCACUUUCUCGUGAGUGAGGAGCGGAGUCCACUCCUCUUGAGAAUAACCCACCUAAAAUGGAAGAUACGGACAACCCUAGUUGAUACAUGAGCUAUUCGAGCAUACAAAACAGGAUAUUUAUUUGAAGGUUUAGAGUUUGGCACAUACAAAUUUACUUGGAACGGUAGGUAGAUACCGUAUAUAGGUAGGUAUGGUGGACUCAUACGGAAUAACUUUGGGGUUUAAGGGAUUGGAUGCACAAGCAGUAUUCCCGCUUAGUACAGGUGAAGGCUAGCAAAAGACUGGGAAGCGACCAGCUAGAGAGCGACAACAGUCAUGAACAUGCAUUAAAAUUAAUCAACAUCGAAUGCAAGCAUGAGUAGGAUAUAAUCCACCAUGAACAUAAAUAUCAUGAAGGCUAUGUUGAUUUUGUUUCAACUACAUGCAUGAACAUGCGCCAAGUCAAGUCACUUAAAUCAUUCAGAGGAGGAUACCACCCUAUCAUACCACAUCACAACCAUUUUAAUAGCAUGUUGGCAUGCAAGGUAAACCAUUAUAACUCAUAGCUAAUCAAGCAUGGCACAAGAAACUAUGAUCUCUAGUUGUCAUUGCAAACAUGUUUAUUCAUAAUAGGCUGAAUCAAGAACGAUGAACUAAUCAUAUUUACAAAAACAAAAGAGGUCGAGUUCAUACCAGCUUUUCUCAUCUCAGUCAGUCCAUCAUAUAUCGUCAUAAUUGCCUUUCACUUGCACGACCGAACAAUGUGAAUAACAAUAAUAGUGUGUGUGCAUUGGACUAAGCUGGAAUCUGCAAGCAUUCGAUAAACAGGAGAAGAGAAUGCAAUAUGGGCUCUUUUGUCAGAUCAACAAUAAUGCAUAUAAGAGCUACUUCAACAAUUUAAUUAUGAUAUUCUCCCAUCGACCCCCAAAGAAAAGAAAAGAAAUAAAACUAUUUACAUGGGAAAGCUCCCAACAAGCAAAAGAAGAACAGGAAAUCUUUUUGGGUUUUCUUUUUAAUUACUACUACAAGCAUGGAAAGUAAACUAAUUAAAAGCUACAGCUAAUUUUUUUGGGUUUUUCUUAAGGUUUAUUAAACACACAAGAAGAAAGCAUAAAAAGGGAAUAAACUAGCAUGGAUGAUACAAUGAAAAAGUAUGAGCACUGACAUCUAGCAAUGAGUGUGUGAACAUGAAUAUAAUGUCGGUGGGAAAUACGUACUCCCCCAAGCUUAGGCUUUUGGCCUAAGUUGGUCUAUGGCCACGGCUGGCCUGGCGGAUAUCCAUAAUAAUAGUCGGGCUCGUACUGCGAUGCAGCGGCUAUCGCCUCCUGAGCUGCAGCGUGGCGACGAGCGGCCUCCGCUCUCCUCUCGUACUCAUCUGCCUCCUCUCUGGUAAUAACAUAUCUACCUUUUGCCUGAUAAUCAAAGAAGGCAGGAGCAGGGAGAGUAAUAUGGACAACACGCCGUCUGUCAAAGAUUAGUCGAUACUGGAGAGGUGAUUCAUUCCUCUCGACAAAUUGGUGGUGAACCAUAGCAUUAAAGUCUAGGUAAGCAGGAGGUAAUUCAAUAUCAUCUUCACGUAUGGCUAUACCAAGAAAAUUAGCUAUGCGGGUUGCAUAAAUUCCACCAAAGAAAUCUCCAUUAAAUCUAUUCAGAUGCAACCUACGUGCAACAAUGGCUCCCAAAUUAUAAGAUUUAUCUCCUAACACCGCGCUCCUAAGAAUACUGAGGUCAGGAACACACAUAUGACAUGCUUCAUCUUUACCAUUUAUGCAUCUACCUAUGAAGAGAGCGAAAUAAUGUAUAGCAGGAAAAUGUAUGCUCCCUAUGGUAGCUUCUGUUAUAUCUCUAGAUUCCCCCACAGUUAUACUAGCAAGAAAAUCUCUAAAUUCAGAUUUGCGAGGAUCCCUGACACUACCCCAUUGUGGAAGUUUGCAAGCAGUGGUAAAAUCCUCUAAGUCCAUAGUAUAAGAUUUUUCAUAAAGAUCAAACAGGACAGUUGGAGAAUUAUGUGAAGAUGAAAAUUCAAACCUCCUCACAAAGGAACUAGUGAGAUGGUGAUACUGGCUGCAUUUCUCUUCCUCGAAGCUCACAAGAUCAGCGUUACGCAAAUAUGCGUUAAAUUCUUCUUUAAUUCCUGCUCGAUCCAUAAAGUUUUCCGAAGGCCAUUCACAAGGACGCACUGGAGCAUUUCUUGGUGGCUCUUCAUCAGCAUCACGCAUUGCAAGCCUGGGUCCUUGCUUCCUUGAAGAACCACCUUGGAACAUUUUCCUAAGCAUAUUUCUUCCUCUGAAAAAUUCUGAAAAUUUUUAGUAACUUCAAAAUAAAAGUAAACCAAACUCAAUAAUAUUGAUAGAAACUACUCAUACAAGUGCCUAGAGCAUAUAUCAUGCAUCAAAACUACUUCGAACCGUAUAAAUUUGACAUGCAAGCUCAAGAACAUGGUCACCUAGGCAGCACAAAUUUGCAAUGAAUAAAGCACUAUAACAAAAACUAAUUGGACCAAUGGAGGAGUCACAUACUGAUAUGGACGUUGAUGCUAGUGAUGUCGAGGGAUCAAUAGAGCGAAAUAUCUACGCUCCUAAUUAUUUUCAGUUGAGUGAAGAUGGCUCGGUGGUCAAAUCAUUGAACAAUCAUUCUUGUUUUGUUCUGAGCGCAUGCAAUUACGGUGUAUUUCUUGAUUUGGUCCCGGGAGAUAAGAAACGAACUGAGUUAUAUGGUAAUGGAAAACUACAACGUGAGUACUACUUGCAUGGAUCUCAUCGGUCCUUGAGCCGUGCAUACUCAGGCCACAAGGUUGUACGUAUGGAUGAGUUUACAAGGGAAUAUUCUAAUCGGAGAUAUAGAGGCGUUGUACGCUGGUUUAAAAGGAAAUCAAUGCAAUUUAGAUUUUUAUAUUUAUUCUUGCCAGGCAAAGAGACGUAUCAGGGAGGAACAUGUAGAAGAUGCAGCGCAUGGAGUCUUCUUUCCUUAAAGGAAAUUGGAUGGGGUCCACCUGCCAUGCAAUCAGAGAAGACGCACGAACCUACAACAGAAUUAGUUUCCUUUUAUGUUUAGCCGUGAGAGAUAUCAAUUGAUGAAUAGUUCGGUUUGUUGCUCAAGUUAGAUGGAUUGGCUAAUAUAUAAAGCCAUGAUAUGCGUUCAUUGUAAAGCAGGUUAUUUGAUAAAAUAGACACGAUGUGUUUUCAAGGGUAUACACCCGUAUCAAGUCUUAGAGGGAUCUUUAGAAAACCUCUGUGUUGCGAUUUCUUUGUAGAAAUUAUUUUUGCGCGUGAGUAUCAUCGUCGAGAUUGAUUUUCUCGUGCUGGGCCGUAAGGUUCAAACCCUCUAUUUCGUGCAUAUCGCGUGCGCGGGUGAGAGGCUACUGCUGCUGAAGGUGGAGUGUCGUGAAAGGUCGGGCCGCAACAACGGAUCGGAUCUCGCCUCGAGGUUCGGUCUUUAUCACAUACCAAGGAACAAUCUCCCCAAGCAGUUUUGUGAGAGGUGCUUUGAGCAAGGAGAUCAAAAUGGGAGCAAAAUGAGCUUGGACUCGGGUUUGAGCUAGAUAUUCGUGUUUGUGGGAGGAAGAAGGAGUGUGUGGGUGAAAGGAUAAGUGGAGGAGGGCCACCAUGGGGCCACGAGGCAGGGGCGCGCCCAGGGGGGUAGUUCUCGGAAUGACCUGAAACUUCACGGAACAUCUUUUUCGGAAAUAAUAAAAAAUCCUUGCAAAAGAUGAAGACCAGGGGGCCCACCACCUGUCCACGAGGGUGGGGGCGCGCCUGCCCCCCUAGGGCGCGCCCCCCUACCUCGUGGGCCCCCUGGAGCUCCUCCGACCUCAACCCCAACUCUAUAUAUUUGGUUUUGGGGAGAAAAAAUCAGAGAGAAGAAAUCAUCGCGUUUUACGAUACGGGGCCGCCGCCAAGCCCUAAAACCUCUCGGGAGGGCUGAUCUAGAGUCUGUUUGGGGCUCCGAAGAGGGGAAUCCGUCGCCAUCGUCAUCAUCAACCAUCCUCCAUCACCAAUUUCAUGAUGCUCACCAUCGUGCGUGAGUAAUUACAUCGUAGGCUUGAUGGACGGUGAUGGGUUGGAUGAGAUUUAUCAUGUAAUCGAGUUAGUUUUGUUAGGGUUUGAUCCCUAGUAUCCACUAUGUUCUGAGAUUGAUGUUUCUAUGACUUUGCUAUGCUUAAUUCUUGUCACUAGGGCCCGAGUGCCAUGAUUUCACAUCUCAACCUAUUAUGUUUUCAUCAAUAUAUGAGAGUUCUUGAUCCUAUCUUGCAAGUCUAUAGUCACCUAUUAUGUGUUAUGAUCCGUUAACCCCGAAGUGACAAUAAUCGGGAUACUUACUGGUGAUGACCAUAGUUUGAGGAGUUCAUGUGUUCACUAUGUGCUAAUGCUUUGUUCCGGUACUCUAUUAAAAGGAGGCCUUAAUAUCCCUUAGUUUCCAAUAGGACCCCGCUGCCACGGGAGGGUAGGACAAAAGAUGUCAUGCAAGUUCUUUUCCAUAAGCACGUAUGACUAUAUUUGGAAUACAUGCCUACAUUACAUUGAUGAAUUGUAGCUAGUUCUGUGUCACCCUAGGUUAUGACUGUUACAUGAUGAACCACAUCCGGCAUAAUUCUCCAUCACUGAUCCAUUGCCUACGAGCUUUCCAUAUAUUGUUCUUUGCUUAUUUACUUUUUCGUUGCUAUUGCUAUCAUCACUACAAAAUACCAAAAACAUUACUUUUACUACUGUUACCUUUUGCUAUCGUUAUCACUACUAUCAUAUUACUUUGCUACUAAACACUUUGCUGCAAAUAUUAAGUUUCCAGGUGUGGUUGAAUUGACAACUCAGCUGCUAAUACUUGAGAAUAUUCUUUGGCUCCCCUUGUGUCGAAUCAUUAAAUUUGGGUUGAAUACUCUACCCUCAAAACUGUUGCGAUCCCCUAUACUUGUGGGUUAUCACCCGGUCACCCGCUCCCGUGCCCGCAGCUGCUACCGUUGUCGUUGCCUGCUGCCACUCCCACCGCUGCCGCCGCCUUCCACUGGCCCCGCCUGUGCCGGCUCCAGCCGCCAUUGCUCCCGCGGCUUCCCGAAGCCCCUCCGCCCGUGCCGGCUCCAGCCGCCGCUGCUCCACUGGCCAACUGCCGGCACCCCACAUCUGUGUGUUCGUGCGUGAGCACCGGCACAUAGUGGCUGGCACGUGCCACCGACACGUGGGCCCUAGUAGAUUAGAUUAGGAACUAAUUUGAAUAGUCUCUUUAGCUCACCGCUAAUAGACACUAAUAGUAGGGCCCCACCUACUAAUUAGGACAAAUUAAACUAAAAUAAAACCCUGUUAAAUAGUCUGAGUCAAUGACAUGUGGGCCCCACUGACCAUAUCGACCAGUUGACCAGUCAACAUUGACUGGUCAACUGCUGACCGUACAUACUGAUUCAGCCCCCUGGACCCCACUGAUCAUACACAUCGACUAGCCAAUACCCUAGUAACAAAAGUAUUUAGGGAUUUAAAUUCUAAUUGAAUAAUUCCAAAAAUUAAAAAAUGAUUUAAAACUUUGAAAACUAAUAGAAAAUAAACCGUAAAUUGGAUGAAAAUACUUUGUACAUGAACGUUUCUCAGAACGAUGAGAUGAAUCCAAAUACGCAGUCCGUUCGUUCACCACACGUCCCUAGCAUAGCGAACCUGCAACCGUCCCCCUCCGGUCCGUUUGUCCAAAAACGUGAAACACCAGGAAUACUUUCCCGGAUGUUUCCCCCCUUUGCCAGUAUCACCUAUCCCUGCGUUAGAUCACCCCUGGCACCGCGUAUUGCCUUUUUAUAUUUUGUGAUGCUUUGUUUGCUCCGUAUUUACUGUUUCUCCCUCCUCUUCUUCUUCGUUAGACCCGAGACCGGCGCUGAUGCCACUGAGUAUGACUACAUCACCGACAACCCUUCUUCCUGUACAACAGAGCUUCCAGGCAAGCCCCCCCCCCUUGAUCAACCCGAUAUCGCCUAUUCUUCUCUCUACUGCUUGCAUUAGAAUAGUGUAGCAUGUUAUUGUUUUUGGUUAAUCCUAUUCUGUUGCAUAGCCUGUCAUUGUUGCUACAGUUGUUGAUACCUUACAUGCAAUCCUGAAUGCUUAGUAUAGGAUGCUAGUUUAUCAUCAGUGACCCUACAUUCUUGUCCGUCUGCCAUGCUAUACUAUCGGGCCGUGAUCACGGGUAUAUACUAUAUAUCUUAUACAUGAUACAUGUGAUGACUAAAGACGGGUCGGCUCAUAGAGUACCCGCGAGUGAUUCACGGAUUGGGGGCUGAAAGGACCUUUGUCCCGACGGCCCUCUGGGUGGAUCUUUGUGGCAGAGCGACAGGGCAGGUUGAGACCACCUAGGAGAGAGGGUGGGCCUGGCACUGGUCGGCGUAUGCGGUUACAUCAAUUAACACGCUUAACGAGAUCUUGGUAUUUGAUCUGAGUCUGACCACUGGCCUAUACGCACUAACCAACUACGCGGGAACAAUUAUGGGCACUCGACGUUGUGGUAUCAGCCGAAGCCUUCUUGAUGUCAGCGACUAAGCAGCGCGCGCCGGAUUGGACCGUAGGCCUGCGCUUGAAUUAAGGGGGCUAGGUCUGCUUCAGGACGCGUACGCAAUGUGCAGGUGUGCAAUGGGCGAUGGGCCCAGACCCCUGCGCACAUAGGAUUUAGACCGGUGUGCUGACCUCUCUGUUGUGCCUAGGUGGGGUUGUGAUGUGUUGAUCUUCUGAGGCUAGGCAUGACCCAGGAAAGUUUGUCCGGCCAAAGGAGAUCGAGCAUGUUGGGUUAUGUGGUGCACCCCUUCAGGGAAGUUUAUCUAUUCGAAUAGUCGUGUCCCUCGGUAAAAGGACGACCCGGAGUUGUACCUUAACCUUAUGACAACUAGAACUGGAUACUUAAUAAAACACACCCUUUCAAGUGCCAGAUACAACCCGGUGAUCGCUCUCUAACAGGGCGACGAGGAGAGGAUCGCCGGGUAGGAUUAUGCUAUACGAUGAUACUUGGUGAACUUACCAUCUACUCUCUUCUACUGCUUCAAGAUGGAGGCUGUUAGAAGCGUAGUCUUCGAUAGGACUAGCUAUCCCCCUCUUAUUCUGGCAUUCUACAGUUCAGUCCACAGAUACUACCCAUUUCAUUGAUACCAAUGCAUAUGUAGUGUAGAUCCUUGCUUGCGAGUACUUUGGAUGAGUACUCACGGUUGCUUUGCUCCCCCUUUUUCUACCUGGUUGUUGCAACCAGAUGAUGGAGUCCAGGAGCCAGAGGAUCCUGAGGAUGAUUCUAUGUGGAGUUCGACUUCGAGGAGUAGUUAGGAGGUCCCAGGAAGGAGGCCUCGCCUUUUUGACCGUUGCUACUUUUGUGCUAGCCUUAUUAAGGCAAUCUUGUUUAACUUAUGUCUGUACUCAGAUAUUGUUGCUUCCGCUGACUCUUGUGUCUUCGAGCAUUUGUAUUCGAGCCUUCGAGGGCCCUGUCUUGUAAUAUAAAGCUUGUAUUAUUUUAUUUGUGUCUAGAGUUGUGUUGUGAUAUCUUCCCAUGACUCCCUAAUCGUACACAUUUGAGUGUAUGAUUAGUGUACGGUAAAAUCGGGGGCGUCACACCUGCAAGCUUAAAUAAUCCACAAACUUCAUCCACAUAGAUUAGGUGCAUAUCGGGAUGUAAUGUUCCAUCUCUUGUAAAAGGAUUAGCUAGCAGUUUCUCUAUCAUACCCGAAGGAAUUUCAAAGUAAACAUUUUCAGUAGGUUCGGUAGGUUGAGGAGCAACUCUUUGCUCUACUGGUCAGGGUGAAGAUACCCCGAACAAGCCCCUCAAAUGAUUGUUUUCCAUAGUAACAAGUGACAGUAAAUUUCAGCACACUAUAUAAAUUUUUCCUUACCAAAUUCCACUUACCAAAGGCGCUUCACUCCCCGGCAACAGCGCCAGAAAAGAGUCUUCAUGACCCACAAGUAUAGGGGAUCUAUCAUAGUCCUUUCAAUAAGUAAGAGUGUCGAACCCAACGAGGAGCAGAAGGAAAUGACAAGUAGUUUCCAGUAAGGUAUUCUCUACAAGCACUAAAAUUAUCUGUAACAGAUAGUUUUGUGAUAAGGUAAUUUGGAACGGGUAACAAGUAACAAAAGUAAGCAAGGUGCAGCAAGGUGGCCCAAUCCUUUUUGUAGCAAAUGACAAGCCUGGAAAAACUCUUAUAUAAAGUAAAGCGCUCCCGAGGACAGAUGGGAAUUAUCGUCAAGCUAGUUUUCAUCAUGCUCAUAUGAUUCGCGUUUGUUACUUUGAUAAUUUGAUAUGUGGGUGGACCGGUGCUUGGGUACUUCCCUUCCUUGGACAAGCAUCCCACUUAUGAUUAACCCCCUUCGCAAGCAUCCACAACUCCAAAAGAAGAAUUAAAGUAAACCUAACCAUAGCAUGAAAGAUAUGGAUCCAAAUCAGCCCCUUAUGAAGCAAUGCAUAAACUAGGGUUUAAGCUUCUGUCACUCUAGCAACCCAUCAUCUACUUAUUACUUCCCAAUGCCUUCCCCUAGGCCCAAACAAUGGUUAAGUUUCAUGUAGUCGACGUUCACAUAACACCACUAGAGGAAAGACAACAUACAUCUCAUCAAAAUAUCGAACGAAUACCAAAUUGACAUGACUACUUAUAGCAAGACUUCUCCCAUGUCCUCGGGAACAAAUGUAACUACUCACAAAUCACUUUCAUGUUCAUAAUCAGAGGGGUAUUAAUAUGCAUAAAGGAUCUGAACAUAUAAUCUUCCACUGGAUAAACCAACUAGCAUCAACUACAAGGAGUAAUCAACACUACUAGCAACCCACAGGUACCAAUCUGAGGUUUUGAGACAAAGAUCGGAUACAAGAGAUGAACUAGGGUUUGAGAGGAGAUGGUGCUGGUGAAGACGUUGAUGGAGAUUGACCCCCUUCCGAUGAGAGGAUCAAUGGUGAUGACGAUGGUGACGAUUUCCCCCUCCUGGAGGGAUGUUUCCCCGGCAGAACAGCUCCGCCGGAGCCCUAGAUUGGUUUCGCCAAGGUUCCGCCUUGAGAGGGUGGUGCUUCAUCCCGAAAGCUUCCUUCUGAUUUUUUCCAGGGCGAAAGACACCUUAUACCAGAAGAUGGGCAUCGGGGGGCUUCCAAGUGGCCCACGAGGGAGGGGACGCGCCCAGGGGGUAGGGCGCGCCCUCCACCCUCGUGGACGGUGGGUGGUCCCCUAUGGUGUUUCCUUUCCCAAUAUUUUUUAUAUAUUCCAAAACCGACUUUCGUGGACUUUUAGGACUUUUGGAGUUGUGAAGAAUAGUCUCUAAUAUUUGCUCCUUUUCCAGCCCGAAAUUCCAGCUGCCGGCAUUCUCGCUCUUCAUGUAAACCUUGUAAAAUAAGAGAGAAAAGGCAUAAGUAUUGUGACAUAAUGUGUAAUAACAGCCCAUAAUGCAAUAAAUAUCAAUAUAAAAGCAUGAUGCAAAAUGGACGUAUCACUAAGUUUAGGUCUUUCUUGAGCUAACCCAGGUAACUAAGCAUAUUAGAGCUAAUUUAGCAUUUUAGAGCUAACUUAGGGCUAACUUAGGUCAUUUUGGAGCUAACUUAGGUAAAAUUGAUCAUUUUGGAGCUACUUAGGCUUAUUAUGUCAUUUCAAGAAAAAUAAGCUAACUAUAUGUCAUAUAUGAGGUUACCAAGAUUGUUAUGCUAUUUCAAACCUAAGUAAGCUAAUUAUGCCAUUUUUACAUAAGUAAACCAAGUGUAUGUCAUUAUUGAGCAAACCUAGGUAACUAAGCAUAUUAGAGAUAACUUAGCAUAUUAGAGCUAACUUAGGUCAUUUUGGAGGAAACAAAGCAAAGUAUAGAUCAUUUUGGAGAUCUGACAUACCUGACAUAGUUCACUCCUCCUUCUCCUUCAUCAUUCUGAUGCGCUUAGAGCGGCGAGGCAGUGAGAUGUACUCUUCUACCACAAUUGGCAUGGUCAUGUCGCUCGGUUGUGGGAUCGCCGGCGCCACCACCAUCGCGAGGUCAUUGUCAGGCACCACCACCAUCGCGAGGCCAUCUUCAGGAAACACCAUCGCUAGGUCAUCCUCAUCCACCACCAUCUCUUGCCCAUCGUCAGCCACCACCAUCGCUUGUCCAUCGUCAGCCACCACCAUCGCGAGGUCAUCGUCAGAUAGAAUAGGCUGCACCUCCUCAUCCCCACUCUGCUCCUCUUCUUCCCUACUCCAUUCCGGAUCAUCCUCGCUGCUGCUUUUGCUGUAGCCAGACUCGGUGUUGCUUUUGUUGUAGCCAGAGUCGCUAUCGCUGCUCUGAUUGCCUGGCCAAAUGCAACAAAGUUUUUUAACAAUCAGUGUGAUACAAAGCCAAAUGGAUAGGAAGAAGAGGCAGAGCGUACUGGCAUCGCCGUCCUCCUAGUAGCGCAUGUGGCACAUAUCCGUGUUGAACACCUUCACGGUGAGCAUGGCGUCGCCGUCGUACCUGAAGACAAGGAAGUACCUGUGCCGCAGGUCAUAGGCACGGAAGAACUGCUCCCAGCCACGACACAGGUACAUGUGGUCGUUCUUGAUCACCACCUCCACGUCCCAAAGCCUGCGAAGCCCGCUGCCGGCCUAUCGCAGCUUCACAUUCUUUGGCCGAUGGCCGUCCAGCAUCUCCAUAAAAGUGUCAGGCGGCCUCUGCAACGUGGGUCAAGGAGUGAUGUAGGAAACAACAGAGUUAUGAUAAAGAGAUGGGUGAAGGGGAGAUAUCUCCUUUUAUAUACCUGCCUCUUGGAGGAAUUCUCAAGUAUGAUCGUGAAGAACUCGAAACCUUCCAAGUCAUACUCCGGUGUGGCAGAGCGCAGCCUGCGGUGGCGGCCUCCCCCCCCCCCAUCUCUGAUAAGCAGCAGAAGAGACCAAUUACUACCCUUACAACAUUAUCAUAUAACAUUACAGUAGCAGAAGUUUUGAGCAGAAGAUAAUCAACUACAAUUAAUUAAUUUGGUAUGUUAGUUAGCAAUAGUUGGAACAGAGCCAAGUUUUUAGACAUGAAAGAAAACUAAGAAAAAAAAGCAAUGCACUUGUGCUCAACAACAUCAACAACACUUAAUUAAUUUCAUAGGUUAGUUGGCAAUGGCAAUUGGCACCCUUCAAAACUAGGGAUUUUUUAGACAUGAAAGAAAACUGAAAAUGUUGAAAAACAGAGCAUAGUAAUAUAAAAAACAGAGCAUAUUUUAGGUGGCUCUAGGUUGACAUACUAGAGCUGAGCACAAUAUUUAUUAGCAGCAUGUUAUUCAAUAUAUUCUUGAUCAUCAAAUGAAAGAGUAUAUAUAUCGUCACCAUGCCUAUAUGGUUCAAUUUGUAAAUCAGCCAUAAACCCCCGCGGAACUACUCUCAUUGCACUACAUGGAAAUUUACUAGGUGACAUGGCAAAAAUUUCAGGAACAAAGCAGAUUUGACGUUGUGGUCCAUGGCAGUUUUCUACACGAACUGUUCUAAAUCAAGUGUGUUAUCCUCAUUUUUAUUCUAAGUGUGGCAGUGUUUACAUACAACAUGGCAAUUUCACACAAUCUCCUGUCGGCUACAUGAAACAGAAAUUAAACCUAAACUAAAUGUCAAUUUUUCAUCUUCUUCUUCCUCCUGUCGGCUAAACCUAAACAAAUAGAAAGUAAACCUAAACCUAAACACACACAGAGAGAAGAGGGAGGGUGGCGCACCUCGGUGUUGGAGACGGCCGGGGUCGGAGGCAGAGGUGGUUGGGCGUCCUUCUCGGGGGAGGGCCGGGCUGGGGGGUCGACGGUGACGACGUAGGAGGGGCCGGAGCUCGGGGCGGUGGUGGUCGACGACGGGACAACGACAGCGCGAUGAGAUGGCCGUGUUCGGUGACAGCAUUGGCGAGGCGAGGCAGAGGACUCGGGCGGCGACGCGCGGGGGUGAAGGAGGGGUGAGAAGGUGACAGCCAAGGCGAGGAGGAGGCGGUGAUGGGCGGGGCGGCGCCGGGGACAGCGGAUGGCGGCGGGGCACGUCAGGGCACAGCCCGAUCCAGAACUGGAUCUAGNNNNNNNNNNNNNNNNNNNNNNNNNNNNNNNNNNNNNNNNNNNNNNNNNNNNNNNNNNNNNNNNNNNNNNNNNNNNNNNNNNNNNNNNNNNNNNNNNNNNNNNNNNNNNNNNNNNNNNNNNNNNNNNNNNNNNNNNNNNNNNNNNNNNNNNNNNNNNNNNNNNNNNNNNNNNNNNNNNNNNNNNNNNNNNNNNNNNNNNNNNNNNNNNNNNNNNNNNNNNNNNNNNNNNNNNNNNNNNNNNNNNNNNNNNNNNNNNNNNNNNNNNNNNNNNNNNNNNNNNNNNNNNNNNNNNNNNNNNNNNNNNNNNNNNAGGUGAGGGCUGGGAGAGAGAGAGUGACGCCCUCGAUUCAAUCGUACACUAAUCAUACACGCAAAUGUGUACAAUCAAGAUCAAGGACUCACGGGACGAUAUCACAACACAACUCUAGACACAAAUUUAAAAUAAUACAAGCUUUAUAUUACAAGCCAGGGGCCUCGAGGGCUCGAAAACAUAAGCUCGAAGACACAAGAGUCAGCGGAAGCAACAAUAUAUGAGUACAGACAUAAGUUAGACAAGUUUGCCUUAAGAAGGCUAGCACAAAAGCAACAUCGAUCGAAAAGGCAAGGCCUCCUGCCUGGGAGCCUCCUAACUACUCCUAGUCGUCUGCGGUCUUCACGUAGUAGUAGGCAUCCUCCGGGUAGUAGUAGUCAUCAGUGGCGUCGGCUGGCUCCUGGGAUCCGUCAUCUGGUCGCAACAAUCGGGUAUGGGGGGAAAGGAAGUAGCAAAGCUUCCGUGAGUACUCAUCCAAAGUACUCGCAAGACUUACAUCAUAUCUAAACUAAGUAUGCCUCUGUAUCAAAGGAAUGGGUUGUAUCUGUGGACUAAACUGUAGAAUGCCAGAAGAGAAGGGGGAAAGCCUAGCCUAUCAAAGACUAGCAUCUUCUGGAAACCACCAUCUUGCAGCAACAGGACGGAGUAGAGUAGCAUAAAGUAAAGUAGCAGUAGUGUUAUCAACCUCGGCCAGAGAUCCUUUCUCGACUCCCUGAGAGAAAGAAAUCCCAGAGCCAUACUAUCCAUUUCUCAUGUCCAUUUCUCAUCACCAUCCAUUUUUCAUCACAAUCCAUUUCUCAUCUCAAGUAACCAAUUCUAGUUGUAUUGAUCGGGAUACAACUCCAAGUGUCUGUUACCGUAGGACAGGCUAUCGAUAGAUGUUUUCUUCCCUGCAGGGGUGCACCAACUUACCCACCACGCUCGAUUAACUCCGGCCGGACACACUUUCCUAGGUCAUGCCCGGCCUCGGCCAAACAAUACGCCGCAACCCGACCUAGGCUUAAUAGAGAGGCCAGCACGCCGGACUAAACCUAUGCCCCCAGGGGUCAUGGGCCAUCUCCCUAGGAACUCAUGCACGUUGCGUACGCGGCCGGUGAGCAGGCCUAGCUACCUCCUUCAACAAGGCAGGAGCUUACACAGUCCAACCCGGCGCGCGCCGCUUAGUCACUGACGUCUACUAAGCUUCGGCUGAUGUAUACGAUGCAGAACGCCCAUACUAUGCCCACGUGAUGGUUAGUGCUAUCAGGCCAGAGGCCCCUCGGAUCAAAUAUCCAAACCGUAGUGGAUUAGGAGCACGCGGUAACGAGCAGAGACUCACGAUCGAUGUGACCCCAUCGCCCCGUCUCAAGUACUUGCGGCAAGGGCUAAGAAUGCCCGGCCACGCCUCGUAAGUAUCUCGCGGGCACCUUCCAGGUCAACCCGACUCCACAUCACUAGCUAUUAAGCUCGCGCGGGUACCUCUCAGGACCGACCCGUCUUUAGUAACAUGGCUCAGUGCAAAGUCAUAGUAACCAUAGUAACUGUGUGUCUAACACCAAGGGGAAAACCCGAGGAAUCACCCCCGGUGAAUUCCACUCGAUGUUAUGAUCAAGGUGAACGUAAGAGGAUCCAUCCUCGAGGUUCACACUUGAGGGGUUGCACGACAGAGCCAUAAUGGAAGUAGUUAAGGAGGAAAUCACCCUCGAUGAUCACGACCGAAUAGCUACACUACAGAGAUCUCAUCAGGAGUGAUGUAUGAGGUUCACCCUCGGCACUCGAUAGUAACUCUGUAGUGUCGUACAACUAGGGGGGUGAUGUGCGGUGUCGGGGCCUGGACGUCGAUCACGUUGAUCGAGUCAUCGAACAUAAAGCGGGGCAACUGGGACAAGGUGGGGGUCACUGAUUGAUCACUAACCAACCUAUACUAAGCAGUUUAGGAUAAGCAGAUAAGUAUGGAAGCAGGUAACAAAAAUAUAGGCUAUGCAUCAGAGUAGGAUCAUACAGAAAGCAGUAGCAGUUCUAAUGCAAGCAUGAGAGGGAAAGAAAUGGGCGAUAUCAGAAUGCUCAAGGGGGGUUUGCUUGCCUGGUUGCUCUGGCAAGGAGGGGUCGUCGACGACGUACUCGAUCACAGGGGCGGCAUCGGUCUCGGGGUCUACCGGAGAGAAGAGGGGGAAGAAACCGUAAAUAUAAAGCAAGCAUAGCAUCACAAAGCAUAACAUGGCAAUAUGCUGAGCCAGGUGUGACCUAACGUAUGGCUACACGAUAAAGGUGAAGGGGAAAUUCAACCGGGAAUGAUUUCCCGGUUCCGGACCUGUGUCAUACACAUGACCCGAGAGGGAAUGUUCCAUGUUCAGCAUGCUAGGGGCAUGUGACAGAUGAACGGAUCGCGUAUUCGGAUUCGUCUCGUCGUUCUGAGCAACUUUCAUAUAUAAAGUUUUUCGAUCCGAGUUACGUUAAUUUUCUAUGAAUUAUUAAAGUUUUAGCGAUUUCCUGAAAUUAUUAUUAAAUAUUAAAUUUGACAGAAAUUGAAUAAUGACAUUAGCAUGAGGUCAAAGUGAUGUCAGCGGUCAACUUUGACCUGUUGACAAGUCAAACUGACAAAUGGGUCCUACUGUCAUAGAGACAGUUUAGUUAAACAAUAUUAGAUUAACUAAUCUAUCUAGUUAACCAGGUUAUUAAGCAUGUUAAUUAAGUUAAUUAAUUAUAUUGCUAAUUAAUUAUUAUUUUUACUUUUUAAUUUUAUUUUUCGUUCCUUUUGUUUACAAGGGCCGGCCCACAUGUCAUAGGAUACAACUAAAACUAAGUGUAAUAUAAAUUAGUCUAACAAAGGGACUUGUUUUAGCUGGGGAUUAGCCCCUAAGCUAGCAAGGGGCCGGCCACACACACGGCCGUGGCAAAAGCCAGCCACACACAGCACGUACGCACGCACAACACGCACAGUCACAACUCACGCACACACACACUGCGCUCUCACGCACCACGGCCAUGGCCUUUGCCGUGGCUAGCAUCAAGCAGAACAGAGGCAAGGCAGCGCAGAAGCACGCAAGGAGCAUCAGCAGUGCGGCGGCAGUACGCAGCAGCAGCGGCCAGCAGCAAAUGGAGCAGCAGCGCAGGCACGCACACGCAGUAGGGGCGGGCGAGCACGGGACAGCAGCAGCGACAACCGGCAACAACGAUAGUAGAAGAAGUAACAGGCGGCAGCGAACGCACGCACAUACGCGUACACGGGGGUUCGAGCUCGACGGAGAUGACGGCCUACGGCGUCCAAAUCGAAGGGCUAAAAGGGGGACCCGAGGGAGAAGCUCACCCCGGUUCUCGUGGACGAGGUUAGAAGGUCGGAGGCGGCCCGGAGCAGUGGCAACGACGACGAGUUGGUGACGUCCGCGGCGGAGAAGGGCUCGAUGGCGAGCACACGGACCGUCCCGGCUUGAGGUGGUCCCCGGAGCGGACGGAUCCGGCCGCGCCGGACCUCCUGGACAUGCUCCCGCACGCCGGAGAUGACGGUGGCCGCGGAUGACGGCGAGGUCGGCGGGGCAGAGGCGGACCGGUCAGGGCGCAGAAGGAGGAGGGGGCGCGAGGGAGAGAGAUCGAGGGGCUAAGGUUUCGGUGGGGUGUGGGGGUUCCCUUAUAGGUCAAAAGGAGGGGCUCGUGGCAGCCAUCCAUGGCCAUGGCGCCGUGGAUGAGCGCCACGCCCUCCUGGUCUCCUGUAGAGGAGGGAGAGGUGGAGGUGGGCUGGUUGUUUAGCUAGAUGGGCCAAAUGGCCCAGGGGAGGAGGGUUUCUCUUUUCUCUAUUUUUUGAUAUAUAUAUUUUCUGUUCCAAUGUUAGCUGUUGUUUUCUAUUUAAAAGUAAGACUAAAUGAGUUUUGUUAGAUUUGAGACUUGUCACAUAAAUCAAGUACAUUAUUUCUAGGAGUCACAAAAUGUUUGAGGCCAAAAGGAGAUGUUUAACCAUUUUUAGAAAUUGAAAAGGCCAAUUUUAAAUGCCGCUGGACCACUAAAUAAUUUCCAGGGGCACUUUGGGAAUCCAAAAGGGGUUGGUUCCAACAUGAAAAAUAUCCAGGGAUUAUUUGGCACACUUUGACCAUUUUAGUUUUCAUGUUUGGAAAAUUUGAAUUUUUUACUUUGAAUUUGAGUUUGAACAUGAACAGUGAUUUGGAUCAAGUGAGGAUUAGCAACAGUAGUGUGAUGACAUGGCACCAUCAACAGGGGAUUACUGUAGCAUGACAUCGGGGUGUUACAGAGAGAGAGAGGGGGGAGGGAGAUCACUUAGCGGGGUGGGGCCGGGGGGAAACGGCCACUUUCUUUGUCGUCUGCUGGCUGACGGCAAAUAAGCUUUGUCGCCCGCUAGCAGACGGCAAAGAAAGUGGCUGUUAGGUCGUCCUCAUAGUCCGCCACCCACCAUCUGCAAAGCUUCUAUGCAGUUAGCUAGCAGACGGCAAAUACCUUCUUUGACGUCUGCUCUUUCUUUGCCGACAACUUUAUUUAAGCUGAUGGCAAAGAACUUCUUUGCCGUCAGCUAGCAGACGGCAAAGAGCUGGCUGACAGCAAAGAUCCUGAUUCCAGUAGUGACUAGCAUGAAUGUAAUAUCACCAUAAUCAUAUCUCAAAACAAUCAUAAGGAAUCAAACUUCUCAUAGUAUUCAAUGCAUUUUAUAUGAAAGUUUUUAUUAUAUCCCUCUUGGAUGCCCAUCAUAUUAGGACUAAAUUCAUAACCUAAGCAAAUUACCAUGCUAUUUAGAGACUCUCAAAAUAAUAUAAGUGAAGCAUGAGAGUUCAUCAAUUUCUUCAAAAUAAAACUACCGUCGUGCUCUAAAAAUAUAUAAGUGAAGCACUAGAGCAAAUGACAAACUACUCCAAAGAUAUAAGUGAAGCACACUAAGUAGUUGAAUAAUUAUGCAACUAUGUGAAGACUCAUUCUCAUAAAUAAAAUUUCCAAUCUUAAGUACUUUAUUGAAACAGCAAACAAAACAAAAUAAAAUAAAAUUACAUUGCAAGGAUAGCACAUAUCAUGUGAAGAAGCAAAAACUUAUGUUAGAAAGGUGGGAUGCCAACCGGGGCAUCCCCAAGCUUAGAUGUUUGAGACUUCUUGAAAUAUUAAUUUGGGAUGCCUUGGGCAUGCCCAAGCUUGAGCUUUUGUGUCUCCUUAAUUCCUUUCAUAUCGCAGUUUUCGUAAAUCUCAAAAACUUCAUUCACACAAAACUCAACAAGAACUCGUGAGAUAAGUUACUAUAAAUCCAUGCAUAAACCUUAUCAUUCUCUACUGUAGAAAAUCACUAAAGUUAUUAUUUGAUAUUGCCUACUAAAUGCCUCUGCAUAUUUAAGAGUCCUAUAUUCAAAUAGAAUCAUUAAACAAACAAACAUAUGCAAACAAUGCAAACAUAACAGCAAUCUGUCUAAACAGGAUAGUCUGUAAAAAAUGCAAGAGGAAUCAUACUCCUUUAACUCCAAAAAUUCUGAAAAAUUACCACACUGUAGAAAAUUUGUUGUUACUAAUUUUAUAAAAAUUUCAAGAUUUUACCAUGUUCUAACUAUUCAUCAAUAUUCAAAACAUAACAACAAACUUUCUGUUUUUAAAACAGCAACAUAUAGACUUGCAAAAUAAGCAUGGUAAAGGCUGUACUUUACCUUUUUAUUGAACUAAAAGAUGCAAAACAUUAUUCUAAAUAACAGAAAGCAAAUUCUAAUAAAAUAAAAUGAUGCUCCAAGCAAAACUCACAUCAUGUGGUGAAUAAAAAUAUAACCUCAAAUAAAGUUACCGAUGAAUGAAGACGAAAGAGGGGAUGCCAUCCGAGGCAUCCCCAAGCUUAGUUGCUUGGGUAUUCCUUGAAUAUUACCUUGGGGUGCCUUGGGCAUCCCCAAGCUUAGGCUCUUGUCACUCCUUAUUCCGUAGUACAUCGAAACUUCACCCAAAACAUGAAAACUUCACAACACAAAACUCAACAGAAAAUCUCAUAAGCUCCGUUAGUAUAAGAAAAUAAAUCACCACUUUCGGUAAUAUUGUGAACUCAUUCUUUAUUUAUAUUGGUGUAAUAUCUACUGUAUUCCAACUUCUCUAUAGUUCAUACUCUCCAAUACUACUCAUAGAUUCAUCAAAAUAAGCAAACAACACAUAGAAAACAGAAUUUGUCAAAAACAGAACAAUCUAUAGAACUCUGGAUAUUUCAAAUACUUCUGUAGCUCCCAAAAUCCUGAGAAAUUAGGAAGUCCUAAGAAAUUUGUUUAUUAAUCUUCAGCAAAAAGAAUUAGUAUUUUAUCACGCUUCUACUAAAAAUACGAUUGUUUUCCUGAAUGCAAAGGUUUCUGUUUUUCAGCAAGGUCAAAUCAACUAUCACCACAAAGCCAUCCCAAAUGUCUUACUUGACACUUUAUUGAAACAAAAUCCAUAAAACAUGAUUACUACAGUAGCAUAAUCAUGUGAACACAUAAAAACAGUAGGGGUAAAUAUUGGGUUGUCUCCCAACAAGCGCUUUUCUUUAAUGCCUUUUAGCUAGGCAUGAUGAUUUCAAUGAUGCUCGCAUAAAAGAUAAGAAUUGAAACAUAAAGAGGGCAUCAUGAAGCAUAUGACUAGCACAUUUAAGUCUAAUCCACUUCCUAUGCAUACGUAUUUUGUGAGCAAACAAUUUAUGGGAGCAAUAAUCAAUUAGCAUAGGAAGGCAAAACAUGCAUAACUUCAAGAUUUUCAACACAUAGAGAGGAAACUUGAUAUUAUUGCAACUCCUACAAGCAUAUAUUCCUCCCUCAUAAUAAUUUUCAGUAGCAUCAUGAAUAAAUUCAACAAUAUAUCCAUCACAUAAAUCAUUCUUUUCAUGAUCUACAAGCAUAGAAAUUUUAUUACUCUCCACAUAAGCAAAUGUAUUUUCAUUCGGAAUGGUGGGAGUAUCAUAAGAAACUCGAAUACUAUAAAUUGUUUCCAUAUUAAAAGAAUAAUGUUCAGAAAAAGGGUAAUCAUAAUUAUGACAAGCUUUAUAAAUAUAAUCAUCACUACAUUUUAUAACAUAAGUGACAUCACAAUAAUCAUCAUAAGUAGCAACUUUGUUGUCAUCAUAAUCGAUUGAAACCUCUUCCAAGAUAGUGGAAUCAUUACUAAAUAAAGUCAUGGCUUCUCCAAAUCCACUUUCAUAAAUAUUGCAAUCAUCAUAAAUAGGAGGCAUACUAUCAUCAUAAUAAAUAUGCACAUCAAUACUUGGAGGACUAAAAAUAUCAUCUUCAUUAAACAUAGCAUCCCCAAGCUUGGGACAAACAUUAAUUGCAGCAAAUAAAUUCUCAAACAUGUCAUUUUCAUCAAACAUAGCAUCCCCAAGCUUGGGCCUUUGCAUAUCACAAGCAUAAUCACUCUCAUCAUUAAUAGUAUGAAUAGCACCAAUAGUAUAGCAAUUAUUAUCACAACUUUCUAAGUUGGUGCCAAAAAGAUUUUCAAGGUUAUAACAAGUAUCAUUACUUUCCCAACCAUAAUCAUCAUAAUGAGUAAUAGGCAUAACAAUAAUAGGAGCAACAUCAUCUGGAGGGAUACCUUUUUACCUUUGCUUCUCCAUCUUUUAUUUUUCUUCUUCACAUCAUGUGUGGGUUUUAUCACCCUUUUGGAGCUCCUUAUUUAUGAUAUUGGUUGAAUAAAAGGCUCGUCCUCAUUACUUGAUUCAUCAUAAGAAAAAACAGGAGGAUAUUGGGAAACCUCUUCCCCUUCAUUAGUAUUCUAUUCAUCUUCUGUUUAUUUUCUUAUGAUGAAUCAGGUAAUUUACCGCACAAUACAUAUAAAUUUCCUCUAUAUCAAAAUAAAGAAAUUUAUCAAGGUUAUAUUUUGGAAUGCCCUUAGUUAUACGUUUUAUUUCUUCAUAACCCAGAAGCAAACUAAGUUCAUUAUGAUGCGCAAGGGAAAUCAAGUCAUCACAACUUUUGGACACGAUUCGAUCAUGAAACAAUUUGCAUUGGAGAUUUAAGUGACCAUGUUCAUUGCAAAGUUCACAAGGAUGGCUAAACAUAUUAAAUUUUUAGCACAAACAUCUAGCCUCUCUUGCAACCAUUUAGUUUCUCAAUGCUUAUGCUUCUUGCAAAAUCUAUCUUCCCUUUUUGGUAUGUAACAACAAACUCUAUGCACUCCACAAAAAUUUACAUGCUUAUAAGAAACAUUUUUAUCAUGAAUAGUGCAAUCAUCAUUAGUACUAUGGAUAUUCAAAGAAUUCAUACUAACAACAUUGCAAUCAUGCUCAACAUUCAAAGAUUAUAUGUCAAACAUUUUAUUGCGUUCUUCCUCUAGCAAUUGAGCACAAUUAUCGGAAUCCUUAUUUUCACAAAAGACAUUAAAAAGAUGAAGCAUAUGAGGCAACCUCAAUUCCAUUUUUUGUAGUUCUCUUUUAUAGACUAAACUAGUGAUAAAACAAGAAACUAAAAGAUUCGACUGCAAGAUCUAAAGAUAUACCUUCAAGCAGUACUCCCCGGCAACAGCGCCAGAAAAGAGCUUGAUGUCUACUAUGCACCCUUCUUCUUGUAGACGUUGUUGGGCCUCCAAGUGCAGAGGUUUGUAGGACAGUAGAAAAUUUCUCUCAAGUGGAGACCUAAGGUUUAUCAAUCUGUGGGAGGCGUAGGAUGAAGAUGUUCUCUCUCAAACAACCCUGCAACCAAAUAACAAAGAGUCUCUUGUGUCCCCAACAAACCCAAUACAAUGGUAAAUUGAAUAGGUGCACUAGUUCGACGAAGAGAUGGUGAUACAAGUGCAAUAUGGAUGGUAGAUAUGGAUUUUUGUAAUCUGAAAAUAUAAAAACAGCAAGGUAGCAAGUAACAAAAGUGAGCGAAAACGGUAUUGCGAUGCUUGGAAACAAGGCCUAGGGUUCAUAAUUUCACUAGUGCAAGUUCUCUCAACAAUGAUAACAUAAUUAGAUCAUAUAAAAAUCCCUCAACAUGCAACAAAGAGUCACUAAUAGCGGAGAACAAACGAAGAGAUUAUUGUAGGGUACAAAACCACCUCAAAGUUAUUCUGUCUGAUCGAUCUAUUGAUCUAUUCUAUAAGUGUAGCAAAUAGCCCUAGAGUUCGUACUAAAAUAACACCUUAAGACACACAUCAACCAAAACCCUAAUGUCACCUAGAUACUCCAAUGUCACCACAAGUAUCCGCGGGUUUGAUUAUACGAUAUGCAUCACACAAUCUCAGAUUCAUCUAUUCAAACCAACACAAAGAACUUCAAAGAGUGCCCCAAAGUUUCUACCGGAGAGUCAAGACGAAAACGUGCACCAACCCCUAUGCAAAAGUUCACAAGGUCACAGAACCCGCAAGUUGAUCACCAAAACAUACUUCAAGUAGAUCACGUGAAUAUCCCAUUGUCACCACAGAUAAACACAUGCAAGACAUACAUCAAGUGUUCUCAAAUCCUUAAAGACUCAAUCUGAUAAGAUAACUUCAAAGGGAAAACUCAAUCAAUUACAAGAAGGUAGAGGGGGAAAACACCAUAUGAUUAAACUAUAAUAGCAAAGCUCGCGGUACAUCAAGAUCGUGUCAUAUCAAGAACACGAGAGAGAGAGAAAGAGAGAGAGAUCAAACACAUAGCUACUGGUACAUACCCUAAGCCUCGAGGGUGAACUACUCCCUCCACGUCAUGGAGACCGCCAGGAUGAUGAAGAUGGCCACCAGUGAUGAUUUCCCCCUCCGGCAGGGUGCCGGAACAGGGCCCCGAUUGGUUUUUGGUGGCUAUAGAGGCUUUUGGCGGCGGAACUUCCGAUCUAGGUUCUGUUCUGGAGGUUUGGGGAUAUAUAAGAGGUGUUGGCGUCGAGAACAAGUCAGGGGAGUCUACGAGGGGCCCACAAGUUCGGAGGGCGCGCCCUCCACCCUUGUGGAGGCCUCGUGGCUCUUCUGGCCCAACUCUUUUGCUUCGGGGGCUUCUUCUGGUCCAAAAACAAUCAUCGUGAAGUUUCAGGUCAAUUGGACUUCGUUUGAUAUUCCUUUCCUACGAAACUCAGUAACAAGGGAAAAAAUAGAAACUGACACUAGGCUCUAGGCUAAUAGGUUAGUCCCAAAAAUCAUAUAAAAUAGCAUAUAAAUGCAUAUAAAACAUCCAAGAUAGAUAAUAUAAUAGCAUGGAACAAUCAAAAAUUAUAGAUACACGUUGGAGACGUAUCAAGCAUCCCCAAACUUAAUUCCUGCUCGUCCUCGAGUAGGUAAAUGAUAAAAACAGGUUUUUUGAUGUGGAAUGCUACCUAACAUAUUUAUCCAUGUAAUUCUCUUUAUUGUGGCAUGAAUGUUCAGAUCCGUAAGAUUCAAAACAAAAUUUUAACAUUGACAUAAAAACAAUAAUACUUCAAGCAUACUAACAAAAUAAUUAUGUCUUCUCAAAAUAACAUGGCCAAAGAAAGCUUAUCCCUACAAAAUCAUAUAGUCUGGCUAUGCUCCAUCUUCAUCACACAAAACAUUUAAAUCAUGCAAAACCCCAAUGACAAGCCAAGCAAUUGUUUCAUACUUUUGAUGUUCUCAAACCUUUUCAAUUUUCACGCAAUACAUGAGUGUGAGCCAUGGACAUAGCACUAUAGGUUGGAGACGUAUCAGGCCACCAGGGAGCGACAAACUGAGGGGGCGCGCCGCACUCCCUCGGUGCACCCUCUGAGCUUGUGGGCUCCAUGGCAGGCCUUCGGUGCUCAUCUUCUGCUAUAUGAAGCCAUUUGCCCUAGAAACAAAUAAGAAGACUUUUGGCAUGAAGCGCCACCAUCUCAAGGCAAAACCUGGGCAGGAGCAAUUUUGCUCUCCGGCGGAGCGAUUCCGCCAGGGUAACUUCCCUCCUGGAGGGGGAAAUCGAAGCCAUCGACAUCACCAACGAUCCUCUCUUCAUGGAAGGACCAAUCUUCAUCAACAUCUUCACCAACACCAUCUCAUCUCAGACCCUAGUUCAUAUCUUGUAUUCAAUCUUUGUCCCCAAAUCUCAUAUUGGUACACGUGGGUUGCUAGUAGUGUUGAUUACAUCUUGUAGUUGAUGCAAGUUGGUUUAUUUGGUGGAAGAUUAAGUGUUCAGACCCUCAAGUAUAUUCAAUACACCUCUGAUCUUGAACAUGAAUAUGAUUUGUGAGUAGUUACUUUUGUUCUCGAGGACAUGGGAGAAGUCUUGUCAUAAGUAAUCAUGUGAUGUUGGUAUUUGUUUGAUAUUUUGAUUAUAUGUAUGUUGUUGCUUCCUUUAGUGGUGUCAUGUGAACGUCAACUACAUGACACUUCACCAUACUUGGGCCUAAGGGAAGACAUUGUGGAGUAAUAACUAGAUGAUGGGUUGCUAGAGUGGCCGAAGCUUAAACCCUAGUUUAUGCGUUAUUCAGUAAGGGGCUGAUUUGGAUCCAUAUGUUUCAUGUUAUGGUUAGAUUUUUCUUAAUUCUUAUUUCGUAGUUGCGGAUACUUGCGAGAAGGGGUAAUCAUAAGUGGGUUGAUUGUUCAAGUAAGAACAUCACCCAAGCACCGGUCCACCCACAUAUCAAAAUAUCAAAGUAGUAAACACGAAUCAACUAAACAUGAUGAACGUGACUAGAUGACAAUUCCCAUGUGUCCUCGAGAGCACUUUGCUUUACAUAAGAGAACGUUCCUGCUUGUCCUUUGCUAUAAAGGAUUGGGCCACCUUGCUGCACCUUAUUACCAUUGUUACUUGUUACUUGCUACGAAUUAUCCUACUACAAAACUAUAUGUUACCGUUACUUCCAGUGCUUGCAGAAAAUACCAUGCUGAAAACGGCUUAUCAUUUCCUUCUGCUCCUUGUUGCAUUCAACACUCUUACUUAUCGAAAGGACUACAAUUGAUCCCCUAUACUUGUGGAUCAUCAGUAUGCAUCAACACAAUGAGAUGAGACAUGCAACACAUACUAUACAACACCCAUUUUGUUCUUUUUUUAGCUGGAGAAGCUUUUCAUUUUGCAUCAUUAUUGGGGUCUACUCUAGUUACAUGAAAAACCGUGAACACACGUCAUGUUUAUUGGAUAGCUAAGGUGCAUGCAUGCCCAAGCACCAUGCAAGCUGCAGAGAGUUCUAUCACUGGCUAGCCGACAAUGCGUCGCCCCCCUCCAUCUGGCACAUUGUCGGCAGCUGUGCCACCGGAUGGUGCGCCUUUGCCACUUUUGGGCUGGCCGCUUGCUGCUCCACGCUAACAUGGUAUGGGGUGCCGUAGCCUUGUUGCUCUUGUCCUGAUUGUUGCCCUUGUCCUGGUUGGUGUCCUUGUCCUAACUGUUGCCCUUGUCCUGACUGUUGCUCUUGUCCUGGCUGCUGCAGAGAAGUUGGGUAGUAUCCUUGUUGCCCUUGUCCUAGUUGUUGUGCUUGUCCUAUUUGUUGGCCUUGUCCUGGUUGUUGCGCUUGUCCAGAAGUUGGGAAGUGCCCUUGUUGCCCUUGUCCUGGUUGUUGCCCUUGUCCUGGUUGCUGCGGAGAAGUUGGAUAGUACCCUUGUUGNNNNNNNNNNNNNNNNNNNNNNNNNNNNNNNNNNNNNNNNNNNNNNNNNNNNNNNNNNNNNNNNNNNNNNNNNNNNNNNNNNNNNNNNNNNNNNNNNNNNNNNNNNNNNNNNNNNNNNNNNNNNNNNNNNNNNNNNNNNNNNNNNNNNNNNNNNNNNNNNNNNNNNNNNNNNNNNNNNNNNNNNNNNNNNNNNNNNNNNNNNNNNNNNNNNNNNNNNNNNNNNNNNNNNNNNNNNNNNNNNNNNNNNNNNNNNNNNNNNNNNNNNNNNNNNNNNNNNNNNNNNNNNNNNNNNNNNNNNNNNNNNNNNNNNNNNNNNNNNNNNNNNNNNNNNNNNNNNNNNNNNNNNNNNNNNNNNNNNNNNNNNNNNNNNNNNNNNNNNNNNNNNNNNNNNNNNNNNNNNNNNNNNNNNNNNNNNNNNNNNNNNNNNNNNNNNNNNNNNUUGUUGACCUUGUACUGGUUGUUGCCAUUGUUCUGGCUGUUGCCCUUGUCCUGGCUGUUGCAGAUAAGUUGGAUAGUACCCUUGUUGCCCUUGUCCUGGUUGUUGCUCUUGUUCUGGCUGUUGCCCUUGUCCUGUUUGUUGCCCUUGUCCUGGUUGUUGCCUUUGUUCUCGCUGUCCUGUUUGUUUCCCUUGUCCUGGCUGCUGUAGAGAAUCUGGGUGGUGCCCUUGUUGCCCUUGUCCUGACUGCUGCAGAGAAGUUGGGUGGUGCCCUUGUUGCCCCUGCCCUGGCUGGUGCUGAGAAGCUGGGUAGUGCCCUUGUUGCCCUUGUACUGGCUGUUGCAGAGAAGUUGGGUAGUACC